GUGAUUGAAUUCAUGGCAUAUAAACAAAAGAAUUAUACAAUUUGAUUUUGUCAUUCUGUUUCUUUUCCCUCUUUCUCGAGUAAGGGAAAAAGGAUUACAAGCUAGGAGAUGCCUAUUGUACAAAAUUUGUCCACUAAUCUAUGUCAGUCUUCAAGAGUGAGAUAUAUUGUCAAUUCAAGAAAGAAGUUAUACGUUGGAAGACGUCUUCGGUGCAAGGAAUUGUGAGGCCACCCAUGGGAUGAUCAUAUCCAAAUUCAUCUUCAGCCUGACUCAACAAGCCUUGAAAUGAAGGUUGGUUCAAGUAUGAUAUGGGAAUCAUAAACCGCUUUUGUUUCUCUCCAACAUACACUGCAAGAUAGCCCUUUGGGACUUCUGAAGAUUUUGAAGCUGCUUGGCUAGCUGUGAAUGAUGCUCGUCGAAUAGCAGGUAAUCGGAAACCCAUUUUUUGUGCUUGAUUGAAUGAAGUAGAAGAAUCUCAAAUCUUGAAGGAAGGAAUCCAAGUGUUGAAGCUGGAGAGUUGCAAUGGCAUGUGUUGUUUGUGAAGACAAGGGAUAGUGUAUAUAUAGUUUUUAAGAUUGUGUGGGAAGGAAACCCAAAUCCCUGAGAAGAAUAGUGUUAAAGGAUAUAGAGGGCAUAGGCAUGAGAUAUCACAUGGUAUUGUCUUCAGUGCCUCUAUCAAGGAUAGAGUUGAAUGGACGUGUGAAACCCCACCUUAUUAAACAAUGAUCAACAUAAAAGUCUCCACCUAUUGUUCAUUCAUUCAUCGGUAUUCCAUAAUUUUAUAGACAUGCUGUAAACAUGUUUUCUCACAUUAUGUUGUUUGCAGCUGGAAUGUAUUUUGUUGGUGAUGAAUUAUAAAGCAAGGGAUACCGAAAUAUCAUAGAUCAUUAUAUAUGUUUCUAUGGUUACAUUUGUAGUUUCUCCAAUGUUGUAGGUCAUGAAGGUUUUUAUUAGGAAGACUACAGGAGUGGAGGAAAAUGAAUGAAGAGAUUAUUUACAUGCAAAAGAAUAAGCCGCCAUGGAGGGGUGUAACAACCUAAGGAUAAUCGGUUGGGGAAGUAGGAAUGCAGACAUGUUUCCGAUUCAAAUAUUCUCAGGCUCCGAAUGCUUCCCAAAGAGGUUUUUGCACGAGAAUGGUUCAUUCAUUUGCGAAGAGUAGGAUUGGAGGGACGGGGAUGGACCAGGCCACACUUCAGAGAUUUGCAGCGAUUCUUAGUUGUGAUACGAUAGCCCCUCCGUUCAUUUACUUGGGUCUGCCUGUCGGAGGGAGCCACAAGCGCGGUGCGUUUUGGAACAGGGUGAUUGAGAAAGUGCAGGCUAGGUUAAGCAGGUGGAAGGGUAGAAGUUUUUUCGAUGGCUAGGAGAAUUUGUUUGAUUAGGUCUGUGCUUUCUUCUAUUUCGUUAUUUUAUAUGUCUUUGUUCAGAUUGCCUACUGGGGUGGCAAGGAAGUUGAUCAAGUUGCAAAGGGAUUUUCUUUGGGGAUGGGGUGCAGAAGGGAGGAAGAUUGCUUGGGCUUCCUGGAACCUGGUGUGUAAACCUCGUGAGUUUGGGGGGCUUGGAAUAACAGACCUAAGAUUGUUUAAUUUGGCUUUGUUGGGAAAGUGGAUAUGGAGGUUGGGUUCGGUUGAGGUAGGUCUUUGGAAGGACAUCAUUUUCUCUAAGUACCGGGGGUGGAGAGAUCUGGGGGUGGCAAGUAAUGGUAAUAGUUGUUCUCUUUGGUGGAAGGAUUUGAAGGAAGUUUGGUAUUCGAAGAGGAGGGGGAGAUGUUUCGAAGACAGUUUUGAGUGGAAGGUUGGGAAUGGGAUGGACAUUUGUUUCUGAAAGGAUAGCUGGUUGAUGGGUGAGGCGUUGAAGAAUGUUUUUCCACGACUUUUCUCAAUCAGCUCUAACAAACAUGCAAAACUGUCGGAUCUUGGGUCUUGUUCUGAUGGGAGAUGGGUUUGGGGAUUUGAUUGGAGAAGGCCUUUUUUCGAAUGGGAGAAACCGGCGGCGGAUCGUUUAAGUCAGCUCCUGCUUGGGGUUGAGGUUGUUCUUGGAGAGACUGAUAGGUGGAUUUGGAAGGGUGGGGGUUUUCAGUCUUACACCGUUAGCUCUGCUUACAACCUUAUCAGGAAGGAUAUUGAGGCGGUUUCUUCGCAGGAGCUUAGGAAGUUGUGGAGGAGUAAAGCAAUUCCUUCUGCAAUGGUUUUGGCUUGGAGGGUGUUGAAAAACAAGCUUGCUACCAGGGUCAAUCUUAGUAGAAGAGGGGUUCUAUUAGAAAGCUUGAGGUGCGUGUUGUGCGGGAAGGAGGAGGAGUCGAGUAGCCAUCUGUUCUUUGGUUGUUCGUUUGCUUGGCGAGUUUGGUGUUUAUGUUUUAAGUGGCUAGGAAUCCAGUUUGUGACUCAUAUUGAACCAAGGUGCAACUUUGAUCAGUUUAGAUUGUGCCCUUCGGAGACGGGUCUGGUUGCUUGGAACACGAUCUGGGUUGGGGUGAUAAGUGAGAUUUGGAGCCACAGGAAUCGUAUAAUUUUUAAUAGAGGAGUGGCAGACGAGAAAGAGGUCUUUGCGUUGGCACAGGUAAAGGCUUGGUCUUGGGUUUUAACAAAUUCCCGGUUAGUUUCGUUUUCUUAUUUUGAUUGGUGUUUGGCUCCUUUGGAGUGUACGAGGUUAGUUUCUUGAGAUUUUUUGCUUGGUUUUGUAAGGGGUAGAAGAGUUGGUUUGGUUUUUGGAAGGCGUUUGUUGGAGCUAGUUUAACUUUUUUUAUGUAUAAGGGUUGAACCACCCCUGAAGUGGUUCUAUUUUAUUUUAUUUUUUAUUACCGAUAAAAUAAAAUUUAUUACGGAAUACAUUGCUCGUUGGCACGACUUCACAUCCAAGAAGUCAUCCUAGGGGCACACGCCUUUCAUUUAGUGGUCAACACAGACCCUUUGUCAAAUCCACAAUUUUGAUUGAAAUCAAUUUGUAUAAAAAUAGUAUGGAACUUAAACAACUUGAUUAAUUUUGGAAUUUAUGUUUAAGUAAAGUCCUGCUAAAAUUGCACGACUUUAGUAUAAAAUUAAUACAACUCUCACGCGCUGCGCUACAAACAAUGCUUAUUUACAAAAACUAUGUUCUCACAAUGCUACAAUUAUAAUUUACAUUUUAGAGUAAAUGAGGAGGAAAAAUCAGACCCUCAAUUGCCUAAUUAUUGCACUAAGAAAUCUCAAACAUUCUUGAUUUUGUAAAUUAAAGUACCCCUUCCGUAAUUCUAUGAUUCAGUUUGAUUAAGGCUAGUCAAGUGCCUUAUCUCAUGCUUCAGACUCUUGCCAAAAGAUGACAUAUUGGUUUAGGAUUUUAUUCAUUAUGUACUUAGAUUGAGAAUGAAGUUGUUACACACCAAGGCCUAACAGCAUGCGAGGCACGUGAGCCCAAAAGACAACCAAAUUCGAUGGUGGAUUUGGUAAUAGGAUAAGCCUGUCUGAGCCUAGUGUAAUAAAUCAUAGGUUGUGUUGUUUAAGUUUAAGCAUUGUAAGGCCCAUUUCACUCCUAUUAAAAGGAUUGAUACAUAUAUGAAAAGGAGGUGAAUUCUGAGUGUACCCUAGUAUAAAAUAGUUGAUCUCCAUAGCUAAGGGAUUCUUAGAGUACAAGUAAAUUGGUGUUUUCAUUGCCUCCUCAUGCCUCCCAAACCUCAAUCAAAGGACGUGGAAGAGGUUUUGCACAAGAUUGUUUGACUACCAUUCAAGUCUAGAUGGAUGAAAAUGUUGAACAAGGGCUUUGAUGUCUCCAAAUCCAUGCAUGAAGUUUGGUUAAAGGCUUAGUUGUAGCUUUUGUGUGUUGGUUAUGGGUAGUUUGAAUUUGUAAUCCCCUAUUGGUUAGAAUCCAAAUCUGAUUUAAAUCAAAACCUUUUUGAAAAAGAGUGUUUUCUAAAGAAGUGGAAAAACAACCUGUUGUUUUAUUGUUUCAAUCGGUUGUUUGACACUUGGUGGGUUUUGAAAAGGAUUUGAAACUAUUUGAAUUUGGUUGACUUUGUUGUCAAACAAAUUCAAUCGGUUGUUUUAAGAUUUCAACCGAUUGUUCUUAGAAAAUCCAUAACAAUAUUUUGUUAAGUUUGGUAAAUUUGUUUUAAAUGUUUUAAAACUGAAUAAGCUCCUUCUUUAAAUGUUUUUAACAAACAUUUGGAAUAUAAAAAGAUUGUUUAACGCUCCUAAGGAAUAUACUACAGAUUAGAGAAUUCAAAUUGAGCAAAGUGAUUUCAUUUUUCAAAGAUUUACUUCAAGCUUUUGGGUUUUCUCAAAGAAUGGAAUAGGAUUGUUAUGUAAUCUUUUUAUUUGAUUUUGAUCAGGUGUAAUCAUUUCUCUUUCUCUCUUGUAUUUCUGGAAUACUUGUGGUGUGUGUAGAAUCAGAGGUUGCUCUGAAUUAUGUGGUGUGGUUGCCAAAAGAAGUGUGUGUUCUUGAAGGGAAGAUCACUUCUUUGGUGUGUGUGGAUUGUAAUAUGUGAUUGAUUGCAUAGUGGAAUACUCAGUGGUUUUUGGGGACUGAAUGUAGCUCUUGGAAUAAGAGUGAACCAGUAUAAAUCUAUUUAUGUGCUUAUCUCUUUCCCUGAACUCUUUAAUAUAUGCUUUAAGUUGUUUUUAUUCACUGCAAAAAAUCAGUUGAAUCGAAAAAACAACCGGUUGAUUUUCUGGAAAUCAACUAAAACAGUUUUGUUGUUUGGUUUCCUUAGUUUCUUAUUUUGUGAUUCUUCAUUGACUUUCAUUAUACCUUCAAAAUUUGCGAAAAUCUUUCAUAAACAAUUCACCGCCCCUCUUGUUUAAGGCCAUAAAUUCUAACAGAAAAUCUCACCUGCCAGACUACACUAGAAGCUUGGAGUGACAAUCUCAAAUCCAAUCCCGCCAUUCUCAUGGACCAGGUAUCUUCCGUUGCUUACCUAGACACAAAAUUACCUCCAUUGAGAAAAGCACUCUCACACCACCUCUUACUAGUGUUGUCCACCAGGCCAACCCUCACAUAACACAAUCCCACUUCCAAUACCAACCCCGUCCACCCUCUACACUCACACCACCUAAACUGGCUUUACCUUUCUUUGAUGGAAAUGAACCAUUUAACAAUUAUUUUUUUUAAUAAUGAAAUUUCCUUGCAUAUUAUUAUUAUGACUGCAUAUUGUUUUAAUUUAUGUAAUAUAAUGAUUAUUAAAGUUUCGUUUCAAAAUUGUUAAAAGACUAUAAACUUUAGAUGAUACUUUGUUAACUUUUAAAUGUUGAUUAUUAAAUUUCAUAAUCACAUUUUUCUUAACAACCUUAAAUUGGAAUGUUUGAGUAAUAACAAUUUUUACAACAAAAAAGUACUGGCACGUUAUACAGUUUGUAUAUCAAUAAGUUUAUACAACAUAUAGACAAUAAAACUAUGAGUAAUUCUUUUAGCUUCCAACUGGAAUAACUUAUAUUCUUCUUUGGAUAUAUGUUUAUUUACUAGAUACCUUCUUCUUCCCUGCACACGUUUAAUAUCAUAGAAUGAUGUUCCAAGUGAUAUAAGAAAAUAUAAAUGUUAGAAAAUGAAAAUAAACUGCUAUUUUGUGCAUAUCAAAUUAUACCAACACAUUAGCAAUAACACAGUAUAUAUGGAAAAAUAUAAUCCUAAUCAUAUAUGUUAAAAUUUACUACAAAGUAAAGAAUAAUAAUGUGGUAAAAAGAACAAGAUUUAAGUGUUAAGAAUUUGUACAGUCAAUUUAUACCAACACAUUAGCAAUAACAGCGCAUAGGAAAAAUAUAAUCGUAAUCAUAUGUUAAAAAAUUAGUACAAAAUAAAGAAUAGUAACGUGGUAAUAAGCACAAAAUGAACAAUAUUUAAGUGUUAAGAAUUAGUAGAGAUAAAUAAUACUUAAUGCUAUACCAACAAUAGAAGGAAUUUAUAUGAACAGUAAUAAGGUUUGAUAUACCGACCACUAUAGAGUGUUGAGCACAUAUAAAUAUGCAACACAUUGAGUUGUAGUUAAAUAAUGCAGUAUGUAUAAAAUUCUUUUGUAAAGCUAAUACAAAAAGUGUCUUUAAUAUGAAGGCGAUCUUACUCUGCUUUGAGCUUGCUUCUGAUCCUAAGGUCAAUUUUGUGAAGAGUACUAUUGGUGGGUUGGGGUUGGAUCAGAGCUUGCUUCAGAGUUUUGCGGCUAUUCUAAAUUGUAAAGUGAUGGUAACUCCUUUUGUUUAUUUAGGGUUGCCAAUAGGAGGGUGUCACAAACGGGGUGCGUUUUGGAGUAGGGUGAUAGAGAGAGUUCAGGGUAAAUUGUCAAGAUGGAGAGGCAGGUGUCUGUCGUUGGCUGGGAGGAUUUGCUUGUUAAAAUCAGUUCUUUCCUCAAUCCCGUUAUUUUUUAUGUCAUUGUUUAAGUUACAUUCUUUGGUGGCAGAGAAGUUAGUUCGAAUACAAAGGAAUUUCCUUUGGGGAUGGGGUUUAGAUGGUAGGAAGAUCGUUUGGGCCUCUUGGAAAAAGGUUUGUGAGCCUCGUGACUAUGGAGGUCUAGGUAUUAUUGACCUAAGGUUGUUUAAUUUGGCUCUAUUAGGUAAGUGGAUCUGGAGGUUGGGUACGGAUAAGGGCGGUCUGUGGAAAGAGAUCCUCGUUUCUAAGUAUGGGGGGUGGAGAAGCUUGAGAGAGGAAGGUAAAGUUGGUAGGGGAUCUCUUUGGUGGAAAGAUUUGAAGGAGGUGUGGGCUUCAGAGGGUUGGGGAAGAAGUUUUGAAGAUGGGUUUGAGUGGGAAGUUGGUGAGGGGAGGGCUAUCCUUUUUUGGGAGGACAGUUGGUUGAGUUGUGGCGCGUUGAAGAGUGUUUUCCCGAGAAUUUUCUCUCUUAGUGUGACAAAAGGUGCAAAGGUGGCUGAACUAGGGAAUUGGAUUGAUGGUGUUUGGGUGUGGCACUUUGAAUGGCGUAGACCCUUUUUUGAAUGGGAGAAACCUCUGGUGGAGCAGUUCUUUCAGUUGCUACAAGGGGCGAAGUUGGAAUCGGGGAAGGCAGAUUGUUAGAUUUAGAAGGCAGGGGGGUUUCAUACUUUUACAGUUAACUCAACCUAUUUUCAGGUUAGGAAGGAUAGAGUUUGGGAGGUUUCUCCAAUUUACAGUAAGUUGUGGAGGUGCAAAGCUUUGCCUUCCGCUUUGGUCACUGCUUGGAGGGUGAUGGAGAAUAAGAUUGCUACUAGGGUAAAUUUGGAAAGGCGAGGGGUGGUGGUAGAGAAUCUGGUGUGUGGUUUGUGUGGGAAGGUGGAAGAGUCGUCCAGUCAUCUGUUUUCCGUCUGCGAGUUUACCUGGCGGGUGUGGUGUCUUUGUUUUGAGUGGCUUGGAGUGUCACUUGUUAUUCACAAGGACCCUUUGGUAAACUUCCAACAAUUUAGGUUGUGUUCGGCUUCUAAUGUGGUUAAUGACGUUUGGGGGGCGAUUUAGGUUGAUGUUGUGAGUGGAAUUUGGAGACAUAGGAACUCAGUGACCUUCGAUAGGGGCGUGGUAGAUGCGCUUGAGGUAUUUGCACUGGUACAGGUAAAUGUUUGGUCUUGGAUUUUUGCAGAGUCCUGUUGUAAUUCCUUUACGUACCCCAACUAGGUUUUGAACCCAAUGGAUUGUAUGAGGCUGGUUGUUUAAUGCUUUCUUGAGUUGGUUUGGUUGUUCCUUAUUUAAGUUGGAAGGUGUUCCUUAGUUGGAGGUUGGUAAGAUGCUAGCUCUUUAUGUAUAAGGGUUGGACCACCCCUGAAGUGGUUCCCAUUUAUUUAUUUUUUAUUGCUGAUAAAAAAAAUGUAUAAAAUUCAUGAUAAGCAAAUGACUAAAUUUAUUCUCUAAAUAAUUAAAACCACUGUGAAGUGGUUCCCAUUUAUUUAUUUUUUAUUGCUGAUAAAAAAAAUGUAUAAAAUUCAUGAUAAGCAAAUGACUAAAUUUAUUCUCUAAAUAAUUAAAACCACUGUGAAGUGGUUAUCUUUUUAUGCUUUUGGGUUUUCCUGCAGAAUAAAUAAGUUCACCCAAAAAAAAAACAUUGGAUAAAAAACAAGAAUAUAAUAGACAUAAAUAUUAACAAUGUUUGAGCAACCUAUAUGAUUGACGACAUAAAGUUCAAAUAAAAUUAAAAAUACUGUCUGUUUUGACCAAGGCUUAAAAUAUUGCCUGGAUCAAAAAACUAUUACGAUACAUAUUAAUUUUAUAAAAAUGACCCUAGUGUGUGCACAUGGAUGGUCAUUAUCUACCUCAAAAAUAAGUUGAUACUCUUCUCGAAGUGAGUGUUCCAUGCAAAAUUCUUUCCAUCCGCUUUCAAAUUUGACAUAUCUUUUAGGAACGUGUAUGAUAAGAACUUUGCAUUUAACUUGUUUGUUUGAACCAUGCAAAUUCACAUUCUUGAACCUACCUCUUUGAAUAUAAACCGUGAAAGGAAGAGGCAAAUCCUACAAAACAAUAAAAAUUAAAUAUAUGCAUGUGUGGCAAAUAAAAUUACAUUUUAACUAAUAUAACUGUUAGAUAUUAUUAGAUAUAAUUAGAUAUUAUGAGAUAUUGUAGAUAUUACUAGAUAUCUCUAUUUAUGUAAUGGGCUUAGUCCAUAUGAUUCUUUUCCUAUAUAAACAUGACCCUAUGCAUUCAAUAUACACAAGGGAUUUACCCAAUUCUUUCUUUUCCUUUAAAUAUGGUAUCUAGAGCAUAGGGUUAGGGUUCAAUUUUUUUGGUGAACCCACUGUUCACUGGAAUUUUCCAGCCACCGCCCCACCGUCUCGCCGGAGCCGUCACUAGAAUCUCGUCGGAACCGCCGCCGGAGACGCCUCUGGAAUUGCUGCCGGAACCGCUGCUGGAGCCUUGAUCUUUGCUGCUCCCGCCAAUUGACCGGUGACUGGAUUUGUCCUUAUCCUCUAUGGCUUCUUCCGCUUUCGCUGCCACUAUGGUUUCUUCCGCUGCCGUUGUUGCUACUUCCGCUGCCAUUAUGUCGGAUCCAUCUAUUUAUACUAAUUAUGUCAAUGUUCAUAUCUCAAUUGACAAAUUGGAUGGAACCAAUUAUGACACUUGGGCCUCAGAUAUUAAGUUAUGGCUUAAGAGUCAAGGUUAUGUUGAUCAUAUUACCCAUCCUAAUGUUGCUGAAAAUGAGGUUUCUCGUUGGUUAAAAGUUGAUGCUCAAAUAUGCAUUGUUACCAAAUCUACCAUUCACUCAUCUUUAAAACAAAUUUUUCGUACCUAUGAGACAUGUUCAAAAGUUUGGGAACAAGAAAAAUUAUUAUACACCAAUGAUACUCAACGUCUUUAUGGUGUGUGUCAAAAUCUCCUCACAAUUGUUGCUCCCAAAUGUCUUGAUGGUACAAUGGCGGAAUAUCUGGGUAAGCUUCAUGCUCUUCUUCAUGAUUUUAAUGAGUUAUUACCUCCUACCCCCACUCCUUCUCAAGAAUUAGAACAAAGAUCGAAGUUCUUCAUGUUAUUUGGUUUACAUGGCCCUCCUGAUGAUUAUUCUCAUGUUCGUGAUCAAAUUUUGGGAUCUCCUAUCGUGCCCAAUUUUACUUCCACUUGUUCUACCCUUCUGCGUGUGCCAAGUAAACACACCAUUGAUAUAACGUCUCAUGUUGAUGACACUUCUGCUUUAGUCUCUCAGUAUAAUGAUCGUACUCGCCUUCACAAAUUGGGCAAAGGGCGUCACAAGUGUGACCAUUGUGGCAAACUUGGCCACAAAAUUGAUAGAUGUUAUGCCUUACAUGGUCUUCCUCCUAAAUCUGUUGUGAUUGCUCAAACUGUUCCUGUGCAACCUUCUACUGUGGACCAUACUUCAAUUGAUACCCCAGGCCAACCUGCUAUUUUCAAUGAAUUUCUUAAAUGGUAUGAGGAUCGUCAGAACUCUAGUUCCACGGCUUCUAUUGCACAUUCAGGUACAUCUUUUGUUGGCCUCACUCACUCUACUUCCCUUGGCCCUUGGGUUCUACAUUCAGGUGUCACAGAUCACAUUACUGGUAAUCAAUCUUUUUUCUCUUCCCUAUCUACUACAGGUUAUUUACCUUCAGUUACCAUGGCCAAUGGAUAUAAGGUACCGUCACAUGGUGUUGGUACUAUUAACCUUUUUCCUUCUUUAUCUAUUAAUAAUGUUCUUUAUGUCCCUAGGUCUCUAUUUAACUUAUUAUCCAUUAGUCGUCUCACUCAUUCCCUUGAUUGUGUUAUUUCUUUUACCAAAGAUUUUGUUUCUUUACAAGAUCGGAAUUUGGGACGGAUGAUUGGCACCGAAUUUGAGUUUUAUGGACUUUAUCAACUACAUAUCUUUGCUCAUGUUGGCACGAUUAUGGAUUCUCCAUCUCUCAUUCAUGCUCGGUUGGGUUAUCCUAGUCUUGCCAAGAUGUAGCAGCUUAUUCCAAGUUUGUCUAAUGUGUCUAUUUUAUCGUGUGAGUCGUGUCAAUUAGGGAAACACAUUUGUAGUUCUUUUCCUAGUAGUGUUUCACAACGUGUUUCAUCUCCUUUUGCCUUAGUUCACUCUGACAUUUGGGGACCAAGUCGUAUUAAGUUUAAUUUAGGAUUUCAGUAUUUUGUUACUUUUAUUUAUGAUUAUUCAAGAUGUAUUUGGGUGUUUUUAAUGAAAAACCGUUCUGAGUUGCUUUCAAUAUUUCAAAUAUUUUACAAUGAAAUUAAAAAUCAAUUUGGAAUUUCCAUUCGCAUUUUGCGCAGUGAUAAUGGACAUGAGUAUCUUUCUCAUUCUUUUAAAAAUUUUAUGGCUUCUCAUGGUAUUCUUAAUCAAACUUCAUGUGCUUAUACAUCUCAACAAAAUGGGGUAGUUGAGCGCAAGAAUAGACAUCUUGUUGAAACAACUCGUACUAUUUUAAUCCAUGGUGAUGUGCCUCAGCGCUUUUGGGGUGAUGUUGUUCUUAGUGCAUGUUAUCUCAUUAAUCGCAUGUCAUCUUUAGUUUUAGAUAACAAAAUUCCUCAUUCUAUUUUAUUUCCACAUGACCCUCUCCACUCUUUACCUCCCAAAGUUUUUGGGUCCACAUGCAUUGUUCAUAAUUUUAGUCUUGAUCUUGAUAAAUUAUCUCAUAAGUCACACAAAUGUGUCUUUUUAGGGUUCACUAGAUCACAAAAAGGAUAUAAAUGUUUCUCACCUUCUCUAAACCGUUAUUUAUUUCACCGGAUGUCACCUUUAGUGAAUCUUCCCUUUACUGUAAGUCUUGUCCUUCUCCUUCUAUUUCUUCAUCUAAUCAAGUUAAUAUUGUUAGAAUAUAUGGCCUUAUACGAGAGGGGGGGUGAAUUGUUUAAGAAAGAUUUUCGUAAACUUUUAAGCCUAGAAUGAAAAUACUUCAAUAAAACCUUGAUUAAGAAAUCAGUUUUUCAAAACAUAAAGCAAAUGCACAAUACUGGAAAAACAAUCGGUUGUUUUACCGAAACAAUCGGUUGUUUAUACCAGUUAUUAAAUGACAAAACUGAAUUUAAAGAGAUAGGGAUAGAGAGAUUGUACACAGUUGUUUAUAGUGGUUCACUCCAAACCCAGAGCUACAUCCAGUCUUCUCAGGAACCCUGAGGAAAUCCACUAAGCAAUCACACCUUGAUCACUUACACAACAACUAAGAGAAUGACCUUGAACACUUCAAGAAACACACUCUCCUUGGUCAACACACCUACACCAAGAUUGUUGAUCUUGAUCCCCUCGAGAACACACAACCAAUCUUAGCAAACACAGAAACAAAACUUGUUUUUACAGAGAGUACAAGGAUUACACUUGUUACAGAAGAUAAUUUGAAAUCAAUACAAGCAGAAUCCUAUUCCACAACUUUGAUCAAUCACACACUCUUAGCAAUCUUAGCUCUUUGAAAAACUCAAAAACUCUUAGCAAAAACUUGUCAAAGAUUGAUUGUCAAAUCUGUUUUUCUGAAUUUAUUCAAAGAUGUAGUUUGUUAUCAAAUCUUAACAAACUCUUAAAUUGCAUUAAAAGAUUGGUCAAAGAAUUUAAUGACUAGAGCGUAAGCAGUUAAAUCAUUUAAAGCUCAGUCAAAGAAAAAACAGUUUUUCUGUUAUGGUCCCAAAACAAACAAUCGGUUGUUUCCUCGAAUCAAUCGGUUGUUUUGGUUCUUAACAGUUCAACCAUUUUAAAAACAAUUUUCAAUCUUUUUCUCAAAACACCUAAGUAUAAACAAUCGGUUGUUUCGACAAAACAAUCGGUUGUUUUAACUUAGUUUGAAAACAUUUUACUUUCACAAAGAUUGAGAUUGCCUAUGCUUUAGAUUUAAUUAAAGGGUGGAUUACAACAUAUAAACUACCUCAGAACUAAGCUAAACCAGCACAGCAACACCAAGCACAGCAAAGGCUUCAACAUCCUUCAAAGGGUUUGGAUUCUUCAAAGCUUGAACAUCACUUGGUUCAACAAAUAUUCCUCUUGUUGUGCCUAGUGCACCGAAAGAUUCACCCCCGCCACCAACUCUUCAGGUGUAUAGUCGUCGUCAAACGUCUCAUCAUCCAUCAGAUGACUCUGUUCUAGUGCCAACACCUCAUCCCCCUCCGACUCUAACAGUUGAACCCCGACAGUUGAACCUGAUCUUCCUAUUGCUAUCCGUAAAGGUAUACGUUCUACCCGUAAUCCCUUUCCACAUUAUACUGCUUUGAGUUACCAUAGACUAUCUCAACCCUUUUAUACUUGCUUUUCGUUGAUUUCAUCUGUAUCUAUUCCAAAAUCUGUAGGUCCUUAACUCCUCAUGGUUGGCGUCAAGCCAUGCUUGAUGAAAUGAAUGCGCUUCAGAAUAAUGGAACUUGGAAACUUGCUCUUUUACCAUCUAGGAUCUGUUGUUGGUUGCAGGUGGAUUUUCGCUAUCAAAGUUGGUCCUUAUGGUACUAUUGAUCGUGUCAAAGCUCGUCUUGUGGCUAAAGGUUAUACCCAAAUUUUUGGUUUAGACUAUGGUGAUACUUUUUCUCCAGUGGCAAAAAUGGCUUUUGUUCGCUUAUUCAUAGCCAUGACUGCUCUUCAACAAUGGCCUCUUUAUCAACUGUAUGUCAAAAAUUCCUUUCUUAAUGGGGAUUUGCAGGAAGAAAUUUAUAUGGAGCAACAUCCCGGUUUUGUUGCUUAGGGGGAGUCUUCUGGAUCGGUAUGUCGUCUUCGCAAAUCCUUAUAUGGCCUCAAGCAAUCUCCUAGGGCUUGGUUUGAAAAAUUUAGCAAUGUUGUUCAACAGUUUGGUAUGACUCGCAGUUUUUAAUCAUCACUCGAGUGCUGGGUGUAUCUAUCUUGUAGUAUAUGUUGAUGACAUUGUUCUUACAGGCAGUGAUCACUAUGGCAUCUCACAAGUAAAACAACACCUUUGUCAAAAUUUCCAGACCAAAUAUCUUGGCAAACUCAAAUAUUUCCUGGGGAUUGAUGUAGCACAAUCCAAUACUAGUAUUGUUAUCUCUCAAAGAAACAUUGGAUAUUUUAGAGGAAAUUGCACUAGUGCAAAAAGAAUAAAAGGAUACGCUUUAUUUAGUGCGGCUUUUGCGCUACCCGCUUUCGUAAAAAACGCGGUGGCAUUUUUGAAAUUAUUUUGAUUUACGAAUGCGGUUAUUUGAAUAGCCGCAUUCGUAAAUCAAAGCACUUGAUUUACGAAUGCGGUUAUUUGUAUAACCGCACUUGUAAAUCAAAGCAUUUGAUUUACGAAUGCGGCUAUUUUUAUAGCCGCAUUCGUAAAUCAAAGCACUUGAUUUACGAAUGCGGUUAUUUGAAUAACCGCAUUCGUAAAUCAAAAUUCUUUGAUUUACGAAUGCCGUUUUACCUUUAACCGCAUUCGUAAAUCCUUUUUCACCCUAAAUUUUGAAGCGCGCCACACACAAUUUCAAACUUUAUUUCUCGUCUUUGCCUUCGUAUUGUUAGAAAAGAUGGCUUUAAACUAGAGGGCGGGUGAAUUGUUUAAAGAGGUUUUCAUAAACUUUUCAAAGCUAGAAUGAACUUAUUUCAGAAACCAAUUGAUUAAGCAAUUCAGUUAGCCAAAACAGCAAGCAAAACUGUAAUACCAGGAAAAAAAAUCGGUUGUUUCUUCGAAACAAUCGGUUGUUUAUACCAGCAAACAACAAACAAAAUAAAAUUAAAGAGUUAAGGAUAGAGAGAUUGUACACAGUUGUUUAUACUGGUUNNNNNNNNNNNNNNNNNNNNNNNNNNNNNNNNNNNNNNNNNNNNNNNNNNNNNNNNNNNNNNNNNNNNNNNNNNNNNNNNNNNNNNNNNNNNNNNNNNNNACAACAACAACCAAGAGAAUGACCUUAAACACCUCAAGAAACACACUCUACUUGGCCAACACUAAGAUUGCUGAUCUUGAACACCUCAAGAACACACAGCCAAUCUGAGCAACACAUACAAACAGAAUUGUUCAACAGUUUACACAAAUUACACUUGUUACAGAUGAAUAUCUGAAAUCAAUACAAGUAGAAUCCCUAUUCAGCACCUUGAUCAAUCUCUCAACUCUUUAGCAAUCUCAGAAUACUUUGAAAAACUCUUCUUGGAUCAAAACUAUGUUUCAAGAUUCUUAAUAUAUCAAAACUGUUUUUCAGAAUAUAUCUAAGAAUAUAGUUUGUUAUCAAAUCUUAACAAACUCUUAAUUGCAUUUAAAAUAGAUUGGUCAAAGCAUUUAAUGACUGGAGCGUAUUUAGUUAAAGCAUUUAAAGCUCAGUCAAAGAAAACAGUUUUUCUGUUAUGGUUUUAAAACAAACAAUCGAUUGUUUCCUCGAAUCAAUCGGUUGUUUUGUUACUUAACAAAAACACCAUUCAAAAACAGUUUUCAAAUUUUCUUAAAACACCUAAGUGUAAACAAUCGGUUGUUUCGACAAAACAAUCGGUUAUUUCAACUUAGUUUGAAAAACAUUUUGCUUUGAUAAAAUUGAGAUGCUAAUUGCUUUGAGAUUUAAUCUAAGUGUUGAUUACAACAUAGAACUACCCCAGAACAAGACUAAAACAGCACAGCAACAUCAAGCACAGCAGAGGCUUCAUCAUCCUUCAAAGGGUUUGGAUUCUUCAAAACAUUGAACACCACUUGGUUCAACACGUUUCGCGUUCGCACUUUGAGUUCGUCUCCUUCUGCUGCAUCUGCAUUCCAUUUGUGCAAUGUAAGUUUCUUGAACUCUCUUUCUUCCUCUUCAUCUUCACAAAUAUAUGCAUAAAUGUUUUUCGUUUUUCUUAUAUAUUUUUUUUCCUUGCAUUGGUGGUCUCGAAGCACUAUUUCGUUGGCUGACAUUCGUUUUUCUUACAUUGUUUGGUUUCUCGCAUUGCUCAUUACUCUUUCAUUGUCUUCGUGGUUUCUUGUGGAUUUUUUGGUUUGCUCCGUUGCUGCUUCCCUGUCCGCCGUCGCUUCUGCUGUCGUCACCGUUGUUGGCGCUUCCGUGACUCUUCAUCAACAUUGGCUUCACACAAGAUUGACGAUGUUUUAAAAUUUUUAUUUUUUUUUAAUGAUUUGGCAUAUACAAGUGCGGUUAAAGCAAAUAACCGCAAUUGUAAAUGGUAUUUAUAAAUGCGGCUAUAUAGCCGCAUUUAUAUUUCUUGAUUUACAAGUGCGUGUUGAUCAAAUGCGGCUAUAAAGCUGCAUUUAUAAAUUCGAAAUAGCCGCAUUUGUUUUAUGUUUCUGCACUAGUGUUGGGUUGAUGAAUUCGAAAUCUGUUAAUACUCCCAUGGAUCCCAAUGUCAAGCUUCUACCCAAUUAGAGGGAGCCUCAUUCAGAUCCUGAGAAGUUUUUUUUUUUUUAUCAGCAAUGAAUAAAUAAAAUUAAAGGGAUACUUCAGGGGUAUCCCAACCCAUAUAUAGUAACCAGAAGUGGACUUCCUAUAUCAUCCACAAAAGAAGCUCUCCUUUAUGGUUGGAGCAAAACAACCUUAAAGUGAGGAAACCGUACCCAAAAAUAUAACCAGCAGGUUACCUCUAAGCAACACCCAACUUUACCGGAACACCCAGGACCGAGGCCACCUACAUUCAGAUCCUGAGAAGUACAAGAGAUUAGUUGGAAAUUGAACUAUCUCACUGUUACUCAUCCUGAUAUUUCCUUUGCAGUCAGUGUGGUCAGUCAAUUUCUUAAUUCUCCAUGUGAAGAUCAUUGAAAUGCAAUCAUUCAUUUACUGAAGUACAUUAAAGGCUCUCCUGAAAAGGUUUGUUAUAUGAUCAUAAUAACCAUACUAGAGUUUUUUGUUAUUCAUAUGCUGAUUGGGCAGGAUCUCCAUUUGAUAGAAGAUCAACUUCCAGUUAUUAUGUCUCCAUUAGUGAUAACUUGAUCUCUUGGAAGAGCAAGAAACAAAGUGUUGUGGCGAGAUAUAGUGCAGAAGCAAAAUAUAGAGUUAUGGCCUCAAUUACUUGUGAGCUUUUUUGGCUUAACAAUUACUUAAAGAAUUGCAAUUUGGAGAAAUCACUCAAAUGACACGUAUAUGUGAUAAUCAGGCUGCUCUUCAUAUUAGCUCAAAUCCAGUUUUUCAUGAAAGGACCAAACAUAUUGAGAUUGAUUGUCAUUUCAUUCGAGAAAAGAUUAUAUCAGGAGAUAUCAAGACUAAGUUUGUUAAUUCAAAUAAUCAAUUAGCAGAUAUUUUUACUAAAUCCUUACGAGGGCCUCAGAUUAAUUGAUUAUAUUUGUAACAAGCUAUGUACAUAUGAUCUAUAUGCACCAGCUUGAGGGGGGUGUUAGAUAUUAUUAGAUAUUAUUAGAUAUUAUGAGAUAUUACUAGAUAUCUCUAUUUAUGUAAUGGGCAUAGCCCAUAUGUUUCUUUUCCUAUAUAAACAUAACCCUAUGUGUUCAAUAUACACAAGGUUUUUACUCUAUUCAAGGUUUUUACUCUAUUCUUUCUUUUCCUUUUAAUAAUAACUAAACCAAAAGUUUGUUAAAAAAUUACCAAAAUGACUUGCGGUGAACUGGUAAGCAGACAUGGUUAUUGUAAAAUGUACCAGAUGAUUAUAGGUUAUCGUAGUAUGUUCGCUCACCUUACCCUUAAAUAUUGUUAUAUGAAAAUAAUUUUCCCCCACGUAAUGGAAGAUGAUGUCAUGAUAUCCUUCCAAGACAUAGAACUGACACUCUUCAUCCCAGCCUUCAAUGACCAUCGAACAGUGCAUGUCCAUAUUGUAAGUUACCUUGUGUAAAUUUUCUUUAUGGUCAACAAUAGUCCAUUUAGAACCUAGUUCUCUAUUAAAUAUUAUCGUAAACUCAUGGUGGACAUUACCUUCAAACUUGUAAAGUGAAAGAUUAAAAGCUUAAAAGUAUUAGGAAUCAGUAAAAGAUUAAAAGCAAUGCAUAAUAAUAAUAUAAAGGAAGUGCAAAAUAAAACAUACCUCAUCACGUACAAUGAUUGUCUUGAACGUACCCAUUGUGUUUCGGCUUACAAUGUCAGAUGGGUUCUCCAUUUUAGUUGGUUUACAAAGUAAGUAAACAAAGGUUUACAAAAGGAAGAAAAUAUACAGAGGGGAGGGGAUGUUAGAGUUCAAAAACUUGAGUGUGGAAAGGGCUGUAAUUUAGAACUCAUUUAUAUUACAAAUUAAUAAUAAAGAAUAAAUUAAUUUAUAAUAUAUUAAAAAAUUUAUUAAAAAAUACAAAGGGAAAAGAGUCCUCACGGUAUUCAAUUGGUGAAGUGAAAUUAUCGGAAAUGACAGUAAGCAUUAUCAUAAUUACUAUAACUGACGUUAGGACUUUGCAAAAGAAAACUAUUGAUCUUCCAAAUCAAACCCCAAAUAAUUUUUCAGAAGCUAUAAUUAUAAUAACUUCAUACUGGAAAGGUUGCACACCAAUUUAAGCCAAUGAGGAGUAAGUAAGGUAUAUGUUCAUUUGAACUUACGCAACAACUUUGCAAAAGAAAAAACUUUCUCUACCAAAUCAAAACCCAAUUUCUUUUUGUGUCCCUACUACGUUUUUUUGAAAAAGAAGGAAAUUUGACGAAUUGUGAAGAAGAAGAAACAACAGUGUAUUUCAGAAUACUAAAAGAUUUUUCUAUUUGCCAGUAUUUGGUGUGUUGAUCAAUCAGUCAAAGCAUAGGUUAAAUAAGCAAGAUCAUAAAUAAAAAAAAACACAGAAAUCCGUAAAUAUAAACUAACAAUAAAACUUUGCUUUAGCUGCCGUUGUUGUGUGCAACGAAUAAGAAUCAAAGGUUACACAAUCUGAAUAUCUAACAACAUAUAUUCAACGAAUAAGAUUCAAAGGUUACACAAUCUGAAUAUCCAACAACAUAUAUUCAACAACAUAUCUGAGAAAGCAAUUACAAAAUAGGAAGGGAAAAGACUCUAUGCUGCACAGAAUGAUUAGAAAUCAUAAUAAUUAUAAUUAUAACGUGACAACUUUGCAAAAGAAAAUACUCUUGAUCAACGAAAUCAUACCCCAAAUAACUUUUCAGAAGCCUUAAUCAUAAUAAAUUCGUACUGGAAAGAUUGCACAUUCAAUUCAGUCCAAUAAUUCACUACCACAAAUUAUUAAUACUACGACACAAUACAUCGGUUAUAAUAACACCAUCGUUAAAAAAAACAUGGGGAAAGUAGAAAAUCAUGGUGUUUUUCCCUGUGAACCGUCGCUAUAGGUGUACAUAGAGUAAAAGACAAUGACGAUUCUCCUGUGAACCGUCGUUAAUUAUGUGUUUUAGGAAAAAACUGCAACAGUUUCCCUAUGAACCGUCGUUAUUUUCGUGGUUUUUAUUUGCACCCACUCUUUCACAUAUUUCUUCAUUCUUCAUUGUCGCGCUACCUACUUCCUUCUUCAUCUUCACACUUUUCUUCACUCUUCACUGCCAAGACAAAGCUCCCCCGCCCGCACCAUCAGCUCUCCACACCUGACCCGUCGCCACGACCCUGUUAGUCCCUUGCGGUCGACAACCUCCAUUGCGCGUUGGAGCCUCGUGACCUUGCUUGUGCCACUACACCGAUGUCAGCGCCUUCCGUGCGCCACUGAAGUGCUGCUAGCUUCCUUUUCGCGUUACUACACCCCGACAAGUUCCCUCCGUGCGCCCUAAGUGCUACACUUGCACCUCACCGCCAGGGUUCUUCUUCCAUUUUUUUGCGCUCCACUUUCAGGUUACUGUGUUUUUGUUUAUUAUUUAAUAAUAUAUUAAAUUUGACUACGUAUAUAUUGAUCGUGUGUAUUCUAUGUUUGGGGUGUUCGACCUUCAACAAUUUUGAUUUAGUUUUUAAUGAUUAGAUAUUGGUUUUACACAUUGAACGCCCUGAUUCUGAUUCCGGAAGUGUCCGACCUUCGACAAUUUUGAUUUAGUUUUUAAAGAUUAGAUAUUGUUCUUACAUAUUGAAUGCAUUGAUUCUAAGUUCGGAGGCCUGGGCUUGGACAACUCGACAUCGGCCCAGGCCUGGAUGACUCGACAUCAGCUCGGGCCCAGACGACUCGACAUCAGCUCGGGCCCUGUUGACUCGACUCCAACCCUGGCCAGCUCAGCUCGAUAUAGACCUGGGAUUGCUCGGCUCGACAUCGGCCCGGGCUCGGACGACUUGACAUCAGCCCGGGCCUAGACGACUCGACAUGAACCCGGGCCCGCUCGACUCGACAUCCCGCUCGACUCGACAUCGGCCCGAGCUCGCUCGGCUCGACAUUGACCCCGGUCCGCUCACCUCGACAUUGACCCCGGUCCGCUCACCUCGACAUCGGCCCGCGCCUGCUCGACUCGAUAUCCACCCGAGUACACUCAACUCAAUAUCGGCCUUGGCUCGCGAGGCUGGAAAUCGGCCCGGACCUGCUCGGCUCGACAUCGGCCUGGCCUGUUCGGCUCGACAUCGGCCUGGCCUGUUCGGCUCGACAUCGGCCUGGCCUGUUCGGCUCGACAUCGGCCUGACCUGUUCGGCUCGACAUUAGCCCUAGCCCGGUCAUCUGGAUAUCGGCCCGGGCCUGCUCGACUCGAGCCGAAAGCCUUAGCUCGACUAGACAAUGGCCUGGGCCAACUUGGCUCGACAUCGGCCCCGACCGACUUGAGUCGACUCAAUAUUGGCCACUCAACUCGACUUGGCCCAGGGUUGACUCGGCUCGACUUUGGCCCAGAAUGACUUGGCUCGACUUUGGCCCAUACCGACUCAAUUCGACUUGGGCCCGAACGACUCGGCUCAACGUGGACUUGUGCUGACUUUGCUCAAUCUGGACUCGAAUUGUCUUGGCUCAACCUGUAUCGUGUUAAAUCAAAAUCCAACCCAAAAUGCAAUUUGGAUAAUCCAAAAAUGUAUCCAAUAUAUAUCUUAUCCAUAUCCAAUUAAAUGGAUUAGAUUUAAAAUUCAAAAAUAUGGAUUUGGAUUUGAGAUAAAUCCAUUUAAAUGGAUUAAAACUAAUAUGGAUUUGGAUAAUUAAGGAUUGGAUUUUGUAAUUUGAAUUUUUUUCCCACCAGUAUUUACGAGAGUGUCGAUCUCACGAAGUUUGCUGAGUUGCUGCGGAUUUUAUUACUCAUGUUCAUGUUCUUGUUUCGGUAAGUUUAAAGAGUUGUUGAGCUGCUAAGGUCCUAUUGUGGUUUAGGUAAGGCUUGUUGUUUGUGUUAAUGCUUAUUGUUGCUAUUUAAUUUUUUUGAUUGAUUCUCACUGGACCCAGUGUUCAAGGAAUAAACACAGGCAAUUUUGGUUGUUCUAAAGUUGGUCAAAGUAAGAAUUUGGAUGUUAUUAUUGUGCGCUAUUUUUCUGUACGUGUUACACCAUUUCUUGAAUUCUUUUCUUUCAUUUUAAAUCCACUGUCCUUCUACUGAUGUUCCCUAAACAACACAUUCAGGUUCAGGUUAAUUAGGGACUUUGAGAGUACUUGCACCUAGCUUGCUGUCGUCUCCAAAUAGCACUAUCUUUUAAUUACUUUCACAUUCCACUAUAUUUGAAUUGGUGAUUUCCCCACAAUUAAUACUCGUUGGAAUUAAAUAGUAAUAAUUUGGGCGCCCUAGCCCGCACUGAUGUGUGACCUUUCUGACUUUGUUUUACAAUGCAGCUUGUACCCUGUAGAACUGCUUCACUCUGUUGCUGCUUACCCUUGUCUGCCACAAGAUCAUAGCUCAUGUAUUCAGUAAAAUUAGUGUAGUGCUUGAAUGGUUCCUGUUGCGGGAUUUGAGUAUAUUAUAUCUGACUUCUUUCUUCUUUUAAUAUGUAGAUAAAUUAACCAAAUGUUAUAUCUAUGCAACCACAUUUUACUGCAUUAUAUCUUGUUUUUAGUUAUUGAUAGUUUUUACAUUUUUGUAUUGAGAGAAUAACUUAUAUUUCUAAAUAAAUACAAGUGGGUGAAAAAAUGAAGGGGUGUAUAUUUUAAGAAAUAUAGCAAUGUAUGUUGACUUUUGAAGAAUUUUAGUAGUAACCAUAGAAAAGAAGUUGAUUGCAGAAGAAGAGAAGGACAAAAUUGGUGGAUAUUUUGGUUGAAUUUUUAAUGGUGGUAAUAAAAUCCAUGUCAUAACUUUGAGAAAAUCAUUUUCCAGUGAAUAAAUGAUGAUGUCACUUUAUGAAAGAUGCACAAAAUAAAUCACCAAAUUAAUUAAAAAAAUUAAUGAAAAAAGGUUUAGUCAGAGCUAUUGUUAUUGUAGUGUUAUUAGUGUUGAAUACUUUUAACUAUAUUUUUCAUAUUAAUUUAGGCCCAAAAUUUGUAGAAAAAAGUUCAUAAAAAAAAUCAACAAAUUAUUUUUUAUGUGUCGGUCAAAUCCAUUAAAAUAUAUUUAUUUCUUUUGUGUAGACUAAAUACAUAUAUACAAAAAAAAUUAAUAUUUUGAUAAUAAAUUGUGUAGGUUUCAUGUAGGCUAGGUCGACUUUACUUGCGUCUUGUGUGGAUUUAAUGUAGGCUAGGCUGACUCUACUUGUGUCUUGUAUGGACAACAUGUAGGCUGAUAUGUUGACUAAAUCUUUGCAUCCUCGAUUAUUUCGUGACGACUUAUUCAAGUUAAACAUGAAAGAUAUACAUGUUUCAGCUUGUGGAACACUAUUAGAUGAUAAAAAUGAUUUCAUAUAAUAUUUUAGAUUUUCAGUUGUAAUUUGUAACUGUUUUAUCAAUAUAAGUUAUUUUUUAUUUUUUUUAUUUAAAUCCUUUUAUGUGCUAUAUAAAUAUAACAUUCAAUGAGUAACAAUUCUUGAUUAAUAAAAUAUAUAUUUUUUUUAUUUUUUUUUUCCUUUUUCUUCUUUUCUCUAAAUGAGAUAUAUAAAACUAAUAAUAACAUUGUUAUGUAGAUAUAAAUAAGAUUCCUAUACUACUCUAAGGUCAGGGUGGUAAAAGCCUACUCAAUACCAAUGACAAUGAUGCAACACGUUAAAAAAACUUUCAAAAUCAGGUAAAACAAGAAAUUGAAGAGGUUAGUAAAAUAACUCCAGCAACUUCCUUUUAACUAUGUCGAGUGUUACCUAUGUGAAUGCAACCGAAGACAUUAUUUACAUGCCCAUGGCUUCCGCCAAUCCUUAACAAAUUUAAAUUGACAUGUAUCCGGCUACCAGCCUAUAAGUUGUUAAGUGUAGUAAUUUUGUUGGAGAUACUGUAAAAUCAUGGUAAUGUAUGCUAUCGUUGCCCUAUAUUGUAAACAUAUUUUGCAAUUUGUGGUGGUUCUCUUGCAUAAACUACCUUGAACGGGGUCAAGUCGAUGUUAGUAUGAUAUAAUGUAUUGUACCAAAACUCUGCCCACGACCAAUUUUGAGGAGAGUCAUAUUAAAUACAUUUCCAAGCAUCUAUUCAAAAGCCUCUAACUGCCUAUCCGAUUGCGGAUAAUAUACAUUACUCAUACUCAAAGUGGUGUCACUCAACUUGAAAAGAUGUUGCCAAAAUUGGCUUGUAAAAACCUUAUCUACAAUUGUCAUUGGAAAAUUUUACCACGAUUGUCAAAAAAACUUAGCCAGUAACUUACUUAUAUAAGAAGUUUUUCAAUUAUAUGUUUGUUUCCAGUAUAUUUUUAGUAUGUUAAAUUGUUUCAAUAAGCAUAUUAAAGCUCAAGAAUUAAAAAAUCAGAUCAUAAUUUUCCUUUUUGAGAGUUCAAUGCAACAAAGAUGAAGAUAUACUUUAAGCCUAUAAAAAGAGAACGAAAACACGUUGAAGAUACAACAAACAUAUGAUAAGCGUCAUGAGUUAGUGAUAUUUCAUGCAAAAAGUUAGACAUUAGUUUGACAUUUCUUGAUUUUAAUUGUUGAUUAAGAUAUGAUUCAUACUUAAUUUGAAAAAUUAGAAUUUAAUAUAUAUUUUGGAGUUAUAAGAUUAAUAGAAAUGACUUAUUCCCAAUUUUGUGUUAUUUUCAAGAAUUUAAGGAGAGAUGAAGCAAAGGGAUAAAUUAUGAAUAGAGAUGUCACUUAGCCUAAUCUCAAUUAGGUUAAACAAGGAUGUGAGGUAGAAAGAGGGGAGAGGGAGACACAAUAAGAAAAUCAAGAAAUAGAAACCAAUUUUUAGAUACCAAAAUAAUUAGUUGCCAUAGUAACUAAAUUAGAGAUCAUUUUAGAAACUAAAAACAAAAAUUGGUUUCUAAAUUAGUUUAUAUUAUUGUUAAAUAGUUUCUAAAUUGGUAUCUAAUUAGCAACCAAGGUUUUUGCUACCAAAUUUAGAAACUAAAUAAUUUGUAGUUAAAACAUUGGUUGCUAAAUAGAUACCAAUUUAAAAACUAUUUAACAAUAAUAUAAACUAAUUUAGAAACCAUUUUUUUUUUAGUUUCUAAAAUGAUCUCUAAUUUAGUUACUAUGACAACUGAUUAUUUUGGUCUCUAAAAAUUGGUUUCUAUUUCAUGAUUUUCUUGUAGUGAGGGAGGAACCCUAGAAAGAAGUCAUCCAAGGAGAAACAUUUUGGAUCUCUUUCUUUUGCUUUGGUGCAUGUAAUGGCCACCAUGAGUGACUAAUUCCUUUCUUUUGGGAUUGAUUGUAAUCUUUUCAAACAUUGAUGAAUCUUGGUAGUGUUGAUAUAUGAUAUUUUCUUCUUCUUUUGAUAUUGGUAUUGUAAUUUUAUUCUUAAAGCUUGAAGUUUUAUUCAUGAACUUUAUUUUGUAUUUUGUGUUUAAAGCUUGAAUAUUUAUUCAUGAAAUUGAUUCUUGAAUUUAACUGAAAAGUACUUUUAAUAAUCUGACUUAAAUGAGAAUACUUGAUAUGUUUUGAUACUAGACAUAGAUUAGAAUAUAUGAAUUGCUAUAUAACAUCUUUUCUUAAUAAAUUUUUUUUCUAAAUAUUUGAGAAAUUAAUGGCUAUGAGAAAAUCUUAAUAAUUUCAUAAUUGAGAGAUCAAUAUGAAAUACUCUUAUAUGUUGCAUCAACAUCAAUUAAUUCAAAGUAUUGUACGAAAGAUUAACUUCAAUCCCAAUUUUAUCAAUUGCUAUUUUAAUCAUUUACUUUGUUUUCCUCUAAUUUUCAUGCAAAUUUAUUUUUACAAUACCAAUAUUUUCUCAAUUAAACUUUUCACAUCGUUCCAUAUUUAGUGAAUGUUAUACAUUAAAGUCUUAAAAGAACGGUUCCUUGUGGGUUUGAUUUUUGUCUUUUGAAGUCAAAUUAUUACUUCUGACUCAAUACACUUGUGAAACCUGUAAUACAAGCCUGUAAUUCUUCUGAAUCAAUACACUUGUGAAAAUUAUAAGUCAACAACAUACAAGCCUGUAAUUCUUCACUGUGUGAAGCCUUACCUUGUGAGCUUUACUUAUGCUAUUUCUAAGAGUGUUCUUUUGUUAUCUUGAGUGGUCUUGUUCUCUGGGUGAGAUAAAGUAGAUAAAAUCAGAAGUGGUUGGUGUACUCAUUUGUAACUUGAAGAAGUUAGUGUACUCAUCGUAAGCAAUUGUUUUGUUCAGUGAAACCUCUAAAGAUGCCUAUUUAAGCGAGAACUGGACAUAGUCCAAUUUUGAAGUUAACCACACUAGUGAAAAAUGUAUAAACAAGUGCGGUUUAUUUCGUGUGGCUUUACGCUCAAACGCUUUCAUAAAAAACAUGGUGGCAUUUUUGUAAUUAAGUUCAUUUACAAGUGCGACUAUUUGUACAACUGCCCUUGUAAAUCAAAACGCUUGAUUUACAAGGGCGGCUAUUUGUAUAGCUGCCCUCGUAAAUAAAAAACGCUUGAUUUACAGGGGUGGCUAUUUGUAUAGCCGCCCUUGUAAAUCAAAACGCUUGAUUUACAAAUGCGGCUUUAAAAAUAACCGCCCUUGUAAAUCAAAACGCUUGAUUUACGAAUGUGGUUUUACAAAUAACCGCUUUCUUAAAACCUUUUUAACCCUAAUCCAGAAACGCGCCACUUACGUUUUGAUACUCUCAUUUCUCUCGCGCUUCGUUUCUCUUAUGUGCCUCCUCCAUUAACUGUGUUCCCUCUUUUCUUCCUCUCUUCUUUGCAUUGUCUUCGUGCCAUCGACAAGCAUUGUCUUCCUCUCUUCUUCUUCACCAUUGAUUUUUGUAUUUUUUGCGUUUCUCUUAUGUUUUGUUUUAUGCCAUUUCUAAGGUGAUGCUUGGGAAGGUUUUUGUUUGCGCUUUCUGUUGUGCCUUCCUCGUCAUUGUUGCCACCUUGCUCCGUCAUAUAUUUGUGUUUCAUUGGAGAAUUUUUAUUUGCGUUUUCUGGACGUCUAUUGGGAUGAAAUACGAAGAUGUGUAAUAUGGAUGCACCAAGAGAUCAAAAGAAAUGAUAAAAUAAUGACCAUGUUCUUCGAAAAAGAUCAAAGUUAAGAACAUUGAUUAGAAACUCAAUCAACAGCGAAACAGAAAAGAAACCCUAAACGUCUCUCGUAAAUGCGAUUUAUAAAUGCGGCUAUGUAAAUAGCCGCAUUUAUAAAUUGAAUUUACCAAUGCGGCUAUAUAUAUAACCGCCUUCUUUUCUCUUCCAUUUACAAAUGUGUGCUCAUCAAAUGUGGUUAUAUAGUCACCCUUAUAAAUGUAAAAUAGCAGCACUCGUUUUGCUUUUUUACACCAGUGCCAGUACAAAUCUUCAUUGUGUUGUUUGUUGUUUGAUCGAUGAUCUAGUCUAGUUUGUUGAAAAGAGUUUACAGGUUUUAUUCAACCCUUUCUAGAGCUAGUUGUUUCAAUAAAAAAGCAAUAUGUGAAUCAGAUCCCCCUGCCUCUCUCCAUAACUAAAUAUUUAUAUAUUGGUCCCUGCGCACUCAUAAUCCUUGUUAAGUAGAGUGAGUGUUUUGAUUCUUCCACUUAUUCCUAUUUUCUAUGCGCAUUUGCGGCCACCUGGCCAUCAGUCAUCACCUCUUCAUAUCCUUUUGUGUUUUCCUCGUUUUCCCUUUCUAUAUUUUUACUGGUUAUAUACAUAUAACCAUACAACAAAGAUUAAUAAACCUAAACGUAUCUUUACUUUCACCUUUAGCAAACCUAUAUUUCAAUGCCAUGCUUUGAAGUUGAUUUUUCACUCUCAAACAGCUAUUGGCUCAAUUUUUCUUCAAAAAAUUUAAGUAAUUUCAUAAAAGGUAGGAAAAGGUUCAAUUACAGGAACUCAAACGGAUGAAACCUCGUAAUACAAUCAUUUUCCAACCUUAAACAAACUCUCCCCGCUUCCUAAUCAUAAACCCUUUCUUAACCUAUAACCUUCCUCUAACAAGCCAUUAAUUUAUAGAUUGUUUCCUUUUCUGCCAACAUAUUGAUUCAUUUUCAAUCCAAAUAAAUAAUGACUACAAACCUAAAUAUAAGUCAGAUUAUAUUUGUUAAAGAUGUUGUUAUACUAAAUAUUGGUCAAAGCAACAGACGUUUAAACAAUGUCUAAUGUUGGCAUUCACAUUUUGAAUCUUCGAAAAGAAUUAUACCAAGAAACAAAGAAAAAAUCCUCAAAAUAAAAGAAAAUGCUUUCUGCACAAAAAAAUUUCAUCUAACUAUCUAUAUGUCUGCAUCAGUCUAAUUUACAGGUCACUCAAGUGAGAGAUGACGGUUAGGAACUCAUCCUCCUUUGUGAGACAAUCCAUUGGAUGGUGAUACCCAAAUUCCUCCAAAGCUAGUUUCAAAAAAUCUUGAAAGGAAGGUUGGUUCAAGUAUGAUACAGGAAUGAGAAAUCUGUUCAUUUUCAGUCCAACAUAGACUCCAAGGUAGCCCUUCGGCACAUCCACAGCUUUUGAAGAUGUUUGGUUUGAAACAAACAAUGUCUUUCUAAUUCCAGGUAAAGGAAAACUCAAUGUCAUCGUUUGUGUUUACACUUGGGAAGGGAAUGUGAGAAAGGCCUGUGUGAAGAAGCUUCAAGUCUUUGAACUUCAAAAUGUUUUAGGAUAUGAACGAUUUUGGUUGUCCUAAAUGCUUGCAUCAACGAACAUAUAUAUAAAAGAAAUUAUUUGUAACAGAUCGUUGGCUACAUGAAUCAAAGAGGUAAGAGAACUGUGACGCAAGAUUCAUGGGAGCAACAGGGAGACAAGGACUUUCUCUACUGCUUGAAAUAUAACAGAUGCAUUCCACAUAAUGAUCUACGAUAUUUCGUUAUCCCUUUCUUUAUAAUUUAUCACCCACAAUAUACAUUCCAGCUGCAAUCCAACAUAAUUUGAGAAAACAUGUUUACAGCAUGUCUAUAAAAUUAUAGAAUACCGAUUAAUGAAUGAACAAUAGUUAGGAUUCAGUUUUGUUACAUGUGGAAACUUUAUGUUGGUCAAUGUUUAAUAAGGUGGGGUUUCACACGUCCAUUCAACUCUAUCCUUAAUAGAGGCAGUGAAGACAACACCAUGUGAUAUCUCAUGCGUAUGCCCUCUAUCCUUUAACACUAUUCUUCUCAGGGAUUUGGAUUUCCUUCCCACACAAUCUUAAAAACUAUAUAUAUAUCCCUUGUCUUAACAAACAACACAUGCAAUUGCAACCCUCAAGUUCAACACUUAGAUUCCUUCCUUCAAGAUUAUAGAUUCGUCUACUUCAUUCAAUCAAGCACAAAAAUGGGUUUCCGAUUACCUGCUAUUCGACGAGCAUCAUUCACAGCUAGCCAAGCAGCUUCAAAAUCUUCAGAAGUCCCAAAGGGCUAUCUUGCAGUGUAUGUUGGAGAGAAACAAAAGCGGUUUAUGAUUCCCAUAUCAUACUUGAACCAACCUUCAUUUCAAGGCUUGUUGAGUCAGGCUGAAGAUGAAUUUGGAUAUGAUCAUCCCAUGGGUGGCCUCACAAUUCCUUGCACCGAAGACGUCUUCCAACGUAUAACUUCUUUCAUCAAUUGACAAUAUAUCUCACUCUUGAAGACUGACAUAGAUUAGUGGAGAAAUUUUGUACAAUAGGCAUCUCCUAGCUUGUAAUCCUUUUUCCCUUUCUCGAGAAAGAGGGAAAUGAAACAGAAUGACAAAUUCAAAUUGUAUAAUUCUUUUGUUUAUAUGCCAUGAAUUCAAUCACUAAAGCAGCUCCUCCGUAUUUUCUGUUUAGUUUCAGUCUGUACUCUUUGCUUAAUGGAUAACAAAUUUCACAAUUUAGGAGACUAACAAUAGGCGUCUUCUCAACAUGUAAACAUCUCCCUUUCUAUGGACAAACCUUUAGAAUCACAAAUUCAUAUUUCGUAUAGCAUAUAUUUACUUGGUUAAUUAACAAUACUAUGUCAAUGAUACAUAUACCGCUAUGCAUCAUUGAACCGAGUAAAAAUUCUUUCGCAGGGAAUUCAAUUGCCACUCUCUCUCUGGAUCUCUUCAUUACUACUUUUCUAUUUAACUUGUAAUGUAUAAAUCUUUAAAUUAUAACUGUGACUCUUUUCCAUUGGAUAAAUUGAUUAAUAACAAGUGCAAAGUGCGAUAUGUGACUUUGAAUGAUCUGCAAAUUUUUCUGAUGGAGAUAUCAAUAGAUUAGAGAAAAGAUUUGUACAUAUGGCUUUUUUUUUUAUUAUAUACUCAUAACACCAUCAUUCCAAAAUUUAACUUGAUACAUAUAUACCAGCGUGAGUCACAAUUUUGAUGCAAAUGAAGAAACGGUUUUGCUCAUGACUCUUGUUCUAUUCGUUUGAUAACUUUAAACCUAUGCUUCUUUCAUUGUAAGAACAUAGUUUCUGAAGGCAUAGGAUUACAAUGAGACAUAGCAUUCAUGAAUGAUAUAAGAGAAAGCUUUCGUAACAGGAGUAGGCCACCUCUAUUAUUCAUAAAAGAAGAAAUUGAUGUAAAGCACAAUUUUAUGUUUUCCUUAUCAGUAUAAAGUCUUGCUUUUUAGCAGAAUUCAACCAUGGUCAUACAAGUGCAGAUUUAAACUUAAAAAGAAACUACGGAGGAGCCGCUUGAGUGGUUGAAUUCAAUUUAAUUAAAAAAAGUUAUAUACAAGGAUUUUUAUCAUCUUUACAAGAAAAGGAGAUGUUUACAAACUCAGAAGAUCCUUAUUGUGCAAAAUGCCUCUACUAAUCUAUGUUAGUCUCCUAAAGAGUGAGAUAUAAGGUCAAUUCAAGCAUGAAGUUAUACGUUGGAAGACAUCUUCGCUGCAAGGAAUUGUGAGACCACCCAUGGGAUGAUCAUAUCCAAACUCUUCCUCAGCUUGACUCAACAACUCCUGAACCGAAGGUUGGUUCAAGUAUGCUACGGGGAUCACAAACCAUUUCAUUUUCUCUCCUACAUAGACUGCAAGAUGGCCCUUUUGUGCAUCCACUGCUUUAGAAGAUGCUUGAUUUGCUUCGAAUAAGGCCUUUCUGAUAACAGGUAAACGAAAACCCAUUGUUGUAUUGAUUUGAGAAGAUAACGGAUAUAGGAGAAGUCUUGAGAACUUUGAAUGGUUUCGGAUGCGAAUGAUUUGUAGUGAUCCUAAAUGCUUGAAUAAGUGAAUAUAUAUACAGAUAAAAGGUUAUGAAAAAACUAUGAAUUGGUUACUUGAAUUAUUGGCGAAGGAGGGAAAUAAAAUAGGACUCAUGGGACCAAAUGAGAGACAUGGCAUGUGGCGUUGUCUUUGAGGGCUUUCUGAAUAAUCAACGUAUCAUGUUAGCAUGUACAUAAUAGAAAUGACCCACCUUUUGGAUCUACGAAAAAGAAGUGUAAUUUGAUCUUAUCGACACUAGCUUACUCAGGGUGGUGGGAGCGAGGAACUUCUUUUAUUCAAAUUUCAUGUUAUGUUUGUUGGAAUUUGAUGUACAUAAAAUGUGGUUCAUAAUGCCUCGUGAUGCGGACAAUUAUUCAACGUUGGUUCUCUUAUGAUCACAGUGGAGCUAUAAGGUAUAGGACAGAGCCAAACCUUAUAUAUAAUGUUCACAGUUGGCCAUGAGAUGACUCAAGAAAACAACAUCACACGGUAUGGCCGCAGAAGUCGUUUUCAGGGAUUAGGACACUGAGUGAGAGAGCAUUGCGAUAAUGAUCGUGAAAUUACUCACCUAUGUUUGUCCAUGCAUUGCCAUAAAGCUAAUUUAAUGGUGGAUAAGCUUUAGACAUACCACAUACUUCCUCAAAUAUUUGAGAUGACAUUUCCAUUCAAAACUACAUAUCUCGGAUGUAUCAUCAAAUAGUAUCACAGUGACAGACAGCAACUACUAAACCUUAAUCAGACAACACCAUGUGCCCUUGUCUUUCAAUUGGUCCAAUUACUCCCAUUGCGUAUCCCUCCUUCAAUAAUUCAUGCAGCCAAUGAUGUCUUAUCUAUUCAUUUCUCUAUAUAUUCAUGGCUAAUUUAUAGGAUCAACGCAGAUCAUUGACAUCCAAGAGCAUUCAAAACUCAAGAGCUUAUUCUCAAGACUUUUCGUAAACCAUUCUCAUCCCAAAUCAACACAAUGGGGUUUCGUUUACAUGGUAUCCGAAAGGCUUUAUUUGCAACAAAUCAAGUAUCUUCAAAACCAGGGGAUGUGCCAAAGGACUAUCUUGCAGUCUAUGUCGGAGAGAAAAUGAAGCGGUUUGUAGUCCCCUUAUCAUACUUGAAUCAACCUUCAUUUCAGGAUUUGUUGAAUGAAACUGUUGAAGAGUUCGGAUAUGAACAUCCCAUUGGUGGCCUCACAAUUCCUUGCAGUGAAGAUGUCUUCCGACGUAUAACGUGUUGCUUCAAUUGACAAAUAGUAGUAUACUUUUGGACACUGACAUAGAUUAAUGAAGACAUUUUUUAACAUAGACGUCUUCUCAACUUGUAGAGAUCUCCCUUUCUUGAGGAAGAGAGGGGAAAGACCAUUCAAAUGACAAAUUCAUAUUUCUUAGAGCAUUUCUUUGUAUGGUUAAACCGCACUCUGUCAAUACUAUAUACACACAAACCUUCCUUCUGUGUCAUUGUAAUGAUUUACAAUUGUUUCAUACAAUUUAUUUUCUCUCUCUCUAACACCUGUGCCUUCCUACUUUUCUCUUUGACUCAUUUAUGGUCCUGAUUCCUUUAGCUUAAAGUCUACUUUGUAUCAGAAUGCAAAAACUGGGACAUCUUCCUAGCCAGUAAUAGUUUGCAGGAUCAUUGACUUCUUAACGCCAUAUCAGAAUCUAUUUUUAAGCCCGUUUAAAUUCACUUCUAAAUAGUUAGUCUAGAAAAUGUGUUCUGGAAGUUUCUAUAUGAUUAUAAGUAUUUGAUGGUAUUUAUAAUCAAUUUUACGUUGAAUAUUAAACCAAUAAUUAUUUGUCAAGUGGCUGUUAUACAGUGUGGGAGUGGUUCAAAGUUAGGAAUUAUAGAAGUUUGGAAAUUUGAUUGUUUCAAGUGCAUGCAUGCAUUCUGCUAAUGCAUAACCGAAUAUCUAUAUUGGGAAUGACUGUCCUCUCUACCAAACAAAGGGACUAUUUACUUGAUAAUUACAAAAUAUUUUAUCCAUACAUCCAUACUGGGAAUAUGUUAUGAUAUUAUUAUUAAUUUAACAUUGUUAUUAUAUAAUAAUUUAACAUUGUAGUGAUUGAAAGUUUUAUAUAAGUAUCUAUAUGAAUAUAAUUAUUAGCUUAAUUAUUUUAAAGUGUAUAUGUUUUUGUAUUUAUGUUCGAUAUAACUUAGAAAGUAAAUAUGUAUUAUAAAUUUGAUUUAGAAGAUUCCAAGUUUUUAUUUGAUUAUGCAUUAGCAAUUUUCCUGCACAGUUGAUAAAUCUUUGAAAGCUCCAUUUUUUAUUGCUCCAAAACUUUUCCAACACGCACAGUCCUCUUGAAAGCUAGUUUGGCAGUAUGGUUGUUGGAAGCAUCUACGCUUGACAAACAAUUUGUCCAUAACAGCACAACAAGAGUCUAAUUUCGUAGGUACGUGCUUUGAGAUUUAAGUAUAAAGCUUAAAACUAAUUUAGAAUUCAACGUUAACAUACCUAUAUAAACACCAGAAACAAUCCUAAAUACCAUAACAAAUCUUUCACACACUUCACUCAGCGGCAAAGUAGUUAUUCCAAUUACUGUCACACUACACAAGCCACCAUGGUUUCAAAAAAUCAAUUCUAUCAUAUUUCAUUGGCGUUGCUUUUCUGCAUGGGAUUCUGGGGUUUUCAAGUCACAUGUCGCACUCUCCAAGAUGAUGUCUCCAUGUAUGAGAGGCAUGAAGAAUGGAUGACUCGUUAUGGCAGUGUGUACAACGACCCUGAGGAAAGGGAAAAGCGUUUCAGGAUAUUAAAAAAAAAUGUGAAUUAUAUUGAAACCUUCAACAAUGCUGCCAAUAAACCUUACCAGCUAGGCACUAAUCAAUUUGCAGACCUCACCAACGAGGAAUUCAUAGCAGGCAGAAACAGGUUCAAGGGGCACAUGUGUUCCUCAAUCCUAAGGACAACCACUUUUAAGUAUGAAAAUGUGACUGCAAUUCCGUCCACAGUAGACUGGAGGCAGAAGGGUGCAGUUACACCCGUGAAGGACCAAGGUCAAUGUGGUAAGAAAAUGCAUCAUUCUUCAUUCACAUUUCCAUGUCAAAUUAUAAACUCAAUGAUUGUCUAACUAUUAAUUUAUCUUGUAGGAUGUUGUUGGGCGUUUUCAGCGGUUGCAGCAACUGAAGGAAUCCAUGCACUGACUUCUGGAAAAUUGAUCUCUUUGUCAGAACAAGAACUUGUUGACUGUGACACAAAAGGUGUGGACCAAGGGUGUGAAGGUGGUUUUAUGGAUGGUAUUUCAAAUUCAUCAUAAAAAAUCAUGGAAUAAACACUGAAGUGAAUUACCCCUAUAAGGGUGUAGAUGGAAAGUGCAAUGCAAAGGCAGAAGCGGUGAAUGGUGCAACCAUUACUGGGUACGAAGAUGUCCCCGUUAACAACGAAAGCGCCCUUGAGAAAGCUGUUAGCAGUCAACCAGUUUCUGUAGCAAUUGAUGCCAGUGGAUCUGACUUUCAGUUUUACAAAAGUGGUGUGUUCAGUGGUUCGUGUGGAACUGAGUUGGAUCACGGUGUGACUGCUGUGGGAUAUGGUGUUAGCGAUGAUGGGAAGAAGUAUUGGUUGGUAAAGAACUCAUGGGGAACAGAAUGGGGUGAAGAAGGCUACAUUAGGAUGCAAAGAGAUGUAGCUGCUGCAGAAGGACUCUGUGGGAUAGCGAUGAUGGCAUCUUAUCCUACUGCAUGAUUAUAACUUGUACACUACUCUUCAUACCUAAACUUGUGUUUAACACUGUAUUCUCUAAUCAAUUAUUCACUAAAAAGGAAAUGAAAUUUAGUCAUGUGAGUAAUGAUUUUAUGGUGAUGCAUAAUUUAUAUAUGCUUUAUAUCUAUUUAUUUAAUUAGUAAUUGUUAACGAACAUCUAACGCGCGCAAUAGUAUAAAAGGUUAGGCUUUCCUCCCUCAUUGUGUUCGGAAACAAUGGCAGAAGAAUUACCAACCACGAUUCCGUGUUGAAUAAACUUUAACAUAAUAAACUUUCAAUGUUAGUUUGUGAGUUUUAAAAUUAGAAGUUGUUCCGUAUUCUUUCAUAAGUCCUUACUGACUUGUGUCGGAGUGCAAACUGCCAUAAAACCUCCUUUGUCUCUACAGGUAAAGCCUCCAACAACCAAGAGAAGUGCAGAUUCAAGGGGAGACAAGCGGAGCCUAAACUAACCAUCAGAGUCAACCGACGACCAUGUCAACCGGCAAGAACAUUUGGCGUCCACCGUAGGGCCCGAUAAAACUAGGACCCAUCCACAUUGGUAAACAAAGCAAUCGAAAGGCAUGAGAAAUACUCGACAAAGCGGUCCCGCUGGAUCUGAAGAAGGCGAUGCCCCCACAACCCAGCAGCUUAUGGAGAUCAUCACAACUCUCCAAGAGACAGUGGCGACAACCAGGGCUGAGCAGGUUCAAAACCAAGACCAGUUUAGGACUGAGUUGGAUGCAUUGCAGGAAGCUAAUGAGGAACCAAGCAGAGCUAAUGAGGAAUUGCACAGGAAUUGGAAGUGCGCCACGGGCGAUCAGUACCCACCUGUCCAAAAUAGGGCCCGCACAAUGCCCUUCUUGUAAAACAAGCAAUCACUCACACUUGAAUUUUCUCUCUAAAGAACACACUCUUCUUUGAAUUUCUCUCUAUUGUAUUUCUUUUUGUGGUGCAUAUUACAACUGAGAGAGCAUCCUAUUUAUAGGCUUUAGGAAGCUCUUCUAGAAAAAUCUUCAUUAUGGCCUUAAAACCCCACUAACAACAUAAUUAAAAUCCCACUCACAACCUUUGACCUUUUACAUAUCCAAACUCUCAUUCUACUCUUUUCUAGUAACUUCUAAUUUUAAAACCCACAAAUUACAUUAAAGUUUAUUCAACAAAACUCCCCCAUAAACUUAAAUGUUUCUACCAUCCAUCAUGCCAAUCAUCUUCUUGAAUUUGUCGAAAAGGACUUUCGGUAGUGGUUUUGUGAAGAUAUCCGCAACUUGAUCCUGACUUGCCACAUGCACCAAUUCCACACUUCCUUUCUUCACAUGAUCACGAAUAAAGUGAAAACGAACGUCAAUGUGUUUGCUUCUUUCAUGGUUCACUGGGUUCUUUGCCAACUCAAUUGCUGAUUUGUUAUCAACUUGAAUCACGGUUGCACCUAGUUGCUUUAGCUCCAUCUUGCUCAACAAGUUUCUAAGCCAUAUCGCAUGACAUACACACCAAGAUGCUGCCACAUAUUUAGCUUCACACGUCGAUAGCGUCACGAUUGGUUGCUUCUUUGAAAGCCAAGAAAAUGCUGUGUUUCCCAUAAAGAAUACAUAUCCCGAUGUACUUUUCCUAUCAUCUAUGUCUCCGCACCAAUCUGUCAGAGUAACCCACCAACUUGUAAUCUUCUGCUUUUGAGUAGAACAAUCCGAGUGAUACAGUACCUUGGAUGUACCGUAGGACUCGCUUCAAAGCCUUCCAAUAUGAGUAAAUCGGUUCCUCCAUGAAUCGACUUAUGAUGCCGACACUUAAUGAAAGAUCCGGUCUCGUGCAUGUGAGAUAACGAAGGCUUCCUACCAAACUCCGGUAUCUACUUGCAUCGAAACGUUCUCCUCCAUCAAACUUUGAGAGUUUCGCACCUGGUUCCAUUGGUAUUGAUACUGGGUUGCAAUUUUCCAUCUUGUACUUCUUCAAAAUCUCUUUUGCAUAUGUCUCCUGUGAUACAAAAAUACCUGUCUUUUCUUGUCUAAACUCCAAACCAAGGAAAAACUUCAUCAAUCCCAAAUCUGUCAUCUCAAAUUCCCGUCUUAUUGUGCCCUUAAAUUCUUCUACCAUCUCAUUAUUGUUACCCAUAAAAAUGAGAUCAUCAACAUAAAGAGCAACAAAUAUCAUGUUACCUCCAUCGUUCUUUGUGUAAAGAGCAUGCUCGUAAGGACAUUGCUUGAACCCGUUCUCCUUGAAGUAUGUAUAGAUACGAGUAUUCCAUGCCCGCGGUGCUUGCUUCAACCCGUAAAAUGCCUUCUUUAAUUUUAGCACCUUCUUCUCCUCUCCGAUUUUCAUGUACCCGGGUGGUUGUUCGAUGUAGACUUCUUCUUCAAGCACACCAUUCAAGAAUGCCGACUUGACAUCCAUUUGAAAUAUCGUCCAUUUAAAUUGAGCCGCUUGGGAAAUGAGCAAUCGAAUUGUCUCCAUUCUUACAACGGGAGCAAACACCUCAUCGUAGUCAAUUCCCUCCUUUUGUUUGUAUCCCUUUGCAAUGAGUCGCGCCUUGUACCUCUCUAUCUCACCUUGAGCAUUCAUCUUUUUCUUGAAUACCCACUUCACACCAAUGGGUUGACUUCCCUCUGGCAAUUCUGUUAGCUCCCAUGUGUUGUUUCAGUCAAUCGCUUUAAUAUCCUCAUCCAUGGCAGUUUGCAACUUCUUGUCUCACACCGCCUCUUCAAAGCUGAUAUUUUCUACAUCUGCCAAAAGACAUACAAGGUGUACCUCAUUUGUCGAAUCAUACAAAUCAUGCAAACUUCGAAUUUUAGGUUGUCGUGGUUCAUCUUCAUCAUCGGUUGUUUCGGAAUUUAUACUUGUCGGUGCAACUAUUGAUGAUUCUCCAACAUCAAUCAUAACCUCUGAAGAAUUGUUCCAAUCCCACUUGCUUGUUUCAUUUAUUCGCACAUCAUGACUCACUAUCACCUUCUUGCUUAUCGGGUUAAAGAGCUUGUAUCCUUUUGUCUUCUCAUCAUACCCAAUAAAAACAUACCUUUUGCUUUUGUCUUCGAGCUUCGUUCUUCGUUGAUCUGGUACGUGUGCAUAAGCCACACUACAAAACACUUUGAAAUGAGAAACUGUUGGCUUUUGUCCGCUCCAUGCCUCUUGUGGUGUUUGAUGAUCUAACUUCACAUGUGGACAUCGAUUUUGCACACAGAUGGCACAUUGCACAACUUUCGCCCAAAAUUCCUUUGGCAUGUUUUUGCUCUUAAGCAUUGAUCGAACCAUGUCGACAAUGGUCCGGUUCUUCCUCUCAGCCACACCAUUUUGUUGAGGAGUGUAUGGUGCAGUUAGAAAUUGCCUUAUGCCUUGCUCCUCGCAAUACUCCAUGAAAGUUGUUGAAGUAUACUCGCCACCUCUAUCAGAUCGUACAACUUUGAUCUGUUUAUCAGUUGCCCUUUCCAUCAUCACCUUGAACUUUUUGAACACCUCAAAUGCCUCGGAUUUUUCCUUCAGAAAAUAAACCCAAGUCUUUCGUGAGAAAUCAUCGAUAAAGGUAAUGAAAUACCUUUUACCGCCGAAGGAUUCUGGAGUAAUUGGUCCACAUAUGUCGGUAUGAAUCAAUUCGAGAGGUUGCUUAGCCCAAUAUUGAGCCUUCUUUGGAAACGAGGUUCUCAUAUGCUUGCUAAGCACACAUUCUUCACAAAAUUUUCCCUCGUAGUCCAUGUUCGGUAGCCCGUGCACCAUAUUCUUCUUCGCUAACUCUUUUAGACCACCAUGAUUGAGGUGACCAAAACGGAGAUGCCACAGUGAUGCCUUAUCUUCUAUGUUGACUUGCAAACAUUUUUCUCGUAUGCUUCUCAAAUUAAGCAUGUACAUCCGAUUUCUUGCCAUCUCGAUUUGAGCAACCAAACGCCCUUGCUUGUUCUUCAAGUGUAGUAGCCGAUCUUUCAAAAAAAUCGAGUAACCUUUCUCCGUGAGUUGCCCCAUACUCAAAAUGUUGGUCUUGAGGUCUGGUACGUAAUAAACAUCUUGGAGUGACCCAAUUAAGCCAUCCUUUUGUAAGUAGCAAACGUACCUCGCCCUUUGACCUCCACCUUUGAUGCAUCUCCAAAUGACGCAUGACCAUCUUCAAUCAUUUGCAUAUCUUUGAAUAGGUACUCAUGACCGCACAUAUGGUUGCUUGCUCCUGAGUCGAGGUACCACAGAGUGUCACUAUUAAUGUUGACUUCAUCUUGAGCCAUCAAGAGAACACCUUCAUUCGUUUCGACUUUCAUGGCUAGGUUGGUUGUUUCUUCUAUCUUUAUAUCAGCUCGACAAUUUUUUGCAAAAUGCCCCACUUUAUGAUGAAAAUGAAGAUGAAAAAGAGGCCAACAUUCAAGAAGAAGAAGACGAAACUCAUGGAGAAGCCCAAACCCACUCCAAUCAAAGAAUCACUAGGAGCAUGGCUAGAUCAUUGGGAAGAUAUUGCUAAAUGAAAUCUCUCUUUGUAAUAUCUCUUGUAUUAAAUUGUAAAUAGGAUAGGAUAGCCUUAGGGAAGUGCCUAAAUAGGAAAACAAAAGAAACUAUGCAUGUAAAGGCACUUUUAGUCACUAGUUACUUAGAAAUGGCUAGGAAGGUCACCAUUUGGCCUAGUUAGGCGCCUUUUGUUCAUAGAAGGAACUUGAAGGAGCCUUUCCUUCCUUCCUUACCUAGAGGGCCGGUCAUCUCUCACCUUAUAAAAGGAGAGCCUUGCCUCAUUGUAAAACAAGUUGAAAUUGAAAGUAAUGAAAUUCUAGUGAAUUUUAGAGAAAGUUGUGAGGCUUGACUCUUCUUCUCUCCUUAGUCUCAUCUUGUGAGCUCUUGGGACUCUCAAGUGGCGGCACCACCCACUCAUCUUGGAGCAAACCACCCUUCAAGUGGCGUGAAGAUCCUCCCUUGGUCUACAACCCCAUAAGUCACUUUUUCCAUCUUCCGUUUUCUUCCAUUUUUGUGUUUCUUGCUUGUGUUUUCUAUUCCAUUCGGUGGAAUCUGUUCUUUGUUGUUUUCCCUUUCAUUUUCUGCACUUUAUUUCUCCUUUAAGCAGUGCAGUUUGGUUGUUUCCUUGCUGUUCUUGGUUCGUCCCAUUUUGGUAAUUACAUGUGAUAAUCUUGUUGUUUUCAAGUUCUUUUCCAUGGGUUAUGUUGUUUAACUUGUUUCAAUCGGUAGUUCUUUGUAUGCUGCGUUAAUUUAUGUUCUUGGCACGGUUCUUGUGUUCCUUGAGCUGUUCUUGAGUAGUUCUUGGGUUUUACUUGCUGUUUUAGAGUUACCCAUUCAUUCUAUAUCCAUAUCAUGUUAUUGGAAUCGCAUCAUGCGGUAUCAUGAGUCUUAGGUUUGUUCUUGUGUGUGUUUGAGUUGUUUUGGCACUUUUAAUUCAAGAACUUUACAUUCUUGUCUUUACCCUUCUGUUUUAUGUUUAUUUUUUGACUAUUUCUUGCUGUUUUCUUGUUCUUAUUACAUUGUGUUUGUGUCAUUUUGAUUUUUGAAUCCUUAUUAGUUUUGUCAAAGUCAUGUUUCUCCAAAAUGUUAUCAAUUCUAUUUAGUCCUUUUGUUGAUAAUUUUGGUUUCUUGAUUUUGUGUUGAGUACAGAUUUAUGUGUUUGUUUUCUUGAUCCUUUGGUGCUUUUUCUUUUUAGUUUUGAGUUCAUACUUGUGUAAUAGACCUAUACAAAUUCUUAAACAUCACUUCUAUUAUGUCUUUUGAAGUUCUUAAUUCUGUUUUUCAUUCCAGUUAGGUUUCCUCUGUUUUCUUGAAAACGUGCUGACUAUUUCGAUUUAUUGAAAUUUCUUUGCUUACUGGAAAUUUCUGAAAUUCUGGAUUUGAGUUCUUCAAAGUGUUAUAAAAAAGUAGAAAAAAGAAGUACAUCAAAAUUCCAUGUACAAAAAAAAUGAUAAAUGAAAUACGUCCAAUGUGUAAUUCUGGCGAAAAAAAUACGGUAAUCUGGCAAUGAUUUUGCAAAAUUUAUCACAAUUAAUUGGCUUACUGUUUUUGUGUAAUUUCAGUGCCAUUGUUGAGAUAAGAUCUUGAACUUUCUGUGGUUUAAAAUUCAUAAUCCAGUUUGCAUUAUACAGUUCCAGAUAAAUCUAUAAAGUCACGCACAGUUUAUAAAAAAAUUCCAGUAGUUCUUUUUUUUUCUUCAUCUAUUCUAGUGCUUUUCUCUAGGUUUCUUUUGUGUGUCAUCCUUUAAUUGAGUACCUUAUUUUUCUUGCUUGUCUUUUUUUCACUAUUCUUUGAGUUUGUCAUAUAUCUUGUAUUCCUUUUUCUAUAGCCUUUCUUGUUUACACCUUUUCUUGCUUGUCUUUUAUUGUUCUUUAAGUUUUGUGGUGGAUGCACUUGGAUAAAGUGGGUGAGUGCUUUGACAUAUUUCACUUGAGAAUCACCAAACCACAAGAUUAACUUGGAAGAGAAUUGAAUUCUUUUUGGAGUGGAUUGAGUGCAAAUUUUGUCACAAAACCGCAAACAUCUUUGCCAUUUUUCACUUGUUUUACUAACUUUGUUUUCUCUUAAUUGUUUGUUCAUUUGUGUACUGUUUUGUUAUUAAAAUGGAGCAUUAUUCAAGUAGUGGUUCAUCCGAGUCUAACUCUGCACCAAAAGCAUACAUUAAAGAUGAAUUGAAGGAUGCCAAAAAGACCAUUGCACAAAAAGAUGAAGCCAUAAGACAAUUAGAAGCAAGGUUGCAAAGGCUUGAAGAAAAUCAUGCCACAUCCAACAAUUCUGCACAUGGAAGGCGCCAUUCACAUAGAAGUCCUUCAAGAGGCGCUUCUAAUCACCUUGGCCAUGAAGAAGAAUCAGAUGGAGGACGAUACCACCAAACUCACCAACACCACCGCCAUCAUCAUAGAGAAAGAAGGCACCAUGAAGAAAGGAGGCACCAUGAAGAAAAACCUUACUUACCCUAUGUAAAAUUACCUACCUUUAGUGGGGAAAGACAUCCUAAUGUGUACUUAGGAUGGGAAGCAAAAUGUGAGCAAAUUUUUGAUGUAUAUAAGGUCAAAGAAGACCAAAGGGUACAUCUAACCACUAUAGAAUUUCUAGACUAUGCUUUACAAUGGUGGCAUAAGACACUCAUGGACAUUGGACUUAGAAGGAGGCCUCACGUGGACUCCUGGGAUGCUUUAAAAAAAUGUAUGCGCGAUAGGUUCGUUCCACCACACUUUAGGAAAGACCUAAUGUUGAAGCUCCAAUGGCUUCACCAAGGCAUGCUAAGUGUGGAUAGUUAUUUCAAGGAAUUAGAGACGCUUAUGCUUAAAAUAAAUUUGGAUGAAAGUGAGGUAGCAAAGAUUGCUAGAUUUAUAAGUGGUCUUAGAAGGGAUAUACAAGAUGUUGUAGAAAUUCAAGAGUAUUCAUCUUUACAAACCUUAGUUCACCUUGCCAUCAAGAUUGAAAAUCAAAUUGCAAGGAAAAUGGCUUUCAAAAAUUCUACUCAUGUUUGUUACUACAACAACUCUUGGAAAAAUAAAAACAAAUCUUUUUCAAAGUUCCCUUCUAAAGAUUCAUCUUCUAAAGCUAUGGAUUCUAAGCCUUCCACUUCUAAUCAUAAAUCACCAACCAAAUCCUCAAGUAAAAAGUGUUUUAAAUGUUUAGGAUAUGCUCACAUAGCGGCUAAUUGUCCUUCUAAAAGAAAUAUGAUGAUAAAUGUUAAUGGGGAAGUGGUGAGUGAACAUGAAUCCGCAAACUCUAGAUCAUCCACACCUCCUAGGACUCCAAGUGAGUAUGAGAGCGAAAGUCCACAUGAAGGUGACUUAUUGAUGAUAAGGCGAAUGCUGGGAACAAUUCCAAAAUCAUUGGAUGAUACCCAAAGAGAAAAUAUUUUUCACACCUGCUGUCUUAUCACCAACAAGUUAUGUUCCUUGAUUAUUGAUGGGGGUAGUUGCACUAAUGUGGCUAGUACAAGAGUUAUGGAGAAGUUAGCCUUACCCACUAUUUCUCAUACCAAGCCUUAUAAAUUGCAAUGGCUUAGUACCGAAGGUGAAAUCAUGGUUAACAAACAAGUCCUCAUUAACUUUGCAAUAGGAAAGUAUAAAGAUGAGGUUUUAUGUGAUCACUACAAAAAACAGUGUACAUUGUGGCGGUUAUUUUCGUAUAUUAUGGCGGUUUCCCAAAUCGCCAUAGAACUGGCUGCCACAAAGUUUAAUGUGGCGGUUUUACCCUACCCGCCGCAACACCCACCACUUUAAACAUAAUGUAAGUAGUGACGGUUUUUAUAUGUAAGUAGUGUCAGUUAUAAUUGUCGCAAUUUACAUUCAUUGAAGAAGAUUCUGGUGUCAUAGUAUACGUAAGUAGUGUCAGUUAUAACUGUCGCAAUUUACAUUCAUUGAAGAAGAUUCUGAUGUCAUAAUAUACGUAAGUAGUGUCAGUUAUAAGUGUCACAAUUACAUUCAUUGAAGAAGAUUCUGACGUCAUAAUAUACGUAAAUAGUGACAUUUUUAACUAACGUAAUUUUAAUUCUGAAUAAAUAAAAUUUAACCACCACUUUUUAAUAAUCUGUUUUAUACAAUUAUAAAAUUUAACCACCACUUUUUCAUAAUAAAAUAAAAUAAUGUAUAAAGUUAUAAUCAUCCAUUCUUUUCAUUGAAAAUAUAAACACACAUAAUAAUGUCCAAAAAUUUAUAUGUAAUUGAAAAUUAAAACACAUAAAAAGUUCAUACAUCCCUAAUCAAGUUUAAAAUUACAACACAUAAUUGUUCAAAAGUUCAUACAUCCCUAAUCAAGUUUAAAAUUAAAACACACAUCCCUAAUCAAUUUUGCUUCCAGCACUUGAUCCUAUUACUUGAUUAGGUGAAUGAGCACCACUUCCAUAAUCUGAUGCCUGAAAUAAAUAAUUUUAAGUUAAUGAAUGUGUAUGUUUAUAAUUAUAAAAUAAAAGACACCAAUAAAUAUUUAAAUAUAUUAAUAUCUCAUUGGUGGAUGCAUGUUACACUUUAUCCUUCACCAUGCAAAUACCAAGUUUUGUAGUUCUGAGGGAAAGCUGUACAUGUUAAGUGUUCUUGAACUACAUCCAUUGUUUCCUUGCUGUUCUUGGUUCGUCCCAUUUUGGUAUCAAAUUACAUGUGAUCAUCUUGUUGUUUUCAAGUUCCUUUCCAUGGGUUAUGUUGUUUAGCUUGUUUCAAUCAAUAGUUCUUUGUAUGCUGCGUUAAUUUCUAUUCUUGGCACGGUUCUUGUGUUCCUUGAACUGUUCUUGAGUAGUUCUUGGGUUUUACUUGCUGUUUUAGAGUUACCCAUUCAUUCUAUAUCCAUAUCAUGUUAUUGGAAUCACAUCACUUUACCACAAUUGUAACAUUUGUCAGAGUUACAAUCCUUCGCAUAGUGACCAUAUUUUUGACAUUUGUAGCACUCGAUGUUGGAAUAAUUCGAUCGGCCGCCUAUUCCUCUACCACGUCCUCUUCCACGCCAAUUUGGUUGGCUCAACUGUUCCUUCUCCUUAUAGUACCCUUCAUGGUUGUUGCCUUUUCCACCACGACUGUUUCCACGACUUCCACGACCACGCCCUCUAUUUUGAGAAUUUUGAUGAUAGAGUACCUUUUCGUCUUUGAUUGACGCCUUGGUUUGAAGUGCUUGCUCGAGUGUUUCCUCCUUCUUCUUCUUCUUUCGUUGCUCGUGUGCCUCGAGAGAACCGGCAAGCUCGUCGACUGUGAGCGUCGUUAGGUCCUUUGACUCUUCUAUUGCGCAAACAAUACUCUCAAAAUUGUCAGUUAAUGUUCUCAAAAUCUUCUCCACAACUCAUGCAUCGGUCAACUUUUCACCAUUUUGGUUAAGUUGAUUCACCACAGUCUGUACACGCGUAAUGUAGUCAGAUACACUUUCCGACUCCAUCAUCUUCAUGCUCUCCAACUCGCCACGAAGAGUUUGUAGACGCACUUGCUUAACUCGGUCGGCUCCUUUCAACACCUUUUUUAAGAUGUCUCACACUUCUUUUGAAGUAGUUGCACUGACAAUCUUCUCAAAGCCCGACUCAUCAACCGCUCGGAACAACAUGUAUAGUGCCGCCUUAUCCCUUGAUCACAUCUCUUUCAACACUUUGGUUUGAGCCACCGUAUAACCCGUGGUAUUUGUUGGUUCUUCGAAACCUUCUUCGACCACAUCCCAUGUAUCUUGAGAACCGAGAAGAGCUUUCAUUUGAAUGCUCCAAUUAUCAUAUGUGAUGUGAUUCCAAUAGCGAUAUAGAGAAAGGUUCUUGACCUUCUUAGGAAUCACCUUGAGUUGGACAUUAUAGAGGCACUUUUCUUAGAGUUGGAUCAUUGUUCUAAGACAAGAACUCACCAAAAACUAGCACCAAAUCCCAAACUCAUUUGGAUGAACCAAUUUUAGUCAAAUUGAACCGAACAAAAGAGUAAGAAAAGCAAAGGAACAAGAUGAAUGGACAGAAUUAUAAAACUGCCGAACCAAAAUACUCAUAAAAACAGCAAGAACACCAAACCAAACAAAAGAACACAAGCUAACAAAAACAAAUGAAAGAGGAGAAAGGAAGGAGAGAAGAAAUGCUCUUGAAGAUGGAAGGAGGAUGGAUGAUCUCGCCACUAGAAGUGUGGAAUGCUCUUAGAUGAGAGUGAUGCCGCCACUUGAGGACUCCAUUGAUCCAUCAAGAUAAGACUAGAGAAGAAGGCUCAAAGCUCUCCAAAGUUCACUCAAAAUUUGAGUAGAGUUUUCUUAGAUUAAUUCCAAUCUGAAUUUUACAAAGGAAGCACCUCUAUUUAUAGCCUAAGGUGCUGAAAAAUAGGUGGGAAAUUUCAAAUAAACUCAAUUGAAAUUCCCACCAAAAACAAGUCACAUGGGAGGUGUGACCUUUUUCUACUAUGACACCUCCCAAAAACUACACCUACACCACUCUCCUAAGUCACAUGGACAAUGUGACUUUAUUUUACAUUUUCACUUACCUUUAUUUAAUAACCACACCUCCUAAAACUAUACAAGAGUAUUUCAAAGCUUGGCCUUGCCCCUCAUGGGAUGGACUUGGGCUCUUUGGGCUUUGGCCUUCUUGGGCUUGGGCUUGGGCUUUGGGCUUGGGCCUCAUCUUUAUUUUAUGUCUUCUUUUAAUCUUGAGAAGACUAGAAGGAAGAACUUCAAAUGUGAGGGUGGAUGUCCUCUUCCUCCAUUAAUAAAAGCCUCCUUUAUUUGAUUCUCAUCAAUAUGUGGUCGCCUUUGUUAACCGUGGUAGCGGUAUUUGACCCAUCACAUUUGCCAUUGGCUCUGAUACCAAAUUGUAAAACAAGCAAUCACUCACACUUGAAUUUUCUCUCUACAUAAAACAUUCUUCUUUGAAUUUCUCUCUAUUGUAUUUCUUUUUGUGGUGCAUAUUACAACUGAGAGAGCAUCCUAUUUAUAGGCUUUAGGAAGCUCUUCUAGAAAAAUCUUCAUUAUGGCCUUAAAACCCCACUAACAACAUAAUUAAAAUCCCACUCACAACUUUUGACCUUUUACAUAUUCCACAAAUUACAUUAAAUUUUAUUCAACACUUCUCACAAGAGAUCUUAGACGCAAUUGUGCCAAAAAACAUGACGACGCCUAAGAUCACUUUCACUGGUGUCGAAGAUCCGGACGUCCACCUUGCAGCCUUUGAGGCCCAAACAAUGAUUCAAGUUGGCACAAAUGUCGCACAUUGCAAACUAUUCACGGGCACACUCUCAGGCACAACACUGAAGUGGUUUAUUGGCCUACCCAACGGCCUUAUAACCACUUUUGACCAGUUCUCCACAUUGUUUAGGGAAUAGUUCAUGGUGAAUCAAGCACCACCCACUGUUCCUUUUGACCUCUUUGGGGUGAUUCAAAACAAAGGGGAAUCUGUGAAGGACUUCCUAAAUCGAUUUGGAGUGUUGGUGGUACAACUCCACACCCACGACGAGGGAUUGAUAGUACAUGCCUUUGUGAAGGGGAUAAGGUCGGGGCCUUUUAGCAAUUCUUUGAUAACAAAUCGACUCAGGACGCUGGUAGAGAUCAAGCGGCGAGCAGUCGCCCACAUCGAAGCUGAAGAAUCGAUGAGCACGAAGCGUGGGAGCAUGGGCGUAGGGCCAACCAAGGCCCAGGAGAACUGUCGUACCCAACCCUUGAGGGUACACGAGACCACAACGGAGAAGAAGCCAGCGCGGAAAAAACCCUAUGAGUCCACUGGGACCCAAUCCAGGGCGAGGUCAAGCACCAACCCGCCUCCCCAGCCUAAAUUGAAAAUGCCCUAUAGGGAGUUACUUGCCAUCCCGGCUAUUGCGAAAAAAUUGAAGUCCCCACCAAAGACCGAUAAGGUCUUGGGACCGAGAAAGAAUACUUGGUGUGAGUUCCAUAAGGCUUAUGGACACGGCGUUGAGCACUGUUUAGCUUUGCGCUACCAGUUCUCAAGACUGUUGAAGGAUGGUUUCAUGCAUGACUAUAUGUAGGGAGACCAAGAGGGGACAACAAAAGAAGCACCGACGGGAGAGCAAAGGCACAAGGUGCCCAUCCACGGUGAAAUCCAUACUAUAUCUGGAGGGUUCUCUGGAGGAGACUCUUAGAAUAUAUGGCCUUAAACAAGAGGGGAGUGAAUUGUUUAAAGGGGGUUUUUCAAAACUUUUUCAGGUUCAAUGAAUAUUUUUGUAUAAAUCCAGAACAAGAAUCAAGUUAGCCAAGAACUCAAACAGUUAAGCAGCAAUACACAAAAAAAACAAUUAGUUGUUUAUAUUAGAUAAACUAUAAAACAGAAUUAAAAGAAGUUCAGAGUAAGAUAGAAUCACACAAAGAACUUAUACUGGUUCACUCUUAAACCAAGAGCUACAUCCAGUCCUCAGAAUACCACUGGGUAAUCCACUAAGCAAUCAAACCAGAUUACAAACACAAACCACCAAAGUAGUGACCUUGAACCCUACAAGAAACACACUACCUUUGGCAAACCACACCAAGAGUAUUGAUCUUGAACACCUCAAGAACACACAAUACUCAUUGGCAACACAACACCAGAAAUACAGUAGGUUUAGAAAGGAUUACACCUGAUCAUAGUACAAUCUGAAUUGAAUACAAUUGCAAUCCUAUUCCACUCUCUCUUGAAAAUCCAAAGCUUGAUGUGAAUCUUGAAAAUCAUAGAAUCAAAUCUAUCAAACUUAAUUUCUCAAAGUUGUUUCUUAUUUGUUUGAAAAAUAAAAAAACCAUUUAUAUUUUCCAAAGAUUGGUCAAAGCAUUUAGUGAAGGAGCGUAUUCAGUUAGAAAACAAUUAAAACAGAUUCACCAUUCAGAACAAAAUUCUGAUAGGAUUUUCAAAGAAACAAUCGGUUGAAAUCACGAAACAACUGAUUGUUUUGGCUUGACAGUUAAGUCAACCAAACCAAAACAGUUUUCAACCUUUUUCAAAACUCCUAAGAGCAAAACAACCGGUUGAUUCGAGAAAACAACAGGUUGUUAUUCACUUAGUUGGAAAAACACUUGAUUUCAAAAAGGUUUUAAAUCACAUCAUUUUUAGAUUCAACAAAGGAGUGAAUCACACUCUAUUCUACCCAUAUCCCACCCAAACACAGCAGCAACAGUAGCCUUUCAUCAAACAUCUUGGAUUUGGAUUCUUCAAAGCACUUGAUCACACAUGAUCAAUAAUCUCCCCCUAUUUGAUGAAGACAAAUCCCUAGUUGUUUGUGUUGAUCUUGAUUGAAUCUGAAAAAACACCUGCAAAACAAAAAACUAUGCAAUGCAAAGCAUCUCUCAUAGCAGAUUAUAAUGGCACAUAAACUAGUUUUCUACACAAUCAUAACAGUAGAAAAACCAGCCAAAAACCUCAGCUGAAACUGUACCGUCCCGUACCCAAGCGUUGACAAAGUCAAGGUCAAGGUCAACGUAAAGGUCAAAGUCAACGUAAGGUGUCGCCUAGGUGGAGGUGACGCCAAAUACAGACCUCACCAAGAGAAAGCGUCGCCAAGGUAAGGCCUUGCCUAGCAGGACGUCGCCAGGAUAGGGCGCCGCCCAACUGGGUGUCGCCAAGAUGGAAUGGCUCAAGGGCAAGGUGACCACAACGCUGCUCCCCGAUACCCGUGGGUAGGAAAGACCAUGGAGGGGGCGACGCCGGGGGAAGGCCCCAAACCUGGAUAACCAGGGAACAGUAAUAAAGAGAAGAGAAAGGUGGCUUCAAGGCCAUAGAAAUAGCGCCAGUAUAGAGCAACCUGCCUCGUGAAGUGCACCUGCCGUCCAGAAACGCCCUUGGGAUAGGUAUGACCCAGGAGAGGGGUCACGCCCGGGGGCAGCCAGGCACAGGGCACGAGAGGAAGGUAGAUACGCUCUCACAGUGAGUGACUAGAGGCUUGGGGGCAUGAGUUGGCACCCAAAAAGUCANNNNNNNNNNNNNNNNNNNNNNNNNNNNNNNNNNNNNNNNNNNNNNNNNNNNNNNNNNNNNNNNNNNNNNNNNNNNNNNNNNNNNNNNNNNNNNNNNNNNAGGUAAGAGGACUCACGCGAGGAAACACCCUCAGAUAGGGUAAUGGUGCUGUGAGGCCCUCCACGUGUACAGCAGCCAAGUCAGGAUGGAGACGCCACGUUGCCAGGUGUGAGGUAAUUAAGGUUAUUUAACACAUUUUCCGUUUCGAGCGUUUAAGGUACUGUAAAUGCUCCCGCACGUUUCAAACGUCUUAAAUGUGCUGAACAGUUUUAUAAUUAAAUGCGCUUUGAAUAUGGGAAGAGCUUAAAUAGCGCUUUGAAUGUUGGGAACGGGGUUCGAACUUUUGGCAAAUUUUCCAGAAACACUCUAGUUGCUUGCUCGAGCCUUGAGGUUAGGCACAAGGGACUAGGGAAAGAUUGUUUGCCAGAACGAGAAUAUACACACAAUACACAGUCCAUUUUUAAGACCUUCAGAGUGCCAUACGCGGUGCUCAGAGACGGAGGUGCACAGUUUUGGUGUUUCUCGCUGGCUGACUUGAGCGUCGGAGUGCAAACGACCGCUAGGGCGCCCUCUUGUCCUCUUUUGCAGGGAUCCACAGGUAACCAGUGGGAAGGAGUCCCUAGCUGACGAUUGAGGUCGCGCACGAAGACGUCCCAGUCAACCGGACGGAACAUUUGGCGCCCACCGUGGGGCCGAUAUAAAACAUUGGUCCCAUCGCAAGUUCGAAAAGUCUAUCAAGUCACGAUCGCAUUUGAGGAAACAGAGAAGGAUGGCCACCACUAGACGAGGUACCGCACGCGCUGCGGGAGAAGAAAUGUCCAUGCAGCAGGUCCUGGAGAUAAUGCGGGGGCUGCAGGAUGAUAUGGCGGAUUCGAAGAUAGAGCAAGAGCGCAUGCAGGCGGAUCUUGACGGCUCACAUGUGAGAAACGACGAGCUCCGUCGCGUGAAUGAGGAGUUGCGUCGGAGUCUGAGGAACAAUCAGGUGCAGCGCGAGAACGAAGAGGGGGGGCAUCUCACUCCACCAAGGGAGUUCUCUACUCCCUUCUCGCAGGAGAUCCUGGACGCGCCGAUCCCCAACACCUUCGCAGGACCUAAGGCGAUUUUCACUGGGAUGGAGGACCCUAAGGCGCAUCUCACGGCGUUCCCUUACAAAUGGUGUUAGUGGGCGGUUCUGACGCCGCAAGGUGCAAGCUCUUCAUGAGUACUUUGACAGGAAUGGCCAUGGAUUGGUUUAUCAGCCUUCCUAGCGGCCAUAUCACCUCUUUCUAACAGCUGUCCCAGUUGUUUAGAGAGCAAUACCUGGCGAACAGGACCCCGCCGCCGGUAUCUUACGAUCUGUUUGAUGUGAAGCAAUACCAAGGGGAAAGUUUAAAGGAGUAUAUCAACCGUUUCGGGUCCCAGGUGGUGAAGGUGGGCAUGACGGAGGAGCCCAUGAUUGUGUAUGCCUUUAGGAAAGGCGUAUGUCCUGGCCCUUUUUGCGAAUCUAUUAUUCGCAAUCGACCAAGGACUUUCGCUGAAAUACGGCGUCGGGCGGUGGAGCAUAUCGCCUCUGAAGGAGAGGUGUGCGAGAAGCGCACCAGCGUGGUACCUUCGCGCCCGAGAGCGCAAGCGCGGGCUCAGCCUGUCAGGGUCAAUGAGACCACGACGGGGAGAAAAAAGCCAGAGGGGAGACGCCCCUAUGAGACCAGGAAACCCCAACCCAAGGGUCCAGCAGGAGGGGAUCGCCCAGUCAGAGAGAGGGCGAGACCGGCGAGGUACAACUUUGCGGUGGAGCUGAAGGACCUGAUCGUCGUGCCUAAUAUAGCUGAGAGGCUGAGGCGACCGGCGAAAACUGACAAGGUGUUAGGGCCACGGAAAGACUCCUGGUGCGAGUUCCACGAGGCUUUCGGUCAUCACAUUGACAACUGUCUCUCAUUGGGUUAUCAGCUUGAUGAGCUGGUGAAGAGCGGGUUUCUGAAGGAUUACGUCGCAGAACCCGCCGCGACCGCCGCCCUGCCGGCGCCAACAGAGGAGCAAGCACACGAGAUGCCUGUACUUGGCGAGGUCCACACCAUUGCUGGAGGUUUUUCCGACGGGGGACCCACCGCCUCCCAGCGGAAGAAAUACGCGAGGGGGGUCAAUUCAAUCGAAGAGAGAAUCUCGGGUGAGCCAUGGGAGUCGGACCUCGUGUUCACGAGAGGAGAUCUCCGAGAUGUGGUACCCCACGACAACGACCCCGUUGUCAUCUCAGUCGUCACAGCCGGAAGAAAGGUGCAUAGGGUUCUGGUCGAUCAGGGAAGUUCAGCAGACGUCAUGUUCUUGUCGACAUUCAACAAGCUGUGAUUGUCCCCUGACCUUCUGAGGCCCUACACAGGCUGCCUAUAUGGGUUCGCAGACAACCAAGUGGAAGUCCGAGGCUACUUGGAACUGCGGACGACAUUCACAGAUGGGGAAGCCUCGCGCACCGAAAGCAUACUAUACUUGGUCGUGAACGCUCAUUCCGCCUACAACAUCUUGUUGGGGAGACCGGCGCUGAAUAGGCUCAAUGCGGUAUCCUCCACACGUCAUAUGAAGAUGAAGCUACCAGACCUUAGCGGCAAGGUCAUAGUUAUCAAGUCGGAUCAGGAGGAAGCGCGAAAGUGUUAUGAAAACAGUUUAAAAUCGAAGAAGAGCGUGUUCAUGGUGUUUGAACGACCGCCAAGUGUCGAUGCGACGAUGAUAGAGGCAACGCCCUCCGGGUCAACGCCUGUUGGGGCCACGCCCGAGAGGGCGACGCCCGAGGUAGAUACACUGAUGGAGGAGAGACCUGACGAUACGACGCCCGUGGAAGAGGUGGCGCUCAUCCAGGGAAAUAGCGGGGAUCAACAGGCGGCUAAUGCCGUGGAGAGGGAGAUUGGCGGCAAGACGUUUAAACUAGGGCGUCUGCUGGGCCAAGAAGAACAGGAAGCAGUGGCAGAGGUGAUCUCACGCCAUUUGGACGCCUUUGCGUGGUCUGCCUCGGACAUGCCUGGCAUCGAUCCUGAUUUCUUAUGCCAUCACCUCAGCAUGGACGCCACGGUUCGCCCCGUGCGCCAAAGGAGGAGAAAGUUCAAUGAAGAGAGGCAGCUGGUGGUACGCGAAGAAACGCAGAAGCUGUUGAAGGCUGGCCACAUCAGGGAAAUCCAAUACCCCGAGUGGCUAGCCAAUGUCAUUCUAGUAAAGAAGGCGAAUGGGAAGUGGAGGAUGUGCGUGGACUUCACAGACCUAAACAAGGCGUGCCCAAAGGACUCGUACCCGCUGCCCAGCAUUGACGCGUUAGUAGAUAGCGCCUCCGACAGCAAGGUGCUAAGUUUCCUAGAUGCUUUCUCAGGGUACAACCAGAUUAAAAUGCACCCGAGAGACGAAAGCAAAACCGCAUUCAUGACGGAAACCAGCAGUUAUUGUUACAGGGUGAUGCCUUUCGGUUUGAAAAAUGCGGGCGCCACCUACCAAAGGCUGAUGGACAAGGUCCUAGCACCUAUGUUAGGAAGAAACGUAUACGCCUACGUGGAUGAUAUGGUAGUGGCGUCGAAGGAUAGGGCACAGCAUGUGGCUGACCUGGAGGAAUUAUUCGUCACUAUAUCCAAGUACCGCCUCAAACUAAACCCCGAGAAGUGUGUCUUUGGGGUAGAGGCCGGGAGGGUCCUAGGUUUCAUGCUCACGGAGAGGGGGAUAGAGGCGAAUCCCGACAAAUGCGCAGCGAUCAUCGCCAUGCGAAGCCCGACGUCAGUAAAGGAAGUACAGCAGCUGACGGGGUGGAUGGCGGCGCUCUCGAGGUUCGUUUCUGCCGGAGGAGAGAAGGGGCACCCAUAUUUCCAGUGCCUUAAGAGGAAUAGUCGUUUCGCAUGGACGGAUGAAUGCGAAGUGGCUUUCAUCAAGCUAAAAGAAUACCUGGCGGCGCCACCGGUCCUCUGCAGACCGGUAGAGGGCGUGCCUCUCCGACUGUAUUUCACGGUGACGGAACGAGCUAUCAGCUCUGUGUUAGUCCAAGAACAGGACCAGAUUCAAAGACCUAUCUACUUCGUAAGCAAGGCCCUACAAGGUGCGGAGAUGAGGUACCAGGCAUUGGAGAAGGCAGCGCUGGCGGUGGUGUUUUCCGCCAGGAGGCUUCGUCAUUACUUCCACAGCUUCACGGUGGCAGUGAUGACCAACCUCCCCAUACAGAAGGCACUGCAAAAGCCCGAUGUGGCUGGAAGGAUGGUGCGCUGGGCGGUGGAACUUUCAGAAUUCGACAUCCAGUAUGAGCCCAGAGGAUCCAUUAAAGGGCAGGUAUACGCAGAUUUCGUUGCAGAACUCUCGCCCGGAGGCGAACAGGAGUUGGAGGCAGGCUCGCAGUGGUCGCUCUCAGUGGACGGCUCUUCCAACCAGCAAGGAAGUGGUGCGGGAAUAGUCUUGGAAGGACCAGACGGUGUACUGAUCGAGCAGGCCCUGCGCUUCGCUUUUAAAGCCAGCAAUAAUCAGGCUGAGUAUGAAGCCCUGAUUGCAGGAAUGCUUUUAGCCAAAGAGAUGGGCGCGCGGAACCUCUUAGUGAAGAGUGACUCUCAACUAGUUACAAGGCAAGUGUUGGGUGAGUUUCAAGCGAAAGACCCGCAGAUGGCAGCAUAUUUAAGGUACGUCGAAUCGCUAAGAGGAGCCUUCAGUGCUCUUGAACUGGUGCAUGUCCCAAGGGAGCAGAAUGCCAGAGCUGACCUGCUCGCCAAGCUGGCCAGCUCAGGCAAGGGGGGCAGGCAGAGGACCGUAAUCCAAGAGACGCUUAAGGCUCCGAGGAAAUUCAUAGAGGAUAACAGGGUGGAUGUCCUCCACGUAAGCGCCGCGAGAGGAAGGCCAAGAAGUCAUCGUUCCUUGACUCAGGAUACGUUGAAGGCACCUCACAUUAGUGUAUACACGGACACGCCCGAAGGAGGGAGGCGAGCGCAGAUACAUGUUUUAGCCGAAGGAGACACCUGGAUGACCCCCUUCAGGCGGUACCUGGCGGAUGGGGUUCUCCCAAUGGAGCCUGAAGAAGGUAAGAAGGUUAAGAGAAAUGCGGCAAGGUACACCCUGAUAGACGAAGUGUUGUUCAGACACGGUUUCACUCACCCUAUCUUAACAUGCGUAAGCGGCGACGAGUGUACCAGGAUAAUGACGGAGCUCCACGAAGGCGUUUGUGGGAGCCAUGUAGGCGGAAGGUCCUUAGCUUCUAAGGUGGUGCGCGCAGGGUUUUAUUGGCCAACAGUAAAGGAAGAUUGCGUGUGACACGCCCAGCGUUGUAAGCAAUGCCAAAAACACGCAGACUGGCACAAGGCGCCGCCAGAGGAGCUGCGAUCCAUAUACAGCCCAUGGCCUUUCCAUACCUGGGGGAUCGACAUCCUAGGCCCGUUUCCGUUGGCGAUAAGGCAGAUGAAGUACUUGAUCGUCGCCAUCGAGUACUUCACCAAGUGGAUAGAGGCGGAGCCCGUGGCCCAGAUCACUGCGCACAAAGUCCAGCAUUUUGUGUGGAAGAACAUUGUGUGCCGCUUCGGCAUACCUAGACGCUUGAUAUCCGAUAAUGGGACCCAGUUUGCCAGUCAGCAGUUGAGAAACCUAUGUGCUGAAGUAGGCAUCAAGCAGGUGUUCGCAUCAGUUGAACACCCCCAGACUAAUGGGCAGGUAGAGUCAGCAAACAGAGUUUUGCUGAGAGGGCUAAAGAGAAGGCUGGAAAAGGCCAAAGGAGCAUGGGCGGAGGAGGUGCCAAGGAUCGUGUGGGCAUACCACACCACGCCCCAAUCUUCCACCAUGGAGACGCCUUUCAGCUUGGUGUAUGGGUCGGACGCGAUGAUCCCGGUUGAGAUUCACGAAAGCUCACCACGUUUCCAAAACUUUGUGGUGGAAGAAUCCAACGAAGAAAGGCGGGUGAACCUAGACCUACUGGACGAAGCCAGGGAGGAAGCCAAAAUAAAGGCCGAAGCAGUGAAAAGAAGAGUAUAGCGACAAUACAGCUCUAAGGUAAAGCCGCGACAGUUUCAGAUUGGCGACCUAGUUGUGAGGAAGGCUCAUCCAUACGAGCUGGAGAAUAAGCUAUCUCCCAAGUGGACCGAACCCUUCAGAAUUACCGAGGCUAAGGGCAAUGGUUCGUACAACCUAGAGACCUUGGAGGGGGGUCCCAUCCCACGCAGCUGGAAUGCAGCCAACUUAAAAUUUUAUUUUAGUUGACUUAUGUAAGCAGCCAUGUAACAACUUAGUUGAAGGGGACACUCUUUUUCCCUCUCGGGGGUUUUUUAAUGAGGUCACCCGAAUAAAAGAAAAAAAAACAAGUUUCAGAAAAAGCCGUGCCUUGGUUUUCAGCCUUUACUUUUCUCCGUUUGAAGUAGUGUGAGUCGUCGCCAAGUCAAGGCGUCGCCUAGGUGAAGGCGUCGCCGAGAGAGAAGGCGUCGCCAAGAGAGAAGGUGUCGCCAAGAGAGAAGGUGCCGCCAAGAGAGAAGGCGUCUCCAAGAAGACAGGUGUCGCCUGAGUACAGGCGCCGUUGAGGAACAUGAAGAAGGAAAAGCGCACAAUAUACGAAACGUAUGCAAAGUAAAGCGGCGUUGCAAAAAAUCAAGUAUGCUAUAGAAAAGUUGACGUUACAGGCAAUGUUCGAUACAAAUGGGCGUAAUGCGGUUAGGGCAAAUAUUACAACUCAUGCAAAACACAAACGAGCCACUUCUCAGUGGCCAUCGGAGUCAGCACUGGAGGAAGACGAAGCCCUGAUCCCAGCCCGCAGAGCUCGGGCAAGUCGUGUCCUCCUCUCUUGGUUUAUUUCGAACCUGCACCAAAGGAUAUAAAUGUGUCAGAGACACCAGGAAGCAAGACAUGCACAGAUAGAAAGCAAUAAAAGCCGAAGUUUCUAGGGCAGUGACUCAUACAUAUGUACUUUUCGAGAGUCCCAGCGUUGAACUCCAAGCUGAUCAAGGUGGCGGAGUCAAAACUUCCCGCCUCAGCAAGAAUCCGGCAGGCCACCUGGUCAUUCGGGGCCAGCUUCUUGAAGGGCUUGGUUUUGAGAACCCUCGCCUCUCUCACCCAGUACAGAGGAAAACCAUCCAGAGCGGUGGGAACGAGGUCAGUGCAGCAGAUCUUGAAGAACCGGCCUUUCCACCCGGUAAAUGAGUUUUGGAAGGGGGUGAGGAGAACUCUCCCAGGAACGUUACUGAGAGUUACCCAGAGGUUGUGCCUUUGCCUCUUCACCUCAAAGAAGUGAAGAAAGAGGUCAACCGAGGGAGCACAACCCAGAAACCCGAAGAGGAUGUCAAAGGCUUUGACAAAGGCCCAGCUGUUGGGGUAUAACUGGGCCGGAGCGACAUUGAUCUCCGUCAGCAGUUCCUUCUCGAACCGAGAGAAGGGCAGGCGCACGCCGAUGAUCUUGAAAACCACCUGGUAGAAGUAAAAGAAGGGGACCCCAUCGUUGGCCCGUUCAUCCCCGCAUACUGGCUCCUCUAGAGUGCAGGGGAGCACAGCAAUGUCGUCAUCAUGCCUCCUCGCGAAGGCGCGGUGAUCAUAGGAGCAUGAAUCCCCUUUGUGUUCCCUUAUUGCCCUGGUGGCGAGUAAGCAUGAGCAUUCGUCAAGAAGCUCACUUGAAGCCCAAGGGUACAGGUCCUUGGGAUUGACCCUGGGAGAAGUAGCAUGUGAGGACAUUCUUUAACAAGAUCAGGGAUUGUCGAAGGCGUAUGACCCGCCGGUAACGCAAGAGUCGAGCGAUGGUGGGAGCGAACGCUGGAAGAACCCUUCGCGAAAGGAGAAAGGGUGCAAGAAGAGAAAGUGUAAGUAGGAUACAAAGAGUGCAAAAUGAUGAGAACAAUUUCAGAGUUUGAAGAGUUAAAUAAAGCGGUUAGAGCGCCAAACGACGCAAGUAGAAGUAUUGCAGUUAGAGCAUUAAACGACGUGAAUGGAUGCACCGCACGAUCGAGCCACGUGGCAGAAGAUGAAAGGAUGGCCCUGGCACCGCUGGUUAAACUCAGAAAACGUCGUAUCGACAGAAUACCCAGUGGUACGAUGCGCCGUCGAAAGUGGGUCAGGGGAACAGUAGGAGUCAGGACUCAGUCGAAUGACUGAACGUCCCAUCAGCCAUACAAGAAGCGCCACGUGGAUGGCACCGGCGAAACCUCGAGCUUUUCGCUGUCCUCAGGAGUCGACCAGGGCCAAGGUCACAGUCAAUGCCAAGGUAAAGACGGCGCCUUUGGCGACGCCAGCAUGAGACGCUCGAGGCGUCGCCUAGAAAGACGCAAAGGGUGACGCCAGCGUGAGACGUGCGGGCAAAGUCAAUGCCAAGGUAAAGACGACGCCUUAGGCGACGCCAGCAUGAGACGCCCGAGGAGUCGCCAGGAAAGACGCAAAGGGCGACGCCAGCGUGAGACAGUGCGGGCGUCGCCAACCCAAGUAUCAGUAGCGUCGCCGAUACCCACAGGCAGGAAAGACUGUGGAGGGAGACGAAGUCGAAGAAAGCAGAGCUAGUUAGCGGCGUCGCCUCCCCGAUACCCACAAGUAGGAAAGACUAUGGAGGGAGACGAGAUCGCCAAACGCCAACGAAUCACUGGCAGGGUUGUUCCCCGAUACCUAUGGGAAGGAAAGACCAUGGAGGGAACGACCCCCCCCAGAGCACUCGGCGUUUUAGACACCAGGGGAUGGUACGGCGCUGCUGUAGCAGGCCUCUCCUUAGGCGUGGGCGCCGGGCAUUAAGAAUCAAGGGACGGAUCGCUUGGUGUUGAGACACCCCAUGGACGAUACGGCCCCAUUAGACAAGCCUCUCCAUGGGCGUAGGCAUCGACGCGUAACGAGUAUAGUACAGGCAAAACAACUGAAGCACGUGAAGUCAAAGGACGGAAGUAAAACCACACAUGCGGAAUUCUAUAUCACAAAGACACGAAGGUAAUCAUACAAAAACCCAGAGUUGUAACAAACGCGCAGACAGUUCAAAGAAUCACAAGUUCAACAGAAAGAGUCAAAAACAGAGGUAAAGAGUAAAAGGAAUAAAGCUUGAAAGGUAAAGGUGGCGGGUGAGAGACAGCGGUUCAGUCAUCCAAGUCCAUGGGCACGACCUUCCCGUCGAUGACAUGGUGUGUGGGGUCGCAGUUUGAAAUAUUGAUGCCAGGGUUCUCGCAGGACGCCUGAGUCAGAGCCUCUUGGAAGCCCUCUUCAAACGCGCCCGCCAUCUCCCCAGUCAAUUCUUGGACCUCCCCCUCUAGUUCCGCAACCCUAGAGUCCAUGGAUGUCAACUGCUUCUCCAGAAAUUCCUUCUCCACGCGGAGCUUGUUAGCCUCGGCUUGGAGAAGGCUCAAGGCUUCGACCUUCGCAGCCAAGGCGUCCUCUCUCUCACCUAGUUUCUGCCUCCAAGCAGCAUCCAGUUCUUCAAGUUUUCUCCGCUGCACUUCGGAGGCAAGAGCCGCCUCUUGGAGGCCAAUGCUUUGGAUUUGGUAGGAGGUGAGUUGGGCCAGUUGAUCGGCAUGCGCCUGUUCGAGUUCGCGCGCGUACGUCUCAGCCCCCUCCCUACCCUCGUGGGCCAGUUUCAGCAAAGAUUGGGAAGUUUCCUCCUUGAGCCCCCAGUUUUGUUUCUCCUCUUUCAACGCUCCCUCCUCUUGUCUCAGUUUGCGGAGAGCCUCCCUCCCCUUGAUAGCGUUUCGAGCCUGGGUGCGCCACUUGAGUGCCACCGCCAGGAAUGCCCCCAUAUAAUAAGGCAUGCCUCCCCCCUUUUGAGGAUCAGUCGGCGACAUUCCUUCGGUGAAACCCUGCGUCAACUCCCUAUGAAUGGGGCGAGGAAUUCGGGGUUUGCGAGAAGUCAAGGCAGGGACUGAUGCAGGAGGGGCGGAGCCCGAGGCCUCAGCGGCGUCACGAUGCGGCAACGGCGAGAGCGGGGGAACCGAGUCAAUCCUUUCUUCUCGUUCCUCGUGGGCUGGUGGAGGUGGAGGUGAUGUGGCACUUGGAGGAUCGUCCCUGAGAGAGCUCCCACCACCGGGAGACGCGGCUGAUGAGGCAGGAAGGCCCGUAGCCCUCCUCUUAUGGGAAACCAGGGUAGUGCCCGAGUCUUCCCUGUCAGAGUCUACUACCAGCACCCUUUUUCCUUUGUUGGGGCGUGCUGGGGCAGGGGUCGACGCCAUGGCUAAUGGAACCGUGGCGAUGGGAGAAGGAGAAGCCGAUGGUGGAGGAGUCGGCAGGGAAGCGACGGUGGGCACGUCAGAGGCGACGGCGUCUCCACCCUCUUUGGCAGAUUUUGCCUUCUUCAAAAAUUUGGCAAGAGCGAGUCGCCUCGAAGAAGUCAUCACUGAACCUGCAGCAGCGAAGAAUAGCAGAGCAAAGAUUAAUUCCGAUAAAACAGAAGGGGAAUUUUAUAGCCAGACACGUGCAGAUAACCACAAGGGUUCAAGCAAGCAAGUGAAUCCGUAUAACCACAACAGCUAAUGCAGUAUUAAUCAAGGGCAGAUACCAAAGUAGGUAGAGAGCCCAUGGGCGUUGAAUUUAUUUGCGAUGAGCUUGGCAGUAUCGAAGACUACCCCAAGCCCCGUCAAGGCUUUGCACACGUCCCGAUCAGCGGAGGCGAGCUGAUCCAAAGCCAGGGCCUUCAUGGUUAUGGGCUUAUCCGUCCAGUAUAGGGGGAAGCCUUCUAGGGUGGUAGGAUCGCGCUUGGUCGCACGUACUUUGAAGAACUUCCCUUUCCAUCCUUUGAACGAAUUUUGGAAGAGCGUGAGGAUGAUGCGCCCGGCGACGCCAGAAAAGCUCAUCCAUAGGCUCUUCCCCUGUUUCUUUACCUCGAAAAAAUGAAGAAAAACGUCCACGGAAGAGGGGACACCCAGAUAUCCGCAGAGAAUCUGAAACCCCCUUACGAAAGCCCAGCUGUUGGGGUGGAGCUGGGCUGGGGCGAUGUUUAUCUCUGUGAGCAGUUCCCUCUCGAAGGAAGUAAGAGGCAGACGCAGGCCCACCCUCUUGAGUACCAUUUGGUAAAGGAAGAAGAAGGGGCUUCCCCCAGUGUCCCUAGAGUCCACACAAACGGGUAUCCCAGGUCUCACCCGGCAUACCAGGACGUGGGAGUCGUGAGUUUAAUGGAAGGCGUUGAAAUUGUAAAGCGCGAGGUCCCCCCUGUGGGCCUUCACGUCCUCAACAGAGUUUAGGGUGGAGCAUUCGUCGAGGAGAUCGUCGAGGGCCCAGUCAUACUCACCUUUAUAGUAAGACUCAGGGAGCGGAGGAGGCGCGGCGGUCUUAGUUUUCGCCAUUGAUGCAAGAGCUGAAGAGCAAAAGAGGAAAGAAAGGGAUCAGAGAAAAAGGGUUUGGAGAAGAAAAGGGGAAAAAUGGAGGAAUCCUAGGAGAACCCUACCCACACGAGAGAAAAGAGGAACGAGGGGAACGAAGAAGCACAAGAACGAUAUUUGAAGAAAUGCAGUAACAUGGACAGUCCCUGGCAGUUCAUGCAGUAAAGGGAAUCAUCAAGGAGAGGAAAAACCGUACCUUUGGGGGUUGAAGGGCGUGGAGAGCGGAAGCACGAAAGGGCAGGGGUCGUGAGAGAAGGGAUUCAAAGAAGAUGAACAGUGAGGAAAGGCAGAGAAAGUGGAUGUAACAGUGGUUCCAAGCGCGGGGUUUGGGUAACUUAAACGUUACACUUGCAACUCAAGGAGCGUUAAUUGGGGACCGUGCGAUGGUGCCGCAUGUCAAAGGAUGGGGCGCUCAAGGGGAGCGCAAGAGGUUCUCAAGGAUGACCGCGUGAUGAGCCACGUGGCACACGAUUAAGCAUGGCCAAAAAAAGCGUUGCUUUCCCCGUUUCAGAGGAUGUCCAAUCAGCCAUUAAGAGCACCCCAAGGGUUCGGAGAGUGUCAUGUUAAUGUUUUCAAGGAUGCUACGUCAUCAAGAAUGACACGUCACCGGGUGCCACGUGGAUGGCGUGGGUUUAGCCUUAGUCUUUUCGCUGAAGACCAGUCAUCAGCUUAAGACUGGGGGGCUUGUGUACCGUCCCGUACCCGGGCGUUGUAACACUGGGUCGAAUACAUUUAAAGGUCAANNNNNNNNNNNNNNNNNNNNNNNNNNNNNNNNNNNNNNNNNNNNNNNNNNNNNNNNNNNNNNNNNNNNNNNNNNNNNNNNNNNNNNNNNNNNNNNNNNNNCGUCGCCUAGGUGGAGGUGACGCCAAAUACAGACCUCGCCAAGAGAAAGCGUCGCCAAGGUAAGGCGUCGCCUAGUAGGACGUCGCCAGGAUAGGGCGCCGCCCAACUGGGUGUCGCCAAGAUGGAAUGGCUCAAGGGCAAGGUGACCACAGCGCUGCUCCCCGAUACCCGUGGGUAGGAAAGACCAUGGAGGGGGCGACGCCGGGGGAAGGCCCCAAACCCUGGAUAACCAGGGAACAAUAAUAAAGAGAAGAGAAAGGUGGCUUCAAGGCCAUAGAAAUAGCGCCAGUAUAGAGCAACCUGCCUCGUGAAGUGCCCCUGCCGUCCAGAAACGCCCUUGGGAUAGGUACGACCCAGGAGAGGAAGGUAGAUACGCUCUCACAGUGAGUGACUAGAGGCUUGGGGGCAUGAGUUGGCACCCAAAAAGUCACCCCUUGCGCAGUUGCACUCCCAGGUAAGAGGACUCACGCGAGGAAACACCCUCAGAUAGGGUAACGGUGCUGUGAGGCCCUCCACGUGUACAGCAGCCAAGUCAGGAUGGAGACGCCACGUUGCCAGGUGUGAGGUAAUUAAGGUUAUUUAACACAUUUUCCGUUUCGAGCGUUUAAGGUACUGUAAAUGCUCCCGCACGUUUCAAACGUCUUAAAUAUGCUUAACAGUUUUAUAAUUAAAAGCGCUUUAAGGCGCUUUGAAUAUGGGAAGAGCUUAAAUAGCGCUUUGAAUGUUGGGAACGGGGUUCGAACUUUUGGCAAAUUUUCCAGAAACACUCUAGUUGCUUGCUCGAGCCUUGAGGUUAGGCACAAGGGACUAGGGAAAGAUUGUUUUCCAGAACGAGAAUGUACACACAAUACACAGUCCAUUUUUAAGACCUUCAGAGUGCCAUACGCGGUGCUCAGAGACGGAGGUGCACAGUUUUGGUGUUUCUCGCUGGCUGACUUGAGCGUCGGAGUGCAAACGGCCGCUAGGGCGCCCUCUUGUCCUCUUUUGCAGGGAUCCACAGGUAACCAGUGGGAAGGAGUCCCUAGCUGACGAUUGAGGUCGCGCACGAAGACGUCCCAGUCAACCGGACGGAACAGAAACACACCAAAAUGCAGCAGAAUUUUAAAUCAGAGUUAUAGCAGUUUUAAGACAACACAUAAACCAUAUUCUCCCCCUAUUUGUCUUCACAAAUAGACUUUAGGAAGAGAUGAAAACAGAAUAGUCCAAAUAAAGUAAUACAAAUAAAUAAACUUGGCUUUAAUUUUCUUUCCCAUACUGCAGCUCAAAAAGCUGGUUUUGAACAACUUCAAUAUGUUCAUCAAGGGUCUGAAAACAUGUGUCCAUGCUUUGAAGUCUGUUGUCAAAGUUAUGAAAAUUUGUAACACAAAGAUCAUGAAGAUUUCUUUGAUUUUUAGCAAAGCUGUCUAACCUAUUGACCAUGAAUCUCUCAAUGGAAGACAUUGAGGGAAUCCUAUUUCCUUGAUGUUCAACAGCUUCUUGAUCUUCUUCAUCAUGUUCAGCAUGAACUCCACUUGAGGAACCACCAUGUUUACCAUCCUUACUUACCCAUCUUCCAUUAAUCUUGGUAAAACACAUCUUGCUUAGUGAACCAUUGUUCACUUCAUGUGUUAAUUUCACCAACUCAGAUGUUUCAUCCUCAAGAUUCACUUCAAAAUAGUUUAAGAAUUUAGAAAUCAACAUAACAUAAGGAUAAUGAUAGUCACUUAACCUCAUAGAUUUUUGCAUGUGUUCCUUGAUGAUAUGGAUCCAAUUGAUCUUGACUUUGCUCAUUAUGCAGUAUAUGUAGACAAGAUUUUCCUCAGUGAGAACAAAAUGGUUGAUCCCUCUUGGUGUUAGAAUCCAAGUGACAAUGAGAGCCAACAAUCUUUCAUUCAAUUUCAACCCUCCAACAAAACAAGUUCUUACUUGUGCGUGAGGAUUCUUCAAACAGCUUUUGUAAUAUUGAAUUUUGUUGAAAUCUUCCACCACACCAAUAUUCCCUUUAUUGAUUCUUAAACCAACAUACUUUAGGUCAGUCAAAGCAACCCACACCUCAUGAGUGAUCUCCAUAUCCACACCAUUGACAUGAGAAACAAGAUUGUUACCUUCAAACUUUAAAUUGGUGUAGAAAACCCGAAUAAGAUCCGGAUAGAUGUUUCGUUUCAUCUCUAAGAACCUUUUUAGCAGUUGUUCUUUGAGUAUUUUUCUCACAUCAUCCAGCUUUUGAGUCUUCAACUAGCCAAAAGAGACAACUUUUGGAUUAUUUAUCAUUUUUCUACUAGUUUCAAAGCGAUAUUUCUCAAUCAAUUCAUUGUCUCCUGAAAACCAGCCUUCAAGACGCCCUCAUGAUCUUACAACUCUGGUUUUAAUCCUUUUUGAUAGUGGAGGAGUGGAAUCCAUGAUAACAGAAUGAGAGAAAAGUAAAAUAGAGAAGAAUGCAGCAAGAGAUAUGCCAAUGGGUUGUUUUUGUGUAGAAAAACAGCUGCAGAGGGUUUUAUAGCAAAACAUAAAUCCUCUUUUCCUUUGGUUGCAGUGGGUUCCAGUCUUCAAGAAGAGGAAUCUGGUUAAGCUUGCACAGUAACCACGUCAGCCCAUACCAGAAAAAAAACAUGGUCAGCACAUGUGGAUGACUAGUCAUAAAGGCACUUGAAUUUCCAAAAUAUGGAAUAUAUUCCUUUUAUAACAAGAAGUAACUUUCUCCUGAACCAAAUCAGACCUCAUGUUUGUUUUAUGGACUCAUAGUCCCUUUAAAAAGGAAAUCUUUAAAAGAUAGAAUGCAUAAAGAAAUUAAAUCAAUUUUAUGCAGUGCUGUCAGAGAAGAAACAAUCGGUAGUUUCGAGGAAACAAUCGGUUGUUUUUCUGAAGCAGCAACAAGUUUGAAUUUUAUAAAAUAGAGAAGAAUCAAAAUGUAAUUGUACGAAUAUAACACAUAUAGAUGAAGAUUUUAGCGUGGAUUAAUAACAAAAAAUCAAGGACAAACAAAGUCUUAUCCUUUUGUCAUGGAGUCCCUUCAAUGAGUCAUUUAUUCAUGAUCAAGAAGGCUUCUUUUGGCUUUCAAGAGGACUUAAGCUGGUAUAGAGCCUUUAUUCAGUUCCAGAUAAAAUCCUUUUCUUCUAAAAGGUUGUUCUGAUAACUCAAGAGCCCAUGCUUCUUUUAGUAUCCCUGCAACACAACAAAUUCAAGCGACAAGAUUUGGUUCCCUUACAAAUGUCGGUCCUUUUGAUUCAGCUUUAUCACUGGAAACUUCAGAAACUUUGGGAAUCCAUCUCAUAAUACCUUUAGGAACAUAAUAUUUCCUAAUUUUAAAAAAUCAAACUGAGUGGCCUCUCUUCAUGCAGUAAAAACAUGUAACAACCGGUUGUUUCGAGCUUUCAAUCGGUUGUUUUUCUGGCACAUUGAAAAAGGCUUUGAAAUCCCAUUUUUCUUGUUUUGAGGAUUAAACCCCAAACCAGAUUUUCCAAAAAUACAUAUUUGGGAUGCCAAAACAGUUUCAAAGUUGGAUUUACCCUCCCUUUGAAAGUUUAUUCACAGUUCUUACAAGAUAGUGGACUUUACUCUAAAGAGUUUUACAAUUUUCACAAGCUUUUGAGUUACACAAGGAAGAAGAAUUUUUGCAAUGCAUUUCAAGUUUUUCAAAAUCAGUUUUUGAAUUUUCCAAUUCUUCUUUAAGUGUCUUGAAUCUAUUUUCAAGCUAGUUAUUCAUCCCUUUCAAUCGGUUGUUUAAGAGAGCCAAUCAGUUAGCUUCUUCAUGAGUUUCUUUAAAAGCUUGAAGCAAUUGACUAUAGUUUUCAGUAUUUAAGGAAGCACAAGAACUUACACUGCUCGAGCUGCUUGAAUUAUUAUCUCCUCCAGCCAUCAAACACAUAUUGGCUUUUUCAUCUUCACUUGAUGAGGAGCUUGAUGAAGAGACUUCAUUUUCAUCCCAAGCACUAUAGGCUCUUUUUGAUUUCCCUUUCUUUUCCUUAUUGCUUGACUUCUUUUCCUCGCCUUCUUUAUUUGGGAAAUCAGAUUUUAUAUGCCCAUGUUCUCCACAACCAAAGCAAGUGUAAUUAUUAGAAUUGAAAUCACUAGUUUUCUUGUUUCCAUACCUUUCUUUGUUGGAUUCCUUGUUGCGGUUUCUCUUCAAGAAUUUGCUGAUCUUUUUGGACAGCAAACUAAGAGUUUCUUCCUUACUUUCAUCACUUGAGUCUUGGUUAUUCUUGUGCUUGGCAGAUUUCAAGGCAAUGUUCCUUACAUGCUUGUCUUCACUUUCUUGAACAUUGAGUCUAUUCAUCUCCAACUCAUGUUCUCUAAGAUUUCCAAACAAGGAGGUUGUAGUCAAAGAUGUCAAGUCCUUUGAUUCUGAGGUAGCCAUGACUUUAGGUUUCAAAGAUCUAUCAAGACACUUGAGAAUCUUGAUGUUCAACUCCUCUUUGUCAAAGAGUUUUCCAAGACUCAUUAGAUAAUUGACAAUGUGAGUGAAUCUCUUUUGUACUUCAGCAAUUGAUUCUCCUUUGAGCAUUCUGAACAUCUCAUACUCUUGUAUUAGAGUAUGUUUCCUUGCUCUCUUCACAUCAUUUGUUCCUUCAUGGGUGACCUCUAGAGUAUCCCACAUUUCCUUAGCAGAUGCACAUUGUGAGAUCCUGAAAAAUUCAUCAGAGUUCAAAGCAGAGGUUAGGAUAUUCUUGGCAAUGCAAUCAAACUUUGCCUUUUUUAUUUUCAGCAUCAGUCCAUUGGGACCAUGGUUUUUCAAUAGAAGAUCCAUCCUUUUCAAAUUUAGGAAUAAAAGGGUCAUUUUCAAUUGCAUCCCAAAUUCCUUUAUCAAGAGAUUCAACAAAGAUUUUAAUUUUAACCUUCCAAAACUGAUAAUUCAAACCAAAAAAUAAAGGUGGCCUAUUUAUUGAGGCACCCUCCCCAAAAGGUAGUUUUUCAGCAAUAGAAAAAAGAUUUUAGGAUCAAACUUGAAUAUUUUUCAAGUACCAAGCUUUGAUACCAAUUGUUAGAAUAUAUGGCCUUAAACAAAAGGGGGGUGAAUUGUUUAAAGGGGGGUUUUUGAAAACUUUUUCAGGUUCAAUGAAAUUCUUUGUAUAAAUCCAGAACAGAAAUCAAGUUAGCCAAGAACUCAAACAGUUAAGCAGCAAUACACAGAAAAACAAUCGGUUGUUUCUUCGAAACAAUCCAGUCCCCAGAAUACCACUAGGUAAUCCACUAAGCAAUCAAACCAGAUUACAAAACACAAACCACCAAAGUAGUGACCUUGAACCCUACAAGAAACACACUACUUUUGGCAAACCACACCAAUAGUAUUGAUCUUGAACACAUCAAGAACGCACAAUACUCUUUGGCAACACAACACCAGAAAUACAAUAGGUUUAUAAAGGAUUACACCUGGUCAUAGUACAAUCUGAACUGAAUACAAUUGCAAUCCUAUUCCACUCUCACUUGAAAAUCCAAAGCUUGAUGUGAAUCUUGAAAUCAUAGAAUCAAAUCUAUCAAACUGAAUUUCUCAAAGUUGUUUCUUAUUUGUUUGAAAACAUAAACAAACCAUUUGAAUUUUUCAAAGAUUGAUUAAAGCAUUUAAUGAAGGAGCGUAUUCAGUUAGAAAACAUUUAAAACAUAUUCACCAUUCAAAACAUAAUUCUGUUAGGAUUUUCAAAAUCCAAUCGGUUGAAAUCACGAAACAACCGAUUUUUUUGGCUUGACAGUUAAGUUAACCGAACCAAAACAAUUUUCAACCUUUUUCAAAACUCCUAAGAGCAAAACAACUAGUUGAUUCGACAAAACAACAGGUUGUUUUUCACUUAGUUGGAAAAAGACUUGGUUUCAAAAAGGUUUUGAAUCACAUCAGUUUUAGAUUCAACAAAGGAGUGGAUCACACUUUGUUCUACCCAGAUCCCACCCAAACACAGCAGCAACACCAGCCUUUCAUCAAGCACCUUGGAUUUGGAUUCUUCAAAGCACUUAAUCACACCUGAUCAACAGAGACUGUACCGCUUCCCAACAAAAGAGGUAUGUUAGGGAAGUAAUGGAGGUGGAUGCACAAGGAUUAGAACAACCAACCGAACCUGACCUUUGUUUCACCCAAGCAGACUUGAGGGAUGUUGUCCCACACGACAAUGACCUCGUAGUGAUAUCGCUCGUCACCGCUGGAAGAAGGGGGGGAAUCGGGUUCUUGUAGAUCAGGGAAGCUCGACCGGCAUGCUAUUUUCGUCGACGUUCAAUAAGUUGCAGCUGUCACCAGAUCAGCUGAGGCCUUAUGAUUACUGUUUUUAUGGUUUUGCAGGGGACCAAGUAGAAGUGAGGGGGCACGUAAAACUGAGGACGGCCUUCUCAGACGGCGUCUCAUCUCAGACCAUUAAUAUCAGGUACUUAGUCGUGCACGCUUCUUCAGCUUAUAACAUCCUUCUCGGCAGACUUGCCAUAAAUAAGCUAGGAGCGGUGUCCUCAUCGAGGCACAUGAAGAUGAAGUUACCCUCUCAAGAAGGGGGUGUAAUUGUUAUUAAGUCCGACCAAAAGGCGGCAAGAAAAUGCUACGAGUACAGCCUAAAGACCAAGCGAGGAGUGUGCAUGGUCACCACUCGACCAACGGAGGAGUGACACAUCCUGCGCGUGCAAAUCGCCGAUGAUAAGUGACCUGAGCCGACAAACGAGGUUCAGGAAAGGGAAAUCGGAGGUAAGAAAUUCAAGCUUGGCAAGUCCUUGAGCCAAAAAUUGGAAGAUAAGAUUGCUGAGGUGAUAGUACGACAUUUGGACGCUUUUGCAUGGUCUGCAUCAGAUAUGUCGGGUAUUGACCCAGACUUUCAGUGUCAUCGACUCACGAUGGACCCAAAGGUCAUACCAGUCAUUCAAAAGAGGAGAAAAUUCAAGCUUGGCAAGUCCUUGAGCCAAAAAUUGGAAGAUAAGAUUGCUGAGGUGAUAGUACGACAUUUGGACGCUUUUGCAUGGUCUGCAUCAGAUAUGUCGGGUAUUGACCCAGACUUUCAGUGUCAUCGACUCACGAUGGACCCAAAGGUCAUACCAGUCAUUCAAAAGAGGAGAAAAUUAAACGUAAAGAGACGUCUUGUCAUUAAGCAAGAGACACGGAAGUUAUUGGAUGUUGACCAUAUAAGGGAAAUCCAAUACUCUGAGUGGUUAGGAAACGUGGUUUUGGUAAAGAAGGCUAGCGGAAAAUGGAGAAUGUGCGUGGACUUCACGAAUCUCAACAAAGCUUGCCCUAAAGAUUCGUAUCUACUGUCCAACAUCGACACCUUGGUAGAUAGUGCAUUCGGAUGCCGACUUCUUAGUUUUCUAGAUGCAUUCUCGGGGUACAACAAGAUUCGUAUGCACCCUCGAGAUGAAAGUAAGACUGCUUUCAUGACGGAGCACGCUAGGUAUUGCUAUAAGGUGAUGUCGUUUGGGCUAAAGAAUGUUGAAGCAACAUAUCAGAGGUUGAUGGACAGAAUUCUCACCCCCAUGAUAGGGUGAAAUGUGCAGGCAUAUGUGGACGACAUGGUCGUCACCUCGACAGAACAAGAACAACAUGUGGCAGAUUUGGAAGAGUUAUUUGUCACGAUAGCCAAAUACAACAUGAAAUUAAACCUUGAGAAAUGUGUGUUUGGGGUAGAAGCAGGAAAGUUCUUGGGAUUCCUCCUCACAAAGCGGGGGAUAGAAGCAAAUCCCGAGAAGUGCGCGGCGAUCAUUGCCAUGAGAAGCCCUACCACCGUGAAGGAAGUGUGGUAGUUGACAGGAAGGAUGGUCGCCCUCUCUCGUUUCUUGUCAACCGGGGGAGAUCGGGGGUAUCCUUACUUCCAAUGUUUGAAGAGGAAUAAUCGUUUUAUGUGGACAGCUGAAUGUGAAGUAGCGUUUAUGAAGUUCAAGGAAUACCUGGCCAGCCCACGAAUCCUUUGCAAACCACUACUAGGUAUUCCUCUUCGUCUCUACUUUGGAAUCACAGAUCGAGUGAUCAGCUCGGUCGUAGUAUAAGAGCAGGAGCACCACCAGAGGCCAAUAUAUUUUGUAAGUAAGGUGUUACAGAGGCCAGAGGCGCGGUAUCAGACCAUUGAGAAAGAGACCUUAGCAGUGGUAUUCGCUGCUCGGAGACUCUGUCACUAUUUCCAAAGUUUCACGGUGGUAGGGAUGACCGACCUGCCAAUUCGUAAGAUACUGCAGAAAUCAGUAUGAACCCAGAGGCCCCAUCAUAUCCAGUAUGAACCCAGAGGCCCCAUCAUGGGGUAGGUUUAUGCUGACUUUAUGGCAGAGCUCUCCAAGGGAACUACCCCACCAGACGGUGGAGACUUUCAGUGGAUUCUUUCAGUAGAUGGGUCCUCCAACCAACAGGGUAGCGAAGCUGGUAUUAUCCUGGAAGGGCUGAAUGGGUUGUUGAUCAAGAAAGCCCUUAAAUUUGCUUUCAAGGCUAGUAAUAAACAGGCCGAAUAUGAAGCAUUGGAGGCUGGAAUGUUGCUCGCCAAGGAAAUGGGCGCUCAAAGCCUAUUGGUAAAAAGGGAUUCAUUGUUGGUAACUGAACAAGUUACAGCAGAAUACCAAGCCAAGGACCCCCAGAUGGCUUCAUAUUUAAAAUAUGUCAUGCUGUUGAAAGAAGCUUUCCCCGCGUUCGAGCUGAUACAUGUUCCAAGGGAGCAAAACGCACGAGCAGAUUUACUAGCAAAGCUCGCCAGGUCAGGCAAAGGUGGUCGCUAGAGGUCCGUAAUUCAAGAGACCUUGAAGGCGCCCAGAACUGCUACGAAUGAUACGGGCGAUGAACAAAAGGUGAAUUUGGUCGAUACGAGAGAAAGAAGGCACAAAUUCCUGACUCAGGAGACUUUGAGCGUGCCUAAGAUAAGUGGCUACGGCUUGACCGAAAGGGGGUCGUUGGAUGUUUGCCUCAUUGGCAUAGGUGAGACUUGGAUGGCGCCCUAUAGGCGCUAUCUCGCUGAUGGUGUGCUGCCAGUAGAACCUACGGAGGCCAACAUUGUGAAGAAGAACGCGGGAAGGUACACUUUGAUAAAUGGGGAGUUGUUUAGGCAUGGUUACACCCAUCUUACUCUGACUUGUGUAAGCGGUGAUCAAUGUACACGUAUAAUGGCAGAGCUCCACGAGGGAAUUAGUGGGAGCCACAUCGGAGGGCAAUCUCUCUUUCUAAAAGCUGUUUGAGUAGGGUACUGCUGGCAGACUAUGCGGGAAGAUUGUAUGAAGUAUGCGCAACGGUGCACGCAGUGCCAAAAACACGUUGAUUGGCAUCAUGCACCUUUAGAGGAAUAGCGAUCGGUCAGUAGUCCGUGACCCUUUCACAUGAGGGGCAUUGACAUUCUGGGACCUUUUCCGUUGGCCAUUUGACAAAUGAAGUACUUGGUACUGGCUGUUGAAUACUUCACCAAGUGGAUAGAAGCUGAACCUGUAACAUAGAUCACCGCCCAUAAAGUUCAACACUUUGUAUGGAAGAACAUAGUUUGUCGUUUUGGGAUUCCAAGGUGCUUGGUGUCUGAUAAUGGUACCCAGUUCACAAGCCAGCAGCUCGGCAAGUUGUGCACCGAGCUCGGCAUCAGGCAGGUAUUCACAUCUGUAGAACACCCCCAAACCAAUGGGUAAGUCGAGUCUGCCAACAGGGUUUUGCUCAGAGGUUUAAAAACGAGACUUGAGAAGGAAAAAAGGAGUUGGGUAGAAGAGGUUCCGCGAAUUCUAUGGGCCUACCACACCACUCCUCAAACCACUACAAAGGAGACACCAUUCAGCCUAGUAUAUGGAUCGGAUGCCAUGAUCCCAGUAGAGAUAUAGGAGAGCUCGUCGCGGUUCCAGAAUUUCGUGACAGAGGAAUCCAAUGAAGGGAGAAAAAUGAAUCUCAACCUACUUGAUGAAGUACAAGAGUAGGCGUGCAUUAAAGCCGAAGCUUUAAAAAGAAAGGUGGAGCAAAAGCAAAUGUCUAAGCUCAGACCUCGACAAUUCCAGGUUGCCGACUUGGUCAUGAGGAAAGCUGAACCGUACCAGUUUGAAAACAAGUUAUCUCCCAAAUGGACUGGACCAUUCUGUGUGACAGAAGCACUUAGGAAUGGAGCUUACAAGCUCGAGACUCUAGAGGGGGGUUCUAUACCCCGAACAUGGAAUGAAGCCAGUCUUAAAUUUUAUUGCAGCUAAUGUAUAAUGUCAAUCACGAACAAUUAAGAGGACACUCUUUUACUUUCACGAGGGUUUUUAAACGAGGUCGCCCAAUAAAAAAGAUAUUUGAAAGAAAAAGAUGAUUUGUCAUUGUGUCAUCAUUAGAAACCAGCUCAUCGAAGAUUCGGUGUAGCAUGUACGAAACCAAGCUCACCGAAGAUUCGGUGUAGCGUAUACGAAAGCUCACCGAAGAUUCGGUGUAGCGUAUACGAAACAAGCUUACCAAAGAUUCGGUGUAGCGUAUAUGAAACCAAGCUCACCGAAGAUUCGAUGUAGCAUAAACGAAACAAGCUCACCGAAGAUUCGGUGUAGCAUAUACGAAACAAGAUCACCAAGGAUCCGGUGUAGCGCAUACGAAACUAGGCUCACCAAAGAUUCGAUGAAGCACAUACGAAACCAAGCUCACCAAAGAUUCGGUGUAGCUUAAACGAAAGUAGCUCACCAAAGAUUCGAUGUAGCCCGACUGAAAGCAGCUCACCAAAGAUACCGUUAAGCAUUUGGGACCUCAUCCUGAGCGAAGGCACCCUCAAAUUGCAGCUCGCCAUUGUUUUGGUGUGAGCCUGGGAAAAGACCGGUAAAGUGGAAAUGUCAACUACAACCAUCAGGUACAGGUCGUCCUGAAGAUGACUGCGUACGAUAAUUAUCUUGUUUAAAAUAACUAUUUAUAUCCACUUUUGCCAUGCUAAUUAGAUCUAAUCAUGAUAUCCAUUUUGCUUGGACGUAGAGUCUUUAAACACGUUAAUUGGUGUACCGUCCCGUAUCCGGGGGUUGACUAAGUCACGGUCAAAGUCAACGGCUGGAGAGUCAAAGUCAACGCAAGGCGUCGCCUAGGUGGAGAGACGCCAAGUGCCAGCAUCGCCAAGAGGAAGCGUCGCCAAGGCAAGGCGUCGCCUAGGUGAAGGCGUCGCCCAACCAGGGCGUCGCCAGAUCAAACAGUGCUAAGCAAGGCAAUCACGGUGUGAUUCCCCGAUACCCAUGGGUAGGAAAGACCAUAGAGGGGGCGACGCCGUGGGAAGGCCCCAAACCCUGUAUAACCAGGGAACAGUAAUAAAGAGGAGAGAAAGGUGGCUUCAAGGCCAUAGUAAAAACACCAGUGUAGGGCAGCCUGACUCGUGAAGUACCCUUGCCGCCCCAGAGACGCCUUUGGGACAGAUACGACCCAAGAGGAAGGUCACGCCCAGGGUAGACGGGUGCGGGGUACGAGAGGAGGGCAGAUACGCUCUCAAAGUAAGUGACUAGAUGAUUGGGGGCAUGAGUUGGCACCCAAAAAGUCAACCCUAGCGCAGUAGCACUCCCGAGCAGGAGGACUCACGCGUAGAAACGUCCCCAGCUGGGCAGAAACGCCCCCAGAUGGGGUCACGGCGUCGUGAGGCCCUCCACCUGUACAACAGCCAGGUCAGAAUGGAAACACCCCUUGGUCAGGUGCCAGGUAAUUAAAAUCAUUCAAUACAGUUUCCGUUUCGAGCGUUCAGGCACUAUGAUGGCUCCCAAGCGUUUCAACGUCUUAAAUGCGCUACGUUUUCUAAUUAAACGCUUUAAUGAGUGCGUUACGUUUGUGAUUAAAAGCGCUUUAAGGCGCUUUAAAUGCUUGGGAGGUUUAAAUAGCGCGGGGAAUGUUGAAAACGAGGGGGGGAAACUUUUGGCAAAUUUACCAGAGAACUCUCUAGUUGCUUGCUCGUGCUUCAAGGUUACGUACAAGUGACUGGGGAAUAUUUUUGCCUGAAGGAGACAAUACACAGUUAUUUUUACCACCUUCAGAGUGCCAUACGCGGUGCUCAGAGACGUAGGUGAAUAGUUUUGGUGUUUCUUGCUGGCUGACUUGAGCGUCGGAGUGCAAACGGCCGCUAGGGCGCCUCUUUGUCCUCUUUUUUGCAGGAAUCCACAGAUAACCAGUGGGAAGGAGUCCCUAGCUGACGGUUGAGGUCGCGCACGAAGACGUCCCGGUCAACCGGACGGAACAAUUAGUUAGACCAUGAUAGUCAUAUAUGUUAAAGAGCAUACAUUAUAAGUUAGUCGAGUCAUGUAGGAGGAAAACAUAAUGGCAUAAAUAAACUAUGCACGCAUAUAUACAACACAUGUGCAAUUGUUUUGAAGACCACAAAAGGGGUUUGACUACAAGGAAUUUAAGGUUGCUCCUCAUCCUCAUACACCAAGUGCCCGUCCACCAUGACUUUUCCUAGACCGAGUUGGGAGAAGUCAGUAUCAGGGUAGACACUUACGGCUUGGGCAACAACGUCUUUGAAGCCAGUAGCAUAUGAGUUAGCGACAUCAUCCGUGAGCUCCUCCUUGGUUUUAGCCAUCAACUCAUCCUUUUGACCUAGCUCUGCCUUCUAAGUGGCCAACAACUUGGCCAUUUCUUCUUUCAACGACUCCACCUCAGUACGGAGGUCCUUGUUCCUCGCAUAGACGCCCAAGGCCUCUUGAGAUUUGUUGAAGAGGAGGACCUUGGUCUCUUGGUAGAUUUUCCUUGACUCUUCCAACUCUAGAGUGAGACCCUUUACCUGCUAGGCAAGUCUUUCACACUUAGAAGCUUCACCCUGGGCAGCGCUUUUCAGCUUGGCAAGAAAUAUGCGGCUCGUGGCUAGCGCUUGCCCCAGUUGUCUUGUGGUUUGCUCUAGAAUUUGGUUUUCCUCUAGGGGAUCCAACUUCUCUUUUAUUUUAGGAGGAACAGGGCUUUUUGGAUCGUAAGAACGGGAUCUGCGGAAGGGUCCCACAGUCCUUCCUCCUCAGUAUGUUCCUCCUUGCCCUCUAGGAGUGUAACUUCCCUGAAAGUUGAGGGGUAUGAGACUGGAGAAUGAGAAAGUGAAAGAGCGCGUUGCCUAAAAUUGAGUGAGAAAAGGAGGCUACAUUAUUUCGUCUUCUCUUAAAGAGGAGUCCAGAGCCUGUUUCGUCAUCCUCUGAGGCCGCCACUUCAAUUAUGGCCAUUUUAUUGUGGUCCUCGGCAGGAGACACCUCUGCUGCAGCCUUUUUCUGCCUGACCAAAGUAGCUAAGUUCUUCCUCUUCUACGCAUCCAACAUGUUGUCUGAACAAUAAACCAAGACAAAAUCAGCAGUUAUGCCAAGCUAUACAAAAAAACAGCAAUACCUAAGCACAAUAAGGAAUAAAAAGAUACCAAUAUAAGCUUUGAGUAUUACUGGGGAAAACUCCUCUUGAAUCAGGAAGGCAGUAUCAAAAACCACAUUGAAGUUGGAGAGAUGGAUGCACACCUCACGUUCAGGUGGGGGUAGGUCAUCCAGGAGUCUAGGGCCCUGAAAGAUAGGUUUUUGGGUCCAAUACAAAGGGAACCCGUCCAGAAGGGUUGGGUCCCCCUUUGUUGUGCUUCGGAUUUUGAAGAACAUCUUUUUAAAACUCUUAUAAGACUGCUGGAAGAGAGAUAACAAAGAUCUCCCAGCAACCCCAUUGAAGGACACUCAGAGUGUGCGGCCUGGACGCUUGGCCUCAAAGAAGUACAAAAAGACAUCCACCCCGAAGUGGGAACCAAGUAUGGAGAAGGUUCGCACAAACGCCCAACUAUUUGGGUGAAGCUCGGCAGGGGCAACAUUGAUUUCGGUAAGCAAGGCCUUCUCAAAGGAGAAUAAGGGAAGACAGAGGAGGAUUAUCUGGAAGAGGGUGGAAUAAAAGAAACAAAAGGGGCCCUCGGGGUCUGUGGAUUCAUCACUACAUACGGGUUCACCCUCCCCGCAGGGUACUAUGCGUAUGAGCCUAUCAUGCUCCCUACCAAACAUGGUUCUCUUGGGGUGUUUUUUGUGCUCAGCUUUUCUAUAGUCCACUAUUGUCUUACUAGAAGUAAAACCUGAGGUUUCGGUUAAGAGUUUCUCAAGGGCCCAAGGAUAUUUCGACCGAUAAUCCAUCUAAAACCAGAGCAAGCAAACAAACAAGAAACAUAGAUACAUUCAAAUUCCAACUAUGCAUGCAUUCAGAAAAGAGAACAAGUGUCAACGGUAAUAUCAAUAUCACAAGGUGUGAACGAUCCCAGCGCAGUGAGUAAAAGCAAACUGAAAGCAAUAAAAGCACAUUAUGGGAAUAGGGCAAGAUAAAGUUAAUACCUUUGUGAUGACCAAAAAGAUUUGGGAGACAAGAUUAUGUGGACGACGACAAGGGUGCAGCAAGUUUGAAGAGAAGCGCGAAAAUUGCUAAUGAAACAGUGGAGACGUUUAAGUUUCUAGAACUCUAUUGUAUUAGGGGAGCGUAAGCGGCAAUGUUUUGUGACCGUUGAUGAGAGUCACGUGGAAGCGCACGAUGAAGUGUGUUGAGACAUCAACUCAAGGUACUGUGCACGUGGCGCUACUCAUUUACCGCGUAGGUCAACUCGGGUGAGAAAAUAGCCAAAUCGUCGAAGCAAGUUCAACUCGAGCCUGGGGGCUUGUGUACUAGACCGGAACUCGUAGCGCUUAGAGCUUGCCGGUCAGACUUCGGCAUUUCCCUCAGACAGGUCAGCUCGGCACAUGGGUUUCAUUGGCCUUGUGACUGGGCCCCAAGUAUACGUAUAUAUUGACUCUCAUACAUGCAUAUAGGAUAAUCCUUUGUGAAUUGUUGAGGUAAAGACAUUAAAUAGGCCUAGGGGUAUACUUAUCACGUCCAGGUCUAUGGUAAGUGUGGUAGACCAGAAUGAUGGGCCACGCGCUUGGAAUCAGGUACUUGAGUAAUAACCCACAUUCAUGCAUUCGAUAUAAUUAUUCGCGUAUAAGGCUUGGUUGGCCAGCUAAAGGUGUCAAGGGAUCUAGGGGUGCAUUUAGCGCAUUCAAGUCCCGCAUAGGAAAAGCAUUAUGUGUAAGCCCAAGCCCAAGUGCGUUAGGGUUUAUGGAACGUUAUGCAUGCAUGGUGCAGAGGGUCACAAUUAGUUGAUUGUUGCAUGAUAUAAUCUUAGAGAUAGGAGUGACAUUCGUGAUGACUUGCGGUCUACAUCUUAAAGGUAAAAGAUAAUGUUCCCAGUUAUAUUCCAGUUGAGAUUUUAUUCUCUCUGGAGCCAUUGCAUAUGUUAUACGUAAAAGCAGGAAAAUGUACUUGAAAACAGCUUGGACCCCAAGAGUGGUUGCCUUCGUUGAUGCCCAGGUGGUUAUUCUGUUAGGGUUUGUUGCACUCCAAGAAGAUAGAAUUCUACACAGCUGUGUAGAUAAGAUUACGCACACUAUAACAAAAUUCUUUUUAUUGAAUAUACUCUCACUAGAGAUAGGAUUCUCGGGAGAAAAGGUGGUUAACAGUGGUAACCUAGCGAUACUCUAUAAAAGGGGCUUAAGGUCCCAGGUGAAGGUACGCAAUUCUGAAUACACUUUUUGAAUACUGAAAUUAGUUGUUUCUUAUUCUUUGAUAAGCCCUUACUAACUUGAGCGUCAGAAUGCAAACGGUCCUAAGGGCACCCUUUGUCUCUACAGGUAAAGCCUCCAACAACCAAGAGAAGUGCAGAUUUCAGGGGAGACAGGCGGAGCCUAAACUAGCCAUCAGAGUCAACUGGCAAGAACAACCGCCUUCUUAAAUCAAGUUAAUUUAAAAAAUGCCACUGCGUUUUGAAAGACAGUGUCUCACCGUAAAAACGCAUUAAAUGAUGGGUCACUGUUUUAAACUUUUGUACUAGUGGCAAUAUCAUAGAUACCUUGCACAUAUCUUCUGCCAAGCAGACAUCUUAUCUAAAUAAAUAAUAUAAAAUAUAAUUUUGUGUAGGAUGUAAUCUAGGCCGACUCUACUCGUGUUUUGUGUGGACUUCGUGUAGGCUAGGCCGACUCUACUUAUGUCUUGUAUGGACUCCAUGCAUCCUAGGCCGACACACAAAUUACAUGUUGCGAAGCCUAUGUAACCGUCUAGUCGAUGCUACUUGCGUCCAUACAUAGGUCCACAUUAUUGUUUUGUGUGCACAACAUUAGAUUCCAAAAUCCAUGAAACACUAAGUCUACGAUAACUUCCCUUUUGCAUCCGCUAUUUACACUUAACGUUUCCUUUUGGCCCAUGCUAAUAAGCACAUUUCUUGUAAUGAUAACAUAUGCAUUCCUCCAACCUCAGGAACAUAAUGAUCUAUGAUAUUUCGUUAUCCCUUGCUUUAUAAUUCAUCACCCACAAAAUACAUUCCAGCGGCAAUCCAACAUAAUUUGAGAAACAUGUUUACAGCAAGUCUAUAAAAUUAUAGAAUACCGAUUAAUGAAUGAACAAUCGUAAAAACUAUAUAUACACUAUCCCUUUGUCUUCACAAACAACACAUGCCAUUGCAAACCUCAAGCUUCAACACUUGGAUUCCUUCUUUUAAGAUUUGGGAUUCUUCUACUUCAUUCAAUCAAGCACAACAAUGGGUUUUCGAUUACCUGCUAUUCGACGAGCAUCAUUCACAGCUAGCCAAGCAGCUUCAAAAUCUUCAGAAGUCCCAAAGGGCUAUCUUGCAGUGUAUGUUGGAGAGAAACAAAAGCGGUUUGUGAUUGCCAUAUCAUACUUGAACCAACCUUCAUUUCAAGGCUUGUUGAGUCAGGCUGAAGAUGAAUUUGGAUAUGAUCAUCCCAUGGGUGGCCUCACAAUUCCUUGCACCGACGACGUCUUCCAACGUAUAACUUCUUUCUUAAAUUGACAAUAUAUUUCACUCUUGAAGACUGACAUAGAUUAGUGGAGAAAUUUUGUACAAUAGGCAUCUCCUCAUCUUGUAAAGUUUUUUCCCUUUCUUGAGAAAGUGGGAAAAGAAACAGAAUGACAAAAUCAAAUUGUAUAAUUCUUUUGUUUAUAUGGCAUGAAUUCAAUCACUAAAGCAGCUCCUCCGUAUUUUCUAUUUUAGUUUCAGUCUGCACUUUUUGCUUAAUGGAUAACAAAUUUUCAUUACUACUUUUGUAUUUAGCUUCCUUGUGUCGUGGUUACGAUAAUUUAGUUUGUAUUGUAUGAAUCUUUUAAGUCAUAACCAUGACUCCUUUUUCAUUGGAUAAAUUGAUUAAUAAGAUACACGACCAACAGCAGAAAUCAAUGGUGAAAAAGAUACGUAGAAUUGAAAAUAGCUUAACAGGGUCUAAAUUUUAUAAUUAUGCAGUGGGGUACGAUGCUUGCAUGGCUAUGCCACACAGUCCUUCUUCAGAAUCUACACCCCUUUGCAUCCUAAUGUAGCCUUCUUCACCCCACUCAGUUCCCCAUGAGUUCUUAACCAACCAAUACUCAGUUCCAUCAUCGCUGACACCAUAUCCCACUGCAGUGACACCGUGAUCCAACUCUGUUCCACAUGAACCAGUGAAGACACCACUCUUGUAAAAUUUGAAGUCAGAGCCACUAGCAUCAAUUGCUACAGAAACUGGUUGAUUGGUUACAGCUUUUUGCAGUGCCUUCUCAUUGUUGGCUGGGACAUCCUCGUAGCCUCGAAUGGUAGCUGCAUGACUAGAUGCCGCCUUUGCAUUGCAGGUUCCAUCAACGCCCUUGAAAGGGUAAUUGGCUUCAGUAUUGAGUCCGUUAUUUUGGAUGAUGAAUUUGAAAGCAUCAUCCAUAAGACCACCUUCACAACCUUGGUCCACACCCUUUGUGUCACAAUCAACAAGUUCUUGUUCAGACAAAGAAAUCAAUUUUCCAGUGGUGAGUUGAUGAAUUCCUUCUGCCGAUGCAACAGCAGAAAACGCCCAGCAACAACCUACAAUGCAAAGUAAAUUAAUAGUUACAUAGUAAUGAUUCAAUGUAAUUUGACUUGACUUGGGAAUUGAAUUAUCCAGGACUUACCACAUUGGCCUUGGUCCUUGACCGGUGUCACCGCACCCUUUUGCCUCCAAUCCACUGUGGAUGGUACUGAUGUCACAUUUUCGUACUUAAAAGUGGUUGUCUUUAUGAUUGAGGAACGCAUGUGCCCCUUGAAUCUAUUUCUUGGUGCUAUGAACUCCUCGUUGGUGAGGUCUGCAAAUUGAUUAAUGGCUAGCUUGUAAGGUUUAUUGGCAGCAUUGUUGAAGGCUUCAAUGUAAUUCAUAUUUUGCUUGAAUAUCCUGAAACGCUUUUCCUUUUCUUGAGGGUCCUUGUAGACUCUGGAAUAACGAGCCAUCCAUUCCUCAUGCCUCUCAUAGAUGGAGGCAUCUUGCAGAGUGCGAGAUGUGACUUGUAAAGCCCAGAACGCCAUGCAGAAAAGCAUUGCAAGUGAAAUAUGACACAAAUGAAAUUUGGUAACCAUGAUGGGUACUGUAGUGUGACAAUUAUGGGAACAAAUGCUUGAGGUUGGCUAGUGAAAUGUAUGAAAAAUAUAUUGUGUUGUGGUAUUUAUAGUAAAGAUAACUUUGAAUGGUAAACUAAUUAAUGUGCUUGUUUUCAACUCAAGCUCUAAGAGCACAGUGUACCUCUGAAGAAGUUUUGUAUGUAUCUGGACAAAUUAUUUGUCUAAGAGUGAUAACGUAGAGGCACUGACAUGGCAAACGAUGCCAUAGUAGUUUUCAAAGGAAUGCCUUGCGUGUAUCGGAAAUUUUUGGAAUUAUAAAACUCCAGCUUUGACACUUUUAUUGUUUCAUCUCCAUGCAUAAAGCCACACAUAUAUUUUAAGAAAUAUAGUUAAUAAAUUUAGUUUAAAUGUUUACCAUUUUUUAUUUCAUUAAAUAAUAUAACUGUGAUAAAUAUCCCGACUGUGAAUAUUAUUUUAAGGAUUUACAAUGAUAUAAUUUUUUUCUUAAUAUAAUAAUUUUCUUUUAUAAUAUGUAAUUUCUAUCAUGAAUCAGUUUCGACCUCGGCACCGACCGAUCGAGUUAAAGAACAUAUCAAGAUUCAUAAUAAAUAAUAGAAAUGAUAGUUAUAACGAUACUUAAUGAGUCAUAACAGCUAUCCCGAAAUAUGUGGGAAAUAUCUUCGACGAAUCAGCUAACAACUAAUUAACUUUAACUGAAAGAUGCACAUUACUAUCUGAUCCUGCCUGUUGACCAAAACGAUGGAGCUUUGCCUCGUCAAACUUGGAUCGACGUGUGCGCCGUGUUUGCCUCCGUCCUUCACCACGAUCCACCUCAAGAACCUGCAAAAGACGAAACGGCACCGCUGCGGCCGAUCGCGCUCCGACGCCCAAGUCAGCGACUGAACCACCAAUUACUCAAGAGUAAGACUCAAGAACUCUAAGGAACCGUGACCAGUUCUCUCUCAGUGUACUCAAGACUCGCAAGCGUAAAGAAGACAAUCUGAACGUGCGUACCUCAGAAGUUCGUUGAGAACUCUUAUAUACCUGGGCACUUUCUCUCUCCUGGCAGUUACACAUCUGGACACGUGGCUCGCAUCCAGCUGUACACGUGCCUUCAUCUGGAGCAUCCUUGACUUGGGCGCUACUUUUGACUCUUCUUUGGCUAAGUUACUUAUGCAUGAUACUACUCAGUGCAUGGUUGCCUUGGAGCGCGAUCUCUCCUGGAUGGCGAGUUCGGGUGCCUUCGUACACACCUUCCCUGUGGUCUCGCCGGCCGCCUUCAUGAUCUGCACCACCUGUUUCACCGUACACGCUCGAGUAAGCCGUCCUCCGACCUCAUCCUCUGGCCAGCUGGGAAGCGUCCAUCUGCCUUCAUCUUCAACUUGGUUUCGGCGAUCUCUGAUCACUUGGUCGCCUGGAUUCAUACCUGGCGACUUCAUCUUCAACUUGGUGACCGCCGGUAUUGGUAUGAUGGAGAUCGGAGCACGCCAACUUAAUAACUGACGACUACGUAAACCCCCCGACCUCCUUCCCUUCUGCCAGCCAGGUGUCCCGUCCAACACGCCCAUAUAAUAGCUCGACGCCACGUCACUACUCCCGAACACCAGGGCGGUACACUAUCUAUUAAUAAGGAACUUCGACGCAUGUCAGUAAAUUACUGAUAUCCAGCCGAUCAUGGUCAAAGCCCAUGACCAAGGCUAUAAAUAAAAUCCUUUGCGGAGAAGUAAGGUACAUUUUUACUAAUUACUAUAAUAGACUCUUUUCAGAGUACUUACUUGAGCGUCAGAAUACCUUUUGCAGGUCACCCCAUGACCGACUGAGCGCCAACAUUUGAGGACGGAGACUUAAGGGAAACAGCUAGAAGAUUACUCACAUGUUAGCAAUUGUACGCCCACUCACAAGUACUGUCUAAGGCCUUCUGCCUAUACAGGUACAAUUGGUGUUAGAAUAUAUGGCCUUAAACAAGAAGGGGGGGGGGGGGCUGAAUUAUUUAUGAAAGAUUUUCAAAAACUUUGAAGGUAUAAUGAAAGCCUAUGAAGAAUCACAGAGAAAGAAACUAAGGAAAGCAAUGCACAAAGUUGUUUUAGUUGAUUUCCAGAAAACCAAUCGGUUGUUUUUGGGAUUCAAUCGGUUGUUUUUAUCAGCAGUUAAUAAAAACAACUUAAGAUAGAUAUAUGUGAGAUUAGGGAAAGAGAGAAUCACACAAAUAGAUUUAUACUGGUUCACUCUUACACCAAGAGCUACAUCCAGUCCCUAGAAACCACUAGGUAAUCGACUAUGCAAUCAAAACCAGAUUACAAACACCACACACCAAAGUAGUGACCUUGAACCCCUCAAGAAACACACUACCUUUGGCAAACCACACCAAGAAUGUUGAUCUUGAACACCUCAAGAACACACAACUCUCAUUGGCAACACAAUUAAAGAAAUACAGUAAUCAAGGAAGAAGGGAAUAGAAUACACCUGGGUAUUACAAAGCUUAAAGUUCAGAAUUACAACCCAAUCCUAUUCCACAAACUUAAGAAUGAUCCAAAGCUCUUUCAAAUCUUGGGAAAACUGUUUUUGAUAAACUCUUUCUCUUACUCCAAGAUUAGAAGCGUAAAACCACCUUUAUAUAGACAAACCAAAUGGUCAAAAGCAUUUAAUAAAGGAGCCAAGGUAGUUGGGAUCAUUUAAAACAUAUUAAAACCACUUAACAGAAUUUUGUUAAGCUUUUUAGAAAAACAAUCGGUUGUUUUGUCGAAACAAUAGGUUGAAUUGACUUGACAGCAAAGUCAAGCUUUUCAAAACCUUUUCAAAAACUACUAAGGUAAAAUAAUUUGUUGUUCCGAAAUUUCAACCUAUUGAAAUUUCAACAACCUUUUAGAAAAUCCAUCUUUUCAAAAGGUUAAAGAUUCAAAUGAACUUGGAUCAUCUUAAGGAGUGAAUUAACAAGUUUCAAACAACUAGACAACACACACACCCAGCAACAAGGUCUUCAAGCUUUCCACUUGGAUUUGGAGACAUCAAUGUAUUUGACUCUUUAUGGUGUUAAAGUAUCACUAUCCUACCAGAUAAUAAUAGACAACACAAUUUGCGUUAUAUAUAUUUAUUGAUAGAUUUGUGUCCUACUCUUUUCGGUUUUGUAGGUGAUUUGCGGAAGCUACACGGAUUGGAGAUGGAACAAGGUCCUCCUAAGAGUGGUGGUGACCUUAAAGGUGCAUCAUAGGUAGAAUUUGAGAGUGCUGAGGCCAACUCUACUUGGAAAGGGCGAAUUUGUGAAGAUUAAAAGCCUAACCUAUGAGGUUUUGGGCAAAGAGUGAUAUUGGCACAAUUUUGACAGCAAUUCACUCAUGUAUUAAUCUUACAAAAUGAGAGUCAAGUACCUCAAUUUAUAGUGUUUAGAGGGCUGGAAAAUCAAAAGAAAGUGGAGGGAAAUUCAAAUGAAUUCCCUUCCAAAAGUGGAGUCUAAAUGAGCACAUGGGGAGGGGUGUGUCUAGUUUGUAUGCUCACCCCCUCCAUGGGCUUUCUAGACCAGCCUUGGAAAAUUUAGAGGUUUUUAGAAACUCUAAGUUUACCUAGGUUGGUGUUUUAGGUGCCAAAAUUAAUUCUAAGAAAAAUUACAAAUAAUGUUCUUAUGCUAAUUUUGAUAAGAAUUAAAAAAACUAUUCUACACUAGAGUUUAUGACAUGUAGAAUGCGUCCUCUUGACCCCUCUUUGACCAUAACUCUAGUGGUUGCCUCAAUUUGACAUUUUAGUGGCCUUUCAAUGGAUUGGUGUUGGGGCCUCUUCCAUCAUCCCCUCCCUCUUGAAAAGGAUUUGUCCUCAAAUCCAAGGCUUCGUCCUCGUCAUUGGUAGGGGGAUGUAUGGGGCUGGAUGGUGUCCAUCAUCUCCUCCUUCUUGAGAAAAUCUAUCCUCAGAUCCACAGGGUUGAUCUCGGAUAGCAGCCUCUUGCUUUGACAACUAUGCUCGUCCUCCCGGAUCAAACGUCCAUCUGUGGGAAUCAUACAAAGCAAAUGUGUUAGUUUGAGCAGUUGUAUAAAAAUAAUUUCUAUUAAGUUGCCUUUCCUCUUGUUUUUCUAUUGUUUUUGGCAACUUUUUACAAGAUUUCUUUAAGGAGGAGUUCAUAAUUUUCUUUUCUUUCAAAAGCUCAAGAUUUUUAUCAACUCCAAAAUGACUUAUUUGCAAGCAGUUUUCUAUGUGUUAUUUGGGGUAUGCAAAGUUUUUCUUCUGUAAAUAAGUACCCCUCGUAAACAUAAAACCCUCCAUGUGCUCUAUGUUGGUAUUUAGCAAAAGUGGGUGCAAAAUCUUGAUAAAGUUUAGGUAUGUUAUCAAAUCCAAGAAUUUGGGCUCCAAGUUUGAAAAAUAGGGCAUGUUUCCUUGAUAGAGCAUCCACCACAAUAUUUGUAUUUUCCUUCUUGUAUUUGAUAACAUAUGGAAUUUGCUCAAGAAACCCAUCCACUUUGCAUGUAUUUUUAACUUGUGUUGACUCUUUAAAGAUUUUAAAGACUCAGGCAAGGCCCUCACAAGUGUAUAGAGCUCUUUGUUAUAGAUGGGGUAGUUGAGGGUUGCACCAUGAAGUUUUUCAAUAAAAUAUGCAAUUGGGUGCCCACCUUGCAACAACCCAACACCUAUUCCUACUCCCAAUGCAUCACACUCUAGCUCAAAAGUUUUUACAAAGUUUUGUAAAACUAGAAUGGGUGCAUUGGUGAGUUGAGCUUUUAACCUUUGAAAGGCCUGAUCAUGCUUUUCCAUCCUGUUAGAAAAGAUGGCUUUAAACUAGAGGGGGGGGUGAAUUGUUUAAAGGGGUUUUCACAAUCUUUUCAAAGCUAGAAUGAAUUUAUUUCAGAAACCAAUUAAUUCAGCAAUUCAGUUAGCCAAAACAGCAAGCAAAAACUGUAAUACUAGAAAAAACAAUCAGUUGUUUCUUCGAAACAAUCAGUUGUUUAUACCAGCAAACAACAAAUAAACUGAAAUUAAAGAGUUAGGGAUAGAGAGAUUGUACACAAUUGUUUAUACUGGUUCACUCCAAACUAGAGCUACAUUCAGUCUUCUCAGAAACCCUGAGGAUAACCACUAAGCAAUCACCACUUGAUCACUUACACCACAACCAAGAGAAUGACCUUGAACACCUCAAGAAACACACUCUCCUUGGCCAACACUAAGAUUGUUGAUCUUGAACACCUCAAGAACACACAGCCAAUCUCAGCAAAACACACAAAUGAAUUGUUCAGCAGUUUACAAAGAUUACACUUGUUACAGAUGAAUAUCUGAAAUCAAUACAAGUAGAAUCCUAUUCCAGCACCUUGAUCAAUCUCUCAACUCUUAAGCAAUCUCAGAACUCUUUGAAAAGCUCUUAGUUGUUGUUAAAAACUUUGUCUCAAGAUUCUUAAUCCUUAAAAAUAGUUUUUCAUAAUAUAUUCAAGAAUAUAGUUUGUUAUCAAAUCUUAACAAACUCUUAAUUGCAUUUAAAAUAGAUUGGUCAAAGCAUUUAAUGACUGGAGCGUAUUCAGUUAAAGCAUUUAAAGCUCAGUCAAAGAAAACAGUUUUUCUGUUAUGGUUUCAAAACAAACAAUCGAUUGUUUCCUCGAAUCAAUCGGUUGUUUUGUUACUUAACAUAUUUCACCAUUCAAAAACAGUUUUCAAACUUUCUCAAAACACCUAAGUGUAAACAAUCGGUUGUUUCGACAAAACAAUCGGUUGUUUGAACUUAGUUUGAAAAACAUUUUACUUUGAUAAAGAUUGAGAUGCUAAUUGCUUGAGAUUUAAUCUAAGGGUGGAUUACAACAUUAAACUACCCCAGAACAAAGCUUAAACCAGCACAGCAACACACAACAAAGCAGAGGCUUCAACAUCCUUCAAAGGAUUUGGAUUCUUCAAAACAUUGAACACCACUUGGUUCAACAAUCUCCCCCUAUUUGAUGAAGACAAAUCCCUGAUGCUUGUGUUGUACCUGAUUAAAUCUGAAGCAGUUCCUGCAAUAGAACUUUGAGCAAUAUUUUGAACUUCUGAUAUUCUGUUAGCAUACUGAUAAACAUUUAAGGCUUAAAACAAUUAAUAUCAGAAACAAAAUACAUGUUACUUAAACUGUUUUUAAUCAAUAAUGAAAAACAGAGAUAUUUAAACAAACUGGAAACACAAACACAGCAUAUAUCUCCCCCUAUUUGUCUUCACAAAUAGACAAAGAUAAGAGACAAAAUAAGAUAUUGUUUCCAUUACAUCAGAAUAAACCAGCAACAGCAGAAGGAAAGAAAUUUUAAAACCAAAAAAGAAUAGCUUAAAAACAAUCGAUUGUUUUGUUGACCAAUCGGUUGUUUUUCCUUCAUUCUUCUUCAUCAGCAAACUGAAGAUCAAAGAUUUGAUUAUGGACAGCUUCAAUCUGUUCGUCCAGAGUCGUAAACCUUGUUUCCAUGUUGUCAAACCUUGUAUCAAUCCUCUGAAAGUUACUAACACACAGAUCAUGAAGGCUUCUUUGAUUUUCAGCAAAGCUAUCUAGCCUAUCCAUCNNNNNNNNNNNNNNNNNNNNNNNNNNNNNNNNNNNNNNNNNNNNNNNNNNNNNNNNNNNNNNNNNNNNNNNNNNNNNNNNNNNNNNNNNNNNNNNNNNNNNNNNNNNNNNNNNNNNNNNNNNNNNNNNNUGUUCAAGAUGAGUAGCACCACUUGAUGAGGAACCAUGAUCACCAUCCUUACUUAUCCACUUUCCACCUACUUUUGUAAAGCCCAUCUUGCUGAGUGAUCCAUUGUUCAACUCUCGAGUUGACUUGACCAGCUCAGAAGUUUCAUCUUCAAGAUUAACUUCAAAAUAGAGUAGAAACUUAGAUAUUAAAACAACAUAGGGAUAGUGGUAAUCGCCUAACCUCAUGGCUUUUUGCAUAUGUUCUUUGAUUAUGUGAAUCCAAUUGAUCUUCACUUUCUUGGUGAUGCAGAAGAUGUAAACCAGAUCUUCUUCAGUCAGUACAGAUUGGUUACUCCUCCUUGGAGUUAGAAUCCAAGUAACAAUGAGAGCAAGCAAUCUUUCAUCAAGCUUCAAACCUCCAACCGAGCAUGUGCUAACUUGAGAUUGAUUGUUCUUCAAGCAACUUUUGUAGAACUGGAUUUUGUUGAAAUCUUCCACCACACCAAGGUUUCCCUUGUUGAUUCUCAGACCAGAGAACUUAAGCCCAGCAACAGCUGCCCAAACAUCAUGAGUUAUCUCCAUCUCCACAGCUUUCACAUGAGAGACUAGGUUGUUUCCCUCAAACUUCAAGUUGGUGUAGAAUACCCUCACCAAAUAUGGAUAUAUGUUCCCUUUUAGCUCCAGAAAUUUUCUGAGUGAUUGGUCCUUGAGAAGCCUCCUCACUUUGUCAGCUUUUGACUUUUCAGCCAAUCAAAGCACACAACCUUGGGAUUGUUUAUCUUCUUGACACUUGUUUCAUACCUAUACUUCUCAAUGAGUUCGGUGUCACCAGAAAACCAGGUUUCAAGUCUUCCUCCAGACCUUACAGCUCUGGUUUUGACUCUUUUGGAGGUGGGAGGGGUUGAUUCCAUGACAGCAGAGACGAAAACUCACUUCACAGAAAUUUUGCAAGAGAUGGUGCAAGAGAUAUUGCAAGAGAUGUUGCAAUUGAUUGUUCUUGAUGGAAGAAAUCUGCAACUCAUUUUAUAGUAGAAAGAGAAUCAAUUUGAAUUUAAUUUCAUUCAAUGGGUACCUGAUUUUUCAGAGAGAGGACUUGACUCUGUUCUGCACUGAAAAUGUCAGAAAAAGCUGAAAAUCACAUGGUCUGCACAUGUGAUCUUUGACUAGUCAUUAAGGCUCUUGAAUUUCCAAGAUUUUGGAAUAUAUUCCAUUAUGACUGUUGUAACUUCUUUCUGAUCAUGCUCAGCUUUCAACACAGAUCCUUUGACCAAGAUUCUCCAUUUGAAAUUGAUCUGCAACGGAUAGAAUUUCAAAAAGCAAUUAAAUCAAUUUCUUCACAGUGCUGUCAGACUCAAAACAAUCGGUUGUUUCGAAGAAACAAUCGGUUGUUUUUCUGCAGUAGUUAAAAACUUGAUUUUGAAAAUUUUAACCAUAAACACAAACAGAUUAAAGCACAUGACAUUGAUUAAAAGACAAUUAAUCAUAAGAAAGAACUUUGAAACAGAAAUUGAGAAUAAAUAAAGGAAGGUCUUAUCCUUGUGUUGUUUCUUCAAUGAGCCAAUUGCUUGUUGAUCAAGAAAACUUCUUUUCACUGUUUUGACUUUUUGCAUAGCAUUGAUACAGCUUCAAUGACUGCCUUUUUCUUCAAUAGCUUUAUCAGAUGGGUCAGUUCUUCUUUUUCUCUUCAUUUUCCUGCAUAAACAAAUUCAAGUUGCAAGAUUUGGUCCCCUUACAAAUUUGGGUCCUUUUGGCUUUUCUUUGCUGUUAGAAACAUCACAUCCCUUAGGAAUCCAUUUCAUAAGACCUUUAGGAACACAAUAUUUUCUAUUUUUACAGAAUCUAACAGAGUGGCCUUUCUUCAUGCAGUAAAAGCAUGUAACAACCGGUUGUUUCGUCUUAACAAUCGGUUGUUUUUCUGAUUUUCUUAAAAAAAAAUUUGAAAACCUAUCUUGCUUGUUCUAUGGAUUGAAGCCUAAACCAGCCUUUCCAAAAACACAGCUUUGAGAUGCCGAGACAUUCUUAAAGUUUGAUUUCCCUUUUGAAAGCUUGUCCACAGUUUCAACAAGAUAGUGAACCUUUUUCUCAAGAUUUUCACAAUUUGUGCAAAUGAGAGUAUCACACUUGCAAGAGGCAUUUUUUAAAUGAUUUUCCAGUUUUUCAAAAUCAAUUUUUGCUUUUCUCAGAUCCUCUUCAAGUGAUUUAACUUUCUUUUCAAGCCCAUUGUUAAGAUCUUUCAAUCGGUUGUUUGAAAGAACCAAUCUAUUAGCUUCAUCAUGAGUUUCUUGAAAAGCUUCAAGCAAUUCACUAUAGUUUUGUUCAUUUAAGGAAGCACUUGAACUGCAAGAAUCAUCAUCAUCAUCCUCAGCUACUGUACCGCCCAGGUGGUCGGAAGUGAUGACGUGGCAGGAAGCUAUUAUAUAGGCGUGUUGAACGGGGCACCUGGCAGGCAGAAGGGAAGGAAGUCGGGGGGCUCGUGUAGUCGCCAGUUAUUAAGUUGGCGUGCUCCGAUCUCCAGCGCACCUAAACCGGCGGUCACCGGGUUUGUGAUGAAGUGAUCAGAGAUCGCCGAAAGGAGGAGAUCGCCGAGGGAUCAGGGAAGCUUGUUCCAGGCUUUCGAAGCAGAAGAUGAAGUCGUCAGAUGGUCAUUCCCUAGCUAGCCAGAGGUUGGGAUCGGGGAACAGCUUACCCGAACAUGCACGAUGAAGCAAGUGAAGUAGAUCAUGAUGGCGGCCCGCGAGACCACAAGGAAGGUGUGUAUGAAGACACCCGUACUCGCCACACAGAAGAGAUCGCGCUCCAAGGCAGCUUUACACCGAGUUACUCCUUGCAUGGAUAACUUAGUCGAAUAAGCCUGAAGAGUAAGAAGUGACGCCCAAGUCAAGGAUGCUCCAGAUGGUGACACGUGUACAGCUGGAUACGAGCCACGUGUCCAGAUGUGUAACUGUCAGGAGAGAGAAAUGCACAGGUAUAUAAGGAAUCCUAACGAACUUCUGAGGUACGCGCGUUUUAGAAUACUUCUUUUACGCUUGCGAGAACUUGAGUACGCUGAGAGAGAAUUUUGCACGGUUCCUGAAGUUCUUAGUUUUCUCUUAGUAUUUUGGUGGUUCAGUCGCUGACUGGGGCGUCGGAGCGUGAUUGGCCGCAGCGGCGCCGUUUUGUCUUUUGCAGGUUCUUGAGGUGAAUCAAGGCGGAGGACGGAAGCUAACACGGCGCAAAGUCGAUCCAGAUUUGACGAGGCAAGGCUCUUGCGUCCUGGUCAACAGGCAGGAUCAGUGAGCUUAAAAGGAAUUGCUGGGAGAUCGAUCCUCUCUAUAUUCCAGCAAUCUUACAAAGAUUGGAAGGGAAAGUUCGUCCAAGUGCGCCAAAAUGAUCAAGACCCUUCGUUGCUCGAUGGCUUUCCCUUGUACUGGGUAAACAAGGGAAGUAAGGACUCCAAAGAAAGCUUUAGAAGGCCAAGAAGUCCUGACAAUAUGGGCGAGUUGGACAAGGAUCUAUGCCUCUUCUGGAAAAGCGUAGCAGCCGCUAACAUCACCUUUCCCACCUCCGCAAUAAUCUCCUUCGAGUUCCUCGAGGGCAAACUCGAAGCUCACAUAGGUUAGCGCUUGCCUCGACAUUUAGGUUUUCGUCUUGUGCUGCAUUUCUGUUAUCUAUUAUUGGGCGUCCUGCUUGUUGCGCACUAGACUUGGUUUUUAUUUCCUGCACCAUUUGUUUGUAUCAUUCGCACCCGUACUCGUAUAUUUUACUUUUUUCCUUCGCGCUUACUUGUAUAUUUUUGCACUGUGCAGAUCUCAUGUUGGGCAAAGGCAAAUUGGCUGAACUGAGGGCGCUCGUCCGAACCCACAAAUUGGCGUCGGGUUCUCAAACCGUGCCAAACUCGGUGGUGGAGAUCGCCGCUGCCCAGGGCAGAUCGCCCCCUCAAGGCCCAGCUCCUCCAGAGGCACUGCCCGCCACUCAACGAAAGAAGCUCGUCUUAAAGAAACCAAAGAGGAAAACUCCUCAAGUGGUUCAAGAAGAGGAGGAUGAGGAUGAUGAGGCGACUGAGGACGGCCUCAUUACCAAAAGGAGAAGGGUGGCACCUUCUUCACCACCUGCUCUACCAACACCAACACCACCCUCUCCCCCAGCUCCAACACCGCCAGUCCAAGCAAUACCCUUGGCAGCUGCACUUCCUGCGGUUGAAGGCAACGAGCCCAACUUCAUGGAGAACCCUCCGAGCGCCUCCACGCCAUUCGUAUCUGCUGGAGAGGGUCCUCCUUCAACUGCCUCAAUCGCUAAAGCUGCACCAGGUGGGGAUGAAGGCGCUCACAACUCACCAAUACUCAUAACCGAGUCCCCCACAUCACCACCACGCCAGGAAGCCCAACCUCAUCAACCAAUUCAAGAGGGUGGUGGUGAGAGUCAGCACCAGGCUCCUUCAGCACCUUCACCGACAGCAGCUGCAAGCCUUCCCCCCGUGGUCAAAGAAAUCUGGGGGCCCUUCACAGCUAAACUCAAAAUGAUGGCAGAGGACCUCCCCUCCAUCAUAACAAAAUCUGUGGAGAGCUCCAACAAAAAACUUCAGGAUGAUAUCUCCACACUCCAAGAGGAGAAUCGCCUGAUAAGGAUCGAGGCGGAGAAGCUGUCUUGCAACCUGAUGAUGGCGGAGAUCGAUCACUCAAGGGUGGAGGAUGCCAUGAGUGCCGAGCUGAGGGUUGCACGCAAGGAGGCCUCCGAUCUACGCCAGAAACUGCACCUCCUAGCUCAAGAGAAGAUCGAGCUGGAGAGUAAGCUGGUUCCCUUCCGGCUCAAGGUGGCUGACUUGGAGGCAUCAAUAAAAGCGGAUGCAGCCAAGGUAGAGAACCUUGAAAAAGGUCGGUUGAUCGGGAGGUUCUCCUUGGAAAGGUCGAAAAGGAGAGGGAUGACGCCGUGGCUGAGCUCGCCGAAGCUAGAGAGGAGAACAAAAGAACUGUUGCAGAGCUGGCCCUGGCGCGGGAGGAAAGCAAAAAGGUUGCUAAAGACCUCGUUCAAGCUCGUGGGAAAACUGAAGAACUAAAGAAACGAGCUGACGAGCUGAAACAGCAAACCGAGGGGCUCAAACAACAAAACGAAGAGCUCGAACUAAGCUCCGCCCAAGUCCUCGCCGUUGGGUUCGACGCCGCCCUGGAGCAAGUCGCCUGCCAGUACCCCGAGCUCGACCUCUCCAUGGUAUCAAUAUGUAAUGAAGUGGUGGAUGGGAAGAUCGUUCCUUCUGAAGAUUAGUCGUCUCCCUCCAUUACUUAUUCACUGGGACCCCAUGCUUGUUUCCUUUUGUACAAACUUUACCUGUAAUAACUUUUCUUUUCUUCUUAUGCAUUUCGAACUGAUACCACCUUUAUUAUAAACUUUUCCGCUUCCGCAUAUGGUUUCUCUGUUUACUCUGCUUUUCGUAGUAGAAACCGCUUAAGGAAAUUAACUUAGCGAUCCUGCGGGCUCAAUCGUUCAAUUACUGCUUCAAACUCGAGCAAAGUAUCAACUUUCAAACGAUGGCGCUUUAAUAACUUGUGAACUUAAGACAACGAACUUCAGCGUGAAACUAUUUACUAAACAGCAAGUUUCAAUCCAACUGAUAGUUUAAGAUAUAGUUCACCUGAUCUGCUCUAUCAAAAUGGGCCCUUACUCUUGCCAUCGCUUGAAUUUCUUCUGAUCGCCAGAGGGUCCCGGCGAUGUAAGCCCCCUUUUGCCUUCGUAACUUGGCUAUUGUUCCCUCAUCUGGGGUAGAGGCGCCUUUCGGAUCCUUCUCUACCUCCCUGAGUUUCAGAACAAUAAGUCGGACAGCUAGGCGUUCUCUUCGAACCUACCUUAGCCAUCCUUUAAACUUCUUCCACCCUCCACACCGUACCUGAACUCGUUCGAGACGAGAAGGAUUUUAUCUUGCCUGAACUCGCUCGACGGUGAGAAGGUCUUUAUCUUGCCUGAACUCGCUCGACGGCGAGAAGGUCUUUAUCUUGCCUGAACUCUCUCGACGGCGAGAAGGUCUUUAUCUGGUGCCUCUACAUUGCCCAGGGAUUAUAUCUCCUCCUCCCUAGAUGCAUUGAGGACUUUUAACUUUUUCUCGCCUGCACUCGCACAAAGUCGAGGAGGACUUUAAUCUCUUUCUCGCCUCAAGACGCGCGAGGGCGUUGAGGUCUUUUAAACGUUGCUGGUGCCUCCGAUCACCGAAAGACGAUGAGGACUUUAAAACUUUAACUGAUGCCGCUAGUCGCCGAAAAACGAUGGGGACUUUUAACUUUAACUGAUGCCGCCAAUCGCCGAAAAGCGAUGGGGACUUAAAAACUUUUUAGAAAGCAUGCAGCAUAACUUCAAACUUGCCUUAAAUCACAUACGAGUGACAAGGUCUUUUUCUAAAACUUUUGUAACAACAAGCAUGCAAUCUAAAAUACUUUAAACUUUGAAAACUCUUCUUUAUUGGGUAGCCUCAUUAAAAACCCUCCUUAGGAAAAAAGAGUGCCCCCUUCAAACUGUUUUAACAGAAAGCUUGCAAAACUCUUCGUGUUUGUUUUUACUUACAAAGCUUCAACUGUAAUAUAACUUGAGGUGCGUGGCAUUCCAAGUGCGAGGAAUCGCCCCUCCUACCAAAGUUUCUAAGCGGUAGGCGCCGUUCCCGAGCGCCUCGGUUAUUCUGAACGGUCUCGUCCACUUAGGCGACAACUUGUUCUCCAUCUCGUACUGGUGGGCCUUCCUCAUCACCAGGUCGCCUUCUUUAAACUGCCUUGGCACCACCUUCGAGUUAUACCUUCGUUCAAUCCUUCUUUUCACUGCCUCGGCUUUUACUCUUGCCUCCUCCCUGACCUCAUCCAGCAAAUCCAGAUUCAACCUUCUUUCCUCAUUCGAGUCUUCCGCUACAAAGUUCUGGAAUCUCGGUGAGCUCUCCUGGAUCUCCACUGGAAUCAUUGCGUCGCACCCAUAGACCAAGCUAAACGGGGUCUCAUGGGUUCCUAACUGCUCGGUGGUGUGGUACGCCCAAAUUAUGCGGGGUACCUCCUCAGCCCACGAUCCCUUGGCUUUCUCUAACCUUCUCUUCAAGCCUCUUAGCAAUACCCGAUUAGCGGACUCUACUUGGCCAUUUGUCUGGGGAUGCUCGAUGGAUGCAAACACUUGCUGAAUUCCCACCUCUUCGCACAGCUUCUUCAACAGGUGACUUGCAAACUGAGUCCCGUUGUCCGACACCAGGCGCUUAGGCGCACCAAACCGGCACACGAUGUUCUUCCACACAAAGCUCUCGAUCUUGUGUGCGGUGAUCUGGGCUACUGGUUCUGCUUCGAUCCACUUGGUGAAAUAUUCCAUCGCCACCACCAAGUACUUCAUCUGUCUGAUCGCCAAUGGGAAAGGUCCCAGAAUGUCGAUCCCCCACGUAUGAAACGGCCAAGGGCUGUAAAUCGACUUCAACUCCUCGGGAGGCGCUUUGUGCCAAUCGGCGUGCUACUGACAUUGCUUGCAACACUGUGCAUACUUCUUGCAGUCCUCCCUCAUUUUUGGCCAGUAGUAACCUGCACGGAGGGUUCUUGCAGCCAGAGCUCGACCCCCGACGUGACUUCCGCAUAUCCGUAGCGCAGACCUGCGUCGUGUUCACCCUCUCCCCCCGACAUGCUCUUAUUCUCGGCGAUCUCAAGGUCUCCUGAGUCAAAGACCUGUGACUCCUCGCCGCUUUCUCCGUCGACUUGCUUAUUUGAAGAACCAGGUGGUCUGCCACAAAUGCUCUAGGCGUUUUCAGAGUUUCUUGGAUCACCGUCCUCUGCCUACCCCCCUUGCCUGAACUGGCGAGCUUAGCUAGAAAGUCAGCUCGGGCAUUCUGCUCUCUGGGCACAUGCACCACUUUAAAGGAGACAAAGGAACUCUUCAACUCCUGCACAUACUCCAGGUAAGCCGCCAUUUGUGGAUCCUUGGCCUGGAACUCGCCUGUUACUUGUCCCGUGACCAACAGCGAGUCACUCUUAGCCAUCAGCACCCUAGCUCCCAUCUCCUUGGCCAACAAGAUUCCGGCGAUCAGCGCCUCAUAUUCUGCUUGAUUGUUGCUGGCUUUGAAGGCAAACCUCAGGGACUGUUCAAUCAGCACACCGUUGGGCCCUUCCAGGAUGACUCCAGCACCGCUACCCUGCUGGUUCGACGAUCCGUCCAUCGAGAGCACCCAACGGAAAUCAUCCCCCUCAACUCGCGCUGCUUCUGACGAGAGCUCAACCACAAAAUCGGCGAAAAUCUGCCCCUUGAUCGGACCUCGGGGCUCAUACUUGAUAUCGAACUCUGACAACUCCACCGCCCACUUCACCAUCCUCCCAGCUACAUCAGGCUUCUUCAGGACUUUCUGGAUGGGCAAGUCGGUCAUCACUAGUACUGUAAAACUGUGGAAAUAGUGGCGCAACCUCCUCGCCGAAAAUACCACAGCCAGUGCAGCUUUUUCCAAGGCUUGAUAUCUCACCUCCGGGCCCUGCAGCACCUUGCUGACGAAGUAAAUAGGCUUCUGAGCCUGGUCUUGGUCUUGAGCGAGCACCGCACUCACCGCCCUCUCAGUCACAGCGAAAUACAACCUGAGAGGGGUCCCCACCAACGGUUUGCACAAAACCGGCGGGCUCGCUAGGUACUCUUUAAGCUUGAGGAAGCCUCUUCACACUCUUUGUCCAGGCAAACUUGUUGUUCCGCCUUAAACAUUGAAAGUACGGAUGGCCUUUCUCUCCGCUAGCCGAUACGAAACGAGACAGGGCGGCCAUCCGACCUGUAAGUUGCUGCACCUCCUUCACGGUAGCCGGUCUCCUCAUCGCCAAGAUGGCAGCACACUUAUCAGGAUUGGCCUCUAUUCCUCUUUCAGUUAAGAGGAAUCCCAAGAACUUCCCUGCCUCCACGCCAAAAAUGCACUUCUCGGGGUUCAGCUUUAACCUGAACUUGGCGAUUAUGGUGAACAACUCCUCCAAGUCCGCAACGUGUUUGCUCUUCUCCGGCGAGGUCACGACCAUAUCAUCCACAUACACUUGCACAUUCUUUCCCACCAUUGGUGCAAGUACCCGAUCCAUCAACCUUUGGUACGUGGCCCCCGCGUUCUUCAGCACAAAGGGCAUCACCUUGUAGCAGUAGCACGACCUCUCGGUCAUGAAGGCGGUCUUCUCUUCAUCCAUGGGAUGCAUCUUUAUCUGGUUGUACCCCGAGAAGGCGUCCAGGAAACUCAGCAACUUGCACCCUGCAGCACUGUCGACCAGGGCGUCUAUGCUUGGCAAAGGAUACGAAUCCUUUGGGCAAGCCUUGUUCAGGUCAGUGAAAUCGACGCACAUGCGCCACUUCCCAUUGCUUUUCUUUACCAGCACGACAUUGGCCAACCACUCAGGGUACUGGACUUCCCUGAUAUGGCCUGCGGCGAGGAGCUUCUGGGUUUCAUCCCUGAUCGCCUGCCUUCUCUCCUCGUUAAACUUCCUUCUUCUCUGUCGCACCGGUCUGACCUGGUUGUCCAUUGCUAGAUGGUGGCACAAGAAAUCGGGGUCGAUUCCCGGCAUGUCUGAAGCAGACCAUGCAAAAGCAUCCAGAUGCCGCUCUAUCACCUUGGCGAUCUGGUCUUGGAGCUCAGCCUCCAAGGAUCUUUCCAACUUGAAGACCUUUCCCCCGAUCUCCCUUUCGAGCCACUCCUCGACGGGUUUGGGUCUAGCUUCCCUGGCGAUUACCGCCCUGGCGAUUCCCAGCUCCCUCGCUUCCUCUGGGCGGUUCCGCGCCUCUUCCUCCCGAUCGGCGUCCUCUCCCUCAGCCUCAGCAUCCAGCAUGGUGACAUCGCCUCCGGCGGCCACCUCCAUCGCCGCAUCAACAACUCGCCAUUCUGUUGGCUUGGGCUUCACCCCGGGAGGCGGCGUCGUUGUGAUGUAACUUACUGACCUCUUGUUUUUCAGGCUAUUCUCAUAGCAUUUCUUCGCUUCCUUCUGGUCAGAUUUGAUGGUGAUCACCACCCCCUCCAUCGACGGCAACUUCACCUUCAUGUGCCUGGUUGAAGGCACAGCUCCUAUUCUGUUGAGUGUUGGUCUUCCCAACAGAAUAUUAUAUGCUGAGGGAGCAUUCACGACGAGGUAUUUGAUUUUCUCCGUCCUCGAGCCCGCCUCAUCCGUGAAUGUAGUUCUUAAUUCUAUGUACCCCCUGACCUCCACCUGAUCGCCAGCGAACCCAUAUAAGCACCCUCCAUAGGGCCUCAGCUCGUCAAGGGGCAAUUGCAGCUGUGUGAAAGUCGGCCAGAACAUCACAUCUGCCGAGCUUCCUUGGUCCACCAGAACCCUGUGGACCUUCCUUCCCGCUGUGACAAGCGAGAUGACUAUAGGAUCGUUGUCAUGAGGCACAACGUCCCUGAGAUCUUUCCUCAUGAACGUGAUGUCCACAUCUGGCGAGUGGUCCUCGAACAUGUCCACCGUCAUCACAGACCUUGCAUAUUUCUUCCUCUGUGACGCGGUGCAUCCACCACCCGAAAAACCCCCAGCGAUGGUGUGGAUCUCUCCAUGAGUGGGCAUCUCGUGCUGCUGAGCCUCACCACCUGCCGGCUGGGAGCUCGACGCGCCCCCCGUUCUCCUGUCCAGCAGGUAAUCGUUCAGGAAACCGCUCUUGACCAGGUCGUCGAGCUGGUAUCCCAAUGCCAAACAUGAAUCGACGGUGUGACCAAAACUCUGGUGGAAUUUGCAUCAGGCGUCUGGCUUUAGUCCUAACACCUUGUCGCCCACUUUCUCGGGUGCCUUGAGCCUGGCUGCUAUAUUGGGAAUGGCGAUCAGGUCCGCCAACCCCAUAACAAACUUAUGCUUUGGUGGGCGAUUGUACUCCCUGGGGCGCCGUGGGACCCUGCCCUUGUUUCUUCUUGGGUCAUAAGGAUGGCGAGUCCUUUGAUCCCUCUUGGCCGCCGCUGUCUCCAGCACCCUCUGUGGAUGGAUCCUGGUCUGGGCACGUGGCCUAGCGGGGGCCACGCUCCCUCUCUUCUCGGCGACCUCACUUUCAUCGGCGAUGUGGGCCACCGCAAGUCGCCUAACCUCAGCAAACGUGGCGGGGUGAGCCCUGAUCAGUGCCUCGCAGAACGGUCCCGGCAGCACGCCCUUUUUGAAGGCGUAUACCAGAAUCUCUUCGUCCUUGGCCGGUGAGCGGACCAUCUGCGCUCCAAAGCGAUUCAAGUAGUCCCUGAGGGACUCUCCCUGGUACUGCCUUAUGUCGAAUAGGUCAUAAGACACCCUAGGUGGCGCCUUGUUCACUAUGUACUGCUCGACGAAAAGCUUCGAAAACUGCUGGAAAUUGGUUAUGUGACCGGUAGGCAAGCUCACAAACCAUUCCAGCGCUGUUCCCUGGAGCGUGCUCACGAACAUCUUGCAAUACACAGCAUCCGAGCCUCCUAACAGCAUCAUCUGCGUGUGGAACGUGGUGAGAUGUGCCUCAGGAUCCUCCACGCCGAUGAAAGUAGCCUUCACGGGUACCACACUCGCAGGGAUAGGCGUGUCUGUGAUCGCCUGUGCAAAUGGCAUGGGGAAAACGCGAGGUGGCGACGACGGUGCGACCUCCUCAGCGACUUGGCGCCCUCUCUGCUCCUGAAGAGCUUGGCGCAACUCCUCACUCACUUUGCUUAGCUCUUCAUUCCUGGCCUGAGAGGCGGACUAGGGUCCUCAUGCAUCCUUGCCUGCUCUAUGCGCGAGGCCUCCACAUUCGCCUGCAGCGCACGCAUGAUCUCUACCAUCUGCGCCAUAGUCAUGGCGCCUUCAGCAGCAACUGGCACAACUGGACUUGAACGGUUGCUUCUCAUCUUUCUCCUGAAAACUUCACAGACCACAACGAGCGACGAACAAAACCUCCUUUAGCAAUGAUCGAUCCAGCAAUCAACCGGUUAGAACUUCGCGAACUCCAAAGAACUUCAAGAACGCAAUCUCAACAGCAAAGACCUUCGCAGAAACUCGCAAUCUCAGCACGAACCUACCACUCCUCCACCAAAACAUCUGAUUCACCAGUCAAAAGUCCGAACGAACGUCGAAACUUCGAUCUCACCGAUUAAAACUCGCGUAAACAGCGAAAAACCUCUCCUCACCGAACAAGAACUCAACAAGCGGGGAAAAACCUCAAUUCUCUGAACUAAACUUCGAACGAACGGUGGAAAACACGAAUUUACCGAACAAAGCUUGAAUGAACGGCGGAAAAUGGUUGCACCAGCACAUAACCACACAGAAACUGCAGAAACUCCAAGAACUCACGCUGUGGAUGGGAACAGGUUUUACACGGCCCCACGGUGGGCGCCUGAUGAUCCUGCCUGUUGACCAGGACGCAAGAGCCUUGCCUCGUCAAAUCUGGAUCGACUUUGCGCCGUGUUAGCUUCCGUCCUUCACCUUGAUUCACCUCAAGAACCUGCAAAAGAUAGAACGGCGCCGCUGCGGCCGAUCACGCUCCGACGCCCAAGUCAGCGACUGAACCACCAAAAUACUAAGAGAAAACUAAGAACUUCAGGAACCGUGCAAAAUUCUCUCUCAGCGUACUCAAGUUCUCGCAAGCGUAAAAUAAGUAUUCUAAAACGCGCGUACCUCAGAAGUUCGUUAGGAUUCCUUAUAUACCUGUGCAUUUCUCUCUCCUGACAGUUACACAUCUGGACACGUGGCUCGUAUCCAGCUGUACCCGUGUCACCAUCUGGAGCAUCCUUGACUUGGGCGUCACUUCUUACUCUUCAGGCUUAUUCGACUAAGUUAUCCAUGCAAGGAGUAACUCGGUGUAAAGCUGCCUUGGAGCGCGAUCUCUUCUGUGUGGCGAGUACGGGUGUCUUCAUACACAUCUUCCCUGUGGUCUCGCCGGCCGCCAUCAUGAUCUACUUCACUUGCUUCAUUGUGCAUGUUCGGGUAAGUUGUUCCCCGAUCCCAACCUCUGGCUAGCUAGGGAAUGACCAUCUGACGACUUCAUCUUCUGCUUCGAAAGCCUGGAACAAGCUUCCCUGAUCCCUCGGCGAUCUCCUCCUUUCGGCGAUCUCUGAUCACUUCAUCACAAACCCGGUGACCGCCGGUUUAGGUGCGCUGGAGAUCGGAGCACGCCAACUUAAUAACUGGCGACUACACGAGCCCCCCGACUUUCUUCCCUUCUGCCAGCCAGGUGCCCCGUUCAACACCCCUAUAUAAUAGCUUGCUGCCACGUCAUCACUUUCGACCACCUGGGCGGUACACUCACCCAGGGGCGGCCUCCAGGAUUCUUAGCCUCGAAUAAGAAAAGGAAGACGUCUACCGAGGCCGGUAGUCCCAAGUGUGCGCACAUGAUUUGAAAUGCCCGCACGAAUGCCCAGCUGUUGGGAUGGAGCUGGGCAGCGGCAAUGUUGAGCUCGGUUAAUAGUUCCCGUUCAAAACGGGUGAAGGGAAGCCUGAGUUUCACCUUCUUGAAGAGAGUAGUGUAAAUGAAGCAGAACAACUCGCCGUUGUUCCCCUUGUCAUCCGCGCAGAUUGGCACGUCAGGAAGGCAAGGCAGCACCAUCAGUUUGUCGUCGUGCUCCUUGUGGAACGAGAGGUUGGGUUCGUCCCCUUUCUUCAACCGUAGCACCGCCAACGUAGAGUUUACUGAAGAGGUCUCCUUCAGUAAAGUUUGGGGUGGCCCACGGGUAAAGUUUCUUGUAGUCUGGUGUGGGAAUGGAGGCUCCUCCGGCGACUGGUGGAGUUGCCUGAGCGAGGUUGGGACGAGAGGUUGCAGGCCUCUCAGCCUGGGAAGAAGGAGCACCAGAUGCUCGUGGUAGGUUAUGCGCUUGGGAUGGAGGGUUUCGUGAUGAAGGAGGAGGAUUCGCGGUGGUUUUUGUACGAGCCAUCGCGGGAACUGCAAAGGAAAAAGAAGAAAGGAUGAACAAGGGUUGUAGAGAUCGACUCGAUUGUGGACGCAGAAUGAAGAACGAACGAACGAGAGUUCGUUGUGAUGAAUGUAAUGGAAGACGAAGCCCUAAGUUACGAGAAGGAAGAAGAAGAGGAAAACAACCCACAGCGUAUGCACCAGACAGAUAAUGGAUGAUGCGAAUCGGUUAAAAUGCAGCAAGAAUCAACAGAAGAAGUAAAAGAGGUACCUUUCGAUGAUCAGAUGAGCGUUGAAGGGAGUUGAAGAUUGAGGGAGCUGAGAAGCGCUGUGGGUUUGCAGGGAAAACUCAGAGCGUUUUGAGAAGGCAGAUAGAUGAUGAAACAGUAAAAAUGAAAGGGUUUAAGGGUUUUUCAAACGUUUUUGGAAGCGCAAACGACAGCUAAAGAUGACCGUUGAUGAAGCCACGUGUCGAACGAUUGGAAAAAGGUGUUUGGUGGAGCGUCAGAAAAGCAGAGGGUACGAGCGUUUGGAAUUCUGUGCCAGCGCCACGCAGAUCGGCAGUGACGUGACCUCUUAGUCUUUUCGCUGGACAAGUCUUCGCUUAAGACUAGGGGGCUUGUGUACCGCCUAGGUGGUCGGAAGUGAUGACAUGGCAGCAAGCUAUUAUAUAGGCAUGUUGAACGGGGCACCUGGCUGGCAGAAGGGAAGGAAGUCGGGGGCCUUGUGUAGUCGCCAGUUAUUAAGUUGGCGUGCUCCGAUCUCCAGCGCACCUAAACCGGCGGUCACCGGGUUUGUGAUAAAGUGAUCAGAGAUCGCCGAAAGGAGGAGAUCGCCGAGGGAUCGGGGAAGCUUGUUCCAGGCUUUCGAAGCAGAAGAUGAAGUCGUCAGAUGGUCAUUCCCUAGCUAGCCAGAGGUUGGGAUCGGGGAACAGCUUACCCGAACAUGCACAAUGAAGCAAGUGAAGUAGAUCAUGAUGGCGGCCGGCGAGACCACAGGGAAGGUGUGUAUGAAGACACCCGUACUCGCCACACAGAAGAGAUCGCGCUCCAAGGCAGCUUUACACCGAGUUACUCCUUGCAUGGAUAACUAAGUCGAAUAAGCCUGAAGAGUAAGAAGUGACGCCCAAGUCAAGGAUGCUCCAGAUGGUGACACGGGUACAGCUGGAUACGAGCCACGUGUCCAGAUGUGUAACUGUCAGGAGAGAGAAAUGCACAGGUAUAUAAGGAAUUCUAACGAACCUCUGAGGUACGCGCGUUUUAGAAUACUUCUUUUACGCUUGCGAGAACUUGAGUACGCUGAGAGAGAAUUUUGCACGGUUCCUGAAGUUCUUAGUUUUCUCUUAGUAUUUUGGUGGUUCAGUCGCUGACUUGGGUGUCGGAGCGUGAUCGGCCGCAGCGGCGCCGUUCUGUCUUUUGCAGGUUCUUGAGGUGAAUCAAGGCGAAGGACGGAAGCUAACACGGCGCAAAGUCGAUCCAGAUUUGACGAGGUAAGGCUCUUGCUUCCUGGUCAACAGGCAGGAUCAGCUACUAAGUAUAUGUUGGCUUUUUCAUCUUCACUUGAUGAUGACACCUCAUUUUCAUCCCAAGCUAUGUAGGCUCUUUUUGUCUUGCCUUUCUUCUCCUUGUAGCUUGUCUUUUUCUCUUUGCUCUUGUUGGGACAAUCUGCCUUUAUGUGACCUUUCUCACCACAACCAAAACAAGUAUAGUUAUUUGAAUUAAAUUCAUUGGGUUUCUUGUUUCCAUACCUAUCCUUGUUGUUGUCUUUGUUGCGGUUUCUCUUUAGAAAUUUGCUGAAUUUUCUUGACAGCAAACUUAGAUUUUCCUCAUCACUAUCAUCACUUGAAUCUUGCUUUUCCUUAUGUUUGGAUGCUAUCAAGGCUAUGCUCCUUGUGUGCUUAUCUUCACUCUCUUGAACAUUGAGUCUAUUCAUAUCUAGCUCAUGUUCCCUAAGCUUUCCAAACAAAGAAGCAACACUUAAUGAUGUUAGAUCUUUAGAUUCGGAAAUAGCAGUUACCUUUGGUUGCCAUGCUCUAUCAAGACAUUUCAAGAUCUUGAUGUUCAGCUCUUCUUUGUCAAACGUCUUGUCUAGGCUCAUAAGGUGGUUGAUGAUGUGUGUAAACCUUUUCUGCACUUCAGCUAUGGUUUCACCUUUAAGCAUUCUAAACAUCUCAUACUCUUGGAUGAGAACAUGCUUUCUAGGUCUUUUCACCUCAUUUUUUCCUUCAUGAAUGACUUCCAAAGUAUCCCACAUUUCUUUUGAUGAUUUGCAUUGUGAGGUUAUAAUUUAAAGCAGAGGUUAUAAUAUUUUUGGCAAUGCAAUCAAAUUUGGCCUUUUUACUUUCUGCAUCAGUCCAUUGAGACCAUGGCUUCUCAAUGACAACACCAUCUUUUUCAAACUUUGGGAUAAAAGGGUCAUUUUUCAAUUGCAUCCCAAAUUCCUUUGUCAAGAGAUUCCAUAAAUAUUUUCAUUCUAACUUUCCAAAACUGGUAAUUCAAACCAUAAAACAAGGGUGGUCUAUUUAUUGAGGCACCUUCCCCAAACGGUAGUCUAUCAGCCAUUUUAAAAGAUUUUAGGAUCAACUUCAAUGACUUACAAGAACUAAGCUCUUGAUGCCAAUUGUUAGAAAAGAUGGCUUUAAACUAGAGGGGGGGUGAAUUGUUUAAAGGGGUUUUCGCAAUCUUUUCAAAGCUAGAAUGAAUUUAUUUCAGAAACCAAUUGAUUCAGCAAUUCCGUUAGCCAAAACAGCAAGCAAAAACUGUAAUACUAGAAAAAACAAUCGGUUGUUUCUUCGAAACAAUCGGUUGUUUAUACCAGCAAACAACAAACAAACUGAAAUUAAAGAGUUAGGGAUAGAGAGAUUGUACACAAUUGUUUAUACUGGUUCACUCCAAACUAGAGCUACAUCCAGUCUUCUCAGAAACCCUGAGGAUAACCACUAAGCAAUCACCACUUGAUCACUUACACCACAACCAAGAGAAUGACCUUGAACACCUCAAGAAACACACUCUCCUUGGCCAACACUAAGAUUGCUGAUCUUGAACACCUCAAGAACACACAGCCAAUCUCAGCAAAACACACAAAUGAAUUGUUCGGCAGUUUACAAAGAUUACACUUGUUACAGAUGAAUAUCUGAAAUCAAUACAAGUAGAAUCCUAUUCCAGCACCUUGAUCAAUCUCUCAACUCUUAAGCAAUCUCAGAACUCUUUGAAAAGCUCNNNNNNNNNNNNNNNNNNNNNNNNNNNNNNNNNNNNNNNNNNNNNNNNNNNNNNNNNNNNNNNNNNNNNNNNNNNNNNNNNNNNNNNNNNNNNNNNNNNNGUUUGUUAUCAAAUCUUAACAAAAUCUUAAUGCGAUUUAAAAUUGAUUGGUCAAAGCAUUUAAGGAUGGGAGGGUAUUCAGUUAAAAGCAUUUAAAGCUCAGUCAAAGAAAACAGUUUUUCUGUUAUGGUUUCAAAACAAACAAUCGAUUGUUUCCUCGAAUCAAUUGAUUGUUUUGUUACUUAACAAAUUUCACCAUUCAAAAACAGUUUUCAAACUUUCUCAAAACACCUAAGUGUAAACAAUCAGUUGUUUCGACAAAACAAUCGGUUGUUUCAACUUAGUUUGAAAAACAUUUUACUUUGAUAAAGAUUGAGAUGCUAAUUGCUUGAGAUUUAAUCUAAGGGUGGAUUACAACAUUAAACUAUCCCAGAACAAAGCUUAAACCAGCACAGCAACACACAGCAAAGCAGAGGCUUCAACAUCCUUCAAAGGAUUUGGAUUCUUCGAAACAUUGAACACCACUUGGUUCAACACAUCCAACAAAAUGGAGUGUCUUUCUUCAGUAACUCAUGGAGUGGUAAAGCUAGACUUGAGAAGUUAGGAUAAAUUCUCCUAUAAUAACUUGCUAGACCAUGAAAACUCCUAACAUCUCCUACAUUUUGUUGUGUUGGCCUUUCUUGGAUGGCUUUGAUUUUCUCGAGGUCAACAUGUACCCCAUUUUUGUUAGCUAUAAAACCCAAAGACACUACACUAUCAACAUAGAAAGUACAUUUAUCACUAUUAGCAAACAAACUAUUAGCCCUAAACACUAAGAAAACUUCCCUAAGGUGGCUUAGGUAAUCAUAAACUACUACAUAUUUACCUAUGCAAUCCCUCUUUAAAGAUUCUAUUUUUACUAUGCUUGUAAGGGGUGUUUUAAGAUAUUCAUCAUUCUUUGUAGAACCCUCUUCUUCUUUUUCAAACAACCCCUCACUUGACUUUUCUAUUUCUUUCUUCUUUUUCUUCUCAUUUUCUUCACUCUCACUAGUUUCUUUUUCUUGGCUACUAUUGUUAGCAUUGUUCCUUAAGAUCAUAGAUCUUUCAUUUGAACAAUGAGAUGCUAAAUGACUCUUACCAAGAUAUUUUAAACAUUGACUUAUUCUAGCGUGAGUGUGUGAGAUAUGCUCGGAUAGCUUUUGGGAAAGUUCUAGAGAUGUUUCUUUUAUAUGUUCUUCCCCUCUUUGGAACUCAUCCUUGUCAUAAGAUACAGAGUAUGAACUUUGUUUUUGACUUGAUUGUUUUCUCAAAAUUUGUUUUUCAACUUUAAUGCUAAGUUGAAUCAAGUCAUUUAAAUCUCUAUAAGGUAAAAGUUCAACUUUGUUUCUUAUCUCAAGUUUGAGGCCACUUAAAAACCUAGGUAUGGUGGUAUGGUUGUCCUCAUUAAUCCCUGCCCUUAUUAUAUAUAGCAUCAUCUUUUGCCAAUAUUCUUCUACACUUAGAUUUUUUUGAUGAAGUCCUUGGAGUUUGUCCAUUGACUUCCUAUUGUGGUAGGAGGGAAUAUGGCGGCGGCUUAAAGCUCCCCUAAGAUCAUUCCAAUACUCUAUGGGAGGGUCCUUAUGAAGGCACCUUUUACUCUCAAGGGCAUUCCACCAAUACAUAGCAUUAUCUUGAAAACUUAGGGUGGCUAAGGGUACUUUCCUCUCUUCAUUUACUCUAUGGCAAGCAAAUAAUUGUUCUACCUUCAUUUUCCAAUCUAAAUAGACUUCUAUGUUUUCUUUUCCAUGAAAAUGAGGUAGAUCUACCCUAACCUCUCUUGGACUCUCUUGUUCUUUUCUUUCUCUUCUAGUUCUCCUAGGGGGUGGUUGAUAAUAUUCAUUUAUCCUAAGACUUUCUUCCCCAAAAGAUUCAUGAUUGUGAGAACUAGAUGCAUGUGAAUAUAAUUUUUUAGAUUUUUGAGAGCUUUCAUCCUUUUCUUUAGCCAUUUUCAACUCUUUGAUUUGUACCUCAUGUUCCAAUUGUCUAUAUGAGAAUGAUUGAAAGUCCUUGGCUAAUUGUUUUAAAAGAUUUUUAAUGGACUUUAUAUCACUUUCACUAGAUUUCGAAGAGUGAGUUGACAUGACUAAAGCUUUGUGUUUAAAAGUAUUUUACCUCAAGAAAGAAAAGGAAAGUAAUGAAGGUAGCUUUCCAGGAAAGAGAGGUGGAUCACUAGGAUCUCUUAAGUACCAAGUCUUUCCUUGCCAAAACCUAUCCCUCAAGACUUCACACAAUUAUUUUUCUAAGUAAUUUACUUAGAUCACAAUUAGAAAUGAAAAGUCAAUUUUUAGGCAAAGGAAAACAAUGCAAAGCAAUUAAUUAAUGCAAAUCAAGUAAUUAAAGUAAAGCAAUUAACUAAGCACAAAUUAAAUAUUGCUAACUACAAAGCUUUAAACUAGACGAUUCCUAAGGUGAGGCUUCUAGAUACUUGGAGCCAUUGAAGACACACUCACUGUCUACACGCAAUUAAUCCGCUAAUUAAUCAAGGUUGAAUGUAAUUACAACUCAAAGAAAUAUAAAGAAACCGAAUUACACAAAAUAAAAUUCAGAUUUCCUAAACUAUGCACUCCUUGGCUUGUGGUUGAUCUUCCUUGAUGUGUUCUACAAUGUGUAUAGGUUUGUAUUUAUAUUUGCUGCAGCUCCUUGCCUUAACCUCUUAUGGUUAGCCAAUUAAAAUCUUCCAAACAGUACCUACUAAGUAGGGAUAGACUCGCCACAAGGUUAAUUCCACUUAACAAGCAUCAAUUUGAAUUUUGUUCUCCAAUCAAUUUAGAGGUCAAGAAAUGAAAGUAAGAAACAAUUCAAAUUUAAAAAAUAGGACAACAACAAAUGGAUUUGAAUUAUAUGACACAACUUAGAAGGAGUAUUGAAUAAUAUUGGACAAGCAAUAAAAAUAGGCACUCAACAAAAGGUAGCACACAAAUUGAACCUAGAGAAUGGCACUAGAAUUGAUUAGAAAAACCAAAACAGUACUACUGGAAUUUUUAGGUCCAAAAAGCGUGACUUAUAAAAUUUAUGCUGAGCUGGCUAUUUGAAAUUUUAUUCUAAAAUUUUAACCACAAACAAUUCAAGGUCUUAGCAAACUUUUGGCGCUGGAAUCACACCAAAACUAUGCACCAAAUAAUUGUGAUAAAUUUUUCAAAAUUCUUGUCCAACUACCAUAUAUUUUGGCGCCAGAAUGCACACUUUUUUUGUUUUAUUUAUCAUUUUUUCUCCAUUUUGUCUUUUGAUCUGAUUCUUUUUUUUCUUGAUUUUCUAAUACAUCAAACUGUAUAGAUCCAGGUUUUCAUAAUUUUUCUUCAUCGUAUUUGAAUUUCAUAACAAAAAACAGCCAGCACAGAAUUUGAAAAAUAGAGUAAUCCUAAUUCUGGAAUUUAAAAACAGAAUGAAGAACUUCAAAAACACAAUGGAGUGAAUAUAUAUAAAUUUGUAUGGAUCUGGACUCAAAUCAAAUCAAGAAACCAAAAUUAUCGACAAAAUCAACACUACAUGGAAUUGAUGACAAAUUAGGAGAAACAUGACUUAGACAAAACACAAUUGGAUUCAAAAAUUAAAAUGACUCAAGACAUAUAAUGAACCGAAUAGAAUUGCAAACAAGACUCAAACAAACUAAAAAUAGAACAACAACACAAUUCUGUAUAGAUUCCUACACAAAUGUGAAAAUUAGAAGCUCAAGAACAAUUUGAACACAAUGCACCGAUUGGAUUUCUCCAAACAACACCUAAAUCAAAUUAAAAUGCAAAAAACAGCAAGACAACAUGGAAAAUUGAAGAAAAACACGGCAAAAUGAAGAACCAAAAAUUAAAAUGCAAGGAGACACUUAGCUCUUGUAUAACCGUAGCUCAUGAUACCAAAUGAUAGAUUUGUGUCCUCCUCUUUUCUGUUUUGUAGGUGAUUUGCGGCAGCCACAUGGAUUAGAGAUGGAACAAGGUCCUCCUAAGAGUGGUGGUGACCUUGAAGGUGCACGAUAGGUAGGAUUUGAGAGUGGUGAGGCUAACUCUACUUGGAAAGGGCCAACUCUAAGAAAAAUUACAAAUAAAGUUCCUAUGCUAAUUUUGACAAGAACUAAAAAAACUAUUCUACACUAGAGUUUAUGACAUGUAGAAUGUGUCCUCUUUGACCAUAACUCUAGUGGUUGCCUCAAUUUGACAUUUUGGUGGUAUUUCAAUGGAUUGGUGCUUUGGCCUCUUCCAUCAUUUAUGGUAAUAUGAGAGCGAAAAAUAAGUAAAAGUUAAAAGAAAGUUAAACAAUUCUAAACAACCCACUAUAACAAAAAAAUAAAUUACAUUUUUUUAGAAUUUUUUUUAAAUUAGAAGAAUGCAAAAAAAAAUGUAAGUUUAUAUUUUACCAAUAGUUAAAAUUAAUCGAUAAAUACAAAAAUUUCGUUGAUAAAUAAAAAUUUCGUCUAUAAAUUUAUUGAUGGAAUUAGAUCCUUUAAUAAUUAGUAACAAACACAAAUCUGUCAAAUCCUUCGAUAAUUAAUAAUAUUUUUAUUAAUAUUUUUUAUAUUAUUAUAUAUUUUUAUUAUUUAUCAUUAUUAUUUAUUACUAUUAUAGAUUAUUUUUAUUAUUAUUAUUAAGAUAUUAAAAGUUAACAUUAUCAUUUUUGUAGUGUAGCUCAUAUUUUCAGAUUUUAAAAGUGUAAUAAUUUUUUUUAUUUAUAUCAGUAAUUACCAACAAACACCAGUUCAUUAUCUAAAUCUAUCGGUAAUUUCAUCUGUAAAUAAAAUUGUCUGUAAUUAAAAAUUAUUGACAAACAAAUUUUUUUUAAGUAACUUUUAGUCGAUAAAUAAAAAUUUCUUGUAGUGAAAGGAGAUAAGGAGUUGUUAUAUUACAAACUUAAGAACACUAUAUUAUAUUUAUACUAUUGUAUGCCAAAUACAAUUUAGAAAAAUUUAUCAUUAUAGUAUAAUUUAUUGAAAAAAUAAAAAAAAAAGUAAAUUGUAAAAAAUUAAGUAAGUUCCGUUUUUCAAGCACAACUUUGUAUUGUCUUCAAAGGUCAAGAAAUAUAAUUAAAGAAUUUAUAUUUUUUUUAUUCUUCCUUUUUUAGCAUAUGUUGUUACACAAUGAGAUAAUUUUAUUAAUUUCAAUCGACUAAGCAUAUUGUGUCGAUUCUUUUUAGUAAGUUAUUUGAAUUUUUUUAUUUUUCACAAUAUAAAAGUCAUAUUUAGUAUAUACAACUUUCAUUAUCACUAUUUUUUUAUACUAAAAUUAUAUUUGGUAAGCACGACUUUUAUUUAUUUUUUACUAUAGUCGUGUUAUGCACAACUCUAAUACAAUAACUAGAAUAAAAAUUGUGCUUUCCAAACAUGCUUAGUAAAACUUCAGGAAAAAAAAAAAUUUAUAUGUGCUAAACACUACUUUAAUAAAAAAAUAAACAAAAUCAUAUAUGCAAACACGACUUUUCUAGUGUUUAAAAUAAAAAUUGAUCAAUGUAUGAAAUGUUGAUAUAUACACUAGUGGAAAAACGCUUAUUUACAAUAGUUAAUAUAUAAUGUUUCACUACCAAAUGUUGUCUAUCAAAAUGCGGUGACAUUUUUUGAAUUAAAACGGGUACAUAGAAAACAAGUCCUCUUAUAACCAUUGUCUAUACCCUCGUUAUUAAUCUAAUUCGAAGCCCCGCACUACUUAUGCUUUCGUUCUCUGCCUUUUCUUUCUUCUUCUUUGCACUCUCUCUUCAACUCUUUUGAACAUUCUCUUCACUCAUUGUCUUUGUAAGUUCUUCCUAUACUCAUGCUUAUUCCUCCUCCAUUCUUCAUAGUGGUUCAUUGCUCAUUCUUCCAUUGGUUCAUUAUUUAAGGUUCUCGUUAAUUGCUCCACCACCGCGCUUCGCUUUCCCUCCACCGUUGUCCCCGUUACCUUUGUAAGUUCUUCCUAUCUUCAUAGUUUAUUCUUCCGCUUUAGUUCUCAUCUUAUUUUUCCUCCAUUCUUCCAUUGGUUUAAUUCUCAUUCUUCCAUUGGUUCAUUGUUUAAGGUUCUUGUUAAUUGAUCUACCACCGCACUUCGCUUUCCCUCCACCAUUGUCAUUGUUGUCUCCGCUACCCUCCACCGUUGUUGUAGCUGCUACCAUCACCUUGAGGUUGGUGUUGUUCUUAUUUAUUUUUUUAAUAUUUUUUGUGUGUGACUUAUAGACGGCGGUUCUACAACCAUCGCCUAUACCUCAAUAGAAUAUACCACGUGCUGAUAGACAACGGUUUUAAAACCGUUAUCGAAUUGUUAAAAGAACCGUUGUCUUUGACUUUUUCUACAAUAGUGAUAUAUAUUUGAGGUAAUAUAUAUGUUGAUAUCUUUAUGACAUGUUUUGGAUACUAGUAGCUUGUGUGAUGGAGUGUUAAACAUGUUUGUUCAUUAAGUAAAAGUGAUAUUCUAACUUCAUUAAUAAUUUGAUCACGUAAAUUAAAUCAUCAAGUGGUGAGAAGUUGAAAAAUGUUCACACAUUAGGUUUGGAUAAAUAGGUUUAUGGACUACUCUAGCCUAUGGUAGGUGUUAGAUUUUGGUGAGACAUUUGAGAAGGCGUCUUGUUGUGGUCGUUAAAUUGUACAUUGAAUAUAUGACUAAUGAUUAUGGUACCUUGUUGAUGAUAUUUUAGCAAAUAUUGUUCAUUGGAGGUAUUGUUAAGGAUAUCUUCAUCUUAUUGAUAAUGCAAUGGUGUAAUUCGCAAGUUGUAUAUUGAAUAUAAUGUAUCAUGAUAUAUGUGUGAGUUGUGUGAUGUUAUUUAUUGUGUAUGAGAUGUUUAAAGUUAAAGUAUCUCACUCUUACACGUAGGUGGUUGACUAUUAUAAUCGUAGUUGGUAUGAAAAUAUAUGAUGUUACAAGUCAUAGUAGCAAGACUACCAUUUACAUUUGUAAUGCAAUGUAAAUACUUUUUUGGAUGACUUUAUAGUUAUUAUGUAAUAGAUAGAAUAUAAAACUAUAUAUCCAUGCGUAUAUUUGAUUCUAUUAUGGACUAAUUAAACAUGAGACAUUACAAAGAAAUGAAGUAUUGAUAUCAUGUACUUUCUUCACAUUAAAACAAUGAGUUGAAGCGCAAAAUAUUAGUACAAAGGAUAAUCAAUCAGACAUGUUCACCAAGCAUGUUCCUAUAAGUUCAUGCAUUCUUUGCAUAUUUGUUAAUUUAUAUCUUGUCUUUUCUUCAUACGCUAUGUUCGUCUAAUGAGAACGUCAAGCUCAGAAGCGUCUAAUGGUUGGUGGUGCAUUUUGUUUGAUUAAGGGUCUGGUCAUAGUUGUUAUUAAAUGAUUGUUUUGUUUAGUUAGUAAGGCUUUCUGUUUUCCUAGUAAGUUAGCAUUGUAACUAGUCAAUAUAUAGGUGAUCUCAUCUAACUUAACCAAGAGUUGGAAAGUUAACCGAUACACACUAAUGUAAUUCAUAUUAAUCAUUUAAAGGUAAUUCAUUCUUUCUUUUUUUAGUGUGUAUUUCAUAAACUCCUUUGUAAUCAAUAUAUUUUGUUCUUGUAUGUGUUUAUUAAUAACGAAUUUAUAGAAUACAUCAUGUCUUUGAUUACUUUUGUAUUAUAAAUGUACAUCGGUCAAAGAUCAUCUAUAGUGUUCUUCCCUUAUACCAUGUGACCUUCUUAAUUGAAUAACCCAAUAUUGUUCCAUCAUUGAACUUCUUUGAUGUUAUUAGGAGUUAGUUAAAUUUAUUAAUAUUUUUUAUUUCACAAAAUAAAAAAUAUACUUAACUAAAAGAAAUAUACUUAAAUAAUCUUCAAUCAUGUUUACUGGAAGGAAAAUGUAGGUUGAACAACCGCUUAUCUCAUUGCUCCAGUGUACAACUGUCCAGGUGGCAAAAAAAAAAAAUAUUAAAUUGUUGUUGCGGGGCCCACAAUUUUUUUUGAAAAGGUUUAAUCUUUGGUUCAAAUUUCCAUUAGGGUUACGAAACUCUUCCUCUUUCAAUUUCUUCUUCUUUUGGUGGCUGAAGUCUCCCUCUUUCAAUUUCUUCUUCUUUUGGUCCCGUGGUUCACCAGUGCACCGUUCCCUCUUUGAAUUUCUUCUUCACAAAGGUCUUGUGGUUCUCCAGUGCAUUGUUCCCUCUUGUAGUUUGUUGUUGUAUUGGUUUCCUGUGUCGUGGUUCCGUGGUCUUGUUCUUCGUCGUCGUCGUCGGCCGGUGUUUGCUCGGUGGACGCCCUUCAUCUCUUUUCACGGUGGUUAGGUGAUAAAGGUAAUAUAUUUUUGAUUCAAUGGAUUAUGAAGUGAAACAUUGUUGUUGUGUGAUUUUGAUGUUGUUGUAGAACCUAUUUUGAUUCAAUUUUAGUUUGAGUUUCGUGUUGAAGGAAUUUUGAAGCUUUUCUUCCUUGAAUGCUGAACUGUUGGUAUUGUUUUUAUUACUUGUACCGCCCUGGUAGUCGGAAGUGAUGACGUGGCAUCAAGCUACAGUAUCGGCGUGUUGACAAGACGCCAGGUUGGCAGAAGGGAAAGAAGUCGGGGGGCUCGUGAAGUCGCCAGUUUUUAAGUUGGCGUGCUCCGAUCUCCAGCAUACCAGAACCGGCGAUCACCGGGUUAAAGAUGAAGUCGCCAGAUGUAAACUCAGGCGACCAAGUGAUUAGAGAUCGCCGGAGCAAGCACAUCGCCGAAGAUGAAGGUGGUGCAGAUUAUGAAGGCGGCCGGCGAGACCACAGGGAAGGUGUACGAAGGCACCCUAACUCGCCAAUUCCAGUAGAGAUCGCGCUCCCAAGUUAGCUAUGCACUGGGCAGUACCACGCAUAAGUAACUUAGCCAAAAGAGAGUCAGAAGCAGCGCCCAAGUCAAGGAGACUCCAAAUGAUGGCACGUGUACGACUGGAUGCGAGCCACGUGUCCAGCUGCGUAACUGCCAGGAGAGAGAAAGUGACCAGGUAUUUAAGGGUUUCCCAACGAACUUUUGAGGUACGCACGUUCAGAUUGUCUUCUUUACGCUUGCGAGUUCUUGAGCAUACUGUGAGAGAGAACAUUGCACGGUUCCUUGAGAGUUCUUGAGUGUUUGCUCUUGAAGUAUUUGGUGGUUCAGUCACUGACUUGGGCGUUGGAGUGCGAUCGGCCGCAGCGGCGCCGCUCUGUUCUUUUGCAGGUUCUUGAGGUGGAUCGUGACGAAGGACGGAGGUUCAAGCGGUGCGCACGUCGAUCCAAGUUUGACGAGGCAAGUUCCAACGUUUCGGUCAACAGGCAGGAUCAUCAGGCGCCCACCGUGGGGCCGUGUAAAACUUGUUCCCAUCCGCAGCGUGAGUUCUUGGAGGUUUUCGUAGUUUUCUGCGUGGUUGUGUGCUUAUGCAACCAUCGUUCGCUGUUCGUUUGAGAUUUGUUCGGUGAUUUCGCGUUUUCCACCGAUCGUUUGGGUUUUUGUUCGGUGAAGUGAAGUUUUCUGCUGUUUACGCGAGAUUUGUUCGGUGAAGUUUGAGUUCUUUGGCUCGUUUGGUUUGUCGUGGGAGAAGCGGUGGUUUCUGGUGGAGUUGCAGGUUUCUGUGGAGGUUCGCUGUGUUCUUGAGUUUCUUGCGGAGUUUUGCGAGGUUCUGACCGAUUGAUCGCCGAAUCAAUCGUAGCUGAAGUAAGUGUUGUUCGUUGCAUUCUGUGAUUCGCCAAGUUUCAUGAGAAAAAUGAGAAGCAAUCGUUCAAGUCCAGUUGCGCCCGUCGCUGCUGAAGGCGCCGCCGCCAUGACUAUGGCGCAGAUGGUAGAGAUUAUGCGCUCGUUGCAGGCAACUGUGGAAGCCUCGCGCAUAGAACAGGCGAGAAUGCAUGAGGACCUGGCCGCCUCUCGGGCCAGGAAUGAUGAGCUUAGCAAGGUGACUGAAGAGCUGCGUCAAGCUUUUCAGGAGCAGCAAGGGCGUCCUAUUGCUGAAGAGGUCGCGCCGUCGACGCCGCCUCGUGUUUUUCCUAUGCCUUUCGCUCCGGCGAUUACUGACACGCCUAUUCCUGCGAGUGUGGUACCUGUCAAGGCUGUUUUUACCGGCGUAGAGGAUCCUGAGGCUCAUCUCACCAUGUUCCAUACGCAGAUGAUGCUGUCAGGAGGAUCAGACGCCGUAUACUGCAAGAUGUUUGUGAGCACGCUCCAGGGAACGGCGUUGGAGUGGUUUGUGAGCCUGCCUAACAGUCACAUAACCAAUUUCCAACAGUUCUCGAAGAUUUUCGUCGAGCAGUACAUCGUGAAUAAGGCACCGCCUAGGGUGUCUUACGAUUUGUUUGAUAUAAGGCAAUAUCAGGGAGAGUCCCUCAGGGACUACUUGAAUCGCUUUGGGGCGCAGAUGGUCAGAUCGCCGGCUAAAGAUGAAGAAAUGCUGGUCUAUGCAUUUAAGAAGGGCGUGCUGCCGGGACCAUUCUGCGAGGCGUUGAUCAGGGCUCACCCCGCCACGUUCGCUGAGGUGAGGUGACUUGCGGUGGCCCACAUCGCCGACGAGAGUGAAGUCGCCGAGAAGAGAGGAGCGUGGCUCCCGCUAGGCCACGCGCCCAGACCAGGAUCCAGCCACAGAGGGUGCUGGAAACAGCGGCGGCCAGAAGGGAUCAGAGGACUCGCCAUCCUUAUGAUCCAAGGAAGAACAAGGGCAGGAGCCAAGGGCGCCAGCAACCAGCACGCCGGGAAUACAAUCGCCCGCCUAAGCACAAGUUUGUCAUGGGAUUGGCGGACCUGAUCGCCAUUCCCAAUAUAUCUGCUAGGUUGAAAGCGCCAGAGAAGGUGGGCGACAAGGUGCUGGGACCAAAGCCAGAUGCCUGGUGUGAGUUUCACCAAGGCUUUGGCCACACCGUGGAUUCGUGUUUAGCUUUAGGAUACCAGCUCGACGAUCUGGUAAAGAGCGGGUUCCUAAAUGACUAUUUGCUGGACAGAAGGACGGGGGACGCGUCGAGCUCCCAACCAGCAGGUGGAGAAGCCCAGCAGCACGAGAUGCCUAUGCACGGGGAAAUCCACACCAUUGCAGGGGGUUUCUCAGGAGGUGGAUGCACCGCAUCACAGAGGAAGAGGUACGCGAGGUCUGUGAUGACGGUGGAUAUGUUUAAAGACCACUCGCCGGAAGUGGACAUUACAUUCACCAAGCAGGAUCUUCGGGACGUUGUGCCUCAUGACAACGAUCCCAUAGUAAUUUCUUUGAUCACUGCAGGAAGAAAGGUCCACAGGGUUCUGGUGGACCAAGGAAGCUCGGCAGACGUGAUGUUCUGGCCGACUUUCACGCAGUUGGUGCUGCCCCUUGACCAGCUGAGGCCCUAUGGAGGGUGUUUGUAUGGUUUCGCUGGUGACCAGGUGGAGGUCAGGGGAUACAUAGAAUUGAGGACUACGUUUACAGACGAGGCGGGUUCGAGAACGGAGAAAAUCAAAUACCUUGUUGUAAACGCUCCUUCAGCCUACAACAUCCUGUUGGGAAGGCCCACGCUCAACAGGAUAGGUGCCAUACCGUCGACUCGGCACAUGAAGGUGAAGUUGCCGUCUAUGGAGGGGGUAGUGAUCACCAUCAAAUCCGAUCAGAAAGAAGCGAAGAAGUGCUAUGAGAAUAGCCUAAAAAACAAAAGAUCGGUGAGUUACGUAACAACCACCCCGCCUCCGGGUGUGAAGCCCAGGUCGACGAUAAUAGAAGAGACCGCCGGAAGAGACGUGGAGAUGGUGGAUGCUGAGCUAGGGGAGGGGAAUGCCGGUCUGGAGGAAGAAGAGGCAAGGAAUCGCCCUGAGGAAGCGAGAGAACUGGGAAUCGCCAGGGCGGUGAUCGCCAGAGAAACCAGACCAAAACCCGUCGAGCAGUGGCUCGAGAGGGAGAUCGGGGCAAAAAUCUUUAAGCUGGGGAGGUCCCUGGAGGUUGAGCUCCAGGACCAGAUCGCCAAGGUGAUAGAACGGCAUCUGGAUGCGUUUGCAUGGUCCGCUUCGGACAUGCCCAGGAUCGAUCCCGACUUCUUGUGCCAUCAUCUGGCGAUGGACAACUUGGUGAGACCAGUGCGACAAAGAAGAAGAAAGUUUAACGAGGAGAGGAGGNNNNNNNNNNNNNNNNNNNNNNNNNNNNNNNNNNNNNNNNNNNNNNNNNNNNNNNNNNNNNNNNNNNNNNNNNNNNNNNNNNNNNNNNNNNNNNNNNNNNNNNNNNNNNNNNNNNNNNNNNNNNNNNNNNNNNNNNNNNNNNNNNNNNNNNNNNNNNNNNNNNNNNNNNNNNNNNNNNNNNNNNNNNNCCUGGUGGAUAGUGCUGCGGGGUGUAAGUUGUUGAGCUUCCAUGAUGCCUUCUCGGGGUAUAACCAGAUCAAGAUGCAUCCCAUGGAUGAAGAGAAGACUGCCUUCAUGACCGAGAGAUCGUGCUACUGCUACAAGGUGAUGCCGUUUGGGCUGAAGAACGCGGGGGCCACGUACCAGAGGUUGAUGGAUCGAGUACUUGCACCGAUGCUGGGAAGGAACGUGCAAGCGUAUGUCGAUGACAUGGUCGUGACCUCGCCGGAAAAAAGCAAGCACGUUGCAGACUUGGAGGAAUUGUUCACGACGAUCGCCAAGUUCAAGUUGAAGCUUAAUCCAGAAAAAUGCAUUUUCGGCGUGGAGGCUGGAAAGUUUUUGGGUUUCCUCUUGACUGAAAGAGGCAGAGGCCAACCCGGAUAAGUGUGCCGCCAUCUUGGCGAUGAGGAGCCCGGCUACCGUGAAGGAAGUGCAACAACUAACAGGUCGGAUGGUCGCCCUGUCUCGUUUCGUGUCAGCUAGCGGAGAGAAGGGCCAUCCCUAUUUUCAGUGCUUAAGGAGGAAUAACAAGUUUGUUUGGACGAAGGAGUGCGAGGAAGCCUUCGUCAAGCUAAAGGAGUAUCUGGCGAGCCUGCCGGUUUUGUGCAAACCGCUGGUGGGAACCCCUUUCAGGUUGUAUUUUGCUGUAACUGAGAGGGCGGUGAGUGCGGUGCUCGCCCAGGAUCAAGAUCAGGCUCAAAAGCCUAUUUAUUUUGUUAGUAAGGUGUUGCAGGGCCCCGAAACGAGAUAUCAGGCCCUGGAGAAGGCUGCGCUGACUGUGGUGUUUUCGGGGAGGAGGUUGCGCCACUAUUUCCAUAGCUUCACAAUUCUGGUGAUGACUGACUUGCCCAUCCAGAAGGUCUUGAAGAAGCUCGACGUUGCGGGAAGGAUGGUGAAGUGGGCAGUAGAGCUGUCAGAGUUUGAUAUUAAGUACGAACCCCGAGGCCCGAUUAAGGGGCAAAUCUUUGCAGAUUUCGUGGUCGAGCUUUCGUCUGAGGCGACACGAGUUGAAGGGGACGACUUCCGUUGGGUACUCUCGGUGGAUGGAUCGUCGAACCAGCAGGGUAGCGGUGCUGGAGUCAUUUUGGAAGGACCCAACGGCGUGUUGAUCGAACAAUCUUUGAGGUUUGCCUUCAAAGCCAGCAACAACCAAGCAGAAUAUGAGGCGCUGAUCGCCGGGAUUUUGCUGGCAAAGGAGAUGGGAGCGAGGGUGCUGAUGGCUAAGAGUGACUCGCUGCUAGUCACAGGGCAAGUAACAGGCGAGUUCCAGGCUAAAGAUCCACAAAUGGCGGCUUACUUGGAGUAUGUGCAGGAAUUGAAGAGUUCCUUUGCCUCCUUUGAAGUGGUGCAUGUGCCCAGAGAGCAGAAUGCCCGAGCUGACUUGCUAGCUAAGCUCGCCAGUUUAGGCAAGGGGGGUAAACAGAGGACGGUGAUUCAAGAAACUCUGAAGACGCCGAGAGCAUUUGUAGCAGAUCACCUGGUUCUUCAGAUAAGCAGGUCGACGGGAAAAGCGGCAAGAAGUCACAAGUCUUUAACGCAAGAAACAAUGAGAUCGCCGAGAAUUAGAGCAUGUCGAGGAGAGAAGGUAAACAUGACGCAGGUCUGUGCUACCCAUGAGCCAGACACCUGGAUAACACAGUACAAGCGGUGCUUGGCAGAUGGCCUUCUCCCGCUAGAUCCGACAGAGAAUAGGAAGAUAAAGAAGAAUUCUAGCAAGUUCACAUUGAUUGAUGGCGAGUUGUACAGGUUUGGGUUCACUCACCCACUCUUGGAAUGUGUGCAUGGCGAGAAGUGCACGAGAAUCAUGGCAGAGCUCCACGAAGGGAUAUGUGGANNNNNNNNNNNNNNNNNNNNNNNNNNNNNNNNNNNNNNNNNNNNNNNNNNNNNNNNNNNNNNNNNNNNNNNNNNNNNNNNNNNNNNNNNNNNNNNNNNNNUUACAGUUAAGAGCUUUGUAAGUAAAGACAAACACGAAGUUAUAUUACAAUGUCUCUGUCAAACAGUUUGAAGGGGGCACUCUUUUUUCCCUAAGGAGGGUUUUUAAUGAGGCCACCCAAUAAAGAAGAGUUUUCGAAGCUCAAAGUUGUUUUAGAUUGCAUGCUUAUUGUUUUCAGAAAGUUUUGAAGAAAGACCUUGUCACUUAUAUGUGACUUAAGGCAAGUUAAAGAUAUAUUGCAUGCUUUCUAAAAGGUUUUAAGUCCUCAUCGUCUUUCGGCGAUCGGAGGCAUCAGUUAAAGUUAAAGUUAAAGUCCUCAUCGUCUUUCGGCGAUCGGAGGCACGAGUUAAAAGACCUCAACGCCCUCGCGCGUCCUGAGGCGAGAUAAAAGACCUCCUCGCCGUCGAGCGAGUGCAGGCGAGGAAGAGUAAANNNNNNNNNNNNNNNNNNNNNNNNNNNNNNNNNNNNNNNNNNNNNNNNNNNNNNNNNNNNNNNNNNNNNNNNNNNNNNNNNNNNNNNNNNNNNNNNNNNNUUCUCGCCUAUGAGCGAGUUCAGGCGUGUUAAAGACCUUCUCGCCUAUGAGCGAGUUCAGGAAAGAGAGAAUCCUUCUCGUCUCGAACGAGUUCAGUUAUGGUGUAAAGGGUGGAAGAAGUUUGGAGGGUGGCUAAGGUAGGUUCGAAGAGAGCGCCUAGCCACCCGGUCUCUUGUUCUGAAGCUCAAGGAGGUAGAGAAGGAUCCGAAAGGCGCCUCUACCCCCAGAUAAAAGAACAAUGGCCAAGGUAUGAAGCCAGAAAGAAGCUGAUAUCGCCAAGUGAGUCUUUGGCGACCAGGAAAAGUUCAAGCAGUGGCGAGAAAGUUAAAGACCCGUUUUUGAUGAAGCACAUCGGGUGAAGUGAUGUUUUAAGCCAGUAGUUGAGUUAAAGUUCGUUGCUUGAAGAGUGAUUUUACGUUAAGGUUCAUGGCCUUGAGAUUACAAGUUGUUAAAGCGUUAUUGUCCGAAGAUCGGUGGUUCGAAAUAGUUAAGUACACGAUUGCGCUUACGAAAUUACUAAGUCAUUUCUUUGAAGUAAAUCGCGCAAGGAAAGUUAAAGCAGACAAAGAAGUUACAAGAAGAAAUACGAAGGUCUUGUCAUUAAGUAAAUAUCAGUUCGGGGCACAUAUACAGAAAAAGAAAAAAGUUCAUUACAAUUAUAUGCAAAGGGAAGGCGUAAAGGUAGUGGAUGGAGGGAAUUGAUCAGUCUUCAGCGGGAACCACCUUCCCAUCCACCACCUCGUUGUUGAGGGACACCAUGCUAAGAUCCAGAUCGGGGAACAAGCAGGCGAACUGUUCCCGUGCGGCCUCGAAUCCAGCAGCCAGAAUUUGGGCAGAACUCAGAUUAAGUUCUUCAAUCUGUUUCUUGAGUUCUCCAGUUUGUUCCUUCAGCCCCUUGUUCUGCUGCUCCAGCUCUUCAGCUUGCUUCUUGAGUUUUUCGAUGGUUUCCUGAGCUUGGAGAAGGUCUUCAGCAACCUUCUUGGAUUCUGCCUGCGCCUGGCCCAAUUCAGCAGCGAUCUUCCCCUUUUCUUUGUUGGCUUCGGCAAGCUCAGCCAUGGCGUCGUCCCUCGCCUUCUCCACCUUUCCCAGGAAGACCUCCCGAUCGGCUAACCUUUGUUCCAGUUUCUUCACCUUGGCGGUGUCAGUUUUUAUUAAGGCCUCCAGGUCAGCCACUUUGACGCGAUAAGGUACAAUCUUGCUCUCCAGCUCAAUCUUCUCUUGAGCCAGAAGCUGCACCUUAUGGCGUAGAUCGGUGGCCUCCUUGCGCGCCAUCCGGAGCUCGGUGCUCAUUGCAUCUUCUACUCGGGAGUGUUCAAUCUCCGCGAGUGUCAGAUUGCAGGACAACUUCUCCGCCUCAAUCCUUAUAGUGCUGUUCUCAGUUCGAAGGGCGUAGAGGUCGUCCUGGAGCUUCCUGGUGGAGCUCUCCACAGCUCUAAAGAUAAUGGUGGGGAAGUCCUCUGCCAUCAUCUUCAGUUUGGCCGAGAAAGGCUCCCACAUCCUCAUGACCUCGAGAGAGAGGUUUUCUUGUGGAGGCACCGGAUGGGCUCGUUGUUGGCUCUCGCCGCCACCUUCUUUAGUUGGUUGCUCAACAGGUGCUUCUUGGCGUGGUGGCGACGUCGGGGAUUCAGUAAUCAGAAUUGGAGAGUUAUGGGCAACCUCAUCCCCGAUUGGAGCAACGUCUGCGGCUGAGGCAUUUGAAGGAGGACCCCCUCCAGCUGAUACAUAAGGCGUGGAGGCGCUCGGGGGGUCCUCCAUGAAGUUUGGCUCGGGGGCCUCAACCGCAGGUGGCGCAGACGCCAAUGGAAUUGCUUGGACUGGUGAGGCAGGAGCUGGCGGAGGAGGCAAUGUUGGAGGUGGAGCAGGCGUGGAUGGCGGUGUUGACGUUGGAAGAGGGGGUGGAGCAGGUGGUGAAGAAGGUACCACCCUCUUCCUCUUGGUGACGAGGCCAUCUUCAGUUGCCUCGUCGUCUUCCUCUUCCUCCUCGUGGACAACUUGGGGGGCUUUCCUCUUGGGUUUCCUAAGGACAAGCUUUUUUCGUUGGUUGGCGGGUUGGACAUCGAGAGGAGUUGGGCCUUUGGGUGGCGAUCGGCCCUGUGCGGCGGCGAUCUCCACCACCGAGUUUGGCACGGUUUGUGAACCCGAUGCCAACCUGUGGGUUCGGGCGAGCGCCCUCAGUUCAGCGAGCUUGCCCUGGCCCAACAUAUUAUCUGCAUAGAGCAUAAAUGCAUGGGUUAGCUCAGAGAGAAAAUAAAUGCAUAAGGCAGUAUGCAGCAAAGCAGAUAAAUGGUGCAGAAGAAUAAAACCAAAGUCUUGCGCACAACGCACAAGACGCCCAGAAAUAGUUAACAGAGGUGAUGUUAGAAUAAAGACUUAGACGUUCUAACCUAUGCGAAUUUCGAGUUGGUCCUCGAAGAAUUCGAAGCAGAUGAGCGUGGUGGUGAGGAAGGUGAUGUUGGCAUCUGCCACGCUCUUCCAGAAGAAGCAGAGGUCUCUGUCCAAGGCACCCAUGCUAUCAGGACUUCUUGGCCUCCUGAAGCUACUCUUGGACUCUUUGUUCCCCUUGUUUACCCAAUACAAGGGGAAACCGUCGAGCAACGAAGCGUCCUUGUCAUUGGGGCGCACCUGGACGAAUUUGCCUUUCCAGUCUUUGUAGGAUUGCUGGAAGAUAGAGAGGAUCGACCUCCCAGCAAUCCCGUUCAAGCUUACCCACAAGCGAUCUCCGGGGUGCUUGGCUUCAAAAAGAAAUAAGAAGACAUCCACUGAUGCUGGCAACCCCAGNNNNNNNNNNNNNNNNNNNNNNNNNNNNNNNNNNNNNNNNNNNNNNNNNNNNNNNNNNNNNNNNNNNNNNNNNNNNNNNNNNNNNNNNNNNNNNNNNNNNGGUCGCACAUGACCUGGAACGCCCGCACGAACGCCCAGUUGUUGGGAUGGAGCUGGGCGGCGGCGAUGUUGAGCUCGAUAAGAAGCUCCCUCUCAAAGCGAGUGAAGGGAAACCUGAGUUUCACCUUCUUGAACAAGGUUGUGUAAACGAAGCAGAAGGGUCCACCGUUGUUCGCCUUGUCGUCGGCGCAAACUGGCAGGUCGAGGGGGCAAGGUAGCACCGUCAUCUUCUUGUCGUGCUCCUUAUGGAAUGAUUGGUGAGGCUCAUCCCCCUUCGUCAACCGCAGAACUGCCCCAGCAGAAUUUACGGAACAUGUUUCCCUCAACAAGGUCGAGUUGGCCCAGGGGUAUAGUUUUUUGAAGUCUGGUGGGGGGACGGAGGCUCCUCCGGUGACAGGCGGAGUCGCCUGGGCCAGGUUGGGGCGGGAGGGUGCAGGCCUCUCAGCCUGAGAAGACGAAGCACCACGUGCUCGCGGUGGGUCAUGUGCUUGUGAGGAGGGGUUUCGUGAUGAAGGAGGAGGGUUUGGGGUGAUCUUUGAGCGAGUCAUUGCGGAAGCUGCAAAGGAAAAAGAAAAGGAAAAAUGAUCAGGGUUCGCAGAGGCUGACUCGAUCAUGGAAGAAGGGUGAAAAACGAACGAACGUAGGUUCGUUGUGACGUUGACGGAGCCCUAAGUUACGAGAAAGGAGAAAUGGAAAAAACAACCCACAACGUAUGCACCAGACAGUUAAAGGAUGAUGCGAAUCGGUUAAAAUGCAGGAAAAACCAGCAGAAGAAGGAAAGGAAGUACCUUUUGAUGAUCGGAAGAGUGAUGGAAGAAGUUGGUGAUUCAGGAAGUUGAAGAACGUUGAGAGCUUUUUUGCAGAAGAGAGUUGGAGCGUUUGAGAAUACGAAGAAAGUGAUGGAACAGUGGAGCGAAAUGGGUUUAAGGGUUUUUCGAAAUGGGUUUGGGAAGCGCAAACGUUAACUGAAGGUAACCGUUGAUGAAGCCACGUGUCGAGCGAUGGGUGAGGUGUUUGGUGGAGCGUCAGAAAAGCAGAAAGUACAACCGCUUGAAAUUCUGCGCCAUGCCACGUAGAUCGGUAUUGACGUGACUCUUUUAGUCUUUUCGCUGGACAAGUCUUCGUUUAAGACUGGGGGGCUUGUGUACCGCCCUGGUAGUCGGAAGUGAUGACGUGGCAUCAAGCUACAGUAUCGGCGUGUUGACAAGACGCCAGGUUGGCAGAAGGGAAAGAAGUCGGGGGGCUCGUGAAGUCGCCAGUUUUUAAGUUGGCAUGCUCCGAUCUCCAGCAUACCAGAACCGGCGAUCACCGGGUUAAAGAUGAAGUCGCCAGAUGUAAACUCAGGCGACCAAGUGAUUAGAGAUCGCCGGAGCAAGCACAUCGCCGAAGAUGAAGGUGGUGCAGAUUAUGAAGGCGGCCGACGAGACCACAGGGAAGGUGUACGAAGGCACCCUAACUCGCCAAUUCCAGUAGAGAUCGCGCUCCCAAGUUAGCUAUGCACUGGGCAGUACCAUGCAUAAGUAACUUAGCCAAAAGAGAGUCAGAAGUAGCGCCCAAGUCAAGGAGACUCCAAAUGAUGGCACGUGUACGACUGGAUGCGAGCCACGUGUCCAGCUGCGUAACUGCCAGGAGAGAGAAAGUGACCAGGUAUUUAAGGGUUUCCCAACGAACUUUUGAGGUACGCACGUUCAGAUUGUCUUCUUUACGCUUGCGAGUUCUUGAGCAUACUGUGAGAGAGAACAUUGCACGGUUCCUUGAGAGUUCUUGAGUGUUUGCUCUUGAAGUAUUUGGUGGUUCAGUCACUGACUUGGGCGUUGGAGUGCGAUCGGCCGCAGCGGCGCCGCUCUAUUCUUUUGCAGGUUCUUGAGGUGGAUCGUGACGAAGGACGAAGGUUGAAGCGGUGCGCACGUCGAUCCAAGUUUGACGAGGCAAGUUCCAACGUUCCGGUCAACAGGCAGAAUCAUUACUAGACACAUUGAUAUAAAAUUGAUAAAUUUUUUUCACAGUGAUGAAGUUAGAGCAUAUAAAUUGUAUGGUCUAAUCGUUGAACAAACAAGUUUGGUAAUUGUUGGUUUAGGGUUUAGUAGGAAUAUGUGGUUGGGGUGGGCAUGAAGUGGGCAGAAAGUGCGUUAGAUAAGAUUUUUAGAGUCCAUCAGCUUAUUGAGUGUGAUUGUAUAAGUUGGGAGACCAUGAACAUUUGGCAUGUGCUCCAUUUCCUGCAUCUAUUGCAUGUUGAGCUUUGAGGUUGUUGUUAGUAGAGGAUAAUUGUUUGAAACACUUUGUAGGAAAGACCAAUGGCCAAUGUAAGAAUAUAAUUCCAAAAGCCCAAAUUAAAACAGCUUUUAAUAGAACACGAUAUGGUAACCUCAUCAUAAAAACUACACGCAAAUUACUUAUUACCCCAACUCUGUGUUGUGCACAAAUAUGUAUUAGGUCUUUCAUGCUGUUGACAACCUCCGAAAUUUGUCAAGCAUUGUAGCAUGUAAUAUAUUGGUAGAGAAAAUACAAAGCAUAACAAAUCAAAGGUUUUCUUUUUAUUACUCAACAUUUGACAUACACUUUCAGGUAGAAUUUAAUACCAUACCUGCAAACAUCUCGCAUAUGUUUCAGAAAAACCCAAGUCAUUAAGCGAUUGUAACUCCAAAAUCUGUGGAAGCUAGUGCCAUGCUGUCAAUACCCUGAUGCAAAAUAAACAUUACAUUAAGCUUUGAAGUUUGAGUCCAGUGUCAUUGUAAUUGUUUGUUACCAAGAUGUGACAUAGACUGUUCUAAGCAGCAGAUACCUUUUAACCAAUUAUUGUUAUAAAAUGCUCAAAAACAGAGUGUGGUUGACAAAAGGGAAUGAGAAUCUUAAUUUGUAAUCUAUAUUUAGAAAUUACCAUGAGAUGCUUUUAAUUUUGUAUAACAUGAUUGUAAAAAUAUGAAUUUGUGACUUUGCAUCUCUGUAUGUAUAAAACAUGUUAUUUAUGUGAAGCAGGGCAGUAGAAUGCAACCAAACAUGCCCAUGGGGUAAAAUGUCAUAUUACAAUAAAAUCUUUUUGUUUCCAAUUUUACGGUUAAUGAUUUCCAACAAUACUUUUUUUCCUGUGAUUUUGGCCCUGGUUAUAUAUAGUUGGAUAGCCGUUCAAUAAACCCAAUAAAUAUGAAGAAACAUAGUUUGCACCAUAUCCUUUCUGUUGAGUUGUUGUUAUCCAUCUAUAUAUCGAAAUCACAGUAUGCAGCAUGAGUGUAGGGCAGUGUCCAGUGAUCACAAAUUCACUCAAUUUAGAGGUUUGUUGUAUGUGGUGACCCUAGUAGGAAUAUGUGGUGACCACAUUAGACUUCCUGCACAAUCCCUUUGCAAACUUAUUCAGGAAAUGUGAAGUGCGUGUUGGUGUUGGUUUGGGUGGGCAUGAUGUCGACAGAAAAUGCGUUAGAUCAGAUUUUAGAGUCCAUGAGUGUAAGGCAGUGUCCAGUGAUCACAAAUUCACUCAACUUAGGGCAUUGUUGUAUGUGGUGACCUUAGUAGGAAUAUGUGGUGACCACAUUAUAGUUCCUGCACAGUCCCUGUGCAAACUUAUUAUGUAAAUGUGAAGAGCGUGUUAGUGUUGGUUGAGUUGGGCAUGAUGUGGGCAGAAAGUGUGUUAUAUCAGGUUUUGAGAUUCCAUGAGUGUAGGGCAGUGUCCAAUGAUCAGAAAUUCACUCAACUUAGAGGAUUACAGUAUGUGGUGACCCAAGUAGAAACAUGUGGUGACCCGCAUUAGACUUCUUAUUCGUGGGAAUUUGUUUUUAGGUGAUGUUCUUUGCAACGGGGUUGUUCAUGGUUGAUCAACUUCAAAAGAAUGGAAAGGUCCAACGUUUUUCCUUUAACCCUUUUUUUUGCUGUAAGUGGAUUGUGGAAUUUAAGUUUUUGUUUUCAUAUGUAUAUUUUCUAUUAAUAGCACUACAUUUUUUUUUGCAUAAAGGAUCGUGUUAUUGAAGAAAUAAAAACAACUUCGGAAAAGAAAGAGUGGGACACGAAGGAUUACUGUUCGUUUGCAAAAGAUUUGAUUCCAUUUGAAUCACUAUCAUAUUGCGAUUUUGUAAGUUUGUAUUAUAUAAUUUUCUAUAAUGAUUUUGGGGCAUAAUUUUUUAUGUGUUUAAUUAAGUUACAUUAUUCAUUUUUAGGUAUUCAUCCCAACGGUGCACAAUGACCAUUCGUGGGUCUACGCGUUUAAUUUUCAGAGUAGGGAAUUGCGUGUCUUGGACCCCCUCGGCCAUAGAAGGGGAAAACGCAACAAAAUUGAUAAAGCUAUGGUAAAGAGUAAAAGAUGAUGUUUAGUAAAGAAUGAAGCGAUGAAUUUGGUAUUUGAUUUCUGAUUUCUUGUAUUGUACGGUGCAGGCUGUGCAAGUUGACCAUGUGUACAAAAUUCUUGACAAGUUCGGUGGAGUGAAUAGUCCCCCUAUCAAAGUAGUCAAACAAAAACUUCCUAUACAACCAAACAGGUUAGUAUUGAAAUGAAAACUUUUGUUAUUUUUAUGCAUAUUCAUAUGUAAAUAUUUUUAUGUGCUUUCCUGUAUGUAGUUAUGAUUGUGGAGUAUUGGUUUUGAAAUAUAUUGAGCUAUUGAAUGGUAUGGUUGACUAUGACGGGAAGACGAUGCCUGAAUACAACAGCGUACGUAUUUGUUCCCUUCACUAGUAGAGUACAAGUUAUAAGUUUUAUUCUGCACUGAAAAUUGAUUUUCAAAAUUAAUUUCAGGACGAGCUUCAAGCAUUCCGUCAGGAAAUGGUUUGUAAUUGGGUCCUUGAUGCACGUAAUGCAGAACGAGAAAAUUUGUUGAGGGAGUUCAACUUUAGUGGAACUUCAAAAUGAUGGUGGUUGAGAGUGCGUUGCAUGUUCUGCAAUUGUGUAGUUAUUCAUUACAUGUUUUAGUGUAUCUUAGGAGCAUUCAUAACUAUAGAAAUAUAAUGGAUUACAUACACUUCCAUUGAGUUGAACAAUGUGCGAACUUUUUAAUGCUAAGAAUUGAAGACGAAUAUUGUUGUACCAUAUGAUGCAACAAACCUUCUAAUUACACUUAAAAUUAGUUUCCAUCAUUUGUAAUUAUGAUGACAAGUUUUUCCAGAAAUGAUUUUAUUCGUAUUCAAACUCAAAGGAUCCAUUAGCAGGUGCCACAUAUUGUGGAAGGUUAAUUUAACAGUCGUUCGUGGUUAAGUAUGACCAUGUUCUUAGUUUGUUGGACUCAGUCAAAAAAAAGUUAUAAAUAUUUACAUUUGUCCAUUUUGCUACACUAAAAUAAGUUUAAAGUUAACAAUGUUAAAGUUCAAAAUUUGGCAACUUUUUUACCAAGUCUUUGGGUAAAACAUAAACAACUACGAUCAAAGCGAGGAAGACAAAAUUUCAUGAUACUAUCCUAAGCAACAUUCCAUCAAAAACUUUUCGUGCAAGCUCAAAUGGACCCCCUUUCAGCACUAACCUAUUUUCGCUCAAUCCAAAAAAUUUCGUGUAAGCUAAAAUGGACCCUUCAGCAUUGACUAUUUUCGCACAAUCUAAAAAAUAUCGUGCAAGCUAAAAUGGACCCCUUUAGCACUGUCCUAUUUUUGCUCAAUCCAAAUUAUUUUUGCGCAAGCUAAAAUGGACCCCUUCAGCACUGCCCAUUUUCGCUCAAUCCAAAAUUUUCGUGCAAGCUAAAAUGGACUCCUUCAGCACUGGACUAUUUUCGUUCAAACCAAAAAUUUUCGUGCAAGCUAAAAUGGAAAAUUUCGUGCAAGCUAAAAUGGUCCCAUUCAGCACUGCCCUAUUUUCGCUCAAUCCAAAUUAUUCUCGUGCAAGCUCAAAUGGACCCCCCUUCAACACUGACCUAUUUUCGCUCAAUCCAAAAAAUAUCGUGCAAGCUAAAAUGGACCCAUUUAGCACUGUCCUAUUUUCGCUCAAUCCAAAUUAUUUUCGCGCAAGCUAAAAUGGACCCCUUCAGUACUGCCCCGUUUUCACUCAAUCCAAAAUUUUUCGUGCAAGCUAAAAUGGACUCCUUCAGCACCGGACUAUUUUCGCUCAAACCAAAAAUUUUCGUGCAAGCUAAAAUGGACCCCUUCAGCACUGUCCCGUUUUCGCUCAAUCCAGAAAAUUUUCGUGCAAGCUAAAAUGGACCCCUUCAACACUGGCCUAUUUUCGCUCAAUCCAAAAUAUUUCGUGUAAGCUAAAAUUGACCCCUUCAGCACUGGACUAUUUUCGCUCAAUCCAAAAAAUUUCGUGCAAGCUAAAAUGGUCCCCUUCAGCACUGCCCUAUUUUCGCUCAAUCCAAAUUAUUUUCGCACAAGCUUAAAUGAACCCCUUCAGCACUGCCCCGUUUUCGCUCAAUCCAAAAAUUUUCGUGCAAGCUAAAAUGGACCCCUUCAGCACUGCCCUAUUUUCGAUCAAUCCAAAUUAUUUUCGUGCAAGCUAAAAUGGACCCCUUCAGCACUGCCCCGUUUCCGCUCAAUCCAAAAAUUAUCGUACAAGCUAAAAUGGCUUUCUACCUUAAUAUAACCGUAAACAACAUUGUUAAGGUAUGUGCCUUUCAUUAUAACUAUAGUACAAACAACUGUGCCUUUUGUUACAAUAUUCAUGCUUAUAGGUUUUAAAUUUUAACAUAUGUACACCAUCUGAUUCAUGCAUAUAGGUUUUCAAAUUUGACAUAUGUCCACACCAUCUGAUGAGGAAGUUCGUUGUUCUCAUCUAGUAAUACGCGAUCCACUGACUCUAGGUACAGUUUCAAAAAUUGUCUAUACUUAAAAAACAAUGUCCUAUAUCCAAUAUUUUAAUUCACAUUUCAAUAUCCAAAAUAUAUUCAGAUGCAAAGCAAUUGGAGUUAUUGAAUAAGAUGGAGGAAGAUAGAAUCUAACGUUCAAGGAUGGUUUAAACUUCCACAUCUUACAAACAUGGCUACAUGCACAAUGAAGACUAUUAUUGUAUAAUUGAGGAUACAAAAUUGUAUUUAUAAUUUAUAAGCACAUGUUUGAACAAUGCUUAUUACAUGUGUUAAGUGAAUUUUUUGGUUACUUGUCCUUCUUAGCUUCUAUGAACUUAGUUUAUAUGUGUUGACACUGCCAUACAUUCAAAUUUAAAAAAUAUGUUCACUUCAACCACAUAAAUGGAAGACGAUUAAAAUUAAAUAAAACUUCAAAAAGUCCAACCAAAUUAGAGUUACUAAAAUUACAACGCAACAUGUCUUAAAUUCUCUAACCACAUUACACCCAAUGAAAUAAACAUGUAUCAUUUCUAACAACUACUUCGUAAUAAACAUACUUAAGUACUAAACACGUCAUGUACGAUCCCUUUCAAUUAUGACUAACAAAAUCAUUUUUUCCCUUCCAUACCUAGUCCAUGGUGAUUUAAUCACAGCCGACUUCACACAUUUCCUUGCUCUAUGCUUCACUCGGGUGAAUAUGUUACUUUUUUCUUCUCCCCCAUCUUGGUCUUCGGGUACGUCUUGCUCUUGGGGUACGUCUUGGUCUUCGAGUACGUCUUGUUGUUCGGGUACAUGUUGCUCUUCGGGUAAGCCUUGCUCAUCGGGUAGGCCUUGCUCUUCGGGUAAACCUUUCCCUUCAAGUAUGCCUUGCUCAUCGAGUUCGUCUUUAUCAUCAACGUAAGACAUCUGCAGAUGUUCGUCAUCAUCUACAGAAGGACUAUCACGCACAUAAGAUUUUACACGUGCACUUAAAAAUUCUUGUAACUCUUUCAACUCCUCCAAAUUGUUGAUGACAACCUGUUGUUCCUUUGCUUGGCGAAGCAUAUCAAGUACUUUCACCUUCAUUUUACCAUAGUCUUUUUUUUUACAUGUCACUUGUAAAUCCACGUCGAACUAUCUCAAAUGCUUAUACAACGAAUUCUUUUUGCAACUCUUCAUUGGACGCAGAUAAGUCCACAAUAACCUGUUCAGGCAGACAACAAAUGCCAACAUAAAUAAAUAAAUAAAAUUAAGUAUUGUACAUUAAAUAAAAAAUUUCAAUGUAUUCUACACACCACAUUUUGUUGCAGUCCAGAUGCAAUUUCAAUGUCACCUAGCCUAACAUCCAUCCAAUGUGUGAUACGAGGAUAUCUAUUUCCAAUCAUCGGCAUUUGCCGCUUGUAAGAGAACAAAUGUUCAAGAGCCCAUAUUUACACAAUUCAUGUCAAAUUAAUGCCAGUAACCACAAUUUGUAUGGGAAGUCAAAUCACAUACGAAGUAAAUAUUUUAAAUUACCUGCAUCAAGUACACACAACCACGAACAUGGAUAUAUGCAACAUUAGUUUUCCUCCUCAUACACAUUGAAGUUGAACACAAACUCUGAACCAAAAAGUCAUAAACUAAACCUCCCCAAUUAAACCUACCCAAUUCGCCUAGAUCAUCCACAACCUUAAACAACCCACCAGGAACUAAACUCAGUCUACUUGGAAAUAAAAACUCUGACAUUCCUAACAAGAUGUAUAGCCUGCAAAAGUCAUGUAUGGAACAUUCAUUGCGACGUUUAACAAUUUCAUCAUAAAUCAUUUUGACAGAUACAUGACUACUUUUGAAAAAACUCCUACUCUUACAAUUGUAAUUGUUUUUUGUAAGUCAAAUUUGUCUCCCACAACUCUAAGACCUAUACCUAAACAAACAUCUAACAAAGUAAAUGAGACAACUCUAGAGCUGACUAUAAAACCAUGACUUUUCUCCACCCACCUAGUACAUAACUCUCUUAAAAGGCAGCGACUCAAUUUCAGGUUCCCAUCCAACACAAUUAGCCAACCAAAGGGGGUUGACUGAAUAAUAAACUUUUCUUCAUCACUUAAGGUUUUGUUCAAACUUCCCAAAAAUUUAGGCCUGCAAUAAUGCCUAAAGACCUGCAUUUAUAAAAACGUGUACACUUUACUAAGAAUGUGAUGUCAUCGUAUGCCCAACAAAAUUAAGCAUAUUUGAAAUCAAACCUUAUCAUCCACAAAAGAUUUUGCAUGACUACUUUCUUCACUUGUCAUUAUAUCCUACAAAACAUAAAAAAGCAACAUUGAAUACAUUAUUCAAAACCAAACAACAAUCAAAGAACAUCAAUCUUUAAAAAAUCAAACAAUUUAUAGUUAAUGUAUUCUGUAAAUGUGCUUCUGCAAUAAACUGACUUUGGGUGAAUUUUGUGGUUAGUUUGCACUUUCCUACACUCAUGGGUUUUAAAGAACCCAUUUAACCCACUUUCUCUCCACCUCAUGGCCCACCCUUAACCAACACGAACACUCAUUUCCCAUAUCCAGGAACAAUUUUCACUGGGGUUGUGCACGAAGUGUAAUGUGGGUCACCACAUAUUCCCUAUAGGGUCACCAUUUGAUGAUAUUCUAAGUUGAGUGAAUUUUGUGUCCACUUCACAGUGCUCUAAACUCAUGGCCUCUAAAUACCUCAAUUAAACCACUUUGUCCCCAGCUCAUGCCCCACUACAACCAACACAAACACUCACUUCCCAUUUCUAGAAAAAGUUUACCUGGGUAUGUGCAGGAACUAAAGUGUGGAUCACCACAUAUUCCCUAUAGGAUCACCAUUUCAUUAUAUUCUCUUAGUUGAGUGAAUUUUGUGCCCACUUCACACUGCUCUACACUCAUGGCCUCUAAACACUUCAAUUAAACUACUUUGUCCCUAGCUCAUGCCCCACUACAACCAACAUGAACACUCACUUCCCAUUUUUAGAAAAAGUUUCCCCACAUCAUGCCCAUCCCAACAAACAUGAACACUCACUUCAUAUUUCCAUAACAAGUUUCACUGGGUUUGUGCAAGAAGUAAGAGGUCGGUCACCACAUAUUCCCUGAAGGGUCACCACAUACUGUCAGUCUCUAACUUUACUAAAUUUUGGGGUUAAUUCACAGGGUCCUACUCUCACACCCUCUAAACCCUAAACCCUCUAAAUAACUCAUUUAAUCCACUUUCUCCCCACCUCGUGUCCCUCCCUAACCAACACGAACACAAUUGACAUUUCAAGAAAAAGUUCCCUUGUUAGGUUUGUGCAGGAAAUGUAAUGUGGCUCACCACAUACUGCAAUCGUCUAAGUUGACUGGAUUUCUGCUCACUUGCCACUGCCUUACACUCAUGCCCUCUAAAGUCUUGAUCUAAUACACUCUCUCCCCACAUCAUGCCCAUCCCAACAAACAUGAACACUCACUUCAUAUUUCCAUAACAAGUUUCACUGGGUUUGUGCAGGAAGUAAGAAGUGGGUCACCACAUAUUCCCUUAAGGGUCACCACAUACUAUCAGUCUCUAACUUUACUAAAUUUUGGGAUUAAUUCACAGGGUCGUACUCUCACAGCCUCUAAAUAACUAAUUUAGUCCAUUUUCUCCCCACCUCCUGUCACUCCCUAACCAACACAAACACAAUUCACAUUUCAAGAAAAAUUUCCCCUGUUAAGUCUGUGCAGGAAGUCUCAUGUGGGUCACCACAUACUCCUACUAGGGUCACCACACACUGCAACCCUCUAAAUUCAAUGAACAUUGUGGUUACUUGACACUAUCCUCCUUUGAUGGCCUAUAUAAAAAACUGAUUUAACCCACUUUCUCCCCACCUAGUGUCCCUCCCCAACCAACAUCAACACUAACACUCUUUUUUUAACUUUCUUAUCCAUGUCAACAUUACAAAAUUUCCUUAAAAAGUUUGGUACCUCAUCAACCUAACAUUCCAAACAAACACUUUGCACUAAUUAUAUACUAACACAUAUUUCCAACCACAAUAUUUUCCACAAAAAAUCAAGUCAUACUCCACAAAAAUGGGUCCCGAUUUUUGGACAACUCUAAAUGAGUUGCUCCACCAAUCCCUUUUCUUUGUGUAUCCUAACAUGCUACUAUGAAAUCAAAUACUACAAUAAUAGUGAAAUACAGACCCACAAAGUAAACCCAACAUCAAAUACAAAUAUACAUUUAUCUUAACAGGCUGUGCGAAAAAUCAGCUUUGGCUCAUACAAGCGUCACCACAGGACAAAUAACAAGAAUGACCCAACAACAAAAAUCAUACAACAACAAGGUUUCACUUAAUAAACAAAUGAAAAAAAAAAUAUAUUACCUUUGAAAACAGGAUGUCCAAGAGGAGAACGCCACUCAACCACCGUGAAAACAGGAUGUCCAAGACAACACGGCCACCCAACCACCGUCAAAGGAGGAUGUCGAAGAUGACACCACCGCCAAACCACCCUGAAAAUAGAUGCACCUACGACGACCACGAACGUCGUUGCACAUAAAGGUUGUGGAGAACUUCGAACAAAUACCUUGCAGAGAAGACGAUGUGGUGGAGAAGACGAAGUGGUGGAGAAGACGAGUUCGUGGAGAAGAAACCUAAAUUCAGCCCCUUUCUAAAAACCUAAUUUAACAUUCUACUGCACCCUAAACACUCAAUUUCAGAUUUUGCCUGGACCCCACAAUCCAAAUAAAAUAAUAUUUUCUUGUGCCACGUUGGCAGUUGUAUGGUGGAGAAACAAAUUUAGGGUUGUCCAAAAAUCGGGACCCUUACUGGAAAUAAUAUAUAAAGUUAUGCCUAAUAAUAGUUUUAAGAUAAGAAUAUUAAAUAAAUUUUAUUUAAGUAAAAUUUAAUUAUAUAAUUUAAAUAAAUAUUUUCUUUGUUUGUUUAAGAAUUUCAUCUUAUUCAAUCAAGUUAAUUUAGUUAAUUCCUCUUAUUUUUGGUCUUCUGUAACUUCUCAUAUCUUUUAUUCAUGAGUUCGUUCAUUUUAUACAAAAAAAAAUGAUUAGUUAAAAAGUAAUUUGAUAUAUAUGAUUUUCAGGUAGAUAGAUACCUAGUAAUUUCCCAGGAACACAAAAUCAAAGGUAUACAUUUUUUUUUAUCGUAAUUAAAAGUCAGCUUCCAUUUCAAUAUACGUGUUAUUCUUCAGAAUAUGAACUUCAAGAAAACGAUAAGGUACGGCAGAUGAAAGUUCUUGGUAUUUUCAUACCCGUUGACUUCAUUUAGAUGAUGUAUUCCAAAUUUAUAAAGCAUCAUUUCACACAACACGCGUGUGCACUAAUCUCACUAUACAGAGAUUCAUAUUGAAAAGAUACAUGGCUAGACACUUUGUUCUUGUUGAUGGUGGUGAUGCAAACAGAGGUGAAGAAGGUUUGGUGCUCCACUCUCCACCUAUACUUUUGUUUCUCAUGAUUAUUGCCUCUCUUUCUAUGAUUUCAAUCAUCAUAUUUGCCUGCGGAGACGACAACAAAAAUACCAAGCAUGACCGUGGUGGCGGUGGCGGUGGAUGUGGUGGCGGUGGAUGUGGUGGUGGAUGUGGUGGUGGAUGUGGCGGUUAAGUGUUAGGAAUAAUAUACAAAGUACAUGGAAUGUAAGAGACAAACCUGCAGUCUGGCUUGGAGUUUCCCUUUCUCAAGGUAGAAAUAAUAGUAUUAGUUAUAAGAUGUAAAAGAAGUUUGUGUUUGCAAAAUAAUGCUUUUUCUUCUUAGUAAAUUUCUGCAAAUACAGUGUACCUUUGUAUCAAACCUUUUUGUGUGUGCAAAUACAACAGUAACACGAUAUAGUUUCCUUUUUGUCUUACUAUUUUAGGGUGUUGUUACUCUACUAGUCAAUAUACAUGAACUCUCUACCUUUGUUUUAGAAUUGGAUUUGAUAUAUAGAUUGCAUUAAUUUAUAACAGUUUUUCAUAAUUCUCACAAGCCUUCAUUUGGAUGAUAUAAUUAUUCCAGUCUCUUUUUUUUUUCAAUGGUUUGUUUUUGUUGAAUCUGUUUAAAGACUAAUGUACUCAAUAAUUACUUUUAGUCUUACUAGUUUUGCACAAGGCAAAAUCAAAAACACAAACUAUCUCGUAUUUGGAUCAUCCUUCCAUAAAUGUAAUACAUUCUAUGUUUAUUUUGGUGAUCAGUUAAGAGAAUCAAUUAAAUUUUUACUUGGCAGUGAAAUUUUUCUCUUAUAAUUGUGACUUUUUAGUGAUCUUACUAUACUAAGAUGAUCUUUAUCAGAUCACUUAUAUCUUGAUUAAUCUAUAAAUCCGAAUAUUGUUGUCUCAUUAGCGCUUCUCGGUCCUAUGAUUAUGGAUGUGAUAUGUCUGCAAAGAUAUUCUGAAAGUCAAGUUAUUGAGACACUCAAGUUAAUGUGGUAUAUUUUUAAUGAACUUUUUUUUAUAGGUUAUGAAGAUGUCAUGUUACCCUACAUGAUUUAAGUGUUGCUUAAGCAAGGAGAUUAGUUUUAAGUGGUGUUAUUGCUUAAUUAGUUAUGAAAAUGUCAAAAUGUAACUAUGUUAAGAUGAUUUUAGACUUUCCUGAUGUAUAUCGGUAUUAUUUCGUAACUCUUUACCAAAUUAAUAAUUUAAUAUCCUAAAUAUUCUUAAUUUCUUAAAUUGCGGUGCGUUAAAGACCUUCACAAUUGACCAGAUUGUAUGAUAUAUUCAACAUAAUCAUCUACCUUUGUUUCUCAUUCACAAUAAAACUUCUUCCCCUCCUUACCACUUCUUUACAUAAUUAAUCAAAUAUGUUUCAAUAUUAAUUAAAAAUGUAUAUGUAAAUUUGAGUCUUAGAUUAAGUAUAAAUGAAAAAUUAAUAUAAAAAGAAGCCUCUACAAAAAAAAAAAGUUACUUUUAAGUUUUGAACUAAAAAUGAUUUCAUAAUUUUUUGUAUGUGGUUUAGUGUUGAACACUCCUCUAUGUUGAGACAUCAACGGUCUCUCAUAACCAAAAUGGUUUAUUUAUUUUGUAACUUAGUUUAUGAUGAUAGUAUAAUUUUAUUCUUUAUAAAUCUUAAUUUAUAAAUGUCAAGGUAGAAUCCUUGGUUCAAAUGUGGCAAGAGAUUAGAGUAAGAACUGGACAGACACUAUAAAAAAAUUAGUAUUAUCUACGAAUUUUUACCUACAAAUUUAAAUUUGUAAGUAAAUUUAGCAUUACCUACGGAUAAGAUUACUUACGGAUAUUUUCCACAAAUCUAAAUUUGUAGGUAAAUUCAACAUUAUCUAUGAAUAUUACUCACUGAUCUGAAUUCGUAAAUAAAUUCAACAUUACCUACCAUCUAUUACCUACGGAUCUCUAUUACCUACAAACUAUUAUCAUAAUAAUUAUACACAUAAUAUUAAAUAUAUUAUUAUAAUAUGAAUAAUUAUAAAAUCAUAAUUAAUAUUCAUAAAUAAUAAUAAUCAUAACUAAUAGGUAUACCUAUUAUUAAUAUAUAAAAUAAAUAAUAUUAAUAUAAUAAUAUAAAUAAUAUUAUCUAUAUCUAUAUAAAGGAGAUUCCACUCCUUAAUUAUUUUUCUUUUAUAAAUUAUUGUUUAAUUUUUUAAUAUUACACUUAUAUCAAUAUUUAUUUUAUUUUAAAUAUUUUAGUUAUUUUAUUAUUUUUUUGAACAAUAACUACAUAUACAAUAGAUUUUAUAAGAUUUGAUUUUGAAAAUUAUUUUAAUUUUUAAAACUAAUUUAUUUUUUUUUUCUUUAAAUUAAUAUCCAGUAGUGAGUAUUCUUUCUCCACAUCACACAUUCUUGUUUGAAGAAAUGAAAUGAAAUAGGAAAGAAUAGUAGUACCUGGAGAAGAGGAUUGACACGAUCGCAACAGUAAUAUUCAAUAUAAAGAAUUGCGUUCGUGCACUUAUGGCCGAAAAUUGCGCCAACGAAACGCCUGUGAUGAAGAGAGUGAGAGAUGAAGCAAUUGAAAUUGAAGGAAUCGAAAAUGGAAAUUUGAGAGAGAAAGAGAGAGAUACAUGAAGUAAUCGUAAGUGCCGAAAGUGAGAGGGUAGUGUAUGCGUUGAAUGAAAGUGCCUUUGAAGAUCCACAGAGAAAAGAAACAACGACUACUGGAGUGACCAAACCAUGGCACACCAAUAACCACAAAAUAGUUUUAGUAUUAAAUUCGAAAAAAACUGAUUGAGAAAUAUGUAGAGAUUUGUUUGAAGAGAGUCAGGAAGAUUGAACUUUAGAUUGAAAAUAUAUUAUAUUAUAUUAAUAUUUAAUUUAAAUAUUUAUGGUUUAGAUUUUAGAUUUUAAAUUUUAAAUUUUAAAUUUUCGAAUUUAAUUUUUAAAUUUUAGGUUUUAAAUUUUAGAUUUUAGAUUUUAAAUUUUAGAUUUUAGAUUUUAGAUUUUAGAUUUUAGAUUUUAAAUUUUAAAUUUUAAAUUUUUAAAUUUAAAAAUUAAAUUUUGAAUUUUGAAUUUUGAAUUUUCAAAUUUUGAAUUUAAAUUUGAAAUUUUAAUUUUGAAAUUUUAAAUUUUGAAAUUUAAAUUUUAAAUUUUGAAUUUUGAAUUUUAAAUUUUAAAAGAUUAAUAGUUUUCACGGUUACAUCCACUCCCUUUUGUCUUUUAUAUUCAGACUAUAGAGAAAAGAAAAUGCUCAUAAAUUUUGACACAUCUUGAACCCUCUUCCUUCACACUCCAUGUUCUUCUCCUACUCUCACCCAUCUCAUUUUAUAAGUCAACGAAGAGGAGAGGAAGCCAAUAAGAGAUUCAGGACGCAAGUAGACACCGCAAGUUCAAGAUGUAUAUUAUCAUUUCAUUGUCAACACCUGUUCCCACUGGUUGACUCAGCCGCCGUUUGACUUCAGAGGUAGGUGGUGACUUCUCCUAUUUUUGGUGGUUUAUGUUCUCCCUUUAGGUGAUAGAGAGUGGCUCCGUUGAAACAGAGGGGUCCUACCCGUUGAUUGCACUACGACGAUCAAGUUAGUACUACGCUAAGAAACAAUAAGUAUGUAAAGCAGUUUCAGCCUUAGAAACGACAUACCAUUACCAAGGAUUUCAAGUCCCUUUCAUAGGUUGUUUUAGGUUAACUUCCCUGUCCCACGAGGACCUUUCCUUAAGGGAAAUUAGGGUUAUUAGGAAGACAUCAUGUUGCUUGUUGCACAAUCUUAGCGCAGCUGACGCACAAGACUUUCCUCUUCUAGAGUGCAAAAUCUUAACAAUAUGGUCGUAGGAUACCAACUCAUGCACCAGCGUUGCAGGGCCAUCUGUUCUAUAGGUGCCCUAAUUAUUCACAUGUCAUGCAUGCAACUUUCCCUGGAAACCCUAACGCUCAUGGGCCUUGAAGCCUCCAGGGAAUACUUACUUGUGCUAGACCUAAACGUACUAUACACACCACAUGCAUGAACCCUCCCGUGAUUUAGGUCUUUCUUAUAUCUAGAUGUCAGCUCGUUACUAUUUCUGGGGCCCCACUUACGUUGCCCAUUAUCGCGACCAAACCACCAAUGUCCGAUGUUAAUGUUUGAUGUCGAUGUCUAAGGUUGGCCAGUACACAAGCCCCCCAGGCUCGAGCUGUAACUUGUUUCAGCGAAGAGGCUAAAUGAUUGUCCAUGGCGACCUAUGUGGCGAAUGAGUGACAGGACGUGCUUAGUGCGUCGAGGUGACGUUUCACCAUACAUUUUUAUCAGUGUACACGUGGCAAGAUCAACGGUCGAGGCUCGUUGCCGCUUGCGCUUCCCAUUAUACGUUAAAUUCCUCAACCCUUACCCUCCUUUCACUGUUUCAUUACUUCUCUUAAGCAUUUUUCAAACAUUUCUGCCUCUCAACGCUUUGUCUUCUUCCCAACAUCUUCAACUCCCCAAAGCAUAAUCACUCCAAGGUAUGUUUUUUAUUCCAUCAUCGCCUUAGUUCUAUUAUUCUGAUGCUUUUGACAUGCUUUAACUGUUUUGGGACUGUUUAAGUUUUCUGCAUUUUACGAUCAUUGUUCUUCAUUUUUCUGCUUUUUUGUUCUUCGUUUUACGAUCGCAUUUUACGAGCGCGCACACUUCUUCUUCUGAGUUGUGCGUUUCUUUUUCUUCCUUGUUUUAGCUUUCCCUCAUAAGAUGGCUCAAGCAAACCUAGUUCCUCCCUCCCCUAACUACAAAUCUCUAGCUUCACCACAUUCGAGAGCAUAGCUACAUAUAGGAAGAACGAAGACUGCCUUAAAUCUCGUGUCUUUGGGAAGGAGCAUGAUAGAUUCAUGAAGGUCGUGCCUUAUAGGAUAGGUGAACCUGUCUGCUCUUAUGAGUCGUUGGACCCAGAGGGACCAUUUUGCUUCAUCUAUUCAACUGUCUUCGAGAGACUUACCCUUCACCUACCCUACACCGAUUUCGAGCGUGCUCUCCUUACUGAGGUCAACGUCGUUGCUGCCCAACUACACCCCAACAAUUGGGCAUUCGUUAGGGCAUUUUCCAUCCUAUGCGACCACUUUGGCCGUACGCCGUCUAUGGAUGUAUUCCUGUAUUUCUUCGAAGCCAAGAGCCCAGGGAAGAAGCUGUGGGUGAGCUUCAAUGGGGUCGUUGGGAGAGUAUUGUUGAUCCUCUUCCAGAAAUCGUACAAGGGCUUCAAAGGGAAGUUCUUUAAGAUUCGUUGCAGCAAGUUCGAUCCUACCCUCUUGGUUGGGUUUCCCCUUUACCGGGUGAAGGAACCUGGGCUCAAGAAACCCAAAUGCCUCGAGGACUUACCCUGCGGGAAUGAGAGGUGUGCCACUUCUUCUCCAACCUUCGAGUGGUGUUUAGCUCUGUCGAGUUACUCAAGCUCAAAUACAGCCUUAAUUCUCUUAAGGGCUACAUUGGUACCCCAUUUUUCCCUCAUUUUUCCCUUAUUCCUGCUAGUGUUUUUCUUGCUUGUGUGCAUCGCUUGUUUGAAUUCUUAUGCUCCUUUAUCUUCUUAUGCAGGCAUGGUACUUAACGUGGAGAAGAGGAGGCACUUGGCUGCCGUGACGGCUCAAAUGAAGACUGCCCCAGGUCGCUCUGCCCCUGGCCCUUCUGCCCCAACCCCCAUAGACCAAAGGCUCAAAGGGGUGGCGGAGGUCGUUGAGGUUGCCCCUUCUGAGGACGAGAAUACCUGCUCAGACCUCGUCUUUAAAAGGAAACGCAAGGUUGAUGAUGUCGUCCUUGUACCCUCGGGCUCAGAUGGUCAAGCCCCUUCUUAUAGGGAAUGCCCUCCCAGUUCCUCUUCUCCCCGCGACAUCGUGGUGCAUGAAGGUAGGGGGAGAGUGCCUCGGGGGGUGACCAUGGCGACUCCCUUGCUGAUCUGCCAGUCUUCCUCCAGCAAGAGCUGCAAUCCUUCCGAACUUAGGAGAGGCUGGAAAACUUGGAGGAUGACCCCCUGCUGAAGCACGUGUCGAGACAUCUUGGGGAGACCCUAGUUGGAUCUAGCCUUCUCCUGUCCAAGAUGAAGAAGUUAAGGGAAGCGGCUAGCCAGGACGCCCUUCAAGCCAAAGAGCUUAAACGCCGCGAGACUGGCAUGAUCUUGGAGAUGGCAGAACUUCGCAAAUCUGAUCAAGAGACCAAAAAAAUCUUGUUUGAGAAGUCCCAAGAAACUCUGAGGAUUUACGCCAGGAACACCGAUCAUGAAGUCUUUUUUUUUUAUUUGUCUCUUGUACUCGUUGUGAGUUACCUUGCCUGUCUUGGAUUAGUCUCGUUAACUAACAACGCUUUGAUGACCGUCCUUACCUAAGUAGUAUGCUCCUUGACAAACCUACUUGAUCUUUACCUUCCUCGAUUUUCAACAUAUAGGGGUAGAGGAGAUGUUUGCUUGAACUCUAGUUGGUCUCAUCUCUGAACCAUGUGGUUCUCUAUUGCCCAGGUUGCCUAUGUGCAUCCGGGGGUGGAUCAUUCUCAAACUGGCUUGACCAAAGUAGUUGUUGAUGGAAAGCUAGUAGACGCCGAAUAGCGGUGGUGAUUCCUUUUGUCUUUAUUUUGUAACCUCAUAAACAAUUGAUGACCCUGUACAUAUGUUUUAUUCAUGAAGUCUUUUUUUUUUCUCUUGUACUCGUUGUGAGUUACCUUGCCUGUCUUGGAUUAGUCUCGUUAACUAACAACGCUUUGAUGACCGUCCUUACCUAAGUAGUACGCUCCUUGACCAACCUACUUGAUCUUUACCUUCCUCGAUUUUCAACACAUAGCGGUAGAGGAGAUGUUUGCUUGAACUCUAGUUGGUCUCAUCUUUGAACCAUGUUGUUCUCGACCUUGGCUUAUAAAGACAAGGGAGAGGCUCACCUUUACUGGUCUCGACCUUGGCGUAUAAAGCAAGGGAGACGUUUUACUUGGAACCAUACUGUUCUCGAGCUUGGCUUAUAAAGGCAAAGGAGAGGUUCACCUUUACUUGGAACCUUACUGUUCUCGACCUUGGCUUAUAAAGGCAAAGGAGAGGUUCACUUUACUAUUCUCGACCUUGGCGUAUAAAGGCAAGGGAGACGUCUUACUUGGAACCAUAUUGUUCUCAACCUUGACUUGUAAAGGCAAGGGAAGGUUUACUUUUACUUGGAACCUUACUAUUCUCGACCUUGGCUUAUAAAGGCAAGGGAAAUGUUCACUUUAUUAUUCUCGACCUUAGCGUAUAAAGGCAAGGGAGAUGUUUUACUGGGAAUCAUACUAUUCUCAACCUUGGCAUAUAAAGGCAAGACAGAUGUUUUACUGAGAACCAUACUAUUCUCGACCUUGGCGUAUAAAGGCAAGGGAGAGGUUCACUUUGCUGAUCUGUACAACACCCUUUCAAAUAUAUUUUUUCAACUAAUUUUUUAUUGGGUGACCUCAUUAAAAAACUUUGAUAAGGGAAAAAAAGUGUCCUCUUAAUUGCGUACAAUGAUAUAAUUAAUUGAAAUAAAACUUUAGGUUGGUUUCGUUCCAAGUUCGAGGAAUUGUCUCACCUUCUAAGGUCUCAAACUUGUACGCCCCGUUCCCAAGCACCUCUGUCACACGGAAUGGACUUGGGGGAUAACUUGUUCUCUAGUUGGUAUGGGUGGGCCUUUCGCAUUACCAAGUCGGGGACUUGGAACUGCCGAUGUUUCAACUUGGAGUUGUACUUGUACUCCACGCUUCCCUUAGAGGCUUCAGCCUUGAUGCGUGCUUCUUCCCUGACCUCGUCCAAUAGAUCUAGGUUCACCUUUCUUUCCUCGUUGGAUUCCUCGGCCACGAAGUUCUGGAAGCGUGGUGAACUCUCCUGAAUUUCUACAGGGAUCAUCGCGUCCGAACCAUACACCAAACUAAAAGGUGUUUCCUUGGUGAUGGAUUGGGGAGUGGUUUGGUAGGCCCACACAAUUCUAGGGACCUCGUCUUUCCAAGUUCACUUAGCUUUUUCCAGUCCUCUCUUUAGACCCCUAAGCAAGACUCGGUUGGCACACUCGACCCGCCCAUUCGUCUGGGGGUACUCGACUGAUGCAAACAUCUGUUUUAUUCCGAGCUUUGUACAGAGUUUGCCAACCUGCUGGCUUGCAAACUGGGUGCCAUUAUCGAACAUACUAUGUUCUUCCGUACGAAGUGUUAGAUCUUGUGAGCUGUGAUCUGCGCGACGGGCUCGGCCUCUAUCCACUUUGUAAAGUACUCAAUGGCAACCACAAGAUACUUCAUCUGUCGAACUGCUAGAGGAAAUGGUCCCAGGAUGUCGAUCCCCCAAGUGUGAAACGACCAUGGGCUUUGGAUCGAUCGCAACUCCUCUAGGGUGCAUUAUGCCAGUCAGCAUGCCAUUGGCACUGCUUGCAUCACUGUGCAUACCUCGUGCAGUCUUCCCUCAUGGUCGGCCAGUAGUAUCCCGCGCGAAUGGCUUUUGAUGAGAGAGCUCGGCCGCCGAAGUGACUCCCACAUAUCCUUUCGUGGAGUUCCGCCAUAAUGCGCGUGCAUUGUUCACCACUUACGCAAAUCAGGAUAGGGUGAGUAUACCCAUGUUUGAACAAAUUCCCAUCGACCAGGGUAUACCUACUUGAAUUUUUCUUGACUACCCUGGCCUGUACGGGCUCUAGCGGGAGUACCCCGUCAGCCAAGUAGCGUUUAUAGGGUGUCAUCCAGGUUUCGCCUUCUUCAACUAGGCAAACGUUCAAUGAUUCUUCCCUUGAUAAGUUAUAUGUGCUUAUUCUGGGUGUUUUCAACGUUUCUUGAGUCAACGACCGAUGACUUCUCUUAACGCCUUCUGAGGUGCUUACUUGCUGGACUUCUGUUGUGCAAUUCGUGGUGGUUCAAGGCGUUCUCAGGGUCUCUUGUAUUACUGUCAUUUGUCUGCCCCCCUUGCCUGAACUGGCGAACUUUGCUAGCAAGUCAGCUUGGGCAUUCUGCUCUCUGGGACGUGUACUAGUUCGAACACUGCAAAAGUCUCUUUCAAGAUUUUGACAUAUUCUAUGCGGCCAUCUGAGGGUCCUUGGCCUGAUAUUCUCCCGUAACCUGCCCCGUCACUAAACACUCUUCGCCAUUUGGCUGACACAAGUGGUCAAGGAUGAGGUAGGAAGAGUUCACGAGAGAGAGAGAGAGAGUAAGUAGGUUUCCGGCGGGGUGAGUGUUCUGAAUAUGGCUGACACUUCUUUUUUCUUUACUAACUUUCCUAAACACUUUCGGGAGAGAGACUUAUGGAGGGUUUUUCAAAGGUGGGGAAGGGUGCUGGAUGUUUUCGUCUCAAGAAAGCUCAAUGCAAGGAACCGAAAGUUUGGGUUUGUAAGGUUUCAGGGAGUGAACGAUGUUGUCUCUCUGGAAAGAGAGUUGGAUGAAAUUUGGAUUGAUACUUGGAAGUUGCAGGUGAAUCUUCUAAAGUACCAGAGGAUGGAGGUUCCAAGGGUGCAGAGAAAUGAGGGUCCUAAGUUCAGUUGGUCGCCAAGGAAGAGAGUGACGCAGUCUAGGGCAGUCUGGAAUCGGGAUCGGACGGAGCAGCCGUCGUUUGCUCAAGUGGUAUCGUGGGAGGUAGCACAAAGUGGGACCGACGGGAACGUAGGAGGUGCACAGGGGGAAGAGGUUACCAAGCUUACAGUGGUUUUAGAGCAGCCUUCCUGGCUUGAAGGGAGCUACGUUGGUUGCCUUAAGGAGGUGCCAUGCAUGCAGUCGAUGAAAGAGAGCUUUGUGAUGGGAGGCUUCAGUCAUGUCAGAAUAGGGUAUCUUGGGGAAAGUUACGUGUUGCUGUCAUGCGAUUAAGGAGAAGGGUUGAGCAAGAUCAUAGCUGAUAAUAAAGCCUGGUUUGACGAAGUUUUCUUAUCGGUCAUACCAUGGGAUGAUUCUUUUGCAGUGAAGGAUAGAUUGGUGUGGUUACGAUGUAGAGGCAUCCCGCUUCAAAUGUGGUGCAAUCAGUGCUUUACCAGAGUAAGGGCCUCGGUGGGGGAGGUGGUGGAGAUUGACGAAGCAAUAGAGAAGAAAGAAAAGUCGGAAUACACGCAUUUUCGGGUAAAAAUCCCGGUUAACAGUGUAGUCAGCGUGGUGAAGGAUUUCAGUAUCAAUGGAGUUUUGUGUACGGUGUCGCUAGAAGAAGAGGCGUGCAUCCCGGACAUAUCUUUCAAGAAUUUCUGCAGCAAAUGGGAUGGAGGGGGUUCUAAGGUGGAUACUGAGGCAAGUUCAGAGGAGGGAAGCUUAGGAGCAAGCCUCUGCGACUCAGCAGAUUCGAAGAUUGAAGUGGGCGGAGGUGGGAGAGUAGGCAACGAAGGAGGUGGAGGAAUGGAUGUCGUCGGAGAUGGAGGCGCGGGGAACGAAGGGUUGGCCUUGGGCAGACGGGACUCAUUACUCCUCGGUAAGAUGAGCAAGCAAGGUGAAAGGGUUCCCUCUCAAGGUCAAUUUGUGGAUCAUUAAUGGCGAACGACUCUCUAGGAUUCUCAAAGGUUGAAAGCGUGAAUUCAUCUUUAAAUGUUGGAGUGCGUAUUCCCAAUAUGACUAAGGCAGCAACAGAAUGGGGUAGGAGGAGUAUUGAUGAAGGGAUCUCAUGCUUUGGUGAGUGUGGGAUAAGGUGCAAAGAUGAUGAAUUGAGUGGGAAUUUUUCCGAAAGUGGUGGAAUGGGGUCCCACGUGGAGGGGAAUCUCUCUAGAGAUCAUGCAGGUCGUGGGCCCCCUUCGUUGUUUAAGGGUAUUAAUAGUGGAGGCGCGGAAAAAUGCAAAGAAAGUGGGAAGGAAGUUGGUUGGGAAUCUAACGUGGAGUUAUUCCCACAACAGGCAUUAAAUAAAGAGGUAGGUGGGAAGGAAUUGUUAAUUUGUAGAGAUGCGGCUUACGAGGCUCAUUCAGAUGGGUUAUUGCUGGAACAUAUGGGAAGUAAGAGUUGGGUAGGAGACUCAUUAAGGCCUGGAAUCUCAUUGGAGGAAUUGGAACAAGCUGGAGUGAGGGUGGAUGAAGAGGGAGAGGAAGCGCUAUCAAUCCUAGACAUAAACGUAGAUAUUCACGGUUCAGUGAGUAGUGGACCGUUAGAUGGUAAUAAGAUGGAAGAAGCGGAGGAAACACGGAGGUUUGAGGAGCUAGUUGGAGAUAAGGUUGGAAAGCAGCUUACGGUGGACCAAGUUUUCUUGGUUCAUCAAAUUGGCAGUGAGUCGAAUUCCUUAUUUGCUUCUGAUAGUGCAAUUGAGAACUACAAUAGAAUUUUCUGGGUGAAGACUGAUAAGAAUGUAGCUUCCAGUGUUUGGGGAGUAGGGAAAGAAGUAGGGUUUUCGUUCCCAGGUCGAGAAGAAAUAGUUUUAAAUAGUAUUUGUUCGUUGUCUAAUCAGGGUGGAGUAACUACGAGAAAGAUGUGGAAGGAAAGGAGAAAGGUAGUUAAUGAAGAUAAUUAGUCGGAAUAUCAGAGGAGCGGGAGGUGCUGUAAAAAGGAAUUAUGUAAGGGAUCUGAUCAGUAGGGAACAAGUGGAUAUGGUGUGUUUACAAGAGACAAAGUGCUCGGAGUUUAGUAGGGAGAAGGUGUGUCUUCUUUGGGGAACCAAUGAAGUAGAAUGGGUGGAAAACAAAGCAAUAAAUAACACAGGGGGUGUGCUUAUGAUGUGGAGUAAUAAGUCGUUCCAGCUAUCCAGUUUCGUAAAUGGGAGAAACUAUACUAUGUUAGAGGGAUUUUGGAAGAGAGGAAAUGGUCCACACAUAACUAUUAUGAAUAUCUAUUGUACUGGCUCACUAAGGGAAAAGAAAGAGAUGUGGAACGAGGUUGGUGUUUUCAGACAGGGACAACUCUCAAAGGUGUGGUGUAUCAUUGGGGAUUUUAAUUCCAUAAGAAGGCAGGAGGAAAGGAAGAGCGUGAUGUCGAAUUCUGACUACUCUAGAGAAAUAAAGGGUUUUAAUGAUUUUAUUGAAAGUUCAGAAUUGGCGGACAUCCCAUUGGUGGGCAGGAAGUUUACUUGGUUCAAACCCAACGACUUGGUGAAAAGCAUAAUAGACAGGGUAUUAGUCUCUAAAGAAUGGUUGGAUUUGUGGCCUAACAACCAACAAUUUGUUUUAAGCAGAUCGAUCUCAGAUUAUUGUGCAGUUAUUCUGAAGGAAGUCUCAGUGGAUUGGGGUCCGAAACCGUUUAGGUGUUUGGAUGUGUGGCAGAGAGAUAGCGGAUUUAAAGAGUUCGUGAGAUCGAGUUGGGCUUCGUACAAGGUGGUAGGAAGAGGAAUCUUUGUGUUUAAAGAAAAGUUGAAAAAAUUAAAAGCAGAUUUAAAGGUGUGGAACAAGGAAGUCUUUAGGGAUGUGAAUCAGACUAGUAAGGAAAUCCAACAGAGGUUAGACGAGCUAGAUUUGAGCGAUGACGAAGACGGGUUAGAUGAAUCGGAAAGAGAAGAAAGAAAGUCCCUCUUUGCCAAGCUUUCAGUCUCUAAGUCUAAACAACAGGCGAUUUUGUUUUAGAAAGCAACACAAAGUUGGAUUAAGCAGGGGGAUCUUAAUACAAAGUUCUUCCACUCUUCGGUAAAAUGGAGGAGGGCAAGGAAUCAAUUGCACGGGAUUUUUGUCAAUAAAAAAUGGAGUGACAAUAAGGAAGAGGUGAAGAAUAAGGUAUGUGAGUUCUUUGAAGAAAGGUUUGCUAGGAAUGAUGCGUGCCAGGUGAGACUGGAUAAGGUUGAUUUUAAUUCCAUUUCUGAAGCAGACAAUGAGAUGCUAAUCGGUGAUUUUUCGGAAGAAGAGGUGAAAGUAGCGAUUUGCGGGUGUGAUAGUUCAAAGAGUCCCGGCUCGGAUGGUUUUAACUUUGGUUUUAUAAAAUCUUGUUGGGACAUUUUAAAGAAGGACGUGGUGUCGGCAGUAAAGGAUUUUGCAGGUUAUGGCAAAUGGCCAAGAGGUUCGAAUGCGUCAUUUCUUUGUUUGAUACCAAAAGUAGAAAAUCCUCAACAGCUAGGGGAGUUUAGACCUAUUUCAUUAGUAGGUUGCCUGUACAAGAUCAUUUCUAAAGCGCUUUCCUUGCGUUUGAAAAUGGUGAUUGGAAAAAUUAUAGACGCUAGACAAUCGGCUUUUCUUGAAGGAAGAGGUUUAAUGGAUAGUGUGCUAGUUUCGAAUGAGGUUUUGGAAGAGUACAAGAGAAAAAGAAAGAGUUGUGUGGUCUUCAAAGUCGAUUACGAGAAGGCUUAUGACUCGGUGAAUUGGGAUUUUCUAUAUUAUAUGCUAAGGAGGUUGGGAUUUUGCGACCAAUGGGUUCAGUGGAUUAAGGGUUGUUUAGAGUCAGCUUCGGUUUCUGUCCUUGUAAAUGGGAGCCCAACUAGGGAGUUCUUCCCUAGAAGGGGUCUUCGUCAGGGAGAUCCGCUAGCUCCUUUUCUAUUCCUCAUUGUGGCAGAAGGGUUAGCUGGGGUGGCAAGGGUAGCAGAAGAAAAGAAGUUGAUUGACAGUUUGGAGGUUGGGAAGGAUAAAGUAAAGGUAAAUAUGUUACAAUACGCAGAUGAUACUUUGUUUUUCUGUGAAGCAAAUGCCAAAAGCGUGUUUAACAUCAAGGCGAUUUUGCAAUGUUUUGAGCUUUCUUCUGGGUUAAGGGUUAAUUUCGGGAAGAGUAGGAUUGGUGGGACGGGGAUGAACCAGGUAAUGCUCCAGCGGUUCACAACUAUUCUUAACUGCGAGACGAUGGUUGUUCCUUUUAUAUACUUGGGUAUGCCAGUUGGAGGGAGUCAUAAAAGAGGGGUUUUUUGGAAUGGGGUGAUUGAGAAAGUACAGGCUAGAUUAAGCAGACGAAAGGGAAGAUGUUUGACGAUGGUUGGGAGGAUAUGUUUGAUUAAGUCCGUGCUCUCUUCUAUUCCGCUAUUCUAUAUGUCUUUAUUUAAACUGCCUUCGGGGGUGGCUGGAAAGUUGAUUCGGAUGCAAAGAAACUUCCUCUGGGGGUGGGGUGCAGAAGGAAGGAAGAUUGCUUGGGCUGCCUGGAGUCUGGUAUGUAAGCCUUGCAAGUAUGGGGGGCUGGAGAUAAAUGAUGUAAAAUUGUUCAACUUGGCUUUAUUGGGGAAGUGGAUUUGGAGGUUGGGGUCGAUCGAGAGCGGCCUCUGGAAGGAGAUUCUUGUGUCUAAAUACGGAGGAUGGAGAAGUUUGGGAGAGGAAGGAAAAGGUAGGAGGUGCUCUCUCUGGUGGAAAGAUUUGAAAGAGGUGUGGUUUUCGGAGGGUUGGGGAAGAAAUUUCGCAGACAGUUUCAUGUGGAAAAUUGGGGACGGGAAGGAUACAUAUUUUUGGAAGGAUAGUUGGUUGAAUGGCGAGUCGUUGAAGAAUUCCUUCCCAAGAUUGUUUACUAUUAGUUCUACCAAAGAUGCUAAGUUGUCAGAGCUUGGUUCUUGGUCUAAUGGAGUUUGGGUUUGGCAGUUAUCUUGGAGAAGACCUUCUUUUAAGUGGGAAAAGUCGAAGGCGGAUCAGCUGAGUCAGCUUCUGCUUGAGGCUCGAGUUGUUUCGGGAGAGGUGGAUGGUUGGAUUUGGAAGGAGGGGGGUUCCCAAACUUUUUCGGUUAAUUCUGCCUAUAAUCUUGUUAGAAAGGAUAAAGAGACAAUUAUUUCGCCAAUUUUUUGUAAUCUGUGGAAGUGCAAGGCAGUUCCCUCUGCAGCGCUUAUGGCUUGGAGGUUGUUGGAAAACAAGCUCGCUACUAGGGUAAAUCUGAGUAGAAGAGGGGUUUUGGUGGAUAGCUCGAUGUGUGGUUUGUGUGGGUUGGAGGAAGAAUCUUGUUGCCAUUUGUUCUUCGACUGCAACUUUGCAAGGCGGGUUUGGGGUUUAUGUCAUAGGUGGCUUGGGGUUCUGGUCGUGUCCCAAAUUGAGCCAAAGAGUAACUUUGAUCAAUUUAGGAUGAGCCAUGCUUCAGAAACGAUUAAUAAUGUCUGGAACACAAUUUGGGUUGGGGUGGUGAGCGAAAUAUGGAAGCACAGGAAUAACAUAAUUUUUAAAAGAGGAGUGGGGGAUGCAUUUGAAGUUUUUUCUUUGGUACAAGUAAAGGUCUAGUUGUGGGUGACUCUUAGCACCCAUCUCCUUGGCCAACAACAUUCCUACGACCAAGGUCUCGUAUUAAGCUUGGUUGUUACUAGCUUUGAAGGCGAAUCGUAGGGUCUGCUCAAUCAGCAACCCAUUUGGUCCUUCCAAAAUGACUCCUCCACUACCUUGCUGGUUGGAGGACGCGUCCACGGAGAGGACCCAUCUGAAGUCUGCUUCUUCUUGAUGUGUUAUUGCCAAGGAGAGUUCUACUAUGAAGUAAGCGUAAACCUGGCCCUUGAUAGGCCCUCUUGGUUCGUACUGCACCUUGAACUCUGAUAACUCAACCUUCCAACGCACCAUUUGUCCUGCCACAUCGGGCUUCUGUAAGACCUUGUGAAUAGGAAGGUUCGUCAUCACAAUUACGGUGAAACUCUGGAAGUAGUGGCGGAGCCUUUGCACUGCGAACACCACCGCUAGGGCUACCUUUUCUAUGGCCUAGUAUCUCACCUCAGGCCAUUGUAAGAGUUUGCUGACAAAGUAUAUGGGCUUUUGCACGUGAUCCUGCUCCUGGACAAGGAUCGAGCUGAUCGCCCGCUUUGUGAUGGCGAAGUACAAACGGAGUGGGGUACCUAGCAGCGACUUGCACAACACUAGGGCGCUGGCUAGGUAUUCUUUUAGCUUGAGAAAUGAUUCUUUGCCCUCCUUAGUCCACACGAACCUGUUGUUCCUAUUCAAACACUGGAAAUAGGGAUACCCGUAUCCUCUCCUGCCAAUACAAAUCGGGACAACGUGGCCAUUCACCCUGUCAACUGUUGCACCUUUUUCACCAAGAUCGGACUCCUCAUGGCUAUAAUCGCGGUGCACUUCUCAGGGUUUUCCUUUAUCCCACGCUCAGUGAGUAAAAACCCUAAGAAUUUUCCUGCCUCUACUCCGAACAUGCAUUUUUCAAGGUUCAGCUUCAAUUUGUACUUAGCUAUCGUGGUGAAUAGCUCCUCAAAGUCAGCAACGUGUUGGUCCUUCACCUGGGAGGUGACCACCAUGUCGUCCACAUACGCUUGGACGUUUUGCCCUAUAAUGGGUGCGAGUACUCUGUCCAUCAACCUCUGGUAGGUUGUGCCUGCAUUCUUGAGCCCAAAAGGCAUCACCUUAUAACACUAACAUGAGAGUUUCGUCAUGAAUGUUGUCUUGCACUUAUCCCUGGGAUGCAUCCGGAUCUGGUUAUAUCCAGAGAAAGCAUCCAGGAAGCUAAGAAGUCUGCAGCCUGACGCACUGUCCACCAAGGCGUUGAUGCUGGGCAGUGGAUAUGAGUCCUUCGGGCAAGCUUUGUUCAAGUCUGUGAAGUCAACGCACAUCUUCCACUUACCAUUGGCCUUGUUGACCAAUACCAUGUUGGCUACCCAUUCGGGAUAUUGGAUCUCCCUUAUGUGACCAACAUCCAACAACUUCUUGGUCUCUUGCCCGAUGACCAGUCGCCUUUCUUCGUUAAACUUCCUUCGUCUCUGGUGCACCGACCGAACCUGGAUCCAUGGUGAGGUGGUGGCACAGGAAAUCUGGGUCGAUGUCAGGCAUGUCAUAGGCAGACCACGCGAAGGCAUCCAGGUGUCGCUCUAUUACCUCGGCAAUCUGGUCCUGCACCUCCUGACUCAGGCAUCUACCAAGGUUGAACUUUUUUCCCCCAAUCUACCUUUACAGUACCUCCUCCACAGGUUCGGGUCGAACUCCCCGGGUGAUCUCUACUCGGGUAGCCCCCUCUCCCCUUGGGGGUUGGUUGGCGACGGUGCACACCCCUCUCUUCGUCUUCAGGCUAUUCUCAUAGCACUUCUUUGUCGCUUUUUGGCCAGACUUCAUUGUUAUCACAGUUCCCUCAAGGGAGGGUAGCUUCAUCUUCAUAUGCCUCGUUGAGGCUACGACUCUUGUUCUGUUUAGGGCAGGUUUGCCUAGAAGGAUGUUGUAAGUGAAGCGGCGUUGACAACAAGGUACCUUAUGUUAAAUGUGCGGGAUGCGGUACCGUCUGUGAAAGUUGUCCUUAGCUUUAUAUGCCCUCGCACCUCCACCUGGUCCCUAGCAAAACCGUAUAGGCAGCCGUCGUAAGGUCUUAAUUGAUUGGGCGACAGCUGCAACUUGUUGAAAGUUGACCAGAACAUCACAUCCACCGAACUCCCCUGAUUGACGAGGACUCAAUGCACUCUCCUUCAUGCGGUCACCACUGAGAUCACACUGGAUUGUUGUCAUGUGGAACCACGUCCUGCACAUCGGCUUUCGUGAAGAAGAGGUCGGGUUCUGGAGACUAAUCGGGCUCUUCGGCUUCUACUGCCAUUACCUCUGUAGCAUACUUCUUUCACUGGGAGGCGGUACAUCCUCCUCCUGAGAAUCCUCCAGAGAUUGUGUUGAUCUCUCCAUGGAAGGGUAUUUCAUGCCCCUGAUCUCCUGUGGGGACCGCUGACGUCGGGGCCCCUUGGUUCUCUUGUAGGUACUCCUUCAGGAAGCCAUUCCUUACCAAUUCGUCUAACUGGUACCCCAGCACUAAGCAAUUGCGCAAGUUAUGGCCAACUGCUUGGUGGAAUUCGCACCAAGUGUUUUUGUUGGGCCCCAGCCUCCUGUCGGUCUUCACGGGUGACUUCAGUCUGUCCGCCACGUUGGGAUAACAAUUAGCUCUUUAAGGUCCAUCCGGAAGCUGUGUCUGGUGGAAGCGCUUUCCUUUCUCCGUGCCCUGGUCUAAGGCUUCCUUGUCUCAUACGGUGGCUGCUUUCCCUGGGCUUUCUUCUUUAUCGUGGCCUUGUGCACCCUCAUGGGUGAUGACUUUUUACGGCAAGUGCACCGCGUUUGUCAGAAGUAGUAAUUGUCCCUAAGGACGGAUAUCGAUCCCACAAGGAACAGUGAAUUAUCGAGUACGAUAAUCGCUAAAUAUAAAAAUAGAACAAUUAAAAGAGUUUUGAAUUAAUUGUGUUGGCACUGAUCAAUAAGAAAACAGACAAAGAAUUAGUUGUUUCAAUUGGAAAAAUAAGGAUUAGUUUCAUCUUUCUCACUCUCAAGUAUUUUGAUUAGCAUGUCAAUAUUAAGUUCUUUGAUUAAAAUUGAUGCCCGUUUAAAAAUCAUUUAUAUCGAUUCCUCGCAUAUAAAAUCCUUAAGAAUGUCCCCUAACUAUCGAUCCCUCGCAUAAUUAUAAGAACAACUUAGAACGAAGCUCAGACGUUUAAUAACAAUUAACAUUUCAAGUCUAUUCCUAGCACUCAAAUAUGUUAAGUAUUGUUGUUUAGGUCCGAACCCUAAAAAUACCUCCCAGUCAGAUUUAAGAUUCUCAAUUUGUCACGGAAAGUUAAAAGUAAAACAACAAUACCAAUAAUCAACCAAGAACUGAAUAUUAAUAUAUAAGAUAUCACCUCAAUACAUAAGAGUUUGAGCAGAUUACUCCCAACCCCAAAGGGUAGAAUUAGCCACGCAUACUUCUAUCACCUUCCAUUCUCCCAAUUGGGUUAAAAUUCACUCUAUGGUGUUUUCCUCUGAAUCUGGCACCUAGGGUUGAACCUCUAGCCCCCUAUUUAUCCUAAUUUUCUAGGGUUAGGUGGCUUGCUGUGUCGCACUAAUGGGCUAAGUGAUAAGACAUAAAAAAAGCUCAAUCUUUAUUUGCAUCUUUUUUCAUUCUGGGACCUUCCAACUUUAUCUUUUUAGCUCAAAUUAUUCUCCUUUAUUCCAAAUCUUCAAUCGUCCCUAAAAAUCUGCAAUUAACACAAAUUUGAGAAUAAAAUACUCUUAUUCAAAUAAAGAUCAUAAAAAUGUAAAAAGGUAUAAAUUCAUAAAUUAGGAAUUAUUUUAUAUGUAAAUUAGAAAUAAAUUCUCAUAAGUGUCUAUAUUUUAAUAUGAAAUAUUACUGAAAUUAGACAUUUAUCAAUGGGCUAGGGACGACAAGUUCCCCGAGGUCUAGCAAGGCCAACACUUCCACAUUUUUCUGUUACCUCUUUCUCUAUGCCGAUGUGGGUCACGGCUCGGCGACGAAUCUCGUUGAACGUCUUUGGACGACACCUUAUCAGAGAAUCACUGAAAGGUCCUGGCAGCAUUCCUCGCCUGAAGGCGUGUACCAUCAUGUCUUCGUCUUUAGUGUGCAGCUUCACCACUAGUGCCCCGAAUUUGUUUAGAAAAUCUUUCAAAGGAUCUCCCUGGUAUUGCUUUGCGUCGAAGAGAUCGAAAGAGACGGGAGGGGGAGCCUGGUUGAAGAUGAAUUGCUCUUUGAACAACGUUGAGAACUGAUCAAAUGAGGUAUGUGUCCAUUGGGAAGACUGAUGAACCAGUCCAACUUUGUGCCUGAGAAUGUUCCCAUAAAUAGCUUAUAAUGCAUGGCGUCAGUGCCUUCCGAGAUCAUGAUCUAGGUAUGGAAGGCUGUGAUGUGGGCCUCCGGGUCUUCUACACUUGUGAAGGUGAUUUUUGGAACCAUGAAGUUGGUUGGUAUUACCGUGUCCAUGAUUGUCUAGGAAAAGGGCAUGGGACGAGCCCUAACUGGUAUGGGCGGAGUUCACUCAUCAAUUGUACGCUCCCUCAUGCGUUGUAAGUCUUUGCGCAGUUCCUCAUUGGUCCUGCGCAGCUCAUCAUUGUUUGCUCACGACACGGCCAAAUCGACUUGGAAUCGGUCCUAGCUCGCUGCCUGUUCGACUUGAACUUUAGGCAGAAUCUUGUCUUGAUCAGCCUUGGACGCCGCCACUGCUUGCUAAAGAGCACGAAUGGUCUCCAUGAGUUAUUGCAUGGUGACGUUGUCUCCUCCUUCUAGCACAGUCGCGCCUUGUCUCAUAUUCCUCAUGUUGCUGGAUGGCUCUCAACACGAUUGUGAGUGGGACCUACUUUUAUCGGGCCCCACGGUGGUCGCCAAAUGUUCUCGCAAGUUGACUCAGUUGUCGUUGACUUCAGAGGCAGGUGGUGGCUCUUCCUAUUUCUGGUGGUUUAUGUUCUCUCUUCAGGUGAUAAAGAGUGGCUCCAUUGAAACAUAGGGGGUCCUACCUGUUGAUUGCACUCCGACGAUCUAGUUAGUACUGGGUUAAGAAACAAUAAGUAUGUAAAGCAAUUUCAGCCUUAGAAACGGUGUACCUUUACCAAGAAUUUCAACUCCCUUUUAUAGGCUGUUUUAGGUUACCUUCCCUGUCCCACGAAGACCUUUCCUUAAGUGGAAUUAGGGUUACUAGGAAGACAUCCCGUUGCGUGUUGCACAAUAUUAGCGCAGUCACCGCACAGGACUUUCUUCUUCUGGAGUGCAAAAUCUUAACAUUAUGGCCGCUAGGGUACCAACUCAUGCACCAGCGUUGCGGGGCCAUCUAUUCUAUAGGUGCCCUAAUUAUUCACGUGCCAUGCAUGCAGCUUUUCCUAGAAACCCUAGCGCUCAUGGGCCUUGAUGCCUCUAGGGAAUACUUACUCGUGCUAGACCUGAACGUACUAUACACACCACAUGCAUGAACCCUCCCGUGAUUUAGGUCUUUCUUAUAUCUAGAUGUUAGCUCAUGACUAUUUCUGGGGCCCCGCUUACGUGGCCCAUUAUCGCGACCAGACCACUGAUGUCUGAUGUUAAUGUCUGAUGCCGAUGUCUGAGGUCUGGUCAGUACAACACCGAAGCAAUCAGGUGAAUAGAAAGUUCCACAAAUGAAAACUACAAAUACUCACCAAAGAGUUGAGAAGUGUCCCUCAGAGUCAAAGAACAUCUAAAUUUGAAGAUAAAGGAGAACCCAAAGAGAGAGGGACUAUCAGAACAAAUGUUUGCAUGCGGAGAGAAAGAAAAAGUGAUAAUUUUUUUUGAACAACAUACUCUCAACCUCUGUUUUGAACCUCGAGCAAGUUUUGCCCGUUUUUUUGUUCAUAUUUGAUUACUCUUUAAUUUUUAUUAUUUAAAAGUGAUACUAUUUAAUAGAAGGUUGUUUCUGUUAGUCAGGUGCACAUACUUCAAAAUGAAGUGUUCCAGUUUUAAGCCCCUACACCUCGAAGUGUGCUUCACAUGGGACACACAUAUGAAAGAGUUAAGUUGCUCGCUGAUUGAAUGAGGUGGAUGGCAGAGAAAAAAGUGCAUGGCAUGUAGUGAAGGUGGUUUACGUGGUGCAAUGUUUCGAAGGCAUGGUGGCAGGAAUAGUGUGGGAGAUUGUUGAAGUAUGCGAGGAAGAGAGAGAGGAGGAUGUAAUAAAGGGUGGUGUAACCACCAUAUGUUAGAACAUAUGGCUUUAAACUAAAGGGGGGUGAAUUGUUUAAAGAGAAUUUUCGUAAACUUUUAAAACAAGAAUGAAUUUAUCUCAGGAAAAAAUUGAUUCAGAAAUUCAGUUCGCCAAAAUAGCAAGCAAAACCUGCAGUACCAGAAAAACAAUCGGUUGUUUCACAGAAACAAUCGGUUGUUUAUACCAGCAAACAACAAAUAAAACUAAAUUUAAAGAGUUAGAGAUAGAGAGAUUGUACACAGUUGUUUAUACUGGUUCACUCCAAACCCAGAGCUACAUCUAGUCUUCUCAGAACCCUGAGGAAAUCCACUAAGCAACCACACCUUGAUCACUUACACAACAACCAAGAGAAUGACCUUGAACACCUCAAGAAACACACUCUCCUUGGUCAACACACUUACACCAAGAUUGCUGAUCUUGAUCGCCUCAAGAACACACAAUCAAUCUUAGCAAACACAGAAACGAAACUUGUCUUUACAGAGAGUACAAGGAUUACACUUGUUACAGAAGAUAAUCUAAAAUCAAUACAAGCAGAAUCCUAUUCCACAACUUUGAUCAAUCACACACUUUUGGCAAUCUCAGCUAUUUGAAAAACUCAAAAACUCUUAGCAAAAACUUAUCAAAGAUUUAUUGUCAAAUCUGUUUUUCUGAAUUUAUUCAAAGAUGUAGUUUGUUAUCAAAUCUUAACAAACUCUUAAAUUGCAUUAAAAGAUUGGUCAAAGAAUUUAAUGACUGGAGCGUAAGCAGUUAAAUCAUUUAAAGCUCAGUCAAAGAUAAAACAGUUUUUCUGUUAUGGUCCCAAAACAAACAAUCGGUUGUUUCCUCAAAUCAAUCGGUUGUUUUGGUACUUAACAGUUCAACCAUUUUAAAAACAGUUUUCAAUCUUUUUCUCAAAACACCUAAGUAUAAACAAUCGGUUGUUUCGAAAAAACAAUCGGUUGUUUUAACUUAGUUUGAAAACAUAUUACUUUCACAAAGAUUGAGAUGCUUAUGCUUUAGAUUUAAUCAAAGGGUGGAUUACAACAUUCAAACUACCCCAGAACUAAGCUAAACCAGCACAGCAACAUCAAGCACAGCAAAGGCUUCAACAUCCUUCAAAGGAUUUGGAUUCUUCAAAGCUUGAACAUCACUUGGUUCAACAAUCUCCCCCUAUUUGAUGAAGACAAAUCCCUUAUGCUUGUGUUGUACCUGAUUAAAUCUGAAGCAGUUCCUGCAAGAUACAAUUUUGAACAAAGCAUAAAACUUCUGAUAUUUGGUUAGCACAGAUAAAUAGUAAUAAACUUCAAAACUAAAUAUAAGAAAAAUAUUACUCAUCCCAAACUGUUUUAACAACAAUAAAAAGAAACUUAAACACAGCAGAAACACAACAUAUAUCUCGCCCUAUUUGUCUUCACAAACAGACAAAGAGAAGAGAUAAAAACAAGAUAUUGUUUUGAUUACAUCAGAAUUAAAGCAGCAACAAAAGAAAGAAAGAAAUUUAAAAACCAGAUAUAACAGCCAAACAAAGAAUCAAUUGUUCCGAUAACCAAUCGGUUGUUUUGCCUUCAUUCUUCUUCAUCAGCAAACUGAAGAUCAAAGAUUUGGUUCUGGACAGCUUCAAUCUGUUCAUCCAGAGUCAUAAAUCUUGCAUCCAUGUUGUCAAACCUGGUGUCAAUCCUUUGGAAAUUACUAACACAGAGAUCAUGGAGGCUCCUUUGAUUUUCAGCAAAGCUAUCAAGCUUAUUCACCAUGAGUCUUUCAAAAGAAGACAUGGUUUGCAUCCUUUCUCCUUAAUUUCCAGCACCAGCACUUGGUCCAGCAUCUUGAUAAUCUUUAGGUGGAUCUUCAUGUUGAACAUCCAUAUCAGCAGGUUCAUCUUGUUCAAGAUUAGCAGCACCACUAGAUGAGGCACCAUGAUCACCAUCCUUGCUUAUCCAUUUUCCACCUACUUUUGUAAAACCCAUUUUGCUGAGUGAUCCAUUGUUCAACUCUUGAGUUGACUUGACCAACUCAGAUGUUUCAUCUUCAAGGUUAACUUUAAAAUAGAGUAGAAAUUUAGAUACCAAAACAGCAUAUGGAUAAUGAUAAUCACCUAACCUCAUGGCUUUUUGCAUGUGCUCUUUGAUGAUGUGGAUCCAAUUGACUUUGAUUUUCUUGGUGAUGCAAAAGAUAUAUACCAGAUCUUCUUCAGUUAGAACAGAAUGAUUACUCCCCCUUGGAGUUAGAAUCCAAGUUACAAUGAGAGCAAGCAAUCUCUCAUCAAGCUUUAGACCUCCAACCGAGCAUGUACUUACUUGAGCAUGUUGAUUCUUCAAGCAACUCUUGUAGAAUUGGAUUUUGUUAAAAUCCUCCACCACUCCAAGGUUUCCCUUGUUGAUUCUAAGACCAGAGAACUUGAGACCAGCAACAACAAUCCAUACUUCAUGAGUUAUCUCCAUUUCUACACCCUUCACAUGAGAAACUAGAUUGUUUCCCUCAAACUUUAGGUUUGUGUAGAACACCCUCACCAAAUCUGGAUAUAUGUUUCCCUUCAUCUCCAGGAACUUUCUGAGAGAUUGAUCCUUGAGCAGCCUUCUCACAUUAUCAAGCUUUUGACUUUUUAGCCAAUCAAAGCAUACAACCUUGGGGUUGUUUAUCUUCUUGAUACUUGUUUCAUAUCUAUACUUCUCAAUAAGAUCAUUGUCUCCAGGAAACCAGCCUUCUAGCCUUCCUCCAGACCUUACAACCCUGGUUUUGAAUCUUUUUUGAGGUGGGAGGAGUUGAUUCCAUGGUGGUAUAGAAGAAAACAGAGAAGAACUCACUUCACAGAUUUUUGCAAGAGAUGUUGCAAUUGGUUGUUCUUGUGGAAGAGAUCAGCUGCACCAGUUUUUAUAGCAGAAAAAAGAAUCAAUUAGUAUUCAAUUCUAUUCAGUGGGUACCUAAUUUUCAUAGAGAGAGGACUUGACUCUGCUCUGCACAGAAAACGUCAGAAAAAGCUGAGAAUCACAUGGUCUUCACAUGUGAUCUUUGACUAGUCAUUAAGGCUCUUGAAUUUCCAAGAUUUUGGAAUAUUUUCCUUUAUGACUGUUGUAACUUCUCUCUGAACAUAAUCAGCUUUCAGCAUAGAUUCUUGUACCAAGAUUCUCUCUUUGAAUUGAUCUGCAACGGAUAGAAAUUUAAAUAAGCAAAUUAAAACNNNNNNNNNNNNNNNNNNNNNNNNNNNNNNNNNNNNNNNNNNNNNNNNNNNNNNNNNNNNNNNNNNNNNNNNNNNNNNNNNNNNNNNNNNNNNNNNNNNNNNNNNNNNNNNNNNNNNNNNNNNNNNNNNNNNNNNNNNNNNNNNNNNNNNNNNNNNNNNNNNNNNNNNNNNNNNNNNNNNNNNNNNNNNNNNNNNNNNNNNNNNNNNNNNNNNNNNNNNNNNNNNNNNNNNNNNNNNNNNNNNNNNNNNNNNNNNNNNNNNNNNNNNNNNNNNNNNNNNNNNNNNNNNNNNNNNNNNNNNNNNNNNNNNNNNNNNNNNNNNNNNNNNNNNNNNNNNNNNNNNNNNNNNNNNNNNNNNGAUCUUUGAUUCGGAAUAGCAGUUACCUUUGGUUGCCAUGCUCUAUUUGACAUUUCAAGAUCUUGAUGUUCAGCUCUUCUUUAUCAAAUUUCUUGUCAAGGCUUAUAAAGUGAUUGAUGAUGUGCAUGAAUCUUUUCUGCACCUCAGAAAUUGUUUCUCCUUUAAGCAUUCUAAACAUCUCAUACUCUUGGAUAAGACCAUGCUUUCUAGCUCUUUUCACCUCAUUUGUUCCUUCAUGAGUGACUUCCAAAGUGUCCCACAUUUCUUUUGAUGAUUUGCAUUGCGAGACCUUGAAAAACUCAUCAGAAUUUAAAGCAGAGGUUAUAAUAUUUUUGGCAAUGCAAUUGAAUUUGGCCUUUUUGCUUUCUGCAUCAGUCCAUUGAGACCAUGGUUUCUCAAUGACAAAUCCAUCCUUUUCAAACUUUGGGACAAAAGGACCAUUUUCAAUUGCAUCCCAAAUUCCUUUGUCAAGAGAUUCCAUAAAUAUUUUCAUUCUUACUUUCCAAAACUGGUAAUUCAAACCACAAAACAAAGGUGGUCCGUUAAUUGAAGCACCUUCCCCAAAAGGUAGUCUAUCAGCCAUUUAAAAAAGAUUUUUAGGAUCAACUUGAAUAACUUUCAAGAACCAAGCUCUUGAUGCCAAUUGUUAGAAUAGAUGGCUUUAAACUAGAGGGGGGUGACUUGUUUAAAGAGAAUUUUCGUAAAAUUUUAAAACAAUAAUGAAUUUAUCUCAGGAAACAAUUGAUUCAGAAAUUCAGUUCACCAAAACAACAAGCAAAAGCUGCAGUACCAGAAAAACAAUCGGUUGUUUCACAGAAACAAUCGGUUGUUUAUACCAGCAAACAACAAAUAAAACUAAAUUUAAAGAGUUAGAGAUAGAGAGAUUGUACACAGUUGUUUAUACUGGUUCACUCCAAACCCAGAGCUACAUCUAGUCUUCUCAGAACCCUGAGGAAAUCCACUAAGCAACCACACCUUGAUCACUUACACAACAACCAAGAGAAUGACCUUGAACACCUCAAGAAACACACUCUCCUUGGUCAACACACUUACACCAAGAUUGCUGAUCUUGAUCGCCUCAAGAACACACAAUCAAUCUUAGCAAACUCAGAAACGAAACUUGUCUUUACAGAGAGUACAAGGAUUACACUUGUUACAGAAGAUAAUCUGAAAUCAAUACAAGCAGAAUCCUAUUCCACAACUUUGAUCAAUCACACACUUUUGGCAAUCUCAGCUCUUUGAAAAACUCAAAAACUCUUAGCAAAAACUUAUCAAAGAUUUAUUGUCAAAUCUGUUUUUCUGAAUUUAUUCAAAGAUGUAGUUUGUUAUCAAAUCUUAACAAACUCUUAAAUUGCAUUAAAAGAUUGGUCAAAGAAUUUAAUGACUGGAGCGUAAGCAGUUAAAUCAUUUAAAGCUCAGUCAACAAGAAAACAGUUUUUCUGUUAUGGUCCCAAAACAAACAAUCGGUUGUUUCCUCGAAUCAAUCGAUUGUUUUGGUACUUAACAGUUCAACCAUUUUAAAAACAGUUUUCAAUCUUUUUCUCAAAACACCUAAGUAUAAACAAUCGGUUGUUUCGAAAAAACAAUCGGUUGUUUUAACUUAGUUUGAAAACAUAUUACUUUCACAAAGAUUGAGAUGCUUAUGCUUUAGAUUUAAUCAAAGGGUGGAUUACAACAUUCAAACUACCCCAGAACUAAGCUAAACCAGCACAACAACAUCAAGCAAAGCAAAGGCUUCAACAUCCUUCAAAGGAUUUGGAUUCUUCAAAGCUUGAACAUCACUUGGUUCAACACCAUAUACAUGCAUGCUUUUGUAUUUAAGGGUCAGACAUAGGUGAUUUAAAGUAAAUUUUAUUAUUUGUCUCUCUACGAUACGAUCAAAACAACAACUUAAUAAAUUAUUAUUGGUGCUUCCCGCAUUCCUAAAAAACAUUUUCACCAUUUCUCACUGAUCUUCGCCUUUUUUAUUAUUUGUCUCCUGGUUCAACACAAAUAGAUGUUAUCAAAGCAAUAACACAUAUUCUUAGAUCUUAAAUGCAAAUAUUGAAUUUUCUUUUUAACAAAUGAAUAUGCUUCGACGGUUGAUUAAUAAUCAUAGACAUCACGUACGUUCAUAUUUAUUAAAACUUACUAUAAAUUUAUUUAUAUUGUUAAUAUAAGUGUACGAAUAAUAAUAUUAUUUAUUCAAAUUUUAAUAUUAAACAUUAUUUAUUCAAAUUUUAAUAUCAAACAUAUAUAUCAAACAUUGUUAAUAAAAAAAAUAAUAAUAUGAAUAUUAUUAUUAAUAAUAAUAUUAAUAAUAUUAAUAGUAUUAAUGAUAUUAAUAAUAUGAAUAAAAUUAAUAAUUUUACUAAUAAUAAUAAUUAUAAUAUAAAUAAUAUUAAUAAAAAUAUUAAUAAUUUUAAUAUUAUUUAUAAUAUUUAAUAAUAUUAAUAAUACUAAUAAUAUUAUUUAAUAAUAAUAUUAUUAAUUUUUAAUAACAUUAACAAUAUUUUUUUAUAAUAUUAAUAAUAUUUUAUAAUAUUAAUAAUAUUUAAUAAUAUUAAUAAUAUUUAAUAAUAAAUAAUAUUUAAUAAUAUUAAUAAUAUUUAAUAAUAUUAAUAAUAUUUAAUAAUAUUAAUAAUAUUUAAUAAUAUUAAUAAUAUUUAAUAAUAUUAAUAAUAUUUAAUAAUAUUAAUAAUAUUUAAUAAUAUGAAUAAUAUUUAAUAAUAUUAAUAGCAUUAUUAUAAUAAUUAUUAAUGUUAUUAAUCUGAAUAAUAAUAUUAAUAUUAAUAAUUUUUAUAUUAUUAAUUAUAUUAAUAUUGAUAAUCAUACUAAUAAAUAUAAUAAUAAUCAUAACAUAACAACAAAACUUAAAUGGUUUAGUAAUUAGACCUUCUUUGGUUACUACUUGCUCUUUAGAUUUUUCUGAAACCAAUAAUAAUAAUAAUAAUAAUAACAAUAAUAAUAAUAAUAAUAAUAACUCUUAAUCUCACCUCUCUCCACAUAAACACACUCUCUCUGCCAUAUAAGCAACACCUAACGCUGUUAGGUGGGACUUAACGAGAAGGACCAAUUUGGAUAUAUUUUAAAAAAUAUAGGAACCACUGUACUAAAUUGAAUAUUGACCCCAAAUGUAGGGACGAAUAAGGUAAUUAAACUUAAAAUGAAAUAAUAUAUAAAGUUAUAAGCAUCCAUUCAUUGCAUUGAAAAUUAAAACACACAUAAUUGUUAAAAAGUUGAUACAUAAUUAAAAAUUAAAACACAAAUAAUUAUUCAAAAGUUGAUACAUAAUUUAAAGUUAAAACACACAUUGUUCAUCCCUAAUUAUUCUAUAAGCCAGUUCUUGAACAAACUAAAGUUUACAAAAAUAUUUUUGCUUAAAUAGAAACAAUAAACUGCCAUCAUGAAAAGGCUAAAUAUGUUCCUCACCCAUAAUAGACAUCACAGACAUCACAAGGUCCUUGCCCUCUGCAAAUCCAUCCUUUAUAUGCAAAGAGAAAUCAAUACAAUGAAAACAAUGAGAGAAAGUCCCUAUAAACAAUAAUUUGUAUUGGUCAAUGCAAAAGGGGAAAAUUCUCUAAAAUUGAACAAAUGUGAGUCAGCAAACUGUCAUCAGUGGGGAGCCUGAGGUCAUCCUUAGUGUUCCCAUUUUCAGUAAGCAGACUCAUCUACAAUAAUUUAGUAGCAAAAUCAGGUUCAUAUUUCCUAACAGAAGCCAAACUAAUUAUACUAUUUAUAACAUAAUAAUAAAAGGAAAAAUUGAAUAGAAACAUCAACUCACAAAUCCAUCCUUAGAUAUAUCAAUUAGCUGGUAAUUAGUACGAUUCACAUGAGGACCUAACAACAAUCAUUUGCAACAACUCAGGAAAAUAUUUUUCAAGUUAAGUUAAUCUACCACAACCAUAAAAAUUAAAAUUAAAAGAUAAAGAGAUAUGCAUACAUCAAAAUUGUGAGAGGAGGGCACAAUGUCCUCAAGCUUCUUGGCAAUGAAAAUAUCAAUUCCAAUGAAAUGAAACUUAGUGUGACCGUGCUUUCUAGUUUUGGAAGUAGAGACUUCCACAACCUGUUAACAAUAUAGAUAUAAUAAAAUUAAAAUAAGCUACAAAAAUCAACAUCCAUAUACAUAAAUAAAUUGAUAAGACAAACAUAGGACAUCAAAUUAAUAGCACAUUUGAACGAAUUAUAAAGAAAUUAACAAUAGUGAGUGUGGGUCUAAAAAGCGAAAACAAAGCAAUGAUGGAAGAAAACCUAAAAAAAAAUUAGGGUUUAAAAAGUAAUUGAACUUGCACGGACGAGCUUUGAUACUAUGUAACCGUUCUUGCGAAUUGUACUAGCUUGUUGAGGGUAGGUUUUGGAGGCUCCGGCGUCAACCUUGGAAAAAUUAAGAACAAGGCAAAGACAAGCUAUAAAUAAGAAUGUCAUCAAAAUAAACUACUACACACUUGUCAAUGAAAGGUCGUAAAACAUAGUGCAUGAGUUGCAUGAAGGUACUUGGAGCAUUGGUCAAGUCAAAAGGUAUGACUAACCACUCAUAUAAACCAAACUUGGUCUUAAAGGCGGUUUUCCAUUCAUCCACCGGUUUAAUCCGGAUUUGGUUAUAACCACUCUUAAGAUCAAUUUCUGUAAAUAUUUGAGACCCAUCUAAUUCAUCCAACAAGUCAUCUAAUCUAGGAAUGGGAUGCCUAUACUUGAUGGUUAUAUUGUUUAUGGCACGACAAUCCGUACACAUCCUCCAACUCCCAUCCUUUUUAGGGACAAGAAUCACAUGCAUAGCACAAGGACUCGUGUUGUCUUGCCCCCACCUUUAGCUAUUAAUUCAUCAACUUGUUAUUGAAUUUCUUUGGCCUCGGUUGGAUUGGUCCUAUAUGCAGGCCUAUUUGGUAAAGAAGCACCAGAAAUGAAAUCGAUUUGGUGCUCAAUGCCCCUUAGAGGAGGUAAUCCUUUUGGGGGAUCUUGAAAAACAUCAUUAAAUUCCUUUGCCAAACAUGAAGAACUAUCUACCACCAACUCACUCUCAAGGGUCCUAGGGAAAGCUAUGAAAAUAUUCUUUUGGGAAAGCAUUACCUUUUUUACCUCUUGUGGUGAAAUGAGAAGGCUUCUCUUAUAAUUCUUUUUUUCUUUUUCUUUUUCUCUCUUUUCUUUCAUUCUAAGUUAGUCAUCAUGGACUUCCUUUGAUGAGAGAGAUUUUAGUGUGACCUUAUGCCCAUGGAAGUUGAAAGAGAUUUUGUUGGUAAGGCCAUCAUGAAGAGUUUUUCUAUCAUAUUGCCAUGACCUAUCUAACAGAAUAUGAGUAGCUUCCAUAGGUACAACAUCACACAAGACCUCAUCCUUGUAUUUGCCAAUAGAAAAGGCUAUGAGGACUUGCUUAUUGACUAUGAUCUCCCCCUCUUCACUUAACCAUUGAAGCUUAUAGGGCUUGGCAUGAGAGAUAGUAGACAAUCCAAGCUUAUCUACUACUCUUGUGCUUGCCACAUUCGCAUAACUCCCCCCAUCCACUAUUAAAGAACACAACUUAUCAUUAAUGACACAUCUAGUGUGGAAAAUAUUUUCUCUUUGACUUUCAUCAAAGGGCUUUAAAACUUGUCCUAGUAUUCUUCUCACUACUAAUAAGUUGCCUUCACAUGGACUCUCACAUUCUUCCUCACUUGGGGAUCUAGAAGGGUUGGGAGACCUAGAUCUUUGAGGACUAUGGUCACUUAGGACUACCCCUUCAUGCACAAUCAUAUUGCGUUUGGAAGGACAAUUUGAAGCAAUGUGACUAAAAACCUAAACAUUUAAAGCAUUUUCUAUUUGAGGUUUUAGUAGGGGAUUUAGGGGUUGAAGUUGAGGGUUUAGAAUCCCUAGUUUUGUAAGUGAACUCCUUAACAAAAUUAAAGGGAAAAGUUGAAGAAAUUUUGUUUUUGUUUUUCCAAAACGAGUGCUAAAAGCCAUCAUUAUGAGAAUUUUUAGGAGAUGUUUUCUUUGAAAUUUGUGAUUCUACCUUGAUGGCAAGGUGAACCAACUUUUCUAAAGAGGAGUACUUAUAGAGUUCUACCACAUCUUGGAUAUCCCUUCUUAAGCCACUUACAAAUCUAGCCAUUUUUUAUUCCUCACUUUCAUGCAUGUCAAUCUUUGUUAAAGUUGUUUAAAGUUCCUUAAAAUAAGCAUCCACACUUUGUGUUCCUUGUUGAAGUCGUUGGAGUUUCAACAAGAGCUCUUUCCUACAGUGUGGAGGCACAAAUCUAGGCGCAUGCAUAACUUCAAAUCCUCCCAAGAGAUCACGGCUGACCUCUUGUUUAGUCCUAUGUCCAUGACAGUUUUGGGCCACCAUUGCAUGGCAUAAUCCAAAAAUUCUAAAGAGGCUAACUUAACUUUUUGGUCUUCUUGGACCUCAUGUACAUUAAAUAUUUGUUCUACUUUAGCCUCCCACCCUAAAUACACAUUUGGAUCACCUUCCCCACUAAAACUAAGAAUUUUUACAAAAGGUAAGGAAGGCUUUGCCACAUGUUGACACCUAUCAUCAAAAUGUUACAUUCGCCAUUCUUCCUCUUCUUCAUGGCUACCAUAGUAUUGGUAACUUCUUGAUUCACGCCUAGGAUGAUAUCCUCUCCCUCUUUGAGGUUUAUCAUAGGUCGCUUCUAGCCUUUGGAAUCUUUCCUCCAUUUGCCUCAUCUCUUCAUCUUUUUGUGCAGUAGAUCUUUUGGCCGCCGCCAAUUCCCCCAUAAGGAAAGCCUUUUGGGGAGAUUGGGGUUUAGAAGAUGAGUUAUGGAAAGAAAUGUCCAUAGUUUGCAUCAUGCAUAAUUUUCAAGAACUUUCAAUUUGCACAAAAUUUUUUGGUUUGGAAGGUGCACAACUUGUAUCAAGAUCAUUCCAAACACUCAAAGAAAGAAAUUCUUCCCUUAGCCAAGGUCUCUCUUGUGGAUGAAACUUCAAAAUUAAAAGCAAGUAAGUAGAAUCAAAACAAGGACUCCUAGAAAACUAAUGAACAUAAGACUCAAAAUAAAAGACACGGUUCUUCAAGAGAUAAGUUCUCAAAAAAAUUUGUUCUUCAUUUUUCCAUAUUGUUUUUCAGGUCUUGAUUUUACUUUUGUUUUAGUUCUACCAAUUUUUUUGUUGUUUGUUUGGUUUAAACAGUUCAAAUAACUUGUUCUUUCUUGAACUGUCUAUAUUGAUGUUUAGGAGUUCUUUUUGAGUUUAUCUUAUGUGCUUUUUAAUUUUGUUGAGUCUUCUUUCAUUUUAUUUUGGUAAAAACAAUUUAUGUUGGUUUCAUUUUAAUUUUAUGAUCCAUUUUUAGUUUUCUAAAGUCAUUGUUUCCAUAUAUGUCAUAAAAUCAAGUAGUCCUUUGUUUGAUUUUUUGUUUAUUAUUUUUACAAUGAAUAUCCAUGUAGUUUGAGUCAUUUUUGUGCCUUUUGUGUGCUCUUCUUUUUAUGAUUUUGAGUCUCUUAUCUUGUUAUUAGAUCAUUAACUGUUAGAAAAGAUGGCUUUAAACUAGAGGGGGGGUGAAUGGUUUAAAGGGGUUUUUGCAAACUUUUCAAAGCUAGAAUGAACUUAUUUCAGAAAUCAAAUGAUUAAGCAAUUUAGUUAGCCAAAACAGCAAGCAAAACUGAAAUACCAGGAAAAACAAUCGGUUGUUUCUUCGAAACAAUCGGUUGUUUAUGCCAGCAAACAACAAACAAACUGAAAUUAAAGAGUUAAGGAUAGAAAGAUUGUACACAGCUGUUUAUACUGGUUCACUCCAACCCAGAGCUACAUCCAGUCUUCUCAGAAACCCUGAGGAAAUCCACUAAGCAACCACACCUUGAUCACUUAUAACAAUAACCAAGAGAAUGACCUUGAACACCUCAAGAAACACACUCUCCUUGGCCAACACUAAGAUUGUUGAUCUUGAACACCUCAAGAACAUACAGCCAAUCUCAGCAACACACACAAACGAAUUGUUCAGCAGUUUACAAAGAUUACACUUGUUACAGAUGAAUAUCUGAAAUCAAUACAAGAGAAUCUUAUUCAGCACCUUGAUCAAUCUCUCAACUCUUUAGCAAUCUCAGAAUACUUUGAAAAACUUUUUUAGAUGAAAACUUUGUUUCAAGAUUCUUAAUAUAUCAAAAACUGUUUUUCAGAAUAUAUCUAAGAAUAUAGUUUGUUAUCAAAUCUUAACAAACUCUUAAUUGCAUUUAAAAUAGAUUGGUCAAAGCAUUUAAUGACUGGAGCGUAUUCAGUUAAAGCAUUUAAAGCUCAGUCAAAGAAAACAGUUUUUUCUGUUAUGGUUUUAAAACAAACAAUCGAUUGUUUCCUCGAAUCAAUCGGUUGUUUUGUUACUUAACAAAAACACCAUUCAAAAAAAUUUUUCAAACUUUCUCAAAAACACCUAAGUGUAAACAAUCGGUUGUUUCGACAAAACAAUCGGUUGUUUCAACUUAGUUUGUAAAACAUUUUGCUUUGUUAAUAUUGAGAUGCUAAUUGCUUUGAGAUUUAAUCUAAGUGUUGAUUACAACAUAGAACUACCCCAGAACAAGGCUAAAACAGCACAGCAACAUCAAGCAAAGCAGAGGCUUCAUCAUCCUUCAAGGGAUUUGGAUUCUUCAAAACAUUGAACACCACUUGGUUCAACAAUCUCCCCCUAUUUGAUGAAGACAAAUCCCUGAUGCUUGUGUUGUUCUUGAUUAAAUCUGAAGCAGUUUCUGCAAAAGAACUUUGAGCAAUAUUUUGAACUUUCUGAUAUUCUGUUAGUAUACAGAUAAACAAUUAAAGCUUAAAACAGUCAAUUAUAGAGUCAAACUUCAUGUUAUUCAUGUUUUUAACACUAUGAAAAACAGAAAAAUUAACAAACUUUUAACAAACUUCAAACACAGCAUAUAUCUCCCCCUAUUUGUCUUCACAAAUAGACAAAGAUAAGAGAUAAAAGAAGACAUUGUUCACAUUACAUCAGAAUAAAACAGCAAGAGCAGAAGGAAGGAAAUUUUUUUAAAAAAAAAUAGAAACGAGAACAGCCAAAAACAAUCGAUUGUUUCGAUUUUCAAUCGGUUGUUUUUCUUCAAUCUUCUUCAUCAGCAAACUGAAGAUCAAAGGUCUGAUUCUGGACAGCUUCAAUCUGUUCGUCCAGUGUCAUAAACCUUGCAUCCAUGUUGUCAAACCUUGUGUCAAUCCUUUGAAAGUUGCUAACACACAGAUCAUGAAGGCUCCUUUGAUUUUCAGCAAAGCUAUCAAGCCUAUUCACCAUGAGUCUUUCAAAAGGUGACAUGGUUUGCAUUCUUUCUCUUUGAUUCCCAUCUUCAGUGCUAGGUCCAGCAUCUUGAAAAUCUCCAUUUGGAUCUUCAUGUUGAACAUCCAUAUCAGCAGCUUCAUCUGGUUCAAAAUUGGCAGCACCACUUGAUGAGGCACCAUGAUCACCAUCCUUACUUAACCACUUUCCACCUAUUUUUGUGAAGCCCAUCUUGCUGAGUGAUCCAUUGUUCAACUCUUGAGUUGACUUGACCAGCUCAGAAGUUUCAUCUUCAAGAUUAACUUCAAAAAAGAGUAGAAACUUAGAUAUUAAAACAGCAUAGGGAUAAUGGUAAUCACCUAACCUCAUGGCUUUUUCCAUAUGUUCUUUGAUUAUGUGAAUCCAAUUGAUCUUCACUUUCUUGGUAAUGCAGAAGAUGUAAACCAGAUCUUCUUCAGUCAACACAGAUUGAUUGCUCACCCUAGGAGUUAGGAUCCACGUUACAAUGAGAGCAAGCAGCCUCUCAUCUAGCUUCAAGCCACCAACCGAACAAGUGCUAACUUGAGUUUGAUUAUUCUUCAAGCAAAUUUUGUAGAACUGAAUCUUGUUGAAAUCUUCUACCACACCAAGGUUUCCUUUGUUGAUUCUUAGUCCAGAGAACUUGAGUCCAGCUACAGCAGCCCAAACCUCAUGGGUUAUCUCCAUCUCCACGCCUUUUACAUGAGAGACCAAGUUGUUUCCCUCAAACUUCAAGUUGGUGUAGAAGACUCUCACCAAAUCUGGAUAUAUAUUACCUUUGAGCUCCAGAAACUUUCUAAGUGACUGGUCUUUGAGAAGCUUCCUCACAUUGUCAAGUUUUUGACUUUUCAGCCAAUUAAAGCACACAACCUUGAGGUUGUUAAUUUUCCUUACACUUGUUUCAUAUCUAUACUUCUCAAUGAGCUCGGUGUCACCAGAAAACCAGCUUUCAAGCCUUCCUCCAGACCUUACUGCUCUGGUUUUGACUCUUUUAGCAGUGGGAGGAGUUGAUUCCAUGAUAGCAGAGACGAAAACAAAGGAGAGCACAAAACCCAGAUUUUUCAAGAGAUAGAGCAAGAGAUAUUGCAAGAGAUGUUGCAAUUGGUUGUUCUUGUUGAAAGAAAUCUGCACCUGAUUUUAUAGCAGCAAGAGAAUCAAUUUGAAUUUAAUUUCAUUCAAUGGGUACCUGAUUUUCAGAGAGAGGGUUUGACUCUGUUCUGCACUGAAAAUGUCAGAAAAAGCUGAAAAUCACAUGGUCUUCACAUGUGAUCUUUGACUAGUCAUUAAGGCUUUUGAUUUUCCAAGAUUUUGGAAUAUAUUCCUUUAUGACUGUUGUAAAUCCUUUUUGAACGUGAUCAACUUUCAACACAGAUCCAUUGACCAAGAUUCUCCCUUUGAAAAAUAUCUGCAACAGCUAGAAAUUCAAAAAGCAGUUAAAUCAAUUUCUACACAGUGCUGUCAGACUCAAAACAAUCAAUUGUUUCGAAGAAACAAUCGGUUGUUUUUCUGCAGCAGUUAAAAACUUAACUUUUCAAUUUUUAACCAUAAACAGAAACAGAUUAAGGCACAUGACAGUGAUUGAAAUACAAUUAAUCAUAAGAAAGAACUUGGAAACAGAAAUUGAGAACAAAUAAAAGGAAGGUCUUAUCCUUGUGUUGUUUCUUCAAUGAGCCAAUUGCUUGUUGAUCAAGAAAACUUCUUUUCACUGUUUUGACCUUUUGCACAGCAUUGAUUCAGCUUCAAUGACUGCCCUUUUUUUUUCAACAGCUUGAUCAGAAGGCUUAAAUCUUCCUUUUCUCUUCAUUUUUCCUGCCUAAACAAAUUCAAGUUGCAAGAUUUGGUCCCCUUACAAAUUUGGGUCCACUUGGCUUUUCUUUGCUGUUAGAAACAUCACAUCCCUUAGGAAUCCAUUUCAUAAAACCUUUAGGAACAUAACAUUUUCUAAUUUUGCAGAAUCUAACAGAGUGGCCUUUCUUCAUGCAGUAAAAGCAUGUAACAACCGGUUGUUUCUUCUUAAUAAUCGGUUGUUUUUCUGAUUUUCUCAAAAAACUUUUUGAAAAUCUAUCUUGCUUGUUCUGUGGAUUGAAGCCUAAACCAGCCCUUCCAAAAAAACAGCUUUGAGAUGCUAGGACAUUCUCAAAGUUUGACUUUCCUUUUGAAAGCUUGUCCACAGUUUCAACAAGAUAGUGAACCUUUUUCUCAAGAUUUUCACAAUUUUUGCAAUUGAGAGUAUCACACUUGCAAGAGGCAUUUUUUGAAAACUUUUUCCAGUUUUUCAAAAUCAUUUUUUUCUUUUCUCAGUUCCUCUUCAAGUGAUCUAACUUUCUUUUCAAGCCCAUUGUUAAGAUCUUUCAAUCGGUUGUUUGAAAGAACCAAUCUAUUAGCUUCAUCAUGUGUUUCUUGAAAAGCUUCAAGCAAUUCACUAUAGUUUUGUUCAUUUAAGGAAGCACAUGAACUUACCUCACUUGAACUGCAUGAAUCAUCAUCAUCAUCCUCAGCAACUAAGCAAAUGUUUGCUUUUUCAUCUUUACUUGAUGAAGAACUUGAUGAUGACACUUCAUUUUCAUCCCAAGCUAUGUAGGCUCUUUUUGUUUUGCCUUUCUUCUCCUUGUAGCUUGUCUUUUUCUCUAUACUCUUGUUGGGACAAUCAGCCUUUAUGUGACCUUGCUCACCACAACCAAAACAAGUAUAGUUAUUUGAAUUAAAUUAAUUGGGUUUCUUGUUUCCAUACCUAUCCUUGUUGUUGUCUUUGUUGCGGCUUCUCUUGAGGAAUUUGCUGAAUUUUCUUGACAGCAAACUUAGAUUUUCCUCAUCACUAUCAUCACUUGAAUCUUGUUUUCCCUUAUGUUUGGAUGCUUUCAAGGCUAUGCUCCUUGUGUGCUUAUCUUCACUUUCUUGAACAUUGAGUCUAUUCAUCUCUAGCUCAUGUUCCCUGAGCUUUCCAAACAAAGAGGCAACACUUAAUGAUGUUAGAUCUUUAGAUUCGGAAAUAGCAGUUACCUUUGGUUGCCAAGCUCUAUCAAGACAUUUCAAGAUCUUGAUGUUCAGCUCCUCUUUAUCAAACGUCUUGUCAAGGCUCAUAAGGUGAUUUAUGAUGUGUGUAAACCUUUUCUGCACUUCAGCUAUGGUUUCACCUUUCAGCAUUCUAAACAUCUUAUACUCUUGGAUGAGAGCAUGCUUUAUAGCCCUUUUCACCUCAUUUGUUCCUUCAUGAGUGACUUCCAAAGUAUCCCACAUUUCCUUUGAUGACUUGCAUUGUGAGACCCUGAAAAACUCAUCAGAAUUUAAAGCAGAGGUUAUAAUAUUUUUGGCAAUGCAAUCGAAUUUGGCCUUUCUACUUUCUGCUUCAGUCCAUUGAGACCAUGGUUCUCAAUGACAGAACCAUAUUUUUCAAAUGUUGGAAUAAAAGGACCAUUUUCAAUUGCUUCCCAAAUUCCUUUGUCUAGAGAUUCCAUAAAUAUUUUCAUUCUAACUUUCCAAAACUGGUAAUUCAAACUAGAAAACAAGGGUGGUCUGUUUAUUGAGGCACCUUCCCCAAAAGGUAGUCUAACAACCAUUUUGAAUGAUUUUUAGGAUCAACUUGAAUGACUUAUAAGAACCAAGCUCUGAUACCAAUUGUUAAAAAAGAUGGCUUUAAACUAGAGGGGGUGAAUGGUUUAAAGGGGUUUUCGCAAACUUUUCGAAGCUAGAAUGAACUUAUUUCAGAAAUCAAAUGAUUAAGCAAUUUAGUUAGCCAAAACAGCAAGCAAAACUGAAAUACCAGGAAAAACAAUCGGUUGUUUCUUCGAAACAAUCGGUUGUUUAUACCAACAAACAACAAACAAACUGAAAUUAAAGAGUUAAGGAUAGAAAGAUUGUACACAGCUGUUUAUACUGGUUCACUCCAACCCAGAGCUACAUCCAGUCUUCUCAGAAACCCUGAGGAAAUCCACUAAGCAACCACACCUUGAUCACUUACAACAAUAACCAAGAAAAUGACCUUGAACACCUCAAGAAACACACUCUCCUUGGCCAACACUAAGAUUGCUGAUCUUGAACACCUCAAGAACACACAGCCAAUCUCAGCAACACACACAAACGAAUUGCUCAGCAGUUUACAAAGAUUACACUUGUUACAGAUGAAUAUCUGAAAUCAAUACAAGAGAAUCCUAUUCAGCACCUUGAUCAAUCUCUCAACUCUUUAGCAAUCUCAGAAUACUUUGAUUACCCUAAACCCUAAACCCUAAACCCUAAACCCUAAACCCUAAAACCAGCACAGCAACAUCAAGCAAAGCAGAGGCUUCAUCAUCCUUCAAGGGAUUUGGAUUCUUCAAAACAUUGAACACCACUUGGUUCAACAUUAACAAGUUCAUUAGAGUUAGGUUUCUAUUAUGUCUUGAGUUUCAAUUCUCCUUUUCAAAUCCUUUAAGUUUCUUCUUUUCCAAUUUUUAUGAAAUUUUGUCUCUGUUGUGAGAAUUUAUUGUGGGUUUUUAUUUUGGUAAAAAAAGCUGAAAAUAUUUGCAUAACCCUAUUGAGAAUUUUUUUGGUAUCCAUUUAAAACAGAAUGUCCAAAAAUAAAAUAGAAAAAAAAGUUAUAAACAGUAAAAGUGAGGACGUUUUCAGCUCCAAAAAACAGUUUCAGUGUGGUGUUGCUCUCGGUAUAAAAUUUACUGCACCUUAUUCCUUGGGCUUUUUUACUAGAAAUUUUAACUACACCUUACUGGAUGUCUUAUGGAGUUGGGAUAAAAGUUUGAGAUUCAAAUUCGUUAUAAUAUUUCCCUAGUAAAUUUUUGAAUGAUCUCUAUCAGUGCUAAAAAAACAGUUUCAAUGUCUGAAUACCAGUGUUGCAGUGUUUGAUUUAUUUCUCUCAUAAUACACAUCUCUUUGACCUAAAAGGUAUUCCAUUUGAUCAAAUAUUGUGUUGAUAUUUUCACUUUGGAAGUUUCACUGUUUGUUUCAUUCUAUAUGUAUUUUUUUAAAAAUUUAUUCUAGUUCCAUUCUUAGGUUUCCUAUUUGAGUGCUCACAGUUUUUGUUAUAUUUAACUGUUGAUUUGUCUCUUAAAAUAAUCCUUGCAGUUGUCAAAUUAAUCCAUUUGAGUUUAGCAAUUUUAAUUGAGCUUUUCUUGAACUUUUUACUUGUUGGCCUCAUAAAGUGAAAUUCAUAUUGAGUGGAAGUUUGGUUUUGAAGUUGUGAAGCUAAUUUCUACUUGAUGAUUCAUAGCUAAAGGCUAAAAUAAAUGAUUAUUUGGAGAGGGCAGAAAUUGAAGACAAGAAUCAAUAACAUAUAAAGAGAAGGAAGAUUUGACAACUUGAAGAAAAGAAAGUCAUAAAAAAAAGUUGUUUUAUUUUUAGCUUUGUAUCACGAAACCUUUGUGUACAAGUUUAAUUUUUUUUUUGUUUUUCUUAUCUUGCUUUCCUUUAUUUUUCUAAGUCUCCGUGAUACCUAAGUGAUUGCUCUUCGUUUGUAAUUGAUCUUCCUUUGAUCCACUAGGACGCCUUGCAUACAUCACAUUUAGGGAAAAUUUGUUUUGAACUUUCUUUUUAGGAAAAAAAUUGUUAAUACUAUCUGAGGUAAGCAAUGGCUAAGGGAAGACUUGGUAUUUAAGAAGUCCUAGUGACUCACCUCUCUUUCCUGGGAGUGAACUUGGAGACGGUUUGACUUGUUGACUUUGAUUGAAACUUCACCAACUCAAAAACCUAUUUGUGAAAAUAUUUUAUCACUCAUUUGAAAUAAAAAAAAUUGUGAAAAUAAUUUAUUUUUAAUUCAAAAUGAGUGAUCAUAAUCAUGCAUCUAGUGUUCAAGGUAGUAAUUAGAACACAAAAGAUGACUAUGGGUGGAAAGAAGAGGUUAGGUUAUUGAAAACAUAAUUAGAAAAACAUAGAGAAAAUACAAAUAAAAAAAUAAAUGAGAUAAGAGAAAUAUGUGUCUGGAGUUUAACCAAAUAUAGAUAUAAAUUUUUCCUCCACAAAAAAUACAGAUGAAUGUUUGAUUGAAAAGAAAGAAGAAGAAGAAACCAACAAAGAAGAAGAGUCUUUUAUGACACCCCUUGCAAACAUAGUUGAGAAAGAAUCCUUAAAAGGGAUUUCAAUACCUUGAACUCUUUUUUUCAAUUAUAUAAUGCUAAUUCUUCUUCGCAAAAAUCUCAAAAACAACACUUUGUGAUGUUGUUUCCUAGUUUAGGCAAAGAACAACACAAAGUGAACAAAAAUAGAUUUGAAAAGGAUUGUAUUUUUCAAAACUUUUAUAGCAAUAAAGGGCCUUAUUUUUAUUCUGUUUUCUUUUUCAUUAAUUUUCUUUUAAAGAAACUUUUUUCAUGUUUGUUUGAUGUUUUUGUAGAUGGAUAUUUGAUCCUGGAGGAAAAUAACAAAUAAACAGAGGUUUCUAUCAUAGAACAUCAUUUAUGAUCUGAGGACAGAUCUUUCUCAAGAGGGAGGGAAUGAUGAAAAUCCAUCCAGCCUCGAAACAUUUGGCUAAGAAGAUUGGAAGCAGAAAAAGGAGCUUUGAAUAGACUAUUGAAUCGCUACCAAAAUUUCAGUCCCAACUAGUUCCUUAGCUCACUCUUUGCUAGCACUAGUUUUGUGUCUAGCUUAGAACUUCUGAGGAGUUGGCUUCACCUUUCUUAAGAUUCAUUAUCAUUCUCCAUACACCAAUACUUCACAAAUUCUUUCACCCAAUUUUAGACACCCAAUCCCACCCAAUUCUACACCCCAAAAUACAAAACAAAAGACUCAUAACAAUGCAAGCUAGGAUUGCAACAUGUGAACUUUCUACAAAUUUACUUCUAGACCUAUGUGUUUUACUUUCCUAAGUUUUUUUUUAUAUUUUAUAAGCAUUUAUUUUAUCUUAUAAAUAUUUUUUUCAAGUUGGUCUAGUCGUGAACGGAUAUCUAUUUUAGUUUGAUCAUUUAUAUUUCCAUGAAUAUCAUAAUGAUGAAAUGGUCCACUCAUGGUUGAAUGUAAAAAAAUUUCGCAAGUGUUUGAAAGAAAAAGAUCAACUAAAGUGGGUCCCAAAACUUUUCAAAGUAAGAGAAUUUGUUUAAACAACUUUGUAGGUGAAGUUUAGUAAAGGAGGCUGAAGUGAUAAAUGUUCAAGUUCACUCCCAGGAAAGUGAGGUGAGUCACAAGGAUUUUUUAAGUACUAAGGCUUUCCUAGACAGAGGUAACCUCAAAGGUAUCUGAUGACUUUUUUACGGCAAGUGUACCGUAUCAUAAGUAAUAAUUUGUCCCUAAGGACGGAUAUCGAACCCAUGAGGAACAAUUGAAUUAUCAAGUAUAAGAUUCACUAAAUAUAAAACAAAAGAAUAAAAUGUGUUGGGAGUUUGUUAUAUUGAUUGCAAGAAUAAUAAAGAAAGUCAAAGAGUUUGUUGGUUCAAUUGGGAUUGGGGCUCAUCCUUCUUACUCUUUUGUAUUUUGAAAAGCAUAGUAACAUUUUAUCCUAUGAUUGAUGUUGAUGCCUAUAUAAAAGUCUUUUAUAUCAAUUCAUCGCAUAUAAAAUUAUUAAGAGAGUCCUAAAUAUCGAUUCCUCGCAUAUUUAUAAAAACUCAUUGGCAUUAUGAUUAGAUGUUGAUAUCAAUUAACAUUUCAAAUCUAUUCCUAGCAUCCAAAUAUGUUAAGCAUUAUCAUUUGGGUCAGAAACUUAGAAAUCUACUUUCCAGUCAAAUCUAAGGAUUUUGAUCAUGGUAAACAAGCAUUACAAAUGAAAUGACAAUACCAAUCAUCAAUCAAGAACAUAACAUUAUAUUUAAAUAUCACCUAAAUACAUAAGAGUUUGAAAAGAUUACUCUAAAACCCAAAGGGUAGAAUUAGCCACUCAUGUUGGCCAUUACAAGCAUGGAAAACAAGAAAAGAAUAUCUAGGAUGUUUCUCCUUCACGGCUACCUCCUCUAGUGUUUUCUAACACCUUUUAUUCUCCAAUUGAUCUUUAGGGUUGUGCCUCACACCUCAUAUUUAACCUAGUUGGGCUUGGGCUAAGUGACUACUCGCAUGGGCGAGUUUGACAAAAACAGGCCCAACGUCACUGGAGUGAUCUCGCCUGGGCGAGAUUGGGCUCGCUUGGGCGAGAUCCUUUGAAAGCUUCUAUCUUGGGCGAGUACUAGAGCGUUCCAACUUUCCCUUUUUUAUCUUUGUUUAUUCUCUUUUUGCCCUUUCAUUUCCAUUCUUCCCUAGAAUCCUGAAAUUAACACAAAUUUGGGAAUAAAUCAUUCUUAUUCAAAUUAUAAUCACAAAAUAUGUAAAAAUGUUUAAAUUCAUAAAUUAGGGGUUAUAUCAUAGUUAUUUUAUCAAUUAAUAUGCAUAAGUGUUUGUAUUUUAAUAUGAAAUACUAUUGAAAUAUGAAACUUAUAAAUAUCUCACAAAAGUUUUCAAAAGGAAACUUCAAAACAAUUUUGGAAAAUAAAAAUAAAAAUAUGUAUGCAUGUGAAUACUCGAAAAACCAAAGAAAGGUUAUCUAAUCGCAAGAAAAGGAAAAACGGUAAAGUAUCACAGAGACGUAUAAGCAAGGAAAAUAAGAAAGGAAGACAAGUACAAAAACAUAGCAAAAGAAUAGAUGCAAAAGUAAUGUUAGACGAGUCUUAUUGUUAUAGUGCAAUGAACAUUGAGAGUUCACUAACACACAAUCACUCUAAUGCAUGUAAAACUAUUACAAAUUUUUAUUGGGAUUGUCGUUGGAGCACUUUCCCAAACAACUAAAAUUAAAAAAAACUACACUAGAAAGAUGUAAAGUACACAAAAUUUCGUGAUACUAAAACAAAUUACAAAGUUUGAUCAUGAGGUCUUUGGUGAAAGCACUAAAAGUGUUUAAUUUGCUUCUUUGAAGUGAAGUGGAUCGAAAAUGCUUCUUUUUUAUCCCUCUUUCUCCUCUUGAUAGAGUCUUGAAGACCAAAAUAGAACCUAAAGAUUGUUGAUCCAAACCAAUUCUUGAUGCACCACUUCAAGCACAACCAACUCACCAAAUUGUGUAAUAAAUGAAGCCAAAGAAAAACUAAAAAAAUUGAAAAGCUAAACUCAAAGGGAAUAAGUGUGACAAACAAAAAUGGAGAAUCAAUAAAAGACAAGCAAAAAAUUAAAGCAAUUGAGAAAGGAAACACAAGCAAAAGGAACUAAGGAAAGCUCUAGAAAAGAUGAAAAACACAAAAAAUUUCUAAAGAUUAUGAGUUAGUGAAAUUUCAGCUGGUGUGGCUAGAAAACUGGAUGUAGCUCUUAUGGAGGAGUGAACUAGUAUAAAAAUUAUUGUAUGAUGUUCUUUCUUUCUCUCUUUAUUUUUCUGCACUAAAUUCUUGAAUUGAUUGAUUUUUAAAAUUCAUGUUGGUCAAUUGAAACUUUAAUCGAUUAUUUUGUUAUCUGCAAAUAUUUUAAUAUGUUGAUUUUUAGUAACUUCAUUCUAAACCAGAUUUUAAAAAAGUUCAAUUCACCUACCACACCCCUUUAACUCAACCUAUCGUUUUAUAUGUGUAUGCUAAAUACAUUGAAUAUUGUGAACGAACUUUAUGUACAAAACCUUUUGUCAGAAUAGAUGGCUUGAAACAAGAGGGGGUGAAUUGUUUUCAAAAGAUUUUCACAAAUACUGGUAUCAGAUUGAAAACUCAAUAAAAUCAACUAAUUUAUUUAUCUAUUCAACUGAUUAUAAAAAAAAAACAAGAAGCAUUUAAUCAAAAUAUAAACCAGUUGUUUUGAGAAUUCAAUCAAUUGAUUUAAAAGUAGAACAUUGUAAAGCACUUUAUAAAACAAAUAUCAAAGUGAAAGAGAGAGAUAUUGCACAAGAGAUUUAUAUUGGUACACUCUUAACCAAGAGCCACAUGUUAGAAACUAUGGCUUUAAACUAGAGGGGGAUGAAUGGUUUAAAGAGGGUUUUUGCAGACUUUUAAGCCAAGAAUGAAAUUACUUCGAGAAUAACUUGAUUAAGAAAUCAAUUUGCCAAAACACAAAGCAAAAAGCACAGCACCAGAAAAACAAUCGGUUGUUUCGCAGAAACAAUCGGUUGUUUAUACCAGUUUACAAAUAUAAAACUGAAAUUAAAUAGUUAAAGGAUAGAGAGAAUGCACACAGAGGUUUAUACUGGUUCACUCUUAACCAAGAGCUACAUCCAGUCUUCCCAGAAACCACAGGGAAAUCCACUAAGCAAUCAACCCUAGAUCACUUACAACACAACCAAAGAAGUGACCUUGAUCCCCUCAAGACACACACUUCCUUUGGUCCAGCACAACACCACUAAGAAUGCUGAUCUUGAUCCCCUCAAGAACACACAGCACUUCUCAGCUAUACACACAGAGUUUCUUUCAAAAGUACAAAGGAUUACACUUGUUACAGAAAAGAUCUGAAAUCAAUACAAGAUGAAAAUCCUAUCUCACACUCUUUGAUCAAUGCAAUCUCUAAGCAAUUCUCAACUUUUCAAAAGCUCAAUCUAUUGAAAAACUCAAAUCUGUUUUUUUGUAUUAAAAUAAAGUUAUUUGUUGCAUAAUCUUAACAAACUAUUAAUUGCAAUUAAAGAUUGGUCAAAGUAUUAAAAACUGGAGCGUAAACAGUUGUAAAAUCAUUUAAUGCUCAGUCAAAGCACAAAAUAGUUUUAUGUUAUGGUCCCAAAACAAACAAUCGGUUGUUUCCACGAAUCAAUCGGUUGUUUUGGUUUGACAGCAAGUCAACCAUCAAAAAUAGUUUUCAACCUUUCUAAAAACACCUAAGUAUAAAACAAUCGGUUGUUUCGACAAAACAACAGGUUGCUUUUCACUUAGUUUGAAAAACACUUUUCAAUUAAAAGGUUUGAGAAUGCUUAUGCUUUGGAUUCAAUCAAGAGUGGAUAUAUACAAUUAAUCUACCCAGAUCCUACCUAGAGACAGCUCAGCAACAGCAAGCACAUCCUGUCUUUCAUCAACCUUCAAAGGGUUUGGAUUCUUCAAAGCUUGAACACACUUGGUUCAACAAUCUCCCCCUAUUUGAUGAAGACAAAUCCCUGAUUGCUUGUGUUGGAUCUGAUUGAAUCUGAAGCAGUACCUGCAAAAACAACAUAUGUACAGUCCAAUGCUUCUUACAGCAGCAGGUUAGAUUUUCACACUUUGAAAGCAGAUUUCCAGACUAACAAUUGGUUGUUUACUCGAAACAAUCGGUUGUUUUUAUCAGCAGAAGCAGAAACAGGUUUGAUAUCGGAGAUUUUAGCAGAUUUAAACAGUUUUAGAGAAAGAUACACAAGAAACAAUCAAUUACCCCCCUAUUUGUCUUCACAAAUAGACUCUAACAGGUAUUAAAACAGAUUUAGGAAAGAUUAUGAAGGUCAAGGAUACCUAACUCAUUUCUUAGAAAGAAGAACCUCUCUUUUGGUAAUGGUUUUGUGAAGAUAUCAGCUAACUGCAGUUUAGUAUCAACAAACUUCACUUCACAGUCCCCAUUGCUUACAUGAUCCCUGAUGAAAUGAUGACGUAUCUUAAUAUGCUUAGUCCUAGAGUCCUGAAUCUGAUUUUUGGUAAGAUUGAUGGCACUUGUCUAAUCACACAUCAAAGGAACCUUGCUGAUUUGCAAUCCAAAGUCUGCAAGUUGUUGUUUGAGCCACAGAAUCUGUGCACAACAGCUUCCAACAGCUAUGUACUCAGCCUCAACAGUAGAGAGAGCUACACAUGCUUGCUUCUUGCUAUGCCAUGAGAUAAGGCUUGAACCAAGAAGGUGGCAAGUGCCACUUGUGCUCUUCCUAUCUAGCUUGCAACCUGCAAAGUCAGAAUCUAAAUAACCAAUUAAAUGAAUGGGAGAGUGAGAAGGAUACCAUAACCCAACAGUUGAUGUUCCUUUGAGAUAUUUCAGAAUUCUUUUUGCAGCUUUGAAGUGUGACUCCUUAGGAUUUGCUUGAUAUCUUGAACAAAGACACACCGCAAACAUAAUGUCCGGUCUACUUGCUGUUAAAUAUAACAAAGAGCCAAUCAAACCUCUGUAUUUGGUUUGAUCUAACCCUUUUCCAGCAGCAUCUGCAUCCAUGUAGCAGCUUGAUGGCAUAGGAGUGCUUGCUUCUUUGCAACUCUCCAUUUCAAAUUUCUUGAGAAUCUCUUUACAAUACUUUUUUGCUUAACCUGCAAUCCAAGAAUGAAAGACAAUUCUCCCAUCACAGACAUUUCAAACUCACCUUUCAUAGCAACCACAAAUUCUUCAGACUAACUAUCUUGUGACCAAAGAUGAUGUCAUCAACAUAGAUUUGCACAAGGAUAAUUUCAUAAUUUGACUUUUUGAUGAAGAGAGUCUUGUCAAUCAUUCCCCUUUCAUAGCCAUGAGACAGCAGAAAGUUGCUAAACCUCUCAUACCACUGCCUUGGAGCUUGCUUCAGUCCAUACAAAGCCUUUUUCAACUUGAAGACAUGAUUGAGAUGUUGAUGAUCUUCAAAGCCCGGUGGUUGAUCCACAUACACUUCCUCGUUGAUGUAGCCAUUCAAGAAAGCACUCUUGACAUCCAUUUGGAAGAGUUUGAAACCACUCAUACAUGCAGAAGCCAGCAGCAACCUCACAGCUUCCAAUCUCGCAACAGGAGCAAAGGUUUCACCAUAAUCAAUGCCCUCCUCUUGAUUGUAGCCUUUGGCAACUAGCCUUGCUUUGUUCCUUGUGAUCACACCAUCUUCAUCAAACUUGUUUCUGAAUACCCACUUCGAACCUAUGAUGUUCAUCUCAGCUGUUUUAGGGACAAGAAACCAUACCUCAUUCCUUGCAAACUGAUUCAGCUCUUCAUGCAUAGCUUCAACCCACUUUUCAUCCUUGAGAGCUUCAUCAAUUGACUUUGGUUCAAUUUGAGAGACAAAAGCAGUGUGCCUGCAGAAGUUUGAGAUGGAGUUACGUGUAGAGACACCUUCCUUUAUCUGCCCUAUGAUGUUUUCCACUCUCAGAUCUAUAGGAAUCCUCCAUUCUUUGGGCAACUCACUCUGUUGAAGAAUUUCAAUCGGUUGUUUCUACGAUUCAACCGGUUGUUUUUCUGCACUGAUGCCCAGCUUCUCCAAACUGAUGUUCUGCUCAUCCUCUUCAGCACUGGUCUUCGGGAUUUGAAUGCUUUUGCGAUCCACCUCAUCAAAGACAACAUGAACAGACUCUUCUACAGUCAUUAGCCUCUUGUUGUAGAUUCUGUAUGCAUGACUUGUUAAAGAAUAGCCUAUGAAGAUACCAAGAUCAGCUUUUUCAUCAAACUUCCCUAGGCUUUCCUUUCCAUUGUUGAGAAUAAAACAGCUGCAACCAAAAACUCUGAGAUGAUUGAUGUUAGGCUUCCUUCCAUUGAAGAGUUCAUAAGGAGUCUUCUUUAGAAUUGGCCUAAUUAGCACUCUAUUCAUCACAUAACAAGAAGUGCUAACUGCAUCAGCCCAAAAAUACUUAGGAACUGAAGAUUCACUAAGCAUUGUUCUUGUUAGCUCUUCAAGGGACCUGUUCUUCCUCUCUACCACACCAUUCUGUUGUGGAGUUCUUGGAGCAGAGAAAUUAUGCAGAAUCCCCAUCUUUUCACAAAACUUGCUGAACUUUUCAUUUUGGAAUUCUCCUCCAUGAUCACUUUUUAUUGAGCCUAUGUUGUUGUUCUUUGUGUUUUGCAAUCUUCUUGAAUGCAGAAAAGGCAUCACUUUUUUAUUCCAAGAAUAGAGUCCAAGUGAACCUAGAAAAAUCAUCCACAAUAACAAAAGCAUAGUAAUUGCCACCAAGGCUCAUGAUUCUUGAAGGUCCAAAAAGAUCCAUGUGAAGUAGCUCAAGAGGUUUUAAAGAAUAAACAACAUUUUUUAUUUUAAAAGAGAUUUUCACUUGUUUCCCCUUUUGGCAAGCUUCACAAAUAUGAUCCUUCUCAAACUUAAGCUUUGGUAGCCCAAUCACAAGAUCCCUUGAAAUUAGCUUGUUCAAGUGAUUCAUGUGAAUAUGAGCAAUUCUUCUAUGCCAAAGCCAAGACUCAUCUUGCUUGGAUAGAAGACAACCAAUUGAACAUGGUGAAGAGAUAUCUAGAAGAUAAACAUUAUUGAUUCUCUUACCUACCAACAUUACCUCUUUAGUGUUGGGGAGACAGAUUUCACAUGUGUUUGUUUUGAAGAUAAGUUGAAAUCCCUUGUCACACAGUUGACUAAUGCUUAGCAGAUUGUGUUUUAAACCUUCUACAUGGAGCACAUCAUGGAUGACCAAGAUAUCUUUGUUUCUUAUGGAUCCUCUCCCAAGAAUCCUCCCCUUGUUGUUGUCACCAUAGGUAACGUGCCCUUCUUGCUUAAAGGAGAUGCUCAGGAACUUUUAUGUGUCCUUAGUCAUGUGCUUGGAGCAUCCACUGUCCAAGUACCAUUGUUGCAUGCUCUCCUCCAAGUUUUCCUACAAAGAAGAUUUUCAAUUACAAAGAUUUGGUCCCCUUAUGAAUGUGGGUCCAUUUGGUUUACAUUCAUCAUCUGAACCUUUACUGAACUUAGGAAUCCACUUCAUAAAUCCUCUAGGAACAACAUAUUUUCUGAUUUUACAGAACCUAACAAAAUGGCCUCUUUUCAUGCAGUAGAAGCAUGUAACAACUAGUUGUUUCGAUGGUCCAAUCGGUUGUUUUUCUGGCAUUUUCGAAAAUGACUUUGAAAAUCUAUCUUGCUUGUUUUGUGGGUUAAAGCCCAAUCCAUCUUUUCCAAAAACACAGUUUUGAGAUGCCAAGACAUUCUCAAAGUUGGAUUGACCUUUGGAAAGCUUAUCCACAGUUUUCACAAGAUAGUGUACUUUCUUUUUCAAGAUUUUCGCAAUUUUCACAAAUAAGAGUAUCACACUUGCAAGAGGAGUUUUUAUAAACAAUUUCAAGGUUUUCAAAAUCUGUUUUUGAAUUUUCCAAUUCCUCUUCCAGUGUUUUGACUCUCUUUUCAAGCCAGCUAUUCAUUCCCUUUAAUCGGUUGUUCAAGAGGGCCAAUCGGUUGGCUUCUUCAUGUGUUUCUUGAAAGGCUUGAAGCAAUUGACUAUAAUUUUCAGAGUUUGAGGAGUUAGAUGAACUUACACUACUUGAGUCAUCUUCCUUUCUGGCCAUGAAGCAGAGGUUGAGACUUUUUCUGUUUUGCCUUCUUUUCCUUCUUGCUUGACUUCUUGACCUUACUUCCUUUGAUUCAUUGCUGUUCCCAUGAGUAGCUUUGAGUGUAUCCCACAUCUCUUUAGCAGUUUUGCAUUUUGAUAUCCUGGAAAACUCAUUAGUAUCUAGUGCAGAAGCUAUUAUGUUUUGAGCAGUACAAUCAAGCUUGGCCAUUUUAGAUUCUUCAUUAGUCCAUUGGGACCAAGGUUUUGCAAUCAAAGAACCAUUCUUUUUAAACUUUGGAAUGAAAGGACCAUUCUCGAUUGAAUCCCAAAUUCCAUGAUCAAAAGAUUCCACAAAGAUUUUCAUUCUGGCCUCCCAAUACUUGUAAUUCAAUCCACAGAAUAAAGGUGGUUUGUAGAUUGAAGCACCUUCCUCAAAAGAUAGUUUUCUAGCCAUAAAAAAAGAUUUUCGGAACAAACUUGAUUAACUUUCAAGUACCAAGCUCUUGAUGCCAAUUGUUAGAAAGUAUGGCUUUAAACUAGAGGGGGUGAAUGGUUUAAAGAGGGUUUUCGCAAACUUUUAAGCCAAGAAUGAAAUUACUUCGAGAAUAACUUGAUUAAGAAAUCAAUUUGCCAAAACAAUCGGUUGUUUCGCAGAAACAAUCGAUUGUUUAUACCAGUUUACAAAUAUAAAACUGAAAUUAAAGAGUUAAAGGAUAGAGAGAAUGCACACAGAGAUUUAUACUGGUUCACUCUUAACCAAGAGCUACAUCCAGUCUUCCCAGAAACCACUGGGAAAUCCACUAAGCAAUUAACCCUAGAUCACUUACAACACAACCAAAGAUGUGACCUUGAUCCCCUCAAGACACACACUUCCUUUGGUCCAGCACAACACCACUAAGAAUGCUGAUCUUGAUCCCCUCAAGAACACACAACACUUCUCAGCUAUACACACAAAGUUUCUUUCAAAAGUACAAAGGAUUACACUUGUUAAAGAAAAGAUCUGAAAUCAAUACAAGAUGAAAAUCCUAUCUCACACUCUGUGAUCAAUGCAAUCUCUAAGCAAUAAUCUUAACAAACUAUUAAUUGCAUUUAAAGAUUGGUCAAGGCAUUAAAAACUGGAGCGUAAACAGUUGUAAAAUCAUUUAAUGCUCAGUUAAAGCACAAAACAGUUUUCUGUUAUGGUCCCAAAACAAACAAUCGGUUGUUUCCACGAAUCAAUCAGUUGUUUUGGUUUGACAACAAGUCAACCAUCAAAAACAGUUUUCAACCUUUCUAAAAACACCUAAGUAUAAAACAAUCGGUUGUUUCGACAAAACAACAGGUUGUUUUUCACUUAGUUUGAAAAACACUUUUCAAUUAAAAGUUUGAGAAUGCUUAAGCUUUGGAUUCAAUCAAGAGUGGAUAUAUACAAUUAAUCUACCCAUAUCCUAUCCAAAGACAGCUCAGCAACAGCAAGCACAUCCUGUCUUUUAUCAACCUUCAAAGGGUUUGGAUUCUUCAAAGCUUGAACACACUUGGUUCAACACUACAUUCAGCCCUCAACAAACCACUGACUAAACCAAACAUACAAGGUUAGACAAAAACAACCAAGAGUGUUGAUCUUGAACCCUACGAGAACACACAACACUAUUAACCACACAAAAAAUUCAGAAACCCUAUAUGAAUCUACUUACAACAAAAUACAAUGAAAAGAAUAGAGUUUGAAUACACCUAGAUUUAUUACAAAUGAAGCACAACAGAAUUGUAAACCCAGAAAGUUUCUUCACAUAACAAGAAUGACCCAAGAAGCAAAUUUAAUCUUCAAUAAUGAUAUAAAACUUUAUGUUUUCCUCUCUAUGAAAAGUGUUAGCUUGAAAUUAUCAGACAAAUAUUAUUAAAACAGUUUGAUCAUUUAUCGAAAAUAGUUCUAUCAAUUAAAAACAGUUUUAUUAACAUAACAGAAUUUUGUUAAAAACAUUUAAUUGAUAUUUGAAAAUAAACUGAUUGUUUUCUUUAACAUAAGAAAUCACCAUAUUUUAAACCAGUUCUUUUAUUGAAAUAACUUGUUGAUUCUACUUAACAGAAAAGACAAAAUAGAAAACAAAUCAUUUUUAAUUCCUUAAAAUCUCUAAGUGUUUUCAACCAGUUGAUACGAUAGAUCAAUCUGAUAAAAAUACUUUCUAUAAUCAACAAACUUGAAUAUAAGUAAUUUGAACUGAUUAAUAUAUGAAUCAACUAAUUAAAAUAAACACAAAAUUGGAAAACAAGCAUUUCAAGUAAAUUACUAUUAAAGAACUUGGAUCAUAAUGAAAUACAAAUUUACAUAACAAAAUCUACCUAACUAUAUCCGCAAUAAGUCUUCAAAACAGAUUUAGAUCCAUCAAAACUUCUUUGGUCAACACUUUCUAGUAUAAUACAGUUGUUUUCUUAAUUUUUUUGUGUUAUUUUGUUAUUGUUGUUUGAAUCCAAGAGUUUGGUUUUCAACCCUCCUAUAUUAUUAUUGUAUGUUGACGUGAAUCCUUAUAUUCCUAAUCCUCAUUGUGUCCAACCUUUUCUCUAGUUCGAUCUCAUUAUCUAUGUCGGCAAAUCUCACAAAUCCAAAUCUUUCUUUGUGUUUAACUUCCUAUAUAUAAACACUUCAAGAACUCGUCGUCUCUGAAAAAUUUCCGCAUGUCAUACUCAUAAUAACUUUCAUCUAUUUUCUGUUAUCAGAGGCCUCUUACAAACCCACAAAGCCAUUAAAAAUAAAAAUAAAAUAUUAAAUGAAAUGUAUUCCAUUAAUUAUUAAUUAUUAUUUCUCAAAACGUAAUGAAUUAUUUUAUUAAUAACUAAUAAAUUAAACAAAAAAUUAUUUCCAUAAUUAAACCUUUCUUAAAUUUAACUUUUUUUAUGUUCUUAUAAAUAUAGUUUAUAUUGUGUUUUAAAUUCAUUUUCUAAAAUUAUUUUAAAUAUAAUUAACAAGUAUUUUAAAAUUUUAAAAAUAUUUUUUCAUUGAUGGAUGGGAAAUAUAUCCAUUAAAAAUGAUUAAAUAGGUUAAUUAAAUCAGAUUUUUAUAUAUAUCGUAUAAAAUAAUAUUUUUAGUUAAAUUUGUAAUGACAAAAGUAAAUUAAUACGUUUUUUAUCCGGUUUAUUAUAAACUAAAAUAAAAUUAAUGAUAUUCAUAUAGUUUUUCACUCAUGUACGUUUAAAAAUUUUUGCUAUACUUAUCAUUGAAAUAUAAUUUUAUACACUAAACGAAAUAAAAAUAUCAUCAUUCAUAUAUUGGUUCUAUUACUAUUUUUUUUAAUUAUGCAUUGUUACGGAUAAUUCUAUUAUUUUAAUAUAAAAAAAGUAAUAUUGAUAUAAUAUUAUAUUUUAUAUUUCAUUGUUUUAUUAUUUUUUAUUUAUUUACCUAAUAAAUGUGAAGUUUUGUAUUUACUAUAAAAUGUUAUUUUGAUUAAUAUAAAAUAAUAAAUUAUUUUUAUUAUUAAAAAUGUUUUGGAUGACAAGAGACUCCUACCAUCACUUAAGUAUAUUAAUGGUGGUAACAGAGACGGCUCAUUGACUAUUAACAGUAAUGACGUGGAAGUUAUCAAGAAACAUGACAACUUCGUUAACAAACAUAUUUUUAAAAAAUAAUAAAAGUUAUUUGUAAUCACAAUAUCACUUUACAUAAUCACAAAUUUUUUUUAUUUCUUUAUAGUUAGAAACAAGUAAACAAUAUGAUAGAGUAAUAUAUAACACUUAUGUCACUUAAUUAAUAAAAAAAUUAAACAAUAAAGACUCAAUUAAAAAAUAUAAAGGAUUCAAGUGCUUAAUAGAAUAAAAAAACUAAUAGAAACUUAACUCAAAAUAUUCAAAUUUAUAAGAGGACUUAAAAUUUAAUAUAUUCUUAAAGUAAUAAAUUUUAUUCUUCUAUUAUUUUGAUAUUAAGAAAUAAUUAUCGACCCCAAAUAUCAUUUUCAACAAAUUGAUAAGGUAGGUUUGAAUCUUCAAAUAUUGAAACUUCAAAAUGUUUGAUUAAUUCAAACGCAAGCCAUUUGAAACUUCAAAAUGAUUGUUUAAUUUAAACGCAAGCCAUCAAAUCCACAAAGCUCUAUUUAUCUGGUGAUAAAAACUUUUUAAUUUAUUUCAUGAAUUGAUGAAUAUAGUCUGCAAAUCCAUAUUAUACAAAACCAAAAUAAACAAUUUUGUCACAUACAAGAAUUUAUAAUUAAAAGAUCGUAUAUGUAUUUAUGAAUAAAUAUUUUAUAUACAUAUAAUAUAUCUUAAUAUAUAUAUAGUAAUAAUAAAAAAAUAAUAAUAAUAUUUAUACAUUAGUAACAUUUGCGAAUAGCUUUUGAAAAUGGAAAAAGUCCAAACUAAAAAUCAGUUUCACACUCGACCCAAGACUUGUGAAAAUGCCAAAAGAUUCCGUAAGAGCCAAAAAUUCUGAUUAAAGUAGUUAUCAAAAACAAAAUAUUAAAACAACUAUUUAUUAUUUCUUAUUCAGCUUAUUAAAAUAUGAUUAACCUGUAGAUUCAAACUUUUUAAGGUCCCUAAUUGAAUAGAUUGUGGGGGAUUUUCUAUGUAGAUAGAUGGAGCAGAGUGAAUGUAGAGGCUAGUUUGUGUAAUAAUAGUGAAGUAGAUUAUAGAGACAUUGACUUCCCUUUUAAUCAAUAUAAUAAGAAAAUAUUGCAAAAUAUGCUUUUUAAAAAAAUGUAAUCUUAUUAAUUUUAUUUAUUUAACUGGUGUUUCAUAAUAGUUAUAAUUUGUUAUUGUAUGAGUUGGGAAGGUCAUCUUGUUGCAUUCAGGAUAUUUUAUUAUGUGUGUCUCUUAUAUGAAUUUGGUCUUUGUUCUUUUCUAAGUCUCUUGGAAAUAUAUAUUUAUAGUGUCAACAUGGACCUUUAUUAUUGGGCCUAGUUUUUCGAGUUAAUCUUAGUAUUAGACAAAUAUUUCGUAUAAUGAUUAUGUUAAGCAUGUUAUUCGAGAGUACUUAUCGGUUUCCCGAGAUGUACUCAACUGUAGAAGAUUCGGUCAUACCAUGGGAGUACCUGGUGAUGUACAUGGACAAUACACUAGCCCCCAGACUCGUAAAGUUUUUGCUUUUUUUAGAGUCAGAUUGUGUACCUCGAUAAAGGAGAAAGAAAAUUUUAUCUUGUUUGGGUGGUCUUGUUGGUGCCGAGAUGUACACUUUUGUUUAUCCGUACAUUGGCCCCAAGCUCGAUUGGACAAAGGUCUUGAAGAGUUAGAAGCUUCUACGUUUUGGCGUGGUUUAUGUUUCUGGGAUUCCUUAUAGGGUCAUCAUAACCAUUUUAUGAGGAUUAAUCUAACAAUUGGGAAAUGGGGAAACAGUUGGACUUGUACGUUCUUAGUCUAUGUUCAUUGUAGAGCCAUUUGCAUAUCGGUUAAGUUCAUGCGUCUCACCAACAAUGCCUUGUUUUAAUGUUGUGGAUGAUAAAAAACUUUGUACCCGAUAAUGCCAAGAACAUUUAGGUUUAUGUUUUACUUUGACAUCAUGGUUCAUGUAACGUCGAGUGCAUGUUUGUUGAUGUCGAGAACAUAUAGUUUGGUGCAUCUAGGUUGAUGUUAAGAAGAUCUAGGUUGGUGUUGAGGACAUCUAGGUUGAUGUUUUGUUUUGACAUCGUGGUUGAUAUAAAUUCGAGUGCAUAUUGGUUCAUGGCGAGAACAUCUAGGGCGAUGCUGAGAACAUCAAGGUUGAUGUCGACAACAUCUAGAUUGAUGUUUUGCUUUGACAUCAUGGUCGAUGUAUAGUCGAAUGCAUGUUGUUUCAUGCCAAGAACAUCCAGGCCGAUACCAAGAACAUAUAGAGUGAUAUCAAGAACAUCUAGGGUGAUGUUAAGAAUAUCUAGGUUUAUGUUUUGCUUUGACAUCAUGGUCGAUGUAAAGUUGAGUGCAUGCUGGUUCAUGUCGCGAACAUCCAAGUCGAUCCUAAGAACAUCUAGGCUAAUGCCAAUAACAUCUAAGUUGAUGUUUAGCUUUGACAUUUUGGUCGAUGUAAAGCCAAAUGCAUGGUGUUUCAUGUUGAGAACAUCUUGGUUGAUGCCGAGAGAAUCUAGGUUGAUUUUUUGCUUUGAGAUUGGGAUCGAUGUAAACCCAAGUGCAUGUUGGUUCAUGCUAAGAACAUCCAGGCAGAUGCCGAGAACAUUUAGGUUAAUGUUUCGCUUUGAAAAUAUGGUCGAUGUAAAGUCGAUUGCAUGUUGGUUCAUUCCGAGAACAUCCAAGCCAAUUGUGAGAACAUCUAGGCUAAUGUCGAGAAUAUCUAGGUUGAUGUUUUGCUUUGACAUUAUGAUUGAUGUAAAGCCAAGUGCAUGUUUGUUCAUGCCGAGAACAUCUAGAUUGAUGUCGAGAACAUCUAGGUUGAUGUUUGGUCUGUGCAUCUUGGUUGAUGCAAGUAUUCGAGUGUGUUGGUUCAUGUUGGCCGAGAGCAUCUUGGUUAAUGCUUCGCCCUUGCAUCUUGGUUGAUGCAAGUCUUUGGGCGUGCUGGCUCACACUGGCACUCUCGAUUGAUGCUUUGGCCUUUGAAUCUUGGUUUAUGAAAAUCUUCAAGCAUGUCGGUUCACACUGGCUGAGAGCAUCUCAAUUGAUUUUUGACUUUUGCAUCUUGGUUUAUGCAAAUCUUCAAGCGUGUCGGUUCAUGUUGGUCAAUAGCAUGUCGUUUGACGUUUAUCCUUUGCAUCUUGAUUUAGCAAAAUCUUCAAGCGUGUUGGUUCAUGUUGGACGAGAGCAUCUCAGUUUAUGCUUGAUCUUUAUAUUUUGGUUUAUGCAGGUCUCAAGCGUGUCGAUUUACAUUGGCUGAGAGUUGAGGCUUGGCUCGAAUAUUGAUAUUUGACUCUAAGAUUCUUGAAAAAAAAAUUCAUUGGUUGCCUCGUCAAAACCUUCUCGGCUAAAACUUCUUAAAAAAAAAAAGGCCGAGUGAGGAAAUAGUACACUGUGGUGGCUACAUUACAAGUGGAAUAACUCAAUGAAAAUAAAAUUUCAAGUGAGUAGCAUUUCAGGUACUCGACAUUGUCUUGCCGGAUAGAUGUUCUAGCAUGUAAGCUCCAUUCUUGGCUUCGUUCUAGAUCCAAAAAGGUCCCUCCCAGUUGGUCGAGGUUUCCCAUCAAUUUUUUUCUUGCACCAUUGCGCAUUUGCUAGACGAGAUCACCUUGAUUAAAGGUUCUUGACUUUACCUUUGAAUUGUAACUUCUGAACAUCCUCUUUUGUAGUUUGUCUCUUUUCAUCUCCUAAUUUUCUCUCUCAAUAUCACCUUGAUAUCAGCCUACUUCUCAACCUUUUUCUUGUUCAGGACCAUCUUGGCCCGAGAAUUGUUUCCAAACUCACGCAAAACUUCCAGUUGAAUGAAUUUUGUAGCCCUCCUUUGUAGCUAGUCCAGGUCAGCAGUUCUUCUUGCAUAAGUUAACGAAGAAAAUUCCCAGCCUUAAGGUCUUUAUCGUGUGGUGCAAGGCCACAUCUCGGGACUAAGGUUUUGGAUAUUUAAAGCUAUCUUCCCGAACCUUUCCAUGAAUGAGCGCAACAACUCUCCCUUCUCUUGGAAAAUAUUUACAAGGGCUAUUGAGGAGAGGUGGUGAAGUUGAUUUAUUGUGAAUUGCAUCCCAAACUUGGCGAUCAACGUAUCAAAGUAGUCAAUUGACAAAGAGGGGAGUUGGGUAAACAAAUUGAGGGCUUCUCCAUUCAGGGACAUUAGGAAGACUCGACACAUGACGAUGCCGUCCAGGGUGUAUAGGCUCAUCUGUGUCGUGUAAACAUCAAUGUGCUCAUCGAAAUCGAUCAUUCCAUCAUAUUUUUUUUUGUGUUUAAUCCUUUCUAGCUUGCAGGCAACUGGGCUUCCAUUAUCCCAUCAAUGAAGGGGUAUCGGCAAACUCCCCCCAGUGUUCUAGAAGUAUGGGCCGAAGUGUUUGGCCUAAAUUUAGCCUUCUGACUACGAACGUUUAGUGGUUGGAUUAUGACAGAUGGGAUUGUCACUGGGUUAGCUUUGGAGGUAUAUAUUGGUAAGAUUUGCUGUUGUGGGGUGCAAGUGACCCCUCGGUCAGUUUCUUUCUCAUCUCCCCAUUCUCAGAGAGCUCGGAUUUCUUCUUUGUUUUUUUACUUCAUUUCGGCCAUCUCACUCUAAAGGACCAAAAGUAGAGCUACAUUGUAGUGUUGUUUGUCAAAGUUACCAUAAAGUUUUCUCACUCCUCCUUGAUCUUGUGAUAGACAUCAAUUAUUUUUAUUAUGAUUAGAAAAAUCUCGUCGUUACUAUUCAAAUAUAUCCUGAUGUACAUCUUCUAUGUGAAAACAUAAUAUUUUAAAUGUAACUAUUAUAACAAGAUGUAAAUUUACUUUUAAAUUUGUUAAACCUUCUUAUCAACACUUCACUCCCAAAAAGAUGUAGACCGAAAUACUCUAAUAUCAUAUGUUAAAUUUGAUGUUAUCAAUGUAAAAAAUUAUAUUCAAUAAAAGAAUAGCAACUUCUACAAUAAAUUUGUACGCAAACUUCAAUGAUUUUAUUGAAAACUCCUAUGAAUAGAAUUUUCACCGUACAAUAAUAAAGACUGUUUAUAUUUAAAUCUUCCUCGUUUAGGUUAUUCUUGUAAUUUCUUAACAAUAUUUUUUCAUAUUGUAGAUAAAAGACAUAUAUAAAAUAGCUAGAAAGUUCAAAAGUUUUAAUAUCAAUUAAUACUUGUAUUCUUUAUCUUAAAAAAAUAAAUGGAUAAUCAUGAAUAAUUUUAUAUAUUUAUUAUAAAUUAAAAAUAACAUUACAAAUAUUUGUACAAUCAAUUUGAUCAUAAAGAGAUCCUCUAAAUUUUAAAAAAUAAAUAAACAUAGCUUAACUUGAUUGAAAUUAAAUCAUAUAAAAAUAAUAAUUUUGCUUUUUUUUCCUUUAACAAUUACAAUUGUAUAAUAUUUUUUUUUAUCUUCACAGGUGCUGCAAGAAAAUCUUCGAAAAGUUGGUUUCUAAACUAAUAAAAUAUUUCUUAUUUAUCCAAUAUAGCUUCUAGAAGUAAUAUUAUUCAACUCUCCCUCUAGAAGUGACAAAGACACUAGUGUCUUAUGAAAUAACAUUAAUAAUACAUAAUAAAAUAUUUAAUAUGUUUUUUUUAUUAGAAAAAAUUAAUUAAAUUAAAAGAAACCUUUUUAAGAGUGUCCAACCUGUAUAAAGACUUCCAGCUAGUCUGUUCUUAAAAUUCUUUAUGAAUAGGUAUAAUUUAUCUAUAUAUCGUCUGUGUUAACAUAUGAGUUUUGGUUUAGUCUCCCAUAUUUUGUAUUUUCUUUUUUUUUCCUUUUUUUAAUAAUAUUUUUUUUUCGUGUGAUGGCAGAUUAUUGUUGUUACUUGAGGUGUCAGCUUAGCUGAGAUCUCAAGUUGCAUAAUAAUGCCUUAGACGAAAACUUUAAAAAAAAAACAAAAAAAAAACAGAUAAAUGCUUCCAGAUCCCUCCUACAUCAUUCUUAAGAGCAGAGCCAGACCGACCUAGCUUAACUCCAAGCAUUAUCAGACCAAGUGCUGGUCUAAUUUUCCCUAACAGGCAAAACAAAAAUAACAUAGCAACCAAACUUGUAAUUGCUCCUGCAUAAAACCAACAACCACCCAAACUUCAACAAAAAAACCAGCAGCCACCGAAAAAAACUUCACUCUAACUGCCUUAAUAUUGCACUAAACCAGUUAAAGUUCCACUUGUUUUCACCUUCCAACACGCUUCUUGAUGCACCAAGGGGAUCUAAUUUUAGGAAAACAGACAUAUGCCAUAUCACUCGGUAUGGAUCAGUACUUCACUCGGUAUGAAACAUUUAAUAUGUAUCCGAGAGAUUACCUAUAAGAUGAUAUUAUGAAAAAGAAGGUCAAUGAAGGAGUUAGUAAACGGCUUCAAAAUGAGUGUUCAAUACAAAUUAUCAAAUGAAAAAAAUAAAAUGUAAAAAAGUAGCACAACCUUAUUUAUAUUAGUAAAAAUUAUGUCUAGCCAACAAAUAUUAGGAGCCCGUUUUUUAGUAUUAUUUAUUCUUUUAAAGUAAUCAAGAUAGAAAUAGUAUCGGAGUAUCGGAAGCUCUAGAUAAAAAGACACUACAAGAAAACAACCAUUUUGUGUGGGGCAAAAACGGAUGCAAAAGUGAAAAAACAGAAGAAAAAAGCAUGGAAGCAAAUACAAAUUAGCAUGGGCUCGGAAGUUGGAUGCAUCUUGCGUGGGCCAAGUCCACGCAAAACGGACGCAACAUGCGACGACUUAUAUAAAUAGGUAUCAAACUCAAGUCCUUCCAGUGACCAGAAAAGCAAUAACCACAAGACCAGACAAGUUCUUUGGUCAUAUUAUCAUUUUUAUUAUACUUAUUAUUAUUAAUAUAAUUUAUACAUAUUAAUAUAAUUAUUAUUAAUAAUAAUAAAAUAAAUUAUACUCAUAUUAUUAAUAUUAUUCAUAUUAUUACUAAUAUUGUUAAUAUUAUUAAUAUUGUUAAUAAUAAUAAGUAUAAUUAAAAUCAUAAUAAUACUAAAGAAUUUGCUUGGUGUAGUGGUUAAAUCUAACUUAUAAUCUCUUCUAACUUAUAAUCCAAAAUCUAAUAAUCAAUUAUAUUCCAUGAUUCUAAGUUAAUUCUAUAACUAUCACGAAAUGACUCAUAUUUCUCAAAUUGCUUAUGAUACUCUCUUUCAGCCUUUACAAUGCACUUCUUAGUUCAACUCUUACCUUGACAAUGGACUAGGGUUAUUAACUUGUUCCUGCUUGGGAGAUGGGACCUAGAGAACUAUUGAAGUUUUCGUUUUCUUCCCUUGGUCGGAAAGGUUGUUGGGUGCUUGACUGGGGUACUUCUCGUCUCCGUGCUUCUCCCUCGGUUCUCGCUAUCAGGCGAACAUUGGAAAACUAUAUUAACACACUUAUAAAAGAAUAUUGCAUAUGUGUCAUCUCGUUACUUACAACUUACUACAUUAUUAUGUGCUUUAGUUGGAAAACAUUAAUUUCUUUUAGAGAUCAUACUCAGUAACUAUAACAAUGACAUUUAUAUAGCAUGUAGUCAACUUUGAAACACUUUAGAUAUUGUAUUAAUUUAAGAAUUAAGAAUUAAGAAUAAGUUACUUAUUCACGCAGUUAGUCUUAAUAUGUUUGUAUCAUAUACAUUUUCACUAAUUCUUUAAGAUGAUCUUAUGCUUCAUUUAUGAGAAAUAACAUCUUUAAAAUUAUAAUGGAUAUCAAAAUAAAAAUCCUAGUUCAUUCAGCCAUUGCACACAUAUAACAUUUAAAUUUAUUUAAGUUACUAAUUAAAAGUUUUAUCUAGCUUUUUUUUUUCUUAAACCAAAUAAAACAUUUUUAGAUAAAAUUUAUUUUCUAUUUUUAAAUACAUCCAUUACCAUUUGCACUAAUUAAUUACUUCAUCUUGAAUUUAUAUUCUUAAAUUUAUGUAUAUUUUAUAUAAUAUUUACAAAAUUUAAAUACGAAUUUUUUUUACUUUUCUUUUACUAUUUUUUAAUUAAUUAUUAUUUUUCUACAUGUUUUCAAAUCUUUAUAAACUUUUUAAGAUAACUUCAUUUAAAUAAUUUUAAAAUUAAACACUUCCUCAAUUUAAUAAAUUUAAUUUAACUAAUUUAUAUCUUAAUUUAAAAAAAAAAUUUAUGAUAAUAUAUAAAUAAAAUAAAUUUAAAAUAAAUAAAUUUUAAAAUAAUAAAAUAUUUUAUAUAACAUUUAAAUAAUUUAAAUAGAUCUUUUCUUUUACUAAAUUAAUUUUAAAUCAAACACUUAAUUAAUUUAAUAAUUUUAAUUUAACUAGUUUAUAUUAGAAUUUGAUAAAUUAAAUAAUUUAUUAUAAUAUUAAAAAAAUAAUUUUAAAAUAAAUACAAUAAAGAAUUAAAUAUUAAAAUAUUUGUUAUAAAUUACAUAAAUUUAAAUUAAUAAUUUUAAAAUCCUAAAAUAUAAACAUGCGUGGACUUUGCGUGGGUUGUGACGUACGCAUAUACGUGGGCCGUGGCCGACGCAAAUCCGACGCAUAUGCGUGGGACGCAGCCGACGCAUACCGACGCAUAUGCGUGGGCCUGGGCGGGAGAAAGAGAGGGUACGUCCGUGGAUGAGGAAGAAGUAACGGGAGGUUCCAAGAAUGAUGCAAGAUUGAGACUACGAAUGGUGGCUAACACUUGUUGUUUCCAGAUUAGGUAAUUAUCAUGAUCAAUUUUAAAAUGAAUGGGUGUGGCAAAGAUAUGGGGAAAGGAAACAUGUGAUGUAGUGUUUGCAGUAGAGCUUGAAGAGGUUAUAGUAUUGACAGUGGAGGUAGAAGAAGCCAUGAAUGGCUCUGAUACCAUGUAAGGAAUAACAGAGGAGAGAAAGUGAUGUGCAGAAGGUAAAGAAGAUGAGAGAGAGAACUGAAAAACAGAGUAUGUAUAUAUAUUCAUGAAUAAGAAACGUAAAAACAAUAUUUAUAGAGUGCAUGGAAACAAAAAGAUAUUAACAAAUAACGAAGUUUGUUGUUGUUAACUAAUAGUCUCUUAUAUGAAUUUGGUCUUUUCUAGGUCUUGGUCUUCAGUCUCGGUCAAAGUGGAAUGGUAACUACAAAAAGUAUUUCGACGCUCAAGUCAAUGCUCGGUUAUCGGUGGUUGGAGUAAUAAAUGCUAUUAAAAUGCAUACAUUUAUCUUGUCUUGGAAGUAUAUAUUUAUAGUGUCAACGUGGACCUUAAUUAUUGGCCUAGAUUUUCGAGUUAAUCUUAGUGUGAUGGAAACCGUCCAACCUCACACAACCAUAUAAUAAGGAGGACGAAGACCUAGAGGUUGUUUAUUGAUUUAAUUGCAAAUAUGGGUCUAAUUGGGCUUUUGUUUAUUUUUGUAGGCCCAACCAAGAGGACAACUCUAGGGUGAUGGAAUGUACAAACAUAUCCAAAAAACACUCCAAGUCAUCAAAACAUAAACUAAAGUUUUGGUUAAAAGAACACAAGAAGACUGAUUUUCUGCUGACUAGUCGACAUUAUUUUUGGGUCAAGCUUUAGCUUAAAUAAAAUGUAUAAAGUUGUUUAGGUUUUUAUGGGCCAUGUAUUGGGCCUAGUAGCAUAAAAUAAUUGGACCAAAUAUUUGGGUCAAGUAGUAUAGGUUUUUAGGCUUGUAUUUGGGCUAAUAGUAAAAUAUGACUAGUUAGGGUUAAAAGUGACUAGUUAGGGUAACAAUUGGGCUUCUUUGAGCCCAAUGUAACCCUAAAACGUCUAGGGCAUAUUGGAGAACGAAAAUACCUUGGCAUGGAGUACAUGGACGUCCACAUGGCAACAUAGGAGUGGAGAGGAUUUAGCAUGGAAGGUGUGAGCUAAACAUGGAAAGCAUGACUCCAGAUGGCACCUUCUCAUUAGAGAGUUUUAUUUUGAAUUUUAAACUUUUGGCUAAAAAAUGUUCAGCCCUCUCUCCUAUAAAUUGAGGUGCUUGGCUCUAAUUUUAUAAGAUUAAUCUAGAGCAAAUUGCUACCAAAAUUGUGUUAAUUUUGCUCCUUGUUUUCUGCCUCUCUAGGAUAGACAUUUUAAUCUUCAUUCUUCACCUUUGUCAAGUGAGAUGGCCUCACCACUCACUCUUCACACCUAACAUGCACCUUCAAGGAGUCCACAACUCUACGUGAGUUCCUUGCUUAUUCUCAUCCAUUGAAGCUUCCGCCACUCCUCCAAGAAAUUUCAAAACGGAAUGAAGGCACAAAUCCAUCAUAGUAUUAGACAAAUAUUUCGUAUAGUGAUUAUGUUAAGCAUGUUAUUCGAGAGUACUUAUCGGUUUCCCGAGAUGUACUUGAAUGUAGAAGGUUCGGUCCUACCAUGGGAGUACCUGGUGAUGUAUAUGGACAAUACACUAGCUCCUAGACUUGUAAAGCUUUUUGCUUUUUUUAGAGUCGGAUUGUGUACCUUGAUAAAGGAGCAAGAAAACUUUAUCUUGUUUGGGUAGUCUUAUUGGUGCCAAAAUGUACACUUUUAUUUAUCUGUACACUAGCCCCUAGCCUUGAUUGGAAAAAGGCCCUGAAGAGUUAGAAGCUUCUAUGUUUCAACAGGGUUUGUGUUUCCGGGAUUCCUUAUGGGGGUCAUCAUAAUCGUUGGAUGGGGAUUAAUAUAACAAUUGGAAAAAGGGGUGACAUUUGGACUUGUAUGUUUUUAGUAUAUGUUUGUUGUAGAGCCAUUUGCAUAUCGAUUAAGUUUGUGUGUUUCACCAAUGGUGCCUUGGUUUUAAUGUUGUGGAUGAUAAAAAACUUUGUACUCGAUAAUGCCAAGAAAAUCUAGGUUGAUGCUUUAAUUUGGCAUCAUGAUUCAUGUAAAGCCGAGUGCAUGUUGGUUGAUGCUGAUAACAUCUAUUUUGGUGUCGAGAACAUCUAGGUUGAUCCCGAGAACAUCUAGGUUGAUUUUUGUUUUGACAUCAUGGUCGAUGUAAAUUCGAGUGCAUAUUGGUUGAUGGCGAGAACAUCCAGGGUGAUGCUGAGAACAUCAAGGUUGAUGUCGAGAACAUCAAGGUUGAUGUCGAGAACAUCAAGGUUGAUGUCGAGAACAUCUAGGUUGAUGUUUUGCUUUGACAUCAUGAUCGAUGUAAAGUCAAUUGCAUGUUGGUUCAUGCCAAGAACAUCCAGACCGAUGCGAAGAACAUCUAGAGUGAUGUCAAGAACAUCUAGGGUGAUGUUGAGAAUAUCUAGGUUCAUGUUUUGCUUUGACAUCAUGGUCAAUGUAAAGUCCAGUGCAUGCUGGUCCAUGUUGCAAACGUCAAUUUUGAUGCUGAGAACAUCUAGGUUAAUGCCAAUAACAUCUAAGUUAAUGUUUUUAUUUGACAUUUUGGUCGAUGUAAAGCCAAAUGCAUGAUGAUUCAUGCCAAGAACAUCUUGGUUGAUGCUGAGAGAAUCUAGGUUGAUGUUUUGCUUUGACAUCGGGAUCGAUGUAAAGUCGAGUGAAUGUUGGUUCAUGCUGAGAACAUUCAGGCAGAUGCCAAGAGCAUUUAGGUUAAUGUUUCGUUUUGAGAACGUGGUCGAUGUAAAGUCAAUUGCAUUUUGGUUUAUGCCGAGAACAUCCAAGCCAACUGUGAGAACAUUUAGGAUGAUGUCGAGAAUAUCUAUUUUUAUGUUUUGCUUUGACAUUGUGGUCGAUGUAAAGCCGAGUGCAUGUUUGUUCAUGUCGAGAACAUCCAAGUCAAUUUCAAGAAUAUCUAGAUUGAUGUCGAGAACAUCUAGGUUGAUGUUUGUUCUUUGCAUCUUGGUUGAUGCAAGUAUUCAAGCAUGUUGGUAUAUGUUGGCCGAGAGCAUCUCGGUUCAUGCUUGGUGAUAAGUGCCUAAUUUCAGUAAUAUUUCAUAUUAAAAUAUAGGCACUAAUGAGUACUAAUUGCUAACUUACAUAUAAAAUAACUAAUUUGUGAAUUUAUACCUUUUUACAAUAUUUAUGAUAUUUAAUUGAAUAAGAACAUUUUAUUCCCAAGUUUGGUGUUAAUUGCAGGUUUCUAGGGAAUAAUGGAGAUUUGGACUAAAGAAGAAUGAUAUAUGCUAAAAGGAGAAAGCUGGAAGGCAUAGAACACACAAAAGAGAGAAAAAGUCCAACUUAACAACGAGAAUGCGUCAGAUUAAUUGGGCUAUUUUUAUGUUUUUAUCAUUGAGCCCAUAAGCGCGACGCAUGAAGUCACCUAACCCUAGAAAAUUAGGUUAUAUAGGGGGCUAGAGGCACAACCUUAGUGUGCAAGAUUGAGAGGAAAACACCAUAGAGUAAAUUGUAACCCAAUUGGGAGAAUGGAAGGUGCUAGAAGUAUGCGUGGCUAAUUAUACUCUUAUUUAUUAAGGUGAUUUCUUAUAUUAAAAUAUUCAGUUCUUGAUGGAUUAUUGGUAUUUUCGUUUUACUUUUAAUUUUCCGUGACAAAUUGAGAAUCUUAGAUCUGACUGAAAGGUAUUUUUAAGGUUCUGACCUAAAUAAUAAUACUUAACAUAUUUGAGUGCUAGAAAUAAACUUGAAAUGGUAAUUGCCAUUAACGUCCGCAUGUGAUUCUAAGUUGUUUUUAUAAAUAUGCGAGAAAUUGAUAUUUAGAAAAUAUUCUUAAGGAUUUUAUAUGGGGUACAUCGAUAUAAAUGAACUUUCUACAGGCAUCAGUUUCAAUCAAAGAACUUAAUAUUGGAAUGCUAAGCAAAAUACAUGAGAGUGAGAGAGAUGAAACCUAAUCCCUAUUUUUCCAACUUGAAGCAACUAAUUCUUUGUCUGUUUUCUUAUUGAUCAUUGCCAACACAACCAAUUCAACACUCUUUCUAUUGUUUUGUUCUAUAUUUAGCGAAUAUUGUACUUGAUAAUUCACUAUUCCUUGUGGGAUCGAUAUCCGUCCUUAGGCAAAAUUAUUACUUAUGAUAAAGCGGUGCACUUGCUGUAAAAAGUCACCACUUGGCCCUUGCAUCUUGGAUGAUGCAAGCCUUUGGGCAUGUUGGUUCACACAGGCGCUCUCGGUUGAUGCUUUGGCCUUCGCAUUUUUGUUGUUGUAAAUCUUCAAGCGUGUCGGCUCAGUUGAUUUUUCACUUUUUCAUCUUGGUAGAUGCAAACCUUCAAGUGUGUUGGUUCAUGCUGGUCGAUAGCAUGUCGUUUGACACUUAGCCUUUGCAUCUUGAUUAAAGAAAAUCUUCAAGCGUGUUGUUUCACGCUGGCCGAGAGUAUCUCGGUUUAUGCUUGGUCUUUACAUUUUGGUUUAUGCAAGUUUUCAAGCGUGUCGAUUUACGUUAGCUGAGGGAAUCUCGGUUGAGGCUUGGUUCGAAUAUUGAUACCUGACUCUAAGAUUUUUUGGAAAAAAAACACCGGGUGCCUCGUUAAAACCUUCUCGGCUAAAACCCUUUCAUAAAAAAAAAAGGUCAAGUGAGGAAAGAGUACACCGUGGUGGUUACAUUACAAGUGGAAUAACUCAACUAAAAUAAAAUUUCAAAGUCAGUAGCAUUUUAGGUACUCGACAUUAUCUUUCCGAAUAGAUGUUCUAGCAUGUCAACUCCAUUCUUGGCUUCGUUCUAGAUCCGAAAAGGUCCCUCCUAGUUUAUAGAGGUUUUACCAUAAAUUUUUUCCUUGCACCAUUGCGCAUCCGCCAAAUGAGAUCACCUAGAUUAAUGGCUCUCGACUCUACCUUUGAAUUGUAUCUUCUCAGCAUCCUCUUUUGUAGUUUCUCUCUUUUCGUCCCCUAAUUUUCUCUCUCAAUAUCACCUUGAUGUUAGCCUACUUCUCAACCUCUUUCUUGUUUGGGACCAUCUCGGCUCGAGAAUUGUUUCCAAACUCACGCAAACCUUCCAGCUGAAUCAAUUUUGCAGUAGAUGGAGAUCAAGUAGAAGGGGAUUUCACUAAUGAAGGAAGAGGCCAUCCACCCAAGCAUUUAAAGUUCUUCCUUCUAGUCUUCUAAAAAAUAAAGAAGAAAUUAAAUAAAGAGAGGACCAAGCCUAAAAGAAGACUACAAGCAUUCAAGAAUGGGCUCCAAUUAAUAUCUCUCUUUGUAAUUUCUUUUGUAUAAAUUUGUAAAAUAAUAUAGAAUAGCUUUAGAAUGUGCUAACGAGGGAAAGCUAAAAGACAUUAUAUAGCACUUUAGGCACUAGUUUUGGUAGGAAGAGACUAGAAGAGUGCCUUUUCACACCCAUUCUCUCUUUAGGCGCUAGAUUGUCUUAGAAGGAAUUAGAAGGUGACCUUUCAAGCUUCCUUCUCUUGUACAUUUGUGACCAGCCCUCUCUAUUAUAAAAGGGAUGCUUGGGUCUUUAAAAUAAGAAGUGAAGAUUGGUUUUUGAGAGUAAAGAACUUCUACCAAAUUGGUGAUUGAGUGAGAGAGACUUGUGUCUUCUUCUCUUCUAGUCUUAUCUUGAGUGAAUUCUUGGGCUCUCAAGUUGCGGAAAACACACUCAUGUUUGUGUAUGUUUGAGUUGUUUUGGCACUUUUAAUUCAAGAACUUUACAUUCUCCUCUUUACCUUUAUGUUUUAGGUUUAUUUUUGGGUAUUUCUUGUUGUUUUCUUGUUCUUAAUACAUUGUGUUUGUGUCAUUUUGAUUUUUGAAUCUCUAUAAGUUUUGUCAAAGUCAUGUUUCUCCAAAAUGUUAUCAAUUCUAUGUAGUCCUUUUGUUGAUAAUUUUGGUUUCUUGAUUUUUAAUUGAGUGCAGUUUUAUGUGUUUGUUUUCUUGAUCCUUUGGUGCCUUUUCUUUUUAGAUUUGAGUUCUUACUUGUAUUUUAGAUCUAUACAAGUUCUUAAAACAUCAAUUCUAUUAUGUCUUUUGAAGUUCUCAAUUUUGUUUUUCAUUCCAAUUAGGUUUCCUCUGUUUUCUUGAAAAUGUGCUGACUGUUUUGGUUUAUUACAAUUUCUGUGAUUACUGGAAAAUUAUGAAAUUUUGGAUUUGAGUUCUUGAGAGUGUUACAAAAAAAGUAGAAAAAAGAAGUGAGUCAAAAUUCCAAGUACAAAAAAGAAAUGAUAAAUCAAAUACGUCCUGUGUGUAAUUCUGGCACAAAAAAUAUGGAAAAGUGGCAGUAAUUUUGCAAAAUUUAUCACAAUUAAUUGGCGCACUAUUUUUGUGUGAUUCCAGAUCCAUUGUUGAGAUAAGAUCUUGAAAUUUCAUUGGUUUAAAUUUCAUAAUCCAGUUUCAUUUCUUCAAUUCCAGAUCAAUUUGUAAAGUCACGCACAGUUUACAAAAAAAAUUCCAGUAGUUCUGUUUUUUGUUUUCUUCAUCUAUUCUAGUGCUUUUCUUUAGGUUUCUUUUGUGUGCCAUCUUUUAAUAGAGUACCUUGUUUUUCUUGAUUGUCUUUUCUUCAUUAUUCUUCGAGUUUGUCACAUAUCUUGUACAUGAAAUUUUUGAUGUACAUGAGGUUAAAGAUGAACAAAAGGUGAAAAUAGCCUCUUUAGAAUUUUUAGAUUAUGCCAUGCAAUGAUGGCAUAGACUUGUAAUGGACAUUGGACUAAACAAGAGACCUCCCGUGGUUUCUUGGAACGAUUUGAAAGAGUGUAUGCGCAUUAGAUUUGUUCCACCACACUUUAGGAAAGACCUUUUGUUGAAGCUCCAAAGGCUUCUCCAAGGCACGCUAAGUGUGUAUGCUUACUUUAAAGAGUUAGAAACGCUUUUAAUCAAAGUAGAUAUGCAUGAAAGUAAGGAAGCUAAAAUAGCUAGGUUUGUGAGUGGUCUUAGGAGGGAUAUUCAUGAUGUUGCGGAACUUCAUGAGUAUUCAGCUUUACAAAAUUUGGUUCACCUUGCCAUCAAGUUUGAAACUCAAAUUUCAAAGAAAAAUGCUUUCAAAAAGACUCAAAAUGAUGGCUUCUACAACAAUUCUUGGAAAAACAAAAACAAAUCUUUUUCAAAGGCUCCUCCUAAAGAAUCAUCUUUCAAAACUAGAGAUUUUAAGCCUUCAACUUCUACUUAUAAGUCACCAACCAAAUCGUCUAGUAAGAAAUGUUUUAAAUGCUUAGGAUAUGGUCACAUAGCUUCUAAUUGCCCUUCUAAAAGAAAUAUGUUUAUACAUGAUGGGGUAGUGGUUAGUGAGCAUGAUUCCGAAAACUCUAGACAUUCCUCACCUUCUAGAUCCCCAAGUGAGAUUGAGAGCGAAAGUCCUUGUGAAGGUGACUUGUUGGCGAAUGUUGGGAAAAAUUCCAAAACCUUUCGAUGAUACCCAAAGAGAAAAUAUUUUCCACACCUGUUGUCUUAUCACCAACAAGUUAUGUUCCUUGAUUAUUGAUGGGGGGUAGUUGCACUAAUGUGGCUAGUACAAGAGUUGUGGAGAAGUUAGCCUUACCCACCAUCUUUCAUACCAAGCCCUAUAAAUUACAAUGGUUUAGUACCGAAGGUGAAAUCAUGGUUAACAAACAAGUCCUCAUUAACUUUGCAAUAGAAAAGUAUAAAGAUGAGGUUUUAUGUGAUGUUGUGCCAAUGGAAGCAAGUUGUUCUUUUAGGAAGGCCUUGGUAAUAUGGUAGACAUGUUUUACAUGAUGCCUAUCCAAUACUAUGUCUUUUUCCUUCCAAGGGUGCAAGGUGUUGAACCAAGUGGUGUUCAAGCUUUGAAGAAUCCAAACCCUUUGAAGGAUGUUGAAGCCUUGGUUGUGCUUGGUGUUGCUGUGCUGGUUUAGUAUAGUUCUGGGGUAGUUUGAGUAUUGUAAUCCACCCCUUGAUCGAAUCUAAAGCAUAAGCAUCUCAAUCUUUGUGAAAGUAAAAUGUUUUCAAACUAAGUUAAAACAACCGAUUGUUUUGUCGACACAACCGAUUGUUUAUACUUAGAUGUUUUGAGAAAAAGAUUGAAAAUUGUUUUUAAAAUGGUUGAACUGUUAAGAACCAAAACAACUGAUUGAUUCGAAGAAACAACCGAUUGUUUGUUUUGGGACCAUAACAGAAAAACAGUUUUAUCUUUGACUGAGCUUUAAAUGAUUUAACUGUUUACGCUCCAGUCAUUAAAUGCUUUGACAAAUCUUUUAAUGCAAUUUAAGAGUUUGUUAAGAUUUGAUNNNNNNNNNNNNNNNNNNNNNNNNNNNNNNNNNNNNNNNNNNNNNNNNNNNNNNNNNNNNNNNNNNNNNNNNNNNNNNNNNNNNNNNNNNNNNNNNNNNNGAAUCAAUCUUUGACAAGUUUUUGCUAAGAGUUUUUGAGUUUUUCAAAGAGAUGAGAUUGCUGAAAGUUUGUGAUUGAUCAAAGUUGUGGAAUAGGAUUCUGCUUGUAUUGAUUUCAGAUUAUCUUCUGUAACAAGUUUAAUCCUUGUACUCUGUGAAACAAGUUUCGUUUUUGUGUUUGCUGAGAUUGGCUGUUGAUGACUUUUUACGGCAAGUGCACCGCGUUUGUCAGAAGUAAUAAUUGUCCCUAAGGACGAAUAUCGAUCCCACAAGGAAUAAUGAAUUAUCGAGUACAAUAAUCGCUAAAUAUAAAAGCAGAACAAUUAAAAGAGUUUUGAAGUACAAGUUUGAGCAUACAUUAAACUUCCAACAAUAGAUGCAUANNNNNNNNNNNNNNNNNNNNNNNNNNNNNNNNNNNNNNNNNNNNNNNNNNNNNNNNNNNNNNNNNNNNNNNNNNNNNNNNNNNNNNNNNNNNNNNNNNNNNNNNNNNNNNNNNNNNNNNNNNNNNNNNNNNNNNNNNNNNNNNNNNNNNNNNNNNNNNNNNNNNNNNNNNNNNNNNNNNNNNNNNNNNNNNNNNNNNNNNNNNNNNNNNNNNNNNNNNNNNNNNNNNNNNNNNNNNNNNNNNNNNNNNNNNNNNNNNNNNNNNNNNNNNNNNNNNNNNNNNNNNNNNNNNNNNNNNNNNNNNNNNNNNNNNNNNNNNNNNNNNNNNNNNNNNNNNNNNNNNNNNNNNNNNNNNNNNNNNNNNNNNNNNNNNNNNNNNNNNNNNNNNNNNNNNNNNNNNNNNNNNNNNNNNNNNNNNNNNNNNNNNNNNNNNNNNNNNNNNNNNNNNNNNNNNNNNNNNNNNNNNNNNNNNNNNNNNNNNNNNNNNNNNNNNNNNNNNNNNNNNNNNNNNNNNNNNNNNNNNNNNNNNNNNNNNNNNNNNNNNNNNNNNNNNNNNNNNNNNNNNNNNNNNNNNNNNNNNNNNNNNNNNNNNNNNNNNNNNNNNNNNNNNNNNNNNNNNNNNNNNNNNNNNNNNNNNNNNNNNNNNNNNNNNNNNNNNNNNNNNNNNNNNNNNNNNNNNNNNNNNNNNNNNNNNNNNNNNNNNNNNNNNNNNNNNNNNNNNNNNNNNNNNNNNNNNNNNNNNNNNNNNNNNNNNNNNNNNNNNNNNNNNNNNNNNNNNNNNNNNNNNNNNNNNNNNNNNNNNNNUAAGAGUUUGAGUAGAUUACUCCCAAUCCCAAAGGGUAGAAUUAGCCACACAUACUUCUAUCACCUUCCAUUCUCCCAAUUGGGUUACAAUUCACUUUAUGGUGUUUUCCUCUCAAUCUGGCACCCUAAGGUUGAGCCUCUAGCUCUCUAUUUAUCCUAGUCUUCUAGGGUUAGGUUGUUUAUUGUGUCGCGCUAAUGGGCUAAAUGAUAAAACAUAAAAAAGUCUCAAUCUUUCUUUGUAUCUUUUUCCAUUUUGGGACCUUCUAUCUUUAUCUCUUUAGCUCAAAUCAUUCAUCUUUAAUCCAAAUCUCCAAUCUUCCUUAGAAAUCUGCAAUUAACACCAAAUUUGGAAAUAAAAUACUCUUAUUCAAAUAAAGAUCAUAAAAAAUUUAAAAAAGGUAUAAAUUCAUAAAUUAGGGAUUAUUUUAUAUGUAAAUUAGCAAUAAAUCCUCAUAAGUGCCUAUAUUUUAAUAUGAAAUAUUACUGAAAUUAGACACUUAUCCGCUGUGUGUUCUUGAGGGGAUCAAGAUCAACAAUCUUGGUGUUGGUGUGUUGGCCAAGAAGAGUGUGUGUCUUGAGGUGUUCAAGGUCAUUCUCUUGGUUGUUGUGUAAGUGAUCAAGUUGUGAUUGCUUAGUGGAUUUCCUCAGGGUUUCUGAGAAGACUGGAUGUAGCUCUGGGUUUGGAGUGAACCAGUAUAAACAUCUGUGUGCAACCUCUCUAUCCUUAACUCUUUAAUUUCAGUUUUGUUUGUUGUUUGCUGGUAUAAACAACCGAUUGUUUCUGUGAAACAACCGAUUGUUUUUCUGGUUCUGCUAUUUUUGGUAAACUGAAUUUCUUAGCAAUUGUUUCCUGAGAUAAAUUCAUUCUUCUUUUAAAAGUUUGCGAAAAUCUUCUUUAAACAAAUCACCCCCCUCUAGUUUAAAGCCAUCCAUUCUAACACAAGGUUACCUUAAAACCCCUCUCUCCCCAAGAGGUUCAUGAGGACCAAAUAAAAAUGAAAAAUAAAAGAGAAAAUGAGAAAGCAAAAAAAGUAAGUACUAAACCGAGUCACAACACUUUAUCCACUAAAUCAAUCAUGUUGACUCGUGCUAUGCCUCAAGUUGAACCUCAAAGGUAUUCUUCUUCUUUAUCUUUUUCAUUACCCAAGGUUCCUAUUUCAACACCAACUUGGUUAAAAAAUGUUAGGGGUGAUUUUUACAUACCUCUGAAUGGUUUUCACCUUUUAAGAGUUCUUUUUCCAAAAAAUAUCAUCAUUCCCAAACAAUGUUUUCCAACUUGGUCUGUCUAUAGGACCUCCUUUUCUGAACUCCUACUGCUUACAAAUUCUAAGUCAUGUUUGCCUUUCUUUUAUUCAACUGGUAAUUUUGAUAGCAAACUGACUUUGUUAUAUGCAGGGAUUCAGAAUUCGUGGACGAAUUCUCUCCAACUUGGGGAGAAUGAUGGAGAUCAAGUAGAAGAGGAUUUCACUAAUGAAGGAAGAGGCCAUCCACCCAAGCAUUUAAAGUUCUUUCUUCUAGUCUUCUAAAAAAUAAAGAAGAAAUUAAAUAAAGAGAUGACGAAGUCUAAAAGAAGACUACAAGCAUUCAAGAAUGGGCUCCAAUUAAUAUCUCUCUUUGUAAUUUCUUUUGUAUAAAUUUGUAAAAUAAUAUAGAAUAGCUUUAGAAUGUGCUAAAGAGGGAAACCUAAAAGACACCUCCAUUGUAUAGCACUUUAGGCACUAGUUUUGGUAGGAAGAGACUAGAAGAGUGCCUUUUCACACUCAUUCUCUCUUUAGGCGCUAGAUUGUCUUAGAAGGAAUUAGAAGGUGACCUUUCAAGCUUCCUUCUCUUGUACAUUUGUGACCAGCCCUCUCUAUUAUAAAAGGGGUGCUUGGGUCUUUGAAAUAAGAAGUGAAGAUUGAUUUUUUAGAGUAAAGAACUUCAACCAAAUUGGUGAGUGAGUGAGAGACUUGUGUCUUCUUCUCUUCUAGUCUUAUCUUGAGUGAAUUCUUGGGCUCUCAAGUUACGGAAAACACACUCAUCUUGAAGCCAACCAUCCUUCAAGUGGCGUGCACAAUUCCAAGAGCUCCAACCACCUAAGUUUCCUAUUCCUAGUCAUCUUCUUCCAUUUCCAUUCCAAAACAAACUCUAAAACAUGUCUUUGUUGUUUCUUGUUGAUUCAAUCGGUAGAACUUGUUUAGUUUGUAUUUAUGUUCGGUAGAUUGUCUUAGUUUGCUGUUCUUAUGGUUUUAAUUGUGUUUCUUGAAGUUUUAAUCAGUGCAUUUGUGUUCUUCUUUGUUUCAUUCAGUUCAUAUGUCCAAAAAUGGGUUUCUAUGUGAGUUUGGCUUGGUUCUUGUGAUUUGGUGAGUUCUUGAAUGAUUAAGAACAUUGAUCCCAUUCUUAAAAAUUACCUAAUCAUAUUUCAACUCUUAUUGAAUCCAUAACAUGUUCAUAUCAUAUCCCUAUCAUGUUCUUGGAUUCACAUCAGUAGUCCUCCUUCGUAGCUAGUCCAGGUCAGCGGUUCUUCUUGCAUAGGCUGACUAAGAAAAGUCCCAGCCUUAAGGUUGUUAUCGUGUGGUGCAAGGCCAUAUCGAGACUAAGGUUUUGGAUAUUUAAAGUUAUCUUCCCAAACCUUUCCAUAAAUAAGCGCAACAACUCUCCCUUCUCUUGGCAAAUAUUUACAAAUUAAAGACUAUUGAGGUGAGAUGGUGAGGUUGAUUUAUCGCGAAUUACGUUCCAAACUUGGUUAUCAACGUCUCAAAGUAGUCAAUUGACAAAGAGGGGAGUUGGGUAAACAAAUUGAUGGCUUCUCCAUUCAGGUACAUUAGGAGGACUCAACACAUGACAACGACAUCCAUGGUGUAUAGGCUCAACUGCGUCGUGUAACAUCGAUGUGCUCAUCGAGAUCGAUCGUUUCAUCAUAUUUGUUUGUGCUUGAUUCUUAGCUUGCAGGCAACUGGACUUCCAUUAUCCCAUCAAUGAAGGGGUGUCGGGGAACUCCCUCAAGUGUUCCAGAAAUAUGGGUUGAAGUGUUCGGCCUAGAUUCGGCCUUCUGGCUACGAACGUUUAACGGUCGAAUUAUGACAAAUGGGAAUGUCAAUUGUACCGUCCCGUAUCCGGGCGUUGACUAAGUCAAAGUCAAAGUCAACGGCGGUGGAGUCAAAGUCAAUGCGAGGCGUCGCCUAGUUGGAGAGGUGCCAAGGGGAAGCGUCGCCAAGGCAAGGCGUAGCCUAGGUGAAGGCGUCGCCCAACCAGGGCGUCGCCAGAUCAAACAGUGCUAAAGUAAGGUAAUCACGGUGUGGUUCCCCGAUACCCAUGGGUAGGAAAGACCAUGGAGGGAGCGACGCCGUGGGAAGGCCUCAGGUCCCAAUAGCACGGGGCAGCGAUAAAGAGAAGGAAAAGGUGGCUUCAAGGCCAUAGUAAUAGUACCAAUGAAGGGCAGCCUGACUCGUGAAGUGCUCCUGCCGCCCCAGAGAUGCCCGUGGGGCAGAUACGACUCAAGAGGAAAGUCACGCCCAGGGCAACCGGGUGCAGAGUACAAAAGGAAGGCAGAUACGCUCUCAAAGUAAGUGACUAGAUACUUGGGGGCAUGAGUUGGCACCCAAAAAGUCACCCCUAGCGCAGUAGCACUCCCAGCAGGAGGACUCACACGUAGAAACGUCCCCAGGUGGGCCGAAGCGCCCCCAGAUGGGGUCAUGGCUUCGUGAGGCCCUCCACGUGUACGACAGCCAUGCCAGAAUAGAAACACCCUUUAGUCAGGUGCCAGGUAAUUAAAAGUUAUUCAAUACAGUUUCCCUUUCGAGCAUUCAGGUACUAUAAUGGCUCCCGAGCGUUUCAACGUCUUAAAUGCGCUACGUUUUCUAAUUAAGCGCUUUAAUGAGUGCGUUACGUUUGUGAUUAAAAGCGCUUUAAGGCGCUUUAAAUGCUUGGGUAGUUUAAAUAGCGCAGAGAAUGUUGGAAAAAGGGUUGGAACUUUCGGCAAAUUUACCAGAGAACUCUCUAGUUGCUUGCUCGUGCUUCAAGGUUACGUACAAGUGACUGGGGAAUAUUUUUGCCUGAAGGAGACAACACACACAUAUACACAGUUCUUUUACCACCUUCAGAGUGCCAUACGCAGUGCUCAGACACGUAGGUGGACAAUUUUUGGUGUUUCUUGCUGGCUGACUUGAGCGUCGUAGUGCACACGGCCGCUAGGGCGCCUUUUUGUCCUCUUUUUUGCAGGAAUCCACAGGCAACCAGUGGGAAGGAGUCCCUAGCUGACGGUUGAGGUUGCGCACGAAGACGUCCCGGUCAACCGGACGGAACAUCAAUGAGUUAGCUUUGGAGGUAUAUCUUGGUCAAAUUCAUUGUUGUGGGGUGUAAGUGACCCCUCGGCCAGCUUCUUUCUCAUCUCCCCAUUCUCUUCCGAGAGAGCUUGGAAUUCUUCUAUGUUUUUUCACUUCAUUUAAGCAAUCUUGCUCUAAAUGACCAAAAGUAGAGUUACAUGAUCAUUCUCCAUUGUCGUUCUUUGUUCGUUAGUGUUAUUUGCCGUAGUUACCAUAAAGUCUUCUUAGUCCUCCUCGAUCUCACGAUAGACGUCAAUUGUUCUUGUAUGGAUUAGAAAGAUCUCAUCACUAUAGUGCAAAUAUUUCCUUAUGCACGUCUUCUAUAUGAAAACAUAACAUUUCAUAUAUAACUAAUAUAACCAGAUGUAAAUUUACUUUUAAAUUUGUUAAACCUUCUUUUGAGCCAUCAAUACUACACUCCAAGUGUACAUGAAGAUUUUUAUACCAGAGAAGAAAAUACUCUGAUAUCAUAUGUUAAAUUUAAUGUUAUAAUGUAAAAAGUAAUAUUCAAUGAAAAGUACUUUAAAUAUAAGUUAGUACUACAAAUGUCAUUUUAAAAGAAUAGUAAAGAACGUUUAUAUUUAUAUCCUCCUCUUUUAGGUUAUCCUUGUAAUCUCUUAACAUUAUUUUUUCUUAAUGUAGAUAAAAGUUAUAUAUAAAAUAGCUAGAAAGGCCAAAAGUCUUAAUAUCAAUUAAUACUUGUAUUCUUUAUCUUAAGAAAGAUAAAGGGAUAAUUAUGAAUAAUUUUAUAUAUUUAUGAUAAAUUAAAAAUAACAUUACAAAAAUAUUUGUAUAAUCAAUUGGAUCAUAAAGAGAUCCUCUAAAUUUAAUAAAAAUAAAAUAAACAUAGCUUAACCUGAUUGAAGUUAAAUAAUAUAAAAAUAAUAAGUGUAUUUUUUUUUCCUUUAACAAUUACAAUUGUAUAAAAAAAAAAAAUUAUCUUCACAGGUGUUGCAAAAAAAUCUUCCAAAAGUUGUUUUCUAAACUAAUAAAAUAAUAUAUUCAAUGAAAAGUACUUUAAAUAUAAGUGAAUACUACAAACAAUAAUGUCAUUUUAAAAGAAUAGUCAAGACCUAUCCUUCUCUUUUAAGUUAUCCUUUUAAUCUUUUAACAAUUUUUUUCUUAAUGUAGAUAAAAGUCAUAUAUAAAAUAGCUAGAAAGGUAAAAAGUCUGAACAUCAAUUAAUACUUGUAUUCUUUAUCUUAAGAAAAAUAAAGGGAUAAUCAUGAAUAAUUUUAUAUAUUUAUUAUAAAUUAAAAAUAACAUUACAAAUAUUGUAUAAUCAAUUUGAUCAUAAAGAGAUUCUCUAAAUUUUUAAAAAAAUAAUUAAAGAUAGCUUAACUAGAUUGAAAUUAAAUAAUAUAAAAAUAAUAAGUGUGUUUUUUUUUUCCUUUUAACAAUUACAAUUGUAUCAAUUUUUUUUAUCUUCACAGGUCUUGCAAGAAAAUUCUUCCAAAAGUUGUUUUCUAAACUAAUAAAAUACUUCUUAUUUAUCCAAUAUAGCUUCUAGAAGUAAUAUUAUUCUCUCCUUCUGGAAGUAACAUACUAUUCUUAUACAAACAACUUAGGACAAAGCUCGAGAUCUUUUAUUAAUUUGUUAAGCAAGUUAUACAUAAUGAAACAUUUAAUAUAUACCUUGAUAAAUUUAUCUGCCGACAUAAAUUGUAUCCGAGAGAUUGCCUAUAAGAUGAUAUUAUGAAAAAGAAGGUUAAUGAAGGAAGUAAACGGAAUAAAAAAUAGGCGUCUUCACAUAAAAUUAUUUUUAUAAAUUGCCAAAAAUACUUUUAAAAGUAAUUAAUAUUGUAAAAUAAAUUGAAAUAAACUCUUAGAGAGUGCUGAUGUUUUAGUUUUUUGAGAAUUACAAUUAAUUGUCCACGGAUAAUAUAUAAAUAGAGAGAUAAUGAGUGUGUGUUAUUCUUCAAUUUGGUUUCCCUUUUCUAUCAUAUAAAACUUUGACCCACCUCAUUUAAAAUCUCUCUUUAUAUACAUCGACACUUAUACUAAAAAAUAUAAUAAAUACUUUUGGUGUUUGUGAGAAGAAAUACAUGGCUAGACACUUUGUUGUUGUUGAUGGUGGUGAUGCAAAUGAAGGUUUGGUGCUCCACUCUCCGCCUAUACUUUUGUUUCUCAUGAUUAUUGCCUCUCUUUCUAUGAUUUCAAUCAUCAUAUUUGCCUGUGGAGACGACAACAACAAUAGAAAGCGCCACGGUGGUGGCCACGGUGGUGGCGGCGGUGAAUGUGGCGGCGGUGGAGGUGGCGAUGGUGGAGGUGGCGGUGGAGGUGGAUGUGGAGGUGGAGGUGGCGGAGGAUGUUAGAAGCUAUCUAUAUGCAAAGUGCAUGGCAGAGUGCACUUUGCAGGUAUUCUUGGUGACGGUCUCUUGUUUUCGUUCUUCAUCAUUGUUUUAUACACAGUCUUAGGGAAAUAAAUAUCAUUAUGAAGUGCAGCUUUAAGGUUCUGAUAUAUAUAUCCACUAGAGACCUUAAACAUGUCUUUUCAUCAGACACUGUCUUUUCUCUCUCUUUGUUAAAAUCAUCUAUUAAUAUUUAUGAAACUUUUUCAUGUUGUAUAUAUUAAGAGAAACUUUCAUCUCAGUUGUAAUAACCAAGUGUUUUCAAGACACCUUUAGAAAAAUAAAAUUGACAAUUAAUGUUUUUCAGUAGAUUGAGAAUUGAACUGGAACAAGAUGUUCUGUAAAACAAAUUCAAAGUUAUUAAUAUUAAUCUACAUGAAAUCUUGCACAUGCCAACAGAUAAACAAAAGUAGUACAAAAGAUAAAAUAAAUAAACCAGAUAUGAAGAAGAAAGAAUUUAUUCCAAAAUAAAUUUCUAUUUCUAUUAUUUAUUUUACUUAAUCUAAGGAUUAGGAUUAAGUUAGCCAUUAAGUUGCUCUAAAUUUCCUCUUUCGUAUUUACUUAAUCUAAAUUUAUUUUUAUUUUUAAUUUAAUGACUCUAAUACGUAACUUUUUAAUCGUCAGAUUAAAGAAAAUAAAAAACUAUUUUACCCAUAAAUACUUAAAAAUUAUUUUAUUAAAAUUAUUGUUUGGACUUCAUCAUUUAAUAUUAUAUCAAUAAACAAAAUUUAAGUGAUUAGAUGAUGUACAAUAUUAGAUUAAUUUGUGUUGAAUCUAAUAUGAUAUAUAAUGCAUACAUAAGCUAUGUCUGAAAGAUAUAUUUUGUUAUAAAUUAAAAUUUAAAAUUAAAAAUAAGCAUCUUCUAAUAUAAUGUAAUUGAAAUUUAUUAAUUUCAAAACUCAUUUCACAAUUAAAAGUAUUCAAUAUUCCCAACCAUUCUCAGUUUCAAUAAAAUACUUUAAAUAAAUAAUUUAUAAUUAUUUCAAAAGAAUAAAAAAUUCAAAAAUAUUAAAUUAAAUUAUUUAUUAAAAUCACCUUCAAUCAUGGAAAAUGAUGACCAAAUGGGUUGGGGAAGGGAAUAAGAAAAAUCAAUGUAAAUUGUGGCUAUAAAAACAAAUUAAUCAAUCAAUUAAUAUUCAUAGUCUACUAUGGACUAUCUUCGCAUGGGUGUUACAUCUUAAAAAAUACAUUUCAAUAUGUUCAAAACCUACAUAUUUUUUGAAAACCUUGGUUUUUGACAGCGCCGCGUUGGUUCUCUCCAUCGAGAAUGUGAAAAAGUGGUCGAGAAUGUGAAAAAGUGGUGUCCUAAUCUACCGAGAAUGUGAAAAAGUGGUGUCCUAAUCUUAAUUCCGAUCAACACCUUCGCAGUCGUCGCUCUCACCAGCACAAAUAUGAUUGGUUGAAACGAGACUUCAAUUGACGGAGCUCCAAGCACCGUCAGCAAAACCCUAAUUUGAAGAUUUGGGGGUUUUAGGGUUUUCUACUACAGGUCCGGCGCGACCGACGACGGUGACUGCAGAGGUGGUGGCUCACGUGGUGGUGCGGUGCGGUCGCUAUUUUGUGUGUCUUGCGAAGAUUUUUGGCGGCAACUUGUUAGCCUUUUAAAAUGGCGGAGGGCUCUGCGGGUUUCCUCAUUCCAUGGACUUGUUUGAUGGAUUGAAAAGUAUGUCCUGAUAAUAAAUUAUAUUCUAUGUCCGGUCAAAGGAAGACUUUUGCUCAGGCUUUGGGAAAUACAUGUGACAUUCCUUUGUCCUAGCUACCUACCCCUUGUAUUAAGGGUGACAUGAUUGUUGUCCGGAUUGAUGAGGCAGAUUACUUGGCUGGUCUUGAGGAUUGCAAAACCCAUCUCCAUGGUCGGGUUAUUCUAUCUAAGGGGGAUAAACCUCUCACACACCUAGAUUUAACUAAAAAGUUGCAGCCGGUGUGGAAAGCUCUUGGACCAUGAAAAGCAAUUCCUCUUGGAAAGGGUUUCUAUGAGUUUGAGUUCGCUUCUAUAGAAGACAUGCGAUGGGCUCUCGGGAUGGGUUCCCUGAAGUUAUCUCCUGGUUUAUUGAGACUGUUUGCCUGGACAAAAGACUUUGUCCCAGCUACCAUGAGGAGUACCAAAGCUCAGACCUGGGUUAGAAUUUACCAUUUGCCUUUGGAGUAUUGGAAACCAAGGACAAUAUUUUCCAUCAUCAGAGGCCUUGGUACUCCGUUGUCUUUGGAUGAGCAUACUAUGAGAAAGAAUAGGGGUAUGUUUGCUAGAGUGCUGGUGGAUAUUGAUAUGUUGUCCCCUCUUCCUGAUCACCUCUUGGUUGAACGUCCAGACUUUGCUUUUGUAGCUGGUGUGGAAUAUGAAUGGCUCCCUCCAUUUUGCUCUCAUUAAUGAGAUGAUUGGGCACGAGCUUGCUCAGUGCCGAGUGAUCCAUGACCAGGGUCGUGUUCCUGGGCCUCAACAUAAAUCUUCUCAGAAGACACCUUCUGAUGAACAGGAACAAGGGAGGACCACGAUUCCAACCCAACGUAGAGAAUAUCGGAAAAAAGAUCUGCAAACGAAGCUCUUAGAAGGUCCCAUGGAUAAUUUGAAAGUUGAUGCUACUGGGGUUAAUGUAGGGUCACCCUUGGGACACCUUGCUGAUAAAACAGAUGGCGGGGAAGAUGAUUUUGCAGAUAUGCCUCCUCUUGAGGAUGCUUCCGAUCAUGAUAGGUCCUCACCCAAGCAGGGGUUGUCUCCUCCCACUUUGGAUUCACUUGUCGUUAUUCAAGCUAAGGACUCACAGUCACAUUCAAUGACUCUUAUUGAUGAUCAUCAUGUGGAGGCCUCUGCUCCUGUGACUGUACCAUCUCUGUGGCGUACUACCUCUCCUCGGAGGGCUACAUCACAUGCAGAUACUAAUCCUAAUGUGGAGGUCUCUGCUAUUGUGACUGUACCAUCUCAAUCGCCUCAUACCUCCCAUCGGAAAGCUAAAUAUAUUGGGGAUGUUAAAGCAAGAUCGUUGGUCCUUCAAAAUCACUUUUCCUCUCUUGAUGGUUUGGAAACUACAGAUGUGGGAGGUAAUUCUCAUAUUGGAGCGUCAACUAUUCCGCCUACCAUUGUUGGAAUUAAUUCUGAUCAUAUUGAAAAUCAGGUUGUUUCAAAAUUUUGGGCUGAUAAUACUGAGAUGGAGGAGGAUGACAAUGAUAAUGGGGAAGAAACAGUUCGCACUAAAAGAAAACCAGGGAGACCACCUAAGGGGACUGGUAAAUCCAGGAAAACUGCUAAGGCAGUUCUCUCUACAAUGUCGCAAUGAAGGUCUCUUCUUUUUUUUUGGAAUGGCAAAGGAUUGGGAAACCACAAAACUGUGGAGAUGUUGCUUAGUUUACUUAACCUACAUAAACCUCUCCUGGUUUUUCUUGCUGAACCCAUGAUGCCGUACACUACUGCUUUCGACCUCCUUUUCAAAUCUGUCAAUAUGCAUUUGGUGGCUACGUCUCCUAUUGUUAAUAAAGUUGCUAAGCUUUGGUGUUUGUCGGUUCCUAAUCUUGUCCAAAAUUUCUUGGUUAAUGAUCAAUUUAUCUCUGUAACUUGUCUUUGGCUGGAUAAAAAUUUUAGCUUUGCAGGUGUUUAUGGUGCUAACACACUUGUCUAGACGAUUUUUGUGGAGGGAUCUUAGUUUCUUCACAGGGCCUUGGUGUAUUCUGGGAGAUUUUAAUGCUAUGCUCUCGGCGGAUGACUGUAAAGGGGGGUGGCUCCUAAUCAGGUUUCUUGUAAUGAAUUCCUGGACUGGAUUAAUACUAAUGAUCUUUCUUGUAUGCCUUUUACUGGAUCUUGUUAUACUUGGUGUAACGGAAGGAGAGGGUUGCAUAGAAUUCACAGAAGACUGGAUAGGGCUUUAUGUAAUGGAGUGUGUCUGGAUGAAUGGGAUUCUUGUACUUAUCAAGUUCUUGUUAAAAAUUGUUCUGAUCAUUCCCCUAUUCUUGCUAGUCUUGCUAGUAAUUCUUUGCGGAAGGUUAGCAAUUUUCGUUUCUUUUCUAUGUAGCUUCAGGACACUUCGUGUAUGAAGCUUAUUCAUGAUUCUUGGGCUAAUAAGGUUGUUGGUUGUCCUAUGUUUAUCUUGCAACAUAAGUUAAAAAGGUUGAAACUUGAGCUCCGGGACUGGAAUAAAAAUUCUUUUGGUAAUGUUCACAAUGCAGUUCUUCUUAAGCAGGGUAUCCUCCUUGGUAUUCAAAAAAACUUAGAGACUGCUAGUUUGUCUGAUAGUGAUGGGCUUCUCUGUCAAGAAAAGGAGAAGCUUGAUCAUGCUCUUCACUGUCAAUAUUUGUUUUGGAAAGAAAGGGCUAAGAUGUUAUGGUUCAAGGAUGGAGAUCAAAAUACAGCUUUUUUCCAUGCUAUGGUCAAAAGGAGAAAUAAUUCUAGUGGGAUUCAUCGUCUACGGAUUGAUAAUGAGGUUACGGAGGAUCCUAAAAUCAUUGAGGAUCAUAUUUUGGACUUUUAUAAAAAUCUUUAUGCUGAGUCUAUUUCUAAUGUUCUGGAUGCUGAUAAUAUGGAAGAUUUUAUUGGUACUUAUAUUCCUACGAUGGUUUCCUCUGAGGAGAAUAUGAUGUUGAUUAAAUGUCCUGAUUUUUCUGAAAUCAAGAAUGUUGUUUUUAAUCUUAACGGUAAUAGUGCUCCUGGUCCUGAUGGUUUUGGUGGUGUUUUCUAUCAUUCUUGCUGGGAAAUUAUUGGGACAGAUGUUUGUAAUGCUGUUCAACAAUUUUUUAAACAAAAUUGGGUUAUCCCUGGAAUGAACAGUAAAGUGGUAUCUCUUAUUCCUAAGAUUCAGAGUGCUGAUUCCAUUAAAGAUUACAGGCCAAUUGUGAUAAGAGGCUUACACCAUUGUUCUUUUUCUUUCUCCUCUAAAAUUGCAGCUUAUUCCAAAUACUUUUGUGAAGAAGCAAGGGUUACAGGGAAGGAUCCCUGAGGAUGUUCUUCUCAAGAAUCAUAGCGAGAGAGUGUGGCAUGUUAAAACACGUUUUUUUGGAGACAAAUUAUAUUUCGAUGAUGGGUGGAAGAUUUUCCAUGAAGAAAACUGUAAAUUAAAACAUGAAUAAACAUAAAUUGAACACAUACAAUACAUGUUCACAUACAAAUCUUAUCAUAUCAUAAUUCUCACACAAUCAUACAAUCAAGAAGGAAAAGACACUUACCUUGAUCCAUGAGUGAUCCUAAUUGAGCAGUUACUUUAUCUCCUUUGUCCCAAUCUAUCUCUUAGCAAUUCCGUUCUUGUCACACACUUUUGUGAUGGUUAACAGUGAGACAACUAUUAUUUGUAGAGACAGAACCCUAUAGUCUUUAGUUUCCAAUCUCCAUCAGAUGUAGGCUUUCAUUAGGUAUAUCAUCAGAUAUAUAUUUCUCACGUUAACCAAUGAGCCCUUUAAUUCUAUUAUUAUUAUUAUUAAAUCAUAUUCGGGCCCAAAGCCCAAACUCUAAGUCAUGCGAGUCACUUUAUAGAAAUUAAUUUACAUAAUUUCUUACAUUCUUCCACUUGAGUCAUAUGAGUUAUAAUACUUUCAUGAUUUAAUAAUUACAUAAAUGCGCAUUUAAAAGGCCUUACAUAAAUUGGUUCUAUCAUUAAUCAAAAUCAAGGAUACAUAAAUAAUAAGAAUCAUGGCGGUUACAUGUCAUUUCCAUCGACACAUUUCCUUCCAUGUACUACUAUAUCAUCCUUUCUCCUUAAUAUGACUUUAUAAUGAGAAAUUCAUAAUAGGUUCAAACAUAAUGUCAUUUUCAUCAAUAACAACAUAAUUUGUUUUCCACAACAUAAUUUACAUGCAUAUACAUAAAGUAGAAAACAUAAAUUUCAGAAACUUUAUUUAUUCAAUGAGCUCAGAGUGUCAAAUAAGCAGUAAUAACAACAUUCAUCAUUCACUAGUAGACAUAAUGCCCAUAUUUACAACAUGACGAGUAAAUGUUUUGGGCGGUAACCAUUUUGUUAAAGGGUCAACAAUCAUAAGAUCAGUGCUAAUAUGUUCUAUUGACACUCUAUGUUUUUGAACUUCUUCUUUAACGGCAAAGUAUUUCAAUUCCAUAUGUUUAGCACCUUUGGAAUACUUGUCGUUUUUAGAAAAGAAGACAGCUACAGAGUUAUCACAAUAAAUUCUCAGCGGCUUAGCAAUACUGUCAACAAUUCCAAGUCUUGAAACAAAAUUCUGCAACCAAUUAGCCUGAACUGUGGCCUCAAAGCAUGCCACAAAUUCAGUCUCCAUGGUGGAUGCAGCAAUAACGGUCUGCUUCGCACUUUUCCAUGAAAUCACUCCUCCGGCUAAAAGAUACACAUAACCAAAUGUAGAUUUUCGUGUAUCCACACAACCAGCAAAAUCUGAAUCUAUAUAUUCAAUCACCUCAAGAUGAUCAGAUCUUUUAUAAGUAAGCAUGUGAUCCUUCGUUCCUUGCAAGUAUCUUAAAACUUUCUUUACAGCUUUCCAGUGAUGCAAUCCUGGAUUACUCUGGUAUCUUCCAAGCAUACCAACUGCAAAACUAAUAUCUGGUCGCGUACAAGUUUGAGCAUACAUUAAACUCCCAACAAUAGAUGCAUAAAGUAUAUUCUCCAUCUGUUUCCGUUCCAAAUCAUUCUUUGGACAUUGCAUGAGACUAAAUUUGUCUCCUUUUUUGUAUUGGAACAGGAGAUGUCGAACAUUUAUCCAUUCUGAAUCUCUCAAAAACUUUAUUAAUAUAUGCUUUCUGAGACAAACCUAACCGUCCUUGUGAUCUGUCACGAAAUAUUUCAAUUCCUAUCACAUAGUUGAUGACUUUUUACGGCAAGUGCACCGCUUUGUCAGAAGUAAUAAUUGUCCCUNNNNNNNNNNNNNNNNNNNNNNNNNNNNNNNNNNNNNNNNNNNNNNNNNNNNNNNNNNNNNNNNNNNNNNNNNNNNNNNNNNNNNNNNNNNNNNNNNNNNACAAAACAAUUAAAAGUGUAUUGAAAGUGGUUGUGUUGGCGAUGAUCAAUAAGAAAACAGACAAAGAAUUAAUUGUUUCAAUUGGAAAAAUAGGUAUUAGGUUUCAUCUCUCUCACUCUCAUGUAUUUUGAUUAGCAUGUCAAUAUUAAGUUCUUUAAUUGAAAUUGAUGCCCGUAUAAAAAUCAUUUAUAUCGAUUCCUCGCAUAUAAAAUCCUUAAGAAUGUCCCCUAACUAUCGAUCCAUUGCAUAAUUAUAAGAACAACUUAGAACAAAGCUCAGACGUUUAAUAGCAAUUAACAUUUCAAGUCUAUUCCUAACACUCAAAUAUGUUAAGUAUUGUUGUUUAGGUCCGAACCUUAAAAAUACCUCCCGGUUAGAUUUAAGAUUCUCAAUUUGUCACGGAAAAUUAAAAGUAAAACAACAAUACCAAUAAUCAAUCAAGAACUGAAUAUUAAUAUAUAAAAUAUCACCUCAAUACAUAAGAGUUUGAGUAGAUUACUCCCAAUCCCAAAUGGUAGAAUUAGCCACGCAUACUUCUCUCACCUUCCAUUCUCCCAAGUGGGUUACAAUUCACUUUAUGGUGUUUUCCUCUCAAUCUGGCACCCUAAGGUUGAGCCUCUAGCCCUCUAUUUAUCCUAGUUUUCUAGGGUUAGGUUGUUUAUUGUGUCACGCUAAUGGGCUAAAUGAUAAAACAUAAAAAGUCUCAAUCUUUCUUUGCAUCUUUUUCCAUUUUGGGACCUUCUAUCUUUAUCUUUUUAGCUCAAAUCAUUCAUCUUUAAUCCAAAUCUCCAAUCUUCCUUAGAAAUAUGCAAUUAACACCAAAUUUGGGAAUAAAAUACUCUUAUUCAAAUAAAGAUCAUAAAAAAUGUAAAAAGGUAUAAAUUCAUAAAUUAGGGAUUAUUUUAUAUGUAAAUUAGCAAUAAAUCCUCAUAAGUGCCUAUAUUUUAAUAUGAAAUAUUACUGAAAUUAGACACUUAUCAAUAGUAUGCCUCACCCAUAUCUUUCAUCUCACAGUUAUUAGAGAGAAACUUCUUAGUCUCACUUAAUAGACCAAGAUCAUUAGUUGCAAGCAAGAUAUCAUCAACAUACAGAAUCAAGAAUAUAAACUUGCUCCCACUGACCUUGAGGUACAUACACCGAUCAACGAUGUUUUCCUUAAACCCAAAGGACACAAUAGUAUCAUUGAACUUAAGAUACCAUUGCCUAGAAGCCUAUUUAAGCCCGUAUAUUGAUUUCUUAAGUUUACACACCAUGUGUUCCUUUCUUUCUACAAUGAAUCCCACUGGUUGGUCCAUAUAAACAUCCUCUUUUAAAUCCCCAUUCAGAAAGGCAGUUUUGACAUCCUAAUGCCAUGAUAAUUCUAAAGGAAUCUUUCUUAGAAACAGGUGANNNNNNNNNNNNNNNNNNNNNNNNNNNNNNNNNNNNNNNNNNNNNNNNNNNNNNNNNNNNNNNNNNNNNNNNNNNNNNNNNNNNNNNNNNNNNNNNNNNNNNNNNNNNNNNNNNNNNNNNNNNNNNNNNNNNNNNNNNNNNNNNNNNNNNNNNNNNCCAUACAUCAUUCUGUGCCAUUGAUUUAAGCUCAUCUUUCAUGGCAUCUAACCACUUAUCAGAAUUAUCAUCAUUGAUGGCGUCUGAAAAUGAAACUGGAUCAUUAUCAAUACCUAAGUCAUUUUCUAACUCUUGUAGAUAAACCACAUAAUCAUUCGAAAUAGCAGACUUUCUUUCUCUUUGAGAUCUUCUUAAUACUAUUUCUUGUGGUUAUUCUACUACAGGUUCAUUGUUAACUUCAUGAUCAUUAAUUUGUUCUUCUUUUUCAUCGUUGAGUGAUUCAACCACAUUAGGAACAACAAUACUUGAAGUAGAGGUACUAGUUAAAGGAACUUGUACUCUAACUUCCUUAAUCUCCACAUUUUAUGAAGUAUCACUCCCACUGGUUUCACCAUUUUCAAUGAACUGUGCAUUUCCAGAUUCAACAAUUUUUGUGCUAUGGGUAGGACAGUAAAACAUAUACCCUUUUGACUUUGCUGGAUAACUAAUGAAAUAUCCACUGAUUGUUCUUGCAUCCAAUUUCUUUUCUUGCGGAUUGUAUAUUUUGACUUCUACCUGACAUCCCCAAACAUGAAAGUGUCUAAAAUUGGGUUUCCUUCCUGUCCACAAUUCAAAAGGUGUCUUUUGAACUGCCUUACUAGGAAUCCUGUUCAACAGAUACAUGGCAGUUUUUAAAGCAUACAUCCACAAUGAAACAGGUACAAUUGACUUACUAACAUGCUCCUAACCAUAUCCAUUAAGGUUCAAUUACGCCUUUCUAAAACACCAUUUUGUUGUGGUGUACUUGGCAUUGUGUAUUGAGCACAAAUACCACGUCUCUCAAGGAACUUAGCAAAUGGACCAGGGUGUUGUCCACUUUCAUCAUACUUUCCAUAAUAUUCACCACCUCUAUCUGACCUAACAAUUUACACCUUUCUGUCUAAUUGUCUUUCCACUUCAUUUAUAUAAACUUCUAAGGCAUUCACUGCUUGCGAUUUUUCAUGCAGUAAAUAGACAUAACCAUAACGUGAAAAAUCAUUAAUAAAGGUGAUAAAAUACCUUUCUUUAUUGAAAGAACUUGCAUCAAAAGGUCCACAUAUAUCAGUGUGUAUGAUUUCAAGAAGCUGAGUACUUCUUGUUGCUCCCUUCUUUAUGUGUUUUGUUUGUUUGCCUUUAAUACAAUCCACACAUACAUUCAGAUCAGUAAAAUCCAAACUUGGAAGUAUUUCAUUCUUUACCAAUCUCUCCAUCCUUUCUUUGGAAAUAUGUCCCAAACGUUUGUGCCACAAGAAAACAGAACAUUCAUUCACUAAACUACGUUUAGUGCCAGCAUUAUGAUGCAAGGUCAUAAGAGUUUCAGCAUAUAGAUUAUCAAGGUUCAAUCUAUAUAAUUCAUCAUAAAGAGUACCAGAUCCAAUCAAAUAGGUAUGCUGAUAUAAACUAAAACAUCCAUUCCUAAAUUUAAAAGAGUACUCGGCAACAUCAAGUUUAGACAAUGAAACUAAAUUCCUAGAUAUACUAGGUACAUAAAAGCAUCCAUCAAGUCCAAAUAAAAUCCAGUGUCGAGGAUUAAACAAUAAGUCCCGACUGCUUCCAUUUGAACCUUCUCUCUAUUCCCCAUGAAGACAAACUUUUCAUUUGGCUUUAUGGUUCGGGUUGAAAGGAAUCCUUGCAUCAUGUUAGAAACAUGAGUUGUGCAUCCAUAAUCAAUCCACUAAGAAUUAUGUGGAACUUCAGUUAAGUUUGAUUCAAAACAUACAUAAUAAGCAUUUUGCUUACCCUUCUUUUCGAACCAAGCCAUACAUUUCAAACAAUCCUUUUGGAAAUGUCUAGAUUUCUUGCAGAAAUGACAUUUGUCAUUCUUCUUCUAGAGCUUAGUAGAGGACUCAUUUAUCUUCAGUGGUCCUUUACCCUUUCCAUGUUUCUUGAAGACUUUCUUUCCAGCUCCCUGAUUGUUCACAUAGUGUAUAGAGUGGUUUCCUCGAUUCUUCAAUCUAGUCUUUUCCUAAACUAACAUGUUAUAGUUCUCAUCCACUGCCAUUCCAAUAGACUUAAGUUUUGCCGCAAUAUUAGUCAUUUCAAUGACAUGUUCGUGCAUAGUACGAGAACCAUCAAAUUCAAUGGUGGUUAAUGUACUCAUUAAUGUCCCAACAAGAGACUUAUCAGUAGUUUGAGAGCUCUCUUCCACAAAUUUCAUAAAUUCUUUUGCACUAUCAGUUUUGGGAAGAGCAGACUUAAUAUUACUUGUUAUGCUCAUUCCCAUAAAGAUACAUGAACAAAUACUCGAUCACACAUGCUUAACAUUAAUACUUUGAGUCAUAAACUAAACAUACAAUACAAAUUCAGAAAACAUUCUAUGUGUACUAAUGUUCUCCUUUGGGAGAUUCAUUAAUACACAAAACAUAAUUAUGCUAAUAGUAUUAACUUUAUUUGGCAAUAUAUAUGCAUUAACUAGAAACACUUGUUAUCUUUGGAUAUACAAGCAAAACUAAUAACACAUACUCACUACCAACAAUCAUAUCCAAUAAUUAUAAGGACAACUAAUCAACCUUUGGAUGAUCCAAAAAUGUCUUAUAAUAAUGAAUUUCCAUUUACCCAUAUUUAAAUAAUUUAACAUCCAUUCUAUAGGUAAUUGAAAUAAAAUUUAUCAGUAAUCUGGAAUUAAAUAAAACUUAAAGAUUUGAUCACUUUGGUGAUUACAAAUCUAACAUACAAAUAAUUCCAUAAAUAAUAUCAUUAAUUGAAAUGAAAUUUCAUCCAUAAUUUGGAAUUAAAUAAACUUAAAGAUUUGAUCACUUUGGUGAUUACAAAUCUAUCAUACAAUAAUUCCAAAAUCAUAAUUUAAAAAUUAAUACAUAAAGCGGAAUUAAUUUUCCAUUCCUCACUUUCAAUCAAUUAAUUAAACUUUAAUUUAAUGCAAAUUAAAUUACAUUAUAAAAUAAUAAAAUUUCAUUAAAAUUUUAAUUUAAUGCAAAUUAAAUUACAUUAAAAAUUAAUACAUAAAGUGGAAAAAAUAAUUUUCCAUUCCUCACUUUAAUUAAAAUUUUAAUUGAAAUCAUUAAUAAAAUAAAUGAGGUAAGGAAAUUAAUUCAUAAGUUUCAGUAAUUUGAUUAAAAAUAAAAUAACAUAAGAUGAAUGAAUGACAUAAGGUGCAUGAAUGAAUUUAUUGCUAUUCAUAAAUUGAAUUCAACAUUAUAUUAUAAUUUAAUCUAAAUUGCAGGAAGAAACAAUUCAUGCUUUUCAUUAAUUUAUAUUAUAAUAUAUAUUAUAUUAUAAUUUCAUAAUCAGAAAUUGACUUCAUCAUCUUCCUCACGCCUUUCUUUCCGAAAGGCUCCUACCACCAUCACAACACUACCAUCGAGCAAACAAGGUUCACGGAAGCGGCGAAGGCUUGCGGUCCCACUAAUAGAUUCAUAGGGUUUUUUUUAACACCGUUAAUGGCGUUGGGUAUAGGAAGAUUAGGGUUAUGUUAAUGGAAACCUUAAUCCAUAAACCCUAAUUUUAAAAUUAGGAUUCUUCAAUUGUGAUUAUUUUAAAAUUAGGGUUCUUUGAUUUUGUUUUUUGAUGGUUUAGGACAAUUAGAGAUCUAUUAUAGAGGAAUGAAAACCUUAAUUUAUAACCCUAAUUUUAAAUUAGGAUUCUUAAAUUGGGAAUAUUUUAAAAUUAGGUUCUUCAAUUUUGGAAAAACAUUAAUGGAGAAUCACAACAAAAUGAGCAACGAGGCUCUGAUACCACAUGUAAAUUAAAACAUGAAUAAACGUAAAUUGAACACAUACAAUACAUGUUCACAUACAGAUCUUAUCAUAUCAUAAUUCUCACACAAUCAUACAAUCAAGAAGGAAUAGACACUUACCUUGAUCCAUGAGUGAUCCUAACUGAGCAGUUACUUUAUCUCCUUUGUCACAAUCUAUCUCUUAGCAAUUUCGUUCUUGUCACACACUUCGUGAUGGUUAACAGUGAGACACCUAUUAUUUGCAGAGACAAAACCCUAUAGUCUUUAGUUCCCAAUCUUCAUCAGAUGUAGGUUUUCAUUAGGUAUAUCAUCAUAUAUAUAUUUCUCACGUUAACCAAAGGGCUCUUUAAUUCUAUUAUUAUUAUUAUUAAAUCAUAUUCGGGCCCAAAGCCCAAACUCUAAGUCAUGUGAGUCACUUUAUAGAAAUUAAUUUACAUAAUUUCUUACAAAAACUGCAUACGAAAUGCAUAUUUUCUAGUAUUCAGAUAUGAUGGGGUUAAUGAGUUCAGGGUCACAAUCUUUGAAAUAUCAACGCAUUGUGAGAAAACUCUGAUAAAUAUUGAGGAGGAGGAGGGGAAUGAAGAAGAGAAAGCCGCUGCACAAGUUGAAGAGACAGUGAUAAGACAGAAGGAGCAGGCUGAGGACUGUGACAUAGAGGAUGAGGAAGACAGUCAAGAUCAGCACUACGAUGACGACAAUAACGAUAGUGAUUUUGAUGAUGAGGAGGAUGAGAACACAGAGAUGGAAGAAGAGAGUGAAGGAGAAAACAGUGUUGGUCCUGUUGGAUACACGAGUCAAAACAUUAUCCCAAACCUUGCAGAAGUAAGUUUUGAACUUCAUGCUGAAAACUAGUUUUUGUUUUUUCCCAUGUCUAUAAUAUGAGUUCAUGAAUCUGGUUUAGGGGACACUGCAUCAAGUUCCUACCCCCAGACUGAAGACACUUUCAAAGACGAUGAAUUUGAUCCUGAAAUGUGCAUUCAGUCAGAAAAUAAUUAUUUUGAAGCAAAACUCUAAAGAACUAGACCCAACAAAUUGGUUAGAAAUUAGAAUUCUAAUAUUGUUUAUGUAGCUAUUGGCUUGUUAGACAUUAAAGCACUGUUAGACGAGUAAGUCAAUUUUUUUUUUUUUUCAGCAAUGAAUUAAUAGAAUUAAUAGGAACACUUUAGGGGUGUUCCAACCCUUAUACAUAAAGACUCCUAAUAAAGCAUUUAACAAUUAGAGCAAAGUUAAGCGACAAACCUCUUAACUCAAAACCUUAAAACUAGUUAAAGAUACUCAGUCCCAAAACCUGAAUCUGCAUAAACCAGCACAAAACAAACAAAAGCCUGGUGGCGAGGGAAAAACUGCUAGAGAAAAACAUGCUAACAGCUAGGUGUGACCAGCACAACUUAACCAUGAAGAGCAAAGACUAAAAAUCCCCGGGCCUUGCUGCAUUUGCUAACACAGAUCCAGGGAUUGCCUCUUGACAGCAGAGUGCUUCAUCUAUAACUCUGUGUGAAACCAACCAUCAACCAUAACCUCUUUGGUCAGAUCUUCACGCUUGUGGUAACCCGAGAACAAGGUAUUUCCUCUCAGACAAAUUUCUCCAUGGGCUGCAUUGGGGAGAGCAUCAUAUUCCAUCUCUGGCACAGAUUUAAACCUGGCUUCAAUGGUUGUCAUGGGAAUACCAACUGUUCCUGUCAUGGAAUACACAUCACCUAUGGCUUACUCCUCAACUUCCUUCUUUUGUGUGGUCGAAACACUUCCCAAGCACACAAUAGUUUUAAGAUUUGAAGAACACGGCUUUAGUUUCCAAGAUUCAUAACUCCCAGGGUAGCUCCUACACCAAGGAAACACCUUCCACUCCGCUUCAUGAGAGAAGAAUUUGCAUAUAUUUAUAAGAUAUCCUCCCUAUUUUCCUGCAGUAAUGAGAGAGCAAACAGCUUCCCCACCUCAUCGUAACUUAGAAUAUAAAACCAGUCCAGCCCGUGGGUCUUAAGCAAUUUUAAAUUUUUUUUAAAAAAAAAGUUGCAGCAGCCAACCAACAUGCAUAAUAUUAAAACCAGUAUAAAUCUUUAUCUAAUAGUCAUAUUGAUGCAUGUUAAAGGAGAUAAAAUCCAAUCGGAAAAUGAAAAAGUGACUUUCCUUUCUUUUUGUUUCAUCCAAACCCAUGAUUGUACUUGUGCUAAAGUAAAAAUUUCCUCCACAUCUAACUUAGCUUGAUUGAAGAUAAACCUAUUUCUAUGCUUCCAUAUACACCAAGCAACUGAUACCCAAAGACCUUUCCAUAACCUAUUACCUUCUUGAUUAGAACAUAUGCCAGGAAAUUGUUCAAAAUGAUGAUUCAAAACAUUAUGGUUCACCGAACUUACUCCCAUCCAACUAGAGCACAUGUUCCAUACUUUAAUUGAUUCUUCACAUGAGACAAAGAUAUGUGAACAUGUCUCUUNNNNNNNNNNNNNNNNNNNNNNNNNNNNNNNNNNNNNNNNNNNNNNNNNNNNNNNNNNNNNNNNNNNNNNNNNNNNNNNNNNNNNNNNNNNNNNNNNNNNNNNNNNNNNNNNNNNNNNNNNNNNNNNNNNNNNNNNNNNNNNNNNNNNNNNNNNNNNNNNNCCCCCUGUAUCAUGCUUUACUAACCUGUUAUAUGCUGAUUUCACCGUAAAUGUAUAUAACGGAGGAUCAAUCCAAAUUCGUAUGUCCACAUCCUCUUGUCGCAGUGUCACUUGAGAUAUAAUUGCCAUGAAAUCCUCUACCAUGCUUUUCUCCCAUUCAAACCAAUCUCUUCUCCAUCUGAAGUUCCACUCCCACCCUUCCGUAGACCAGCUUCCACAACUACCGAUAUACUUGUCUUUGAGCUCCGAGUUAUUAUAUAGUCUCUCAUAUCUUGAUUUGAGUUGGUCAUUGGUUAACCACUCGUCCUCCCAAAAUUUGAUCUUCUCCCCAGAACCCACUUUCCAACCCAAAUUCUGAUUGAACCAAUUGACCCCUUGGUCAGAAAGACUAGCCUUGGCUAGAUCACUCCACCAUCUAGAUGUAUACCCCUUUCGAUUUGGUGCAUGUGAUAUUGACGUUCCCCACUGGCCAUACUUUGAUUCUAGAACAUCCUUCCAGAGUCCAGACUCUUGAGAUCCCAAUCUCCAUAGCCAUUUUGCCAGGAGUGCCUUAUUGAACAACUCAAUGUUUCUAAUGCCUAGACCUCCCUCCUCUUUUGCCUUGCAAACGUUUUCCCAACUUAUCCAAGCAAUUUUCCUUCCUUCCGCUCCCCAACCCCACAAGAAAGUUCUUUGUAGUUUGGUUAUCUCCUUGCACACUCCAAUCGGUGCUUUGAAAAAGGAUAGGAAGAAGAGUGGUAUGGCACUGAUGACAUAUUUUAUAAGACAUACUCUACCUGCAAAAGACAGGUUCUUCCCCUUCCACACUGAUAGUUUCUUUCUAACCUUUAAAAGCACAGGCUCCCAAAACGAGCAUCUGGAUGGAUUACCUCCUAUAGGUAGGCCUAAAUAUAUAAAGGGUAUAUUCAUGAGACUGCAAUGAAGUAUAUCAGAGUACGCAUUCAUCUCAUACCUACCUACCCCAAUUGCACCAAUUUUGCUCUUAUGGUAAUUAACUCUAAGACCAGAGCUUAAUUCGAAACAUCUCACGAUAGCCUUAAUGCAUAUGAAAUUUUGAACGUUAGAUUUGCAGACGAAAAGGGUGUCAUCAGCGAAUUGGAGUAAGUUCACUUCCACCUUUUUCCCCCCAACUUUAAUUCCCGAGAGCAAAUUUUUCCUUGUCGCUUCUUUUACUAGACCCGCUAAACCUUGUGCGACGAUCAAAAACAAAAACGGUGCCAUCGGAUCCCCUUGUCUAAGACCUCUAGAAGGCUUGAAUUCCUUAGUCGGGCUACCAUUUACUAAAACCGAAACAGUAGCCGAUUCUAGGCAAGCUCUAAUCCACUGGAUCCAUUUUUCACUGAACCCUAGUCUUCUCAUCAUAUAAAAUAAGAACUCCCAUCUCACCGAGUCGUAUGCCUUCUCAAAAUCGAGUUUCACUACCACCCCGCUCUUCUUUCUUCUUCUCAGCUCGUCUAAAACCUCAUUCACCACUAGGACGCUGUCUAAUAAGCCUCUAUUGGACAAAAAAGCUGAUUGUGUCCCAUCUACCACCUUCCCAAUAACUUUCUUAAACCUAUUAGCUAACAAUUUGGUCAGAAUCUUGUACACACAACCGNNNNNNNNNNNNNNNNNNNNNNNNNNNNNNNNNNNNNNNNNNNNNNNNNNNNNNNNNNNNNNNNNNNNNNNNNNNNNNNNNNNNNNNNNNNNNNNNNNNNNNNNNNAAAAGCAGUUCACUGCACCCUCCACGUCCUUUUGAAGAAGACCCCAAUGAUUUUUAAUGAAGCUGAAAGUUACACCAUCUGGGCCUGGACUUUUAUGGCUAUCACAAUUCCAAAUGGCUUCCUUUAUUUCUUUUCCAUCAAAAGGUUCAGUCAAGAAAUUGUUGUCUUGAUCAGAUAACUCCUUGAACUCCACGUUAUCCAACCUUACUCCAAUGUCGUCAACAACAGUCAUUUUAUUCUUGAAAAACUCUUUGACCAUCUCCUUUACCAUAUUAGGUUCUUCCACCCAGCUACCUGAAUUCUGGCAAAGAACUCCUUUUAUCUCAUUUCUCAUUCUCCUCCACUUGAUCGAAGCAUGAAAAAACUUAGAAUUGGAAUCCCCUUGCUUAAUCCACAGUGCUCUUGACUUUUGUUGUAAUAACGAUUCCUUCCUCAUGUUUAUAACUUGUAACUGACUUAAGAGAUCUCUUCUUUCCGUAAUCAUGUUCUCAUCUAAACCGUCUACUUCAUCUCUCAUAUCCAACUCUUGAAUUUUCUUUACGAUGUCUAAUUUAAUCUUAUCAGUAUGCCCGAAGACGUCUUUGUUCCAUCCUUUCAAAUCGCUCUUUAGCAUUUUCAGUUUCUCCUUUAGCACUAGGAUUUCGUUUCCCUGGACCAGGUAAUUCUCCCACUUACUUUUGACAAAAAUUUCAAACUCCUUCUCUUCCUGCCAGAUGUCUAGAAACCUGAAUGGUUUUGGCCCCCAAUCCACCACAUUUGAUUUAAGCACCAGUGCACAGUGGUCAGAAAUUUGUCUAUCUAAAACAUAUUGCUUACUUCCUGGUCACUGUUGUAACCAGUCAAAAGUGGUUAAAAAUCUGUCCAGCCUGCUCUUAGCUUUGCCGUUGGGCCUAUACCAGGUAAAUUUUCUUCCGAUACAGGGUAAAUCCACCAUCUCCAUACUAUCAAUGAAGUUGUUAAAACCUUGCAUCUCUCGGUUAAUACUGCUAUGACGAUUUAUCCCCCUUCGUUCCCUUUCAUUUCUUACCGAAUUGAAGUCUCCCAGAACACACCAAGAAUUACAUUGUUCUCUUUGUCUGAUCUCUAAUAAAUCUGCCCACAUUUUCCUUUUCACUUGCAUGAUGCACGAAGAAUACACAUUUACAAUAAUAACAGGGGUAUUUUCCUCCUUAGCAAGACCAAUAAACACAAUGAACCAUCUAUCAAUGAUGUGGUUAGUGCAUUGAAAAAAAAUUUUAAGCCAUAUUGUUAGAAUACCCCCUGCCCCAUUUAAAGGUUCACUAUAAAGAUAAUCAAUAUCAUUGUCCCCCCAUAGUUGGCAACACUUGUUUAAACUAAAACUUUCCAUUCUUACUUCUUGCAAACAUACCAUUUUGACAUCUUCCUUUCUAAUGUAGUCUUUAACAUGCCUCCACUUCAAAGAGUUCCCGAACCCUCUCACGUUUAGAGUUAAAAUUCUCAUUAGAACCCCCUAUGUUCCCCUUCUUCCCUUCGAGAUUUGAGACUCCUAUCUCUUACUUCUAGUUCCUCUAAAUUUAACAUUACUUUACCUUCUUCCCCACAAGACGCCCCUAUCUUUUUACCCAAUUCCCAUAGCCUAAUCGUUUCUUGACUACCGUUUUUUAACCAAAAUAAACGAUUACAGUUAUUGAUAGCCAAAUCAGAAACAGAAUUGCUAAUUUGAGAUAAAACUGACCUUACAUAUUUUCGGUCUUCCCGCGUGUUAUUUUUGCUUGUGUCUCCCACCCAGAAAACUCUUCUUUCAGAUGUGCCUGAGGAGCAAAUGGAUACUGAAUCGUUAAUUACCUUUAUUGAAUUGGACGAACCUUCCGCAAUCGUAUGAUCCCCCUUUCCUUAUGUUCGCCGAACGGCAGGAAUGAAUUUCUUAUUUUGCCCGAAUUCGACUCCAAAUGGAUGUAGUGUUGCUUGUAUUUAUGCUCUUCGGCGUUAUGAGCUUGUUGUCUAGGAAGAUGGUUAACUUCCCUUUCGCUUGUCUGAAGUAAAGAGUCCUCCACUCUCGAAAUUGAAAUUCUUGGUUCGUGGUUCCCCGCGGCUUCCACCUCCUUCGACGAAUUGGAAAGCGAAUUGGAAAUUCCAGCCCUUUGUUCUGGCGAAAACGACUCACAUAACGUCGCUCUUUUCCCCUCUGCGUCGUCUUUGUGUGUCCUGACGAGAGUCGCGUUUUGUUCUCCAUUUCUGGUUUUCAAAGAUGUUUCCAUGGUGGUCUGAGUCUGACCAGCUUGUUCUGUUUCGCCCAUAACGUGACCCCUUUCAGAGGUGGGUGGGCUUUCCAGCGCUCCGCUCUGUAGGAGGUCCUCCCUGUCAACGAAUGGGCCUUCCAAAAAAAUAGGGUUUUGAUACUCACACCUCCCAACUCCCUUCUCAGCAGUUUUUUGGCGCUCCACACGUUGGCCCGAUUCAACAGGCCCAAUCCAGUUUGCCACGUCAGCCGUGGUUGUAACCGUUGGGGGUUCUGACCCUAAAACUUGCUUUCCUUUAGCUGUAGGUCGAUUAGGUACAGGGAUAGGACCAGUAGGUCUUGCCAGAAGAGGCUCGCAGCACCUAGACGGAAAAAUUGGUUCCGAUCUACGGCGACUUUGUGCCAUGGCAGGCGGUUCUACCGACGAGUCUUCCUCUUCAACUUUGCUUUCCUCAAACUCCCUACAUACCGAUCGGUCUGAAGCUUGGGACCCAAUUGAUUCGGCCUCUGUAUCUACACUUCCAGUUUCGUCGUCCCACUGGCAUUGACAGAGCUUGUAGUCUGGGAUAAUGCAUUCUUCCUCCACCGAUACCUGAUACAGUACAUCAUUAAUUCUCAUAUAGCUUGUUAGCUUUGCCUCACAGCCCACUGAUACCCUAAUCUUAAACCUUGCGUAUUCGAGCUCUUCCAGUGCUAUUGUUGCCUCAUCCACCUCGACCAGAGUCAAUUUUCUUUUUAAGUCAUUUUGCUUUAAAUUCCCUUUGGUUUGGUUUGUAAACCCUUCCAAUCUUUGAGCCUAUACUGUUGUGUUCAUGUUUAAAGUGUUAACUGAUUGAUUUGUCAUUUCCUGAUUCUCUUGAAGCAAUUUAACUUUUCAUAACUUUUAACUAUUGCAUUUUCCUUUGUCCAUAUACUGUACUUUUCACUUUUGGUUUGAUUUGAUUCCUUUCUAUUGCAGCAUAUUCCAGGUAUCGCCAUUCAAGACUUUUCCCUUAGUUUUCCUGAAAAGAUUACCCUUAAAUGUUGCCAACACUGCCAGCGUACGGUAUGAUUCUAAUAGUUACUUAUCAUUUUUACAAGUAUAUGUUGGGGAUAUUUGUGUGAAUUAAUGGGGUUGUCCUGAGAAUUUGAAGUUAUAGCUCUGUACAUUCAUUGUCACCACAGGAUAUUCAAAGAAACCAAUUGCAAGACUAUCAUCUCAACUUGGCACAACUGGUACCCAUCAGAAAAAAAAUAUUUAGAAGUGACAGGAAAAGUGUGUAGGUGGAAUAACGAUAGAAUAUGUAUAGGGGGUUGGGCUAACUUUAGUAGAAGAAACAAGAUAAAAAAUAAUGAUGUAUGCAUCUGUGAAGUUAUAUUAGGGGAAGACCAAGUAGUAAGAACAUUUCUGGUGCACGUUGGUACUAGGAGGGAGUAGCCACACAAUCGUCUGCCAGUGAUUUGGACUACUUCCCUAGUGUUAUAAUUGCAUUCUCUAAAUAAUUUUAGAAAUUAAUGCUUGUAAUUUUCUUUUGUAAUGGUUUCUUCCAAUUUCACUUGUAAUGACUACCAUAUUUAUCUACUCUCUUGGUUGCACAAUCAUUUGGAUUACACUAUUGUCUUGUUCUUCCUUGGACAACUAUUCAUUGGAUAGGAACUUGGAGUUUUGUUUGUGGACUUAAAUUCCACUCGGUUUCUUUGCUACUAGUUGGACAAAUCUAAAGUUAUUAUUAUGCGAAUUUGAGAUUGGUGAACCAAUUUGAUGUUGGAACCAAUGUUGUUCAAAGAAUUUUGAGAUUUUGCUACUAAUUUGAAAUUGCGACCAGCCACAUCUUCAACACGUAAUGCUGCAACUGAGAUUUUCCAGAUUGCAGUCAUCAUGAAUGAACUUGUUCUAAUUGAGAUUGCUAAGGAUUUCUUCUUCUCUAAAUUGAAGCAUCUUUGGAUGAGUCAUAGUGAGAAUCUCAUGAACUUCAUUUAGAUUCAUGUAUUUAUUGUCUUGACAUUUAAAGAAUUUUCUUUUGGUGUAUGGUUAAAUAUCCAUGAAAUUGAUUUUAAUGUGAUUACCAUCAGUGAUCCCCCCAUUCCUUUGUUUUAAAAGAGGCUAUAUAAUUUGCUGACCAUUUAAAAAAAAACCUUGUAAUUCCAGAGAAUAUGAUAGUAAACCUUGGAGGGUUCAAUCCCUAGUUAGUAUUAGUAAUAAUUUUAAGAUUUUGGGCUUUUUAGUGCAGUGCGAAGCAGCUUUAUUCAAGGUGAAAAUGUCUACAUGCCAGUACGAAUGUGCUUAUAGGAUUUUUAGUUCAGUGAGAAGCAGCAUUAUUUAAAUUCAAUAACCUUAAUUUUAUGCAUAAAAAUUACAAACAUAAAUUAUACUGUGAUGGAUUUCCUAUGAGCUCUUCUUGGAUGUUUGGUUGAAGAUGGUGCGGAAGCUUAUGGAUGAGAGUGGGCAAGGUCCUCCUAAGAGGUGUGGUUCGGCCAACUCCCUUUGGAGGUGAGGGUUUGAAGAUUAAAAGCCUAUUCCUAAGAGAGUUUAGGCAAGGAGUGAGAAUGACACAAUUUUGGCAGCAUUUCACUAUUCAAUUAAUCUUGCAAAUACAUGAGUCAAGCCCUCUUAUUUAUAGUGUUUAGGGGCUGGAAAUUAAAAAGAAAGUGGAGGAAAAUUCAAAUGAGAAGCAUUUGAAUUUGGAGCCAAUUCCUAAUCACAAGGGAAGUGUGAUUUGGUUUCUAUUUUUGGCACCUCCUAAAUCUAUACCUACACCUUCUUUUGUGUUACAUGGAAGGUGUGACUUAACUUUAUACAUUUGCACCUCUUAUAUUUAUAUCUACACCUCCCUUUAUGUUCUACUAAAAAUACUCAAAAGUAAUUACAAAAGAAAGACAUCCAAUGAUGCUUAGUUUGCCCAUAUCUUCUAUUUGUUGGGCUUGAGUUGAAGCUUGAACUUGUAUUUGGGCUUUGGCUUGGGCUUUUUCUAUCAUGGGCUUGGGCCUCUUCCAUCAUCCCCUCCCUCUUGAAAAGGAUUUGUCCUCAAAUCCAAUGCUUCUUCUUCAUCAUCAUUAUGUGGAUGUAUGUGGCUGGAUGGUUUCCAUCAUACUAUCACAAUAAAUUUUCAUUAUAAGUGAGAAUAUUUUAUCUUUAUCCCCGACGAGACGUUGGUUGAAGGCACAUUGGAAAGAAAGAACCCUAUUUUACCUCCAAGACUGUCUUUUCUGUUUACGGUUCACUACCAAAGUGUUGCCUUCACCCUCCCAAUCCAAAUGUGACACCCCAAAAAAUGCAUGACAUAUUUCAAAGCAAAAAUAAUAGAGAAAAUAAAGAACAGCGAGAGUCACUUGUUCAACAGGAAAACUAGCACAUAAGUAGCAGCUAUAUAAUUCAGUAAACGGGUGGUAUUAAGAAGUCUAACUAUUACAACGAUAUGUUUCAAGGCCACAUACAAGAUGACAAAUCAAACUUCAAACAAUUCAGUGACAAAUUUUGGCUCCCUUAUUCCCUUCUGUAGAGGGAAAUAACAGCAGCAUUCUUGCUACAAUAUAAAUCUAUAAUCUUAUAUUCUUUUAUCCCUUCUCCAUAAAAAAAUACCAAGAACUCCUAUCUGCAAAACAAUAUAUGCCGUGACAAAACCUACUACACACUCCACAUGUCAGCAGGACAUCUCCAAGACAAAGUACAUCGUCGAUUAAGGAGAAUAAAACAAAAUAUUUACAAUUCAAAAUUAAAUCAAACGCAAUAAUAAGUAAUCAGCUCAAAAAAAAACAAUAACCACAAUAAGUAAUAUGAUUACAACCACUACAUUCAAGUAUCCUGCCUUCAUCAAAAGUUACAAUUUAAACCCUACAAUUUCGAGAUUUCUAACCCUCCAAACCACUAAACCUUUAUUUCUCUUUUUUAUGGGAGUGUCCUUCAAAUAAAUAAAGUUUGCUAACAUCAAUUGUUUUCUCUUUAUUAUUUAAUUUUUGCAUAACAUUAAGAUUUUAAAAUAUGUCAAGUUGUUUUUUUUUUGUUAAUUUAAGGUUUUAAAAAAUUAUUGUUUGACUCAAAAAGCAGACAAAGUACAAGGAGAAUAAAACAAAAUAUUUACAAUUCAAUAUUAAAUCAAAUGCAACAAUAAGUAAUCAACUCUCAAAGAACAAUAACCACAAUAAGUAAUAUGAUUACAACCACUACAUUCAAGUAUCCUGCCUUUAUCUAAACUUACAAAUUAAACCUUACAAUUUCGAGAUUUCUCACCCUCCAAACUACUAAACCUUUUUCUCCCUUUUUAUGGGAGUGUCCUUCAUAUAAAUAAAGCUUGCUAACAUCAAUUGUUUUUUCUUUAUUAUUUAAUUAUUGCAUAACUUUAAGAUUUUCAUAUAUGUCAAGUUGCUUUUUUUUUGGUUAUUCUAAAGUUUUAAAAAACCAUUGUUUGACUUAAAAAGCAGACCAAGUACAUCGUCGGUUAAGGAGAAUAAAACAAAAUAUUUAUUAUUCAAUAUUGCAUCACACCCAAUAAUAAGUAAUCAGCUCUCAAAGAACAAUAACCACAAUAAGUAAUGAUGGAAGAGGCCCAAGCACAAGCCCACAUGCAAGCCCACCAAAGGGUAGAUUUGGGCCAACCAUAGAGUUAUGGCCAAGAGGAUCCAAGAAGACGUUCUUUUACAUGUUCAAAUGCCAUAAACUCUAGUGUAGAGUAGACUUUAAUUUCUUGUCAAAAUUAGCAUAGGAACUUUAUUUGUAAUUUUCUUAGAAUUAAUUUUGGCACCUAAAACACCAACCUAGGUAAACUUAGAGUUUCUAAAAAAACCUCUAAAUUUACCAAGGCCGGUCUAGAAAGCCCAUGGAGGGGGUGAGCAUAAAAACUAGACACACCCCUCAUGUGCUCAUUUGUGCACCCAUGUGCCAUGUGCACCCAUGUGCUUCACAUUUACAUUUCAUUUGGCUAGCAUUAGGGUUGCAUUAUGGUCCUCCUUAGCCUAUAAAAGGAGGAGCCUACACCUUGUAUUUUCAAGUUUAUUGUGAGUAAAGUUAUGCUGCCAUUUUGUGCCAAGCUUUGCUUCUCCCUAGAAUUCUAGGCUCUAAACUUCAUCUCCUUCACCUCUCCUUGGGUUGACCGAACCUCCCUAGCUUCAUACAUAUCAUGCACCUUCAAGAUCAACAUCACUCUUAGGAGGAUCUUGCUCACACACCUUCAUAGCUUCCGCACCACUUUUCCUUACAUGAUUCAAGAAGACCUUCAUGAAAUGCCAUCAUUUGGUAUCAUGAGCUAUUUUCUUUUUCCUCUCCCCCACUAGACUCGUCUUCUUGGCUACUAUACUCAUCCCUCCCUCUUAGGAUCAUAAUUCCAUAAUUGUCUUGCUUUUUUUUACAUUUUAAAUNNNNNNNNNNNNNNNNNNNNNNNNNNNNNNNNNNNNNNNNNNNNNNNNNNNNNNNNNNNNNNNNNNNNNNNNNNNNNNNNNNNNNNNNNNNNNNNNNNNNNNNNNNNNNNNNNNNNNNNNNNNNNNNNNNNNNNNNNNNNNNNNNNNNNNNNNNNNNNNNNNNNNNNNNNNNNNNNNNNNNNNNNNNNNNNNNNNNNNNNNNNNNNNNNNNNNNNNNNNNNNNNNNNNNNNNNNNNNNNNNNNNNNNNNNNNNNNNNNNNNNNNNNNNNNNNNNNNNNNNNNNNNNNNNNNNNNNNNNNNNNNNNNNNNNNNNNNNNNNNNNNNNNNNNNNNNNNNNNNNNNNNNNNNNNNNNNNNNNNNNNNNNNNNNNNNNNNNNNNNNNNNNNNNNNNNNNNNNNNNNNNNNNNNNNNNNNNNNNNNNNNNNNNNNNNNNNNNNNNNNNNNNNNNNNNNNNNNNNNNNNNNNNNNNNNNNNNNNNNNNNNNNNNNNNNNNNNNNNNNNNNNNNNNNNNNNNNNNNNNNNNNNNNNNNNNNNNNNNNNNNNNNNNNNNNNNNNNNNNNNNNNNNNNNNNNNNNNNNNNNNNNNNNNNNNNNNNNNNNNNNNNNNNNNNNNNNNNNNNNNNNNNNNNNNNNNNNNNNNNNNNNNNNNNNNNNNNNNNNNNNNNNNNNNNNNNNNNNNNNNNNNNNNNNNNNNNNNNNNNNNNNNNNNNNNNNNNNNNNNNNNNNNNNNNNNNNNNNNNNNNNNNNNNNNNNNNNNNNNNNNNNNNNNNNNNNNNNNNNNNNNNNNNNNNNNNNNNNNNNNNNNNNNNNNNNNNNNNNNNNNNNNNNNNNNNNNNNNNNNNNNNNNNNNNNNNNNNNNNNNNNNNNNNNNNNNNNNNNNNNNNNNNNNNNNNNNNNNNNNNNNNNNNNNNNNNNNNNNNNNNNNNNNNNNNNNNNNNNNNNNNNNNNNNNNNNNNNNNNNNNNNNNNNNNNNNNNNNNNNNNNNNNNNNNNNNNNNNNNNNNNNNNNNNNNNNNNNNNNNNNNNNNNNNNNNNNNNNNNNNNNNNNNNNNNNNNNNNNNNNNNNNNNNNNNNNNNNNNNNNNNNNNNNNNNNNNNNNNNNNNNNNNNNNNNNNNNNNNNNNNNNNNNNNNNNNNNNNNNNNNNNNNNNNNNNNNNNNNNNNNNNNNNNNNNNNNNNNNNNNNNNNNNNNNNNNNNNNNNNNNNNNNNNNNNNNNNNNNNNNNNNNNNNNNNNNNNNNNNNNNNNNNNNNNNNNNNNNNNNNNNNNNNNNNNNNNNNNNNNNNNNNNNNNNNNNNNNNNNNNNNNNNNNNNNNNNNNNNNNNNNNNNNNNNNNNNNNNNNNNNNNNNNNNNNNNNNNNNNNNNNNNNNNNNNNNNNNNNNNNNNNNNNNNNNNNNNNNNNNNNNNNNNNNNNNNNNNNNNNNNNNNNNNNNNNNNNNNNNNNNNNNNNNNNNNNNNNNNNNNNNNNNNNNNNNNNNNNNNNNNNNNNNNNNNNNNNNNNNNNNNNNNNNNNNNNNNNNNNNNNNNNNNNNNNNNNNNNNNNNNNNNNNNNNNNNNNNNNNNNNNNNNNNNNNNNNNNNNNNNNNNNNNNNNNNNNNNNNNNNNNNNNNNNNNNNNNNNNNNNNNNNNNNNNNNNNNNNNNNNNNNNNNNNNNNNNNNNNNNNNNNNNNNNNNNNNNNNNNNNNNNNNNNNNNNNNNNNNNNNNNNNNNNNNNNNNNNNNNNNNNNNNNNNNNNNNNNNNNNNNNNNNNNNNNNNNNNNNNNNNNNNNNNNNNNNNNNNNNNNNNNNNNNNNNNNNNNNNNNNNNNNNNNNNNNNNNNNNNNNNNNNNNNNNNNNNNNNNNNNNNNNNNNNNNNNNNNNNNNNNNNNNNNNNNNNNNNNNNNNNNNNNNNNNNNNNNNNNNNNNNNNNNNNNNNNNNNNNNNNNNNNNNNNNNNNNNNNNNNNNNNNNNNNNNNNNNNNNNNNNNNNNNNNNNNNNNNNNNNNNNNNNNNNNNNNNNNNNNNNNNNNNNNNNNNNNNNNNNNNNNNNNNNNNNNNNNNNNNNNNNNNNNNNNNNNNNNNNNNNNNNNNNNNNNNNNNNNNNNNNNNNNNNNNNNNNNNNNNNNNNNNNNNNNNNNNNNNNNNNNNNNNNNNNNNNNNNNNNNNNNNNNNNNNNNNNNNNNNNNNNNNNNNNNNNNNNNNNNNNNNNNNNNNNNNNNNNNNNNNNNNNNNNNNNNNNNNNNNNNNNNNNNNNNNNNNNNNNNNNNNNNNNNNNNNNNNNNNNNNNNNNNNNNNNNNNNNNNNNNNNNNNNNNNNNNNNNNNNNNNNNNNNNNNNNNNNNNNNNNNNNNNNNNNNNNNNNNNNNNNNNNNNNNNNNNNNNNNNNNNNNNNNNNNNNNNNNNNNNNNNNNNNNNNNNNNNNNNNNNNNNNNNNNNNNNNNNNNNNNNNNNNNNNNNNNNNNNNNNNNNNNNNNNNNNNNNNNNNNNNNNNNNNNNNNNNNNNNNNNNNNNNNNNNNNCAUCUACAAAAACAAAUUUUUAUGUGAAGUAGGGCCUAAAGAAACUUGUCAUGUCUUAUUGAGACAACCAUUGCAAAGUGUACAAAUCCUUAUAAACAAUGGUUGUCACAACGAGACUAUCCUUACACAUAAGAGAAAGAGUCUUCAUGAAGGAGAACUCAUGGGACAAAUUAGAGUUGACAAAACUCUAGAGCUUUUAAAAGGAAAACUUUUGUCCCCCAUGAGAAAAGAAGUUCAAAGACAUUACCUUAGGUACAAUUCUUGUUUUCAAACUACACCCAAGGCAAUGUCUCAUGAACUCUAUACUCCUUCACCUUUUGCAAAUGAUCCUUGGGAAGAUAUAAAUUUCAUAUUAAAACUCCCUGGGACAACAAAAGGUUGUGAUUCAAUCUUCAUGGUUAUGGAUAAACUCUUCUCUAGAGAAGUCAUACAUCUUCAUGGUUUAUCUUCAAGCAUAGUGUUGAAUAGAGUUCCAAAUUUCGCAAACCAUGAUUUGAGGAUUUCCUUUGGAAAACUUGCAACUAAAUUGCACACUUUAAAUUCUUAUCAUCCUCAAACGCAUGGUCAAAAUAUAUUUGAAAAUCUAGCUCUUUCUACUAUGCCUAGAAUAAACAUGAAGUGCACACACAACUCUACAGGUGAGCAAACAUACCAUAAAGUAGUUCACAAAACUACUUAUAUUUCUACUUUUAAAGUUAUGUGUGGGUUCAAUCAUCUUCCUCCUUUUAAGUUGUUACCAUCUUCUAUAGGAUUUAUGCCUAAAGAGAAAGUAACCACAAAUGAACCUUUUAAAAUACAUAAGAUGAUUAGAGACCACACACAACCAUUAAAAUAGAAACUUUGUCCAAGGUUGCCAAAACCAAAAGAAAAACAAAAAUGGCAACCUAGUAAAAUUAAUUUGCAAACUAACACCUAUGCCUUAUUUGAUUAUUUCUAUAGGUGGACGUUUGACUCAGGAGGACAAGCUUUGGCGAAGCAAGAGGCUGCUAUCCGAGAUCAAGUCUGAAAAUCUGAGGAUAGAUCUUCUCAAAGAAGGAGGAGAUGAUGGACACCAUCCAGCCACAACCAUCCCCUAGCCAUGAAGAAGAAGAAGCAAUGGAUUUGAGGACAAAUCCUUUUCAAGAGGGAGGGGAUGAUGGAAGAGGCCCAAGCACAAGCCCACAUGCAAGCCCACCAAAGGGUAGAUUUGGGCCAACCAUAGAGUUAUGGCCAAGAGGAUCCAAGAAGACGUUCUUUUACAUGUUCAAAUGCCAUAAACUCUAGUGUAGAGUAGACUUUAAUUUCUUGUCAAAAUUAGCAUAGGAACUUUAUUUGUAAUUUUCUUAGAAUUAAUUUUGGCACCUAAAACACCAACCUAGGUAAACUUAGAGUUUCUAAAAAAACCUCUAAAUUUACCAAGGCCGGUCUAGAAAGCCCAUGGAGGGGGUGAGCAUAAAAACUAGACACACCCCUCCCCAUGUGCUCAUUUGUGCACCCAUGUGCCAUGUGCACCCAUGUGCUUCACAUUUACAUUUCAUUUGGCUAGCAUUAGGGUUGCAUUAUGGUCCUCCUUAGCCUAUAAAAGGAGGAGCCUACACCUUGUAUUUUCAAGUUUAUUGUGAGUAAAGUUAUGCUGCCAUUUUGUGCCAAGCUUUGCUUCUCCCUAGAAUUCUAGGCUCUAAACUUCAUCUCCUUCACCUCUCCUUGGGUUGGCCGAACCUCCCUAGCUUCAUACAUAUCAUGCACCUUCAAGAUCAACAUCACUCUUAGGAGGAUCUUGCUCACACACCUUCAUAGCUUCCGCACCACUUUUCCUUACAUGAUUACAACUAUUACAUUCAAGUAUCCUGCCUUUAUCUAAAGUUACAAUUUAAACCCUACAAUUUCGAGAUUUCUCACCCUCCAAAUCACUAAACCUUUUUUUCCCUUUUAAUAGGAGUGUCCUUCAAAUAAAUAAAGAUUGCUAACAUCAAUUGUUUUUUCUUUAUUAUUUAAUUUUUGCAUAACUUUAAGAUUUUCAUAUAUGUCAUGUUGUUUUUUUUUUUUGUUAUUUUAAGGUUUUAAAAAACCAUUGUUUGACUCAAAAAGCAAACAAAGUACACAGCUGGUGAAGGAGAAUAAAACCAAAUAUUUACAAUUCAAUAUUGAAUCAUACGCAAUAAUAAGUAAUCAGCUCUCGAAGCACAAUAACCAUAAUAAAUAAUAUGAUUACAACAACUACAUUCAAGUAUCCUGCCUUUAUCUAAAGUGACAAUUUAAACCCUACAAUUUUCGAAAUUUCUCACCUCCCAAACCACUCAACCUUUUUUUCCCUUUUUAUGGGAGUGUUCUUCAAAUAAAUAAAGCUUGCUAACAUCAACUGUUUUUUCUUUAUUAUUUAAUUUUUGCAUAACUUUAAGAUUUUCAUAUAUGUCAAGUUGGUUUUUUUUUUGUUAUUUUAAGGUUUUAAAAAACCAUUGUUUGACUCAAAAAGCCGAAGAAGUAGACCUUCAGUUAAGGAGAAUAAUACAAAACAUUUACAAUUCAAUAUUGAAUCACACGAAAUAAUAAGUAAUCAGCUCUCAAAGAACAUUAACCACAAUAAGUAAUAUGAUUACAACAACCAUAUUCAAGUAUCUUGCCUUUAUCAAAAGUUACAAUUUAAACCCUACAAUUUUGAGAUUUCUCACCCUCCAAACCACUAAACAUUUUUUUCCCUUUUUAUGGGAGUUUCCUUCAAAUAAAUAAAGUUUGCUAACAUCAAUUAUUUUUUUCUUUAUUAUUUAAUAUUUGCAUAACUUUAAGAUUUUCAUAUAUGUCAAGGUGGUUUUUUUUUUGUUAUUUUAUGGUUUUUAAAAACCAUUGUUUUACUCAAAAAGCAGACAAAGUACACCGUCUAUUAAGGAGAAUAAAAUAAAAUAUUUACUAUUCAACAUUGAAUCACACCCAAUAAUUAUCAAUUCUCAAGGAACAAUAACCACGAUAAGUAAUAUGAUUACUUCCACAACAUUUAAGUAUCCUGCCCUUAUCUAAAGUUACAAUUUAAACCCUACAAUUUCGAGAUUUCUAACCCUCCAAACUAGUAAACCUUUUUUUCUCUUUUUAUUAGAGUAUCCUUCAAAUAAAUAAAGUUUGCUAACAUCAAUUGUUUUUUCUUUAUUAUUUAAUUUUUGCAUAACUUUAAGAUUUUCAUAUAUGUCAAGUUUUUUUUUGUUAUUUUAAGGUUUUAAAAAACCAUUGUUUGACUCAAAAAGCAGACAAAGUACACUGUCGGUUAAGGAGAAUAAAACAAAAUAUUUACAAUUCAAUAUUGAAUCACACGCAAUAAUAAGUUAUCAGUUCUCAAAGAACAAUAACUACAAUAAGUAAUAUGAUUACAACAACUACAUUCAAGUAUCCUGCGUUUAUCUAAAGUUACAAUUUAAACCCUAUAAUUUUGAGAUUUCUCACCCUCCAAACCACCAAACCUUUUUUUUCCCUUUUUAUGGGAGUGUCCUUUAAAUAAAUAAAGUUUGCUAAUAUUAAUUGUUUGUUUCUUUAUUAUUUAAUUUUUGCAUAACUAAAUAUGGGUGAAACAUGAAUAAGUGACUAGAUGUGAUUUAUUUAUUAUUUUCUGGUAAAUUAAAUUAGAACUAAAAAGUGAAUUUUAUAUUUAAAUUUAAUUUUUUUCCUCUAUAAAAUCUGUUAAUUUCACUUUUGGUGUUGUAUAAAUAUUUUUUUCUCUCCUAACUCUUUCUCAAUCCUAACAAAAAUAUGAGGAUACAAACUAAAAAAAUGAAACAACUUUUUACUCUCCAAAUGAACUCACUUGAUUUCAUAUUUUUAAUUUUGAAAUGAUAAAUAAUCAAUAAAAUGCAUCCAUAUGUGUUCAAAAAAUGGAUAUAUAUUUCAACAAAUUAAAUUUUUAAAAAAAUUGUUAAAUGACGCAAUGUCCAUGAUAAAGUAAUAAAAAUUUAAUAUUUAUAUAAGGAUAAAAUAGGGGAAAAAAUGAGAUAAGUUAAAGAGAGAAACCCCUAUAUAUAGGUAUAGAUAUAUGUAUAUUUAUAUUUAUUAAAAUGAAAUAUAGAUUUAUGUGUAUUGUAGGUAUGAGAGACAGAGAGAGCAUGAGAGACAAAAAGCAUGAAAGUCUUGUUAUUGGGUUUUAAGAGAUUUGAAGAAGAUGAAGAAGAGAGAUAAAUUGAGAAAGAGCAAAUAGAGAACGAGCGAUGAAAACCAGCAAACAUCCAUGAAAACUAAAAAAAAAAUUGAGAUAUAUUUUAGAAAAAUAAAUUAAAAAAAAAACUACUCUACAUUCAAAACUGCUUAUGAUAACUGUUUUAAUUUUAAUAAAAUUAAAUAUUGAUAUAAGGAUAAAAUAGGAAAAAAUUGUGAGAAGAGAUAUCCCUUUAUAUAUACUAGCGGAAACACAGGCGUGGUAGAAAUUAUUUAACAUACAUAAAUAAUGUUGGAUGAGUCGGAAUUGAAAAGCAAAAAAUGGACUACAGUGAGUGAUUGAAAAUAAAGGUUAUUUUAUUUAAUAUGUGAGAUUUGGUGUGAAAAUGUGUGACAGUAUACUUUCUCUUUAUUUCAGUUAUUGCCUUAAAAUAAGGAAUUAAGAGAGUAAUGGGAGAGUCAUAUAAAAUCUGUACAUUAAUAUUAAUCUAAAAAUUAAAAAAUAAUUUAUUUUUUAAGUAAUUCAUAUGAAAUGACAAAAUACUACAUUGUAUUAAUAUAAUUACAUAUAUUAAAUAAGGGUAGAAUAAAAAAAUUGUGCACAAAAAAAGCGAUUAUAAUGGGAAUUCUCAAGCUAAUUAUGUAGUGAUCACUAAUCAUGUAUGAUAUUUGUUCUCGCGGGUUGACUUGGUUUGGCCGGUUGACUCUAACGAUCGACUCAUGCCCUGUUUGUCUUCUCCUUGGUUCAUGUUUUCCUGGAUUGAAACACUAUGUACCUGCAAAGACAAAGGGGCGUCCUAGAUUGAAACACUCCGAUGCUCAAGUCAAUCUUAGGGCAAAGAAACACCAAAUCUCUGAAAACUCUUAGUCAUAAAACUGUGUAAAAUUGCAUACCUCAUUAGGGUUUCUUACUACCCUUUAUAUAGCUAGGGUUACUAGGGAAUAUCCUUGCGUCGCUAUUACACAAUAUGAGUGUAAUCUAACGCAUAAGGCUUCCCUUCACUAAAGUGUAACGGCCAACAAAAUGGCCACCUGGAUGCUUACUCAUGCACCUAAUCUCUGGGACCAUAUGUCCUGAGGGUGCCCUAAGCAUUCACGUGCCAUGCAUGCAGCCUCCCAUGGGAACCCUAACCCUAAUGGGCCUUAGCGCCUCCAAGGGCUAUUCACUCGUGCCGCGCCUGAAUACGUUAUACAUCCCGCCUGCAUGGAUCCCUCGUGACUUAGGCUUUCCCUUGUAUCUGAGUAUUUUACUGAUGACUGAGAUGUCCUCUAGGGCCUACCUCUUGUGGCCCAAUUCAGCUGUCCAGACUACCAAUGCCCGACGACUCAUCGUCCUUAAGACGAAGGUCGAUGUCUGACAACUGAUCGAUACCUCAACUCAUACCACUUAUGGGACCCAGCUUAUGUAGUCGCGGGGCUUCGCUUUCGUGGCCCAUCAUCACCAUCAGACAUUGAUGUCCGAUGUCUGUUGUCUCUCUCUGAUGUCGAUCUCCAUGGUACGGAUGUCCGAAGACUAGCCCAUAUCUUGAUGUGUGUGCCUGGGACCCACCUUGCCUUUAUACUCUGGUGUCUGAGGUCUUCAUUAGCGUCGAUGACCGAGGACUGGUCGGUACACAAGCCCCCUAGUCUCGAGUUGUAACUUGUUUCAGCGAAGAGACUAAGUGAUCGCCCUAGGCGACCUACGUGGCACUGGGUGACAGGAUGUGAACAGUACACUGAAGUGACGUCCCACCAUACUUUUUCCAUCCGCGUACACGUGGCAAGAUCCACGGCUAUUACUUGUUGGCGCUUGAACUUCUUCGUGCACUGUUUAAACCAUUAAACCCUUACACUCCCUUCACUGUUUCAUUACUUUCACUCAAGCAAAUCAUUUCCAAGUUUUUCUCUUGUUCGAAACGCUCGCGCUUCCUUUCUCAAAACUCAGAACUUCAACCCCUGCUCGACCAAAGGUAUGAACUUUAUGUGUUGUUUGCUCUUGCUUUAUGAUUCUGCUGCUCAUAACUGUUCUGGGACUGUAUCUUUCUUCACUCUUUAGGUUUUCUAUAUUUUGCACCGUCUCUGUUCUUCGUUUGUUGAGUCUUUGCUUUUCUGGGUUUCCUGAGUCAAACCACCAUCUUUUGUUAAACCCUCGUUUUCUUCUUUUCUCCUCUCUCUUUUAGCUUUUUUUAUCAAGAUGGCCAGAACCAAAACUACGUUGAACCCUCCUCCCGUUGAUUACAGAGCCCUAUAUCGUUGGGCCCCUGAAGCCCUUCUGGCCGAGACUUCUAAAAUAACCACCCUUGAAGACCUUGAGGCCUACAAGGAUAGCGAACGCGACGAAGAUAAGUCUCGUAUCUUCGGGAAGGAGCACGACCGAUUCGUGAAGGUCAUGCCUUGCAGGAAGGGUGAACUCGUGUGUGCCGACGACGCCAUGGACGAAGAGGACCCUUUCUUCUUCCUUUACGCCACCGUAUUUAAAAGAAUUAAACUGCGUCUUCCGUUUACUGGGUUCAAACAUGCCUUGUUGACCGAGGUCAACGAGACCCUUGCCCAACUCCAUCCCAACAGCUGGGCGUUCAUUAGGGCCUUCUCCAUUUUGUGCGACCACUUCGGCCAUACGCCAUCAGUGGACGCUUUCCUUUACUUCUUUGAAGCCAAAAGUCAUGGGAAGAGGCUUUGGGUAAGCUUUAACGGAGUCGCUGGAAGAGUGUUGUUGUCUCUCUUCCAGUAGUCUAAUAAGGGCUUUAAAGGGAAGUUCUUCAACGUACGGUGUAGUGCGUUCGACUCCACCCUACUGGAUGGAUUUUUGCUCUACUGGGUGAAGGAACCGAGACUCAAAAAACCUAGGCGCCUCGAGGACUUGAAUCCCUCGCGAUCACGAAACCUGCAAGUUCUUUUCCACGUUGGGGGUGGUGUUCGACACCGCCGAACUGAUAAAGUUCGAGUUCUACCCCGCCUCCCUCAAGAAGCAUAUUGGUACUUCCCAUUUCUUUACCUUCGCUCAUUCUGUGUGUACUCAUACUUUCUUAUGUGCUUACCAAAUUAAAAUCUUAUUCGCUAUAUUCUUGUGCAGAGAUUGUUCUCAACACAGAGAUGAAGAAAAAGAUGGUUGAGUUGGUGGCCAAACGCAGGGUUGUUGCGGCUAGUGUAGGCUGUCAGGUUUGAUGGCUAUAACAAGAGGGGGGGGGGGGGCGCUAAAUUGUUUUCAAAAGAUUUUCUCAAAUACUUUGCUUAGAAUGAAACUUUAACAAACAACAAAGAAAAGCAAUUCAGAAAAGCAAUUCAAUAGUCAAACAGAAACUGGUAUCAGAAAAUCAAUCGGUUAAAAUUUCGAUUUAACUGGUUGUUUAUGACAGCGAAAAAUACAAGCAGUUAAUGAGUGAAGAGAUAGAGAGAAUUACACACAGAGUUUAUACUGGUUCACUCAAUCAUAGAGCUACAUCUAGUCCUCAGUCAAACCACUGAGUAUCCACUAUGCAACCAAUCACAGAUUACACAAACACCACACACAAAUAGGUGACUUUGAAUCACACAAAGCCUACUCACCCUCUUUGCACACAACACACACCUCAAGCCAGAAUCACAAUGACUUUAUAGGAUUUUACAACAGUUAUACACAGAGUAAUAUGAACAAUUACAAGAACUUGAACAGGGUUAUAAAACACCUGGAAUCACAAUAAACCAGAACCCUAUUGAUCAGUUCUUUGAAUGACAACAAAGCUCAAAGGUAAUCUUGGUAAAAACCUUUUCACAAACAGGUUGUAACCUCUCAAAUCAAUCUUAACUCAAAGUGUAAAAGAACUUUUGUUCAUCCAUCUUUUUACGUUUAAAAGAAGACUCAUUUUAUAAACAUUGAAAAGCUACCGUUGAUGACAGUUUUUAACAACCAAAAAGUUGUUAUGAAAACAUACAUUUAAUCGGUUAAAACCACAAUUUAACCGGUUGAAUGGUUUUGUCAGUUAUGCAACUGAUUCAAAAAACAGUUUCAAAACUCAUUUGCCAGCUAAGUUACAAACAACCCAUUAUCUCGACAUUUUAAUCGGUUGUUUUUCUCUUUGCAUGGAAAAACACUUUAAUCUUUAAAACAGAUUGAAAUAAGCUUUGUCUGAAAUUCACUAUUAAUCUUACAAAGAUUCUAAACCCCAUAACAAAACCUAAACCUAAAACAUCACACAGCUUCAGGCUUCAUGAUGAUUUGACACAUCAAAGCUUCCCAUCUUCAACAAUCUCCCCCUAUUUGAUGGAGACAAAUCUCUGGGAUGCUUUUAGGAAUGUUCUUUGUUUAGAAUCUGUUGAAUCCUGCAAUCACUGAACAAACACAAAAUAGUCUAGUCCAAACAGAUAUGCACUAUAUAUCAGAUUUCAAAAUUAGCAGAACCUGCAUAAGAACAAUAAGUUAUAAUACAGAGAUAAUUGGUUAAAAUUUUGCUGUAAACCAUAAAUAACAACUAAACAAUAAACCAGAUAAAAUAGUUUAUAAAAGCAAGCAAUAAAGCAAUGUUCAAAAGCAAUAGAGAAAUAUUAAGAACAUUACAAUCCCAAUACUUCUCCCCCUAUUUGUCUCAAUCAAAUAGACAAAUGGUAGGAUUAAAAAACAACAUAAAAAUUUAAAACUUUUAAGCUAAAAAGAAGGGCUAUCCUCCCUUUGGAAUUGCAGUUCCAGAAUCUGCCUCUGAACUUCUUCAAUUUAUUCAUCCAGAGUAGAGAACCUUGUAUCCAUGUUUGUAAAUCUUGACUCGCACAUCUCAUAAAGGUUCCUUUGAUUGUCAGCAAAAGGUUUCCAUUCUAUUAAGCAUUUGCAUUUAAAAGGAUGACAUGUUUGACAUCAUUUCUUCCAUGUUGAUGUCAUGAUGCAUGCCUUCUUGAGUUCCAGCAGUAGGAUCAUCUUGCAUUGCUGCCUCUUCAGUUUUAUCUCCUUCAUUGGUUCCACUUGGGCCAGCAUAAUCAGCAUGAUGUGAGAAUCCAUGAAACUAUGAAGGCCACAAGCCUUUCAUCAAGCUUCAACCCUCCAACAGAAAAAUUCCUCAGAAAAAUUCUUGAGACAACCUUUGUAAAACUGGAUUUUGUUGAAAUCUUCCACUACUCCAAGGUUUCCCCUAUUGAUUGUCAGUUUAGAAGACUUCAGUCCGGUCACAGCAGACCAUACCUCACUUGUGAUAAUCAUAUCUACACCUUUGACAUGAGAAACAAGUGAGUCACCAUCAAAAUGAAGGUUAGUGUAGAAUACCUUUACAAGAUCAGGAUAGAUGUUCCCUGUGAGUUCUAGAAAUCUCUUCAAUUUUUGUUCUUUGAGGAUACUCCUUACAUAAUCCAACUUUUGCUAUUUCAUCCAAGUGAAGGAAACAACUUUUGAAGUAUUCACAUUCUUUUUACUAGUCUCUAGUAGAUACUUGUUGAUGAGAUUGGUAUCUCCUGCAAACCAUCCUUCAAGCUUUCCAGAGCUUUUGACACCCCUGGACUUCAUCCUUUUUGCCGAUGGAGGAGUUCCAGCCAUUGUUAAAUCAGAACCAGUUUCUGCAAAGAAAGCUUUUAGAGAAUGAUAGGAAUACCAUUUCCAGAUUAAGUAAUUAUUUGUGAGUGGAAAUAGUAGCUAAAUGCAUUGGGUUUUAUAGUAGAGUACCCCUAGUCAAAGCUGGUUGCAUUCAACAUAAAAACGAAUCAAAUCUGAACUAUAAAGCUGACAUAGUCAGUCAAAUCAGAAAGUACAGAUUCACAUGUGAUAUUUGACCAAGGAUUUAAGACAUAUUUGAUUUUCAAGAUAGGUAGAGAUCUGAUAAAUUGAAAGUAAUGUACCAGAAUUAAACUACAUUCAAUCAUCAAUUAAAGCAAGUUUGACCAUACUCGUCACUAGGUUUAACAGAAUCACAAACCACAAAUUAAAAAACAAAAACAGAUUCAUCUAGAGCUUAUCAGACAAAAUAAUCGGUUGUUUCGAGGAAACAAUCGGUUAAAUUCCUGUUCUGAAGAAAAACAACUUAUUUUAAACCAGAAACACAUGUCGCAUGUAAUUAUUAUGUUUUCACAUAUUUGCAAGCUAUAAAACAUAUGGAGAGAAGAUGGAGCACAUAGAAAUCACUCAUAGAAACAUAGAGAAGCAUAUUAAAUUGAAUUUUGUACAUUGAUAGUUCUCAACAAAGAAUGAGAGUUUAAUCCUUAGAUCACUGAUUUCCUAAUUACAGAAGUUCAAGAACCAGAACAAGACUCUGAUAUGUUGACAUGUACAGAACAUUCAGUCCUUGCUGAACCUUUCAAAAGAAAUCUGAAAUCUACAAAACAUAACUUUGUCAAAUCUUAAGAUUUGAUCCCUUGAAGAAUUUGGGACCUUCAGUGUUAGAUUUAUCUUUUGUAUUGUCAAUACAUAUUGGAAUCCACUUAUAGAUGCCUUUAGGUAAAAGAGAUUUACGAAACCUGCAAUACUUGACAUAAUGGCCUUUCUUCAUGCAAUAGAAGCAUGUAAGAACCGGUUGAAACGAAUUUUUAACCGAUUGUUUUUCUGGAAAGUUUGAAAAAGGUUUUGCAAUCAUUUUUUCUUUGCUUUGAGGAUAAAAUCCCAAACCUGUUUUUCCAAAAACACAGUUCUGUGAGGCUAAAACAUCUUCAGAGUUGGACUUUCCAGUUGUAAGCUUGUCCAAGGUUUUCAAAAGAUAGCAAAUCUUCUUUUCAAGAUGUUCACAAUUUUCACAACUUAUUUUCUCACAACUACAAGAAGAAUUCUUGUAGAUUAAAUCCAGAUGUUCUAAAUCUUCAUUUUCUUUAUAUAGCUCUUUCUCUAAAUCCUUAACUUUAUUUUCUAACCAGUUAUUUAAUCCUUUCAACCGGUUGAGAGAAAGGGCCAAUCGGUUGGCUUCAUCAUGAGUUUCAUAAAAAGCAUUAAGCAAUUGAUUAUAGGUGGUACCUUUACUUGUUGAAGUAGAAUCCACACUACUUGUUACUGAUGCUAGAAGGCAAAGAUUAGCUUCCUCAUCAUCUGAAGAGCUUGAGGAUGAGACAUCAUUGUCAUCCCAUGCUAUAUAUGCUUUCUUAGCUUUUCCCUUUUUCUCCCUUUCGAAGUCUCCCUUUUCCUUGACUUCAUUGUUUGGGCAUUCAGACUUAAUAUGUCCCUAUUCACCACAGCCAUAACAAGUAUACUUAUUAGAAUUAAAUUCACUAGGUUUCUUUGAAUCAUACCUUUUAGAAGCUUGUUUCUUUCUCAAGAAUUUGCUGAAUUUUCUUGAUAACAAACUUAUGUUUUCUUCUUCAGUUUCACUGGAAACAUGUUGUUGUUUGCUAGCUUUAAGUUCUAUGCUCUUGUUAUGCUUGUCUUCACUCUCUUAAACAAUAAGCAUUUGAGUCUCAAUUUCAUGCUCUCUUAGUUUUCCAAAAAGAGAUGCCACAGUCAUUGAGGUGAGAUCCUUUGAUUCUGAAAUGGCAGUAACCUUUGGUUGCCAUGUUCUAUCAAGACACUUCAGUACGUUGAUGUUGAGUUGUUCUUCAUCAAACUUCUUACCAAGACUCAUAAGAUGAUUCACAAUGUGAGAGAACCUCUUUUGCACAUCACAUAUUGAUUCUCCCUUCUGCAUUCUGAAGAGUUCAUACUCCUGGAUCAAAGCAUGCUUCCUAGCUCUCUUCACAUCAUUUGUGCCUUCAUAUGUGACCUCCAAGAUGUCCCACAUUUCUUUGGGCGAGCUACAUUGUGAAACCCUGAAAAACUCAUCACAACUUAGAGCAGAUGUUAUAAUAUUCUUAGUUAUCCAAUCAAACUUAGCUUUCUUACAUUUUGCCUUUGUCCAUUCAGAUGAAGGUUUAUCAACUAAAACAUCAUCUUUCUUAACCUGAGGUACAAAAUGAUGUGAAUGUAACUACAAGAACACAUGAUUCUUGACAUUCUUAGGAACAACUUGAGCUGGAUUUGAAAGUCACUUUACUUUAGAAUUGGAUCAAUGUUCUAAAUUCAAGAACUCACCAAAACUAAGCACCAACCAAGACUCAUAUUGAAGUCCAUGUAUUGUCAAAUUGAAUCAAAACAAAAGGAAGGAAGAACAAGAAUUAAAACUGGACAGAAUUAAGAAACUAGCUACUGAACCGAAAAAGAAACAAAGAACAAAGCUGGAAAACAGAAUGUAAACGGUCGAAAAUGAAGGAAGCACAUUAGGAAAUCAAAACUACCGAAUGGAAAAUUGAAGAAAAGGGAAGAAGAACACUUAUAGAAGAAGAUGCUUGCUGGAUUUUGAGAAUUGGAAGAAGCCAUUCACGCCACUUGGAACCUUGAACCAAGAUAAGUGAUGGAGUGCCGCCACUUGAAGCUCACCAUUGCUCACAAGAUAAGGCAAAGGAAGAAGAAGACCCAAGACUCACAAUUUCUCUCCAAAUUUGAGUAUAGUCUCUCUACUGUAAAAUUCCAAUCUGAAUUGUGAAGGAAAGCACCUUAUUUAUAGNNNNNNNNNNNNNNNNNNNNNNNNNNNNNNNNNNNNNNNNNNNNNNNNNNNNNNNNNNNNNNNNNNNNNNNNNNNNNNNNNNNNNNNNNNNNNNNNNNNNNNNNNNNNNNNNNNNAACUCCUAAGAUCACACCCCCCUUACUAAGCUCACUCCCCAAGCUUCUAGAAUUUGCUAAACUAAAGCCUAAAGAUGCUUUUACAAAAGAGGUGUCUCAUGUUUCCCUCUAAGCACCUUUCUAAACAUUAUUCUAUAUUAUUUACAAUUUAAAAGAAACUAUAAAGAGAGAUAUUUAAUAUGAAGCCUAUUAUUUAAGAGUUUGUAGACUUCUUUAUCUUUAGGCUUGAUCUUCUCUUUGACUUCUUUUAAUUUGUGAGAAGACUAGAAGGAAGAACUUCAAAUGUGUAGGUGAAAAUCCUCUUCCUUCAUUAAUAAAAUCCUCUCCUAGUGGAUAUCCAUCACAAAAGGACCUUCUCCAUUGUAUGUAGUUAUACUUGAUGAAAUAAAUUAAUAUUUAUGUAGUUAUACUUGAUGCUAAUAUCAUAGGAGUUUUCUCCAUUGAAAAUUAGUCAUUAGUCCUUCAUUAGUUAUACUUGACAACUAGUGUGUUGAACAAUAGCCAUUGGUAGUUGGAAAGAUAUUUUCCAGCAAUAAGUAUAUGUAUAUUGUAGACUUCUAUGAUUUUAGAACUCAUGUGAGAUUCUUUUGAUGAUAUCUUGUAACUUGCAAAAUAUUAUUGUAUAAUCUUCUGCAGUUGGUGGAAAUGUUGGGUUAUUUAUGGAAGCAUUUGACACUUCUCUCUACAUCAGGGAAGCAUGUUUUCAUGUGUAUGUGAAAUGCAAAUAUUCAAAAAGGAUUUCAUGUAAACCUUGGUCUUUUGAUACAACGAAUAAAUGAUCUCUACUAUAAGAAAAUUAAAACAAGGAAGGGGGAGCAUAAACUUUAAUUGUUUGUCAAUGGGAUUAAGAUCCUUGAAAGUUGUUCACUGUUUUCAUAACUUCUUUAGAAAUGAAAAUAAAUUAAAAUUCCUUGUGGAACAACAAAUGCUGGAAAAUAUGGGAUUGAUUUUUCCAGCAAUGGAGGUAUUUUUGCUGUAGUUGUGGUCCCGAUGAUAUUGACUUGUUAAGAACAUGGUUUCAAAUGCACGUGGGUUACAAUUGCUCCCUCUAAUUGUGGCCCAAUUCUAGUUGGCUUAUCCAUACAGUAAUGUGAUCUUAUAAAACUUAGAAGUUAACAAGCUAGGAUUUCCUGCUCUUUUGCACCAAAGUGAGUAAUCACUAUAAUCGGUCGCUAAUCAUAUCUGCGACCGAAACAGUCACCAAAUAAAGAUGGAAGCGAAAACCCUAGUCGCAAAGCCAUUAGCGACCAAAUUAUAAAGUGGUCGCUAAUUUGCAACCGAAAUUUCGGUGGCUAAAUCGGUCGCAGGGAAUUUGGUCACCAAAGUUUAGAAACUAAAUUAGCAACCGAAAAUUCGGUUGCUAAAUUUGUCGCAGAUAAAUUUAGUCACCAAAAUUCGAAAACCAAAUUAGCAACCGAAAUUUCGGUGACUAAAUCGGUCGCAUAAAAUUUGGUACAGAAAUUCAAAACCCAAAUUAGCUACCCAAAUUUCGGUGGCUGAAUGAGAAGGUGAUAGCGACCACCAUUUUCGGUCGCUAAAAAGAAAUCUUUUGGUGACUAUUUUGGUGGCUAAAUGGAGACUUCUACAGCGAAGGAUUUGAUUUUGGUGGCAAUUUUUAUUUGUAUUAUUAAUACCUAUUUAAAAUGGUAUUUUGACCAUUUUAUAAAAAAAUUCAGACCUGCUUAUAGAGAUAUUCAAAAUUCAAUCAAGCUAAAUUCUAAUGAACUUCAAAUACAUAGUUUAAGAAGAAGUUGUACUCAAAUUAAAGGUAAAUCAUACUACACAACUAAAACUGUUGAAAACUAGUUAAAAGAGUCAAAUCUAUGAUAUAAUUCAACAUACAACUAAUCUUCUUCUGAAUUGUCAUCUCUACUCUGGUCUCCUUUAUGAUGUCCACUAGUAGUAGGAUCUGAAGAGCCUGAUGCGGGAUUAUUCAUUUGAAUGUGUUGUAGGAUGAGUUGCAUCUUCUCAUCUUGUUUGCGCAUGCGUUCACUUUGCUCUUCAUGAGUUUUCAUCAAUAGCUCCAUCUUUUCUUCAAGUGUCCGCUCCUUGACACGUUUUGUCAUAAGUUCAUCAUUUAGCUUUUGAAUAAUCUCACGCAUUUCUUCUAUUUGAUGGACUACUGGAGCUUGAAUUGUAGCAGAGUGAGCACUUGUUGAACUAUUAAACCUCUUGCUCAAUACACCAAGACCAUAGACAUUCCCUUUUUUAUUUCCACUUCCAACAACAUCGAUGUAUAUUUCAUUGUCACCACAUUGCACAACAUUAAUGUAGUAGUAUAAACAGACACAUGUAACAAUGAUAAAACAAGAUAAUUUUGUAACUCCAAAAGGUUCACUCUAAGAAAGGUGGAGUAAAACACAACAAUCUUGCCCCUCUCACUCUGUAAAUAAACAUGGAACGUGGCUAGUGUAUAACCUAAUUAAGCAACAACAACAUCAUAUCUAUCUUUGUUCCUCGUUGCUUGUUGUUUACUUUCAAGAGAGAUGGCGUCUCCAAACACAAACCAGGAGAAAGCAGGGGUGAUUGGUCGAAUAUUGGUCAUGCCAAAAGUUCUUAAGGAGAAGGUGUUGGGAAUUUGUAGGUUAACCAAAGAGAUAGCCCAAGAUGAUACUAGAAAAGUUAUUCAUUCACUAAAAGUGGGGCUUGCAAUCUCACUGGUUUCUCUUUUCUAUUACUAUCAACCACUCUAUGAGAACUUUGGUCUAUCAACAAUGUGGGUUGUGAUGACUAUAGUGGUGGUUUUUGAGCACACAGUCGGUAAGCUAGUUUGUUCAUAUUUUAAUCAAUGAUCAUGAUACACAAAACCAUGUUUUUGGUUUUGUUUUCUUUUUAUUUAUUCCACAGUUAAACUAACCAUUGUAUUUGUAAUUUAUGGCACGUUUUUAGGAGCCACUCUAGGAAAAGGUUUGAAUAGGACCAUUGCAACAUUGGCAGCUGGUGCUCUUGGUGUUGGGGCUCAUUAUUUGGCCAGCCUUUCUGGAGCAACAGGGGAACCAAUAUUGAUUGGUGCAUUUGUCUUUGUGCAAGGUGAAAAGAAGUUAUAUAUACUUAAUAAAUAAACGAAAUAACAACAAUGAUGAUGAAGCUUUAAGAAAAGAAAAAAGCCAAAAGAAUACGACUCUAGGGGUAGCUAUUUUCAAUCAAUCAUAUACUAUAUAGUUUUGAUCGUUUUUGUUUAUAAGGUUUUUUCCGAAAGUGAAGGCAAAAUGUUUGAAAUUCCUAUAUACAGGCUAUUAAUCUAUUUAGAAAUAUUUUCCGAAACUGGUUGUUGUUUAAUGUAGACAGGCAUAUAGAGACACAUGGAUCAAUAGAAUGAAGGAAAAAUAUAACAUCAUAAAUAUAAGAAACAUGAUAAACAUUCCAGACAUAUUUCUUCAUUCAAACAACCACCACCUCCACCCUCUGAAACCGUAAGUCAAGUCAUAUUCAACUAAAUUGUCUCUAGACAAGAGUAAAUAUCCAAGAAUGAAAAAUCUCACCAACAAAGUUAACGUCUUUGAUGUGCCACCCCUUUCAAUUUGUAAUUCAAUAUUCUUGCUCACACUGUCAUCAAGUAGAGUCUCCAGUUUCAAGAAUUGGGUAAUGACCUGCGAUGAAUUUUACAAAGUCAAGUUCUACAAAACAAAUUAGAAAUGAGACUCCUAUGUCUAAAGCCAACAACAAAUUAAUGCAAGCAAUCAAAUACAUCCGUUCACACCUCCGUUCGCACCUCCGUUCUCCUCUGCUCGCACCGUUCGCCUCCGCUUGGCUCCGCUCACACCUCUGUUCGUACCUCCGUUCGCACCACGACCACCACCCACAACUUCCUCCUCCUUCGACCACCGCUGCAGCUUCCUCCUCCUCCGACCACCACUGCAGCUUCCUCUGCACCUUUCUUCACUCCUAUAAGCAAUUUUGGGUAUUUGGUGCCCUAACAGCACCUGCACUUCCAAAUAACUCCAAAGCUUACAAAAAAACAAAUUCCAAAUUUUAUCUAAUUGUCACGUUCUUUUUUACUGAAGGCACCUCUUUAUAAAUAAUAUUUAAAAAUGUAGCAUUUAUGUAAAAUUAAAAAAUAAUUAUUAAAUAAAUAUUUAAAUAUCCAUGAUAGUAAAUAUGGAUAUUUUAAUAAUUAAAAUUUAAUAAUUAAAAAACUAUUUACAAUUUAAUUCUAAAAAUUUAUUUAUUUUUAUAAAAUUAAAUUUACUUUAAAGAGAUCAUUUUAUUUAAAUUUAAUUAUAUAGCGUAAUUUACUUUUUUUAAAAGGAUUAAUUUUAUUAAUAAUAAUAUUUUGUUAUGUAAUUUUAUUUAGAAUUUUUAUUUGAGCUGAUAUUUUAAAAACAAUAUUUAAUACAUUUUAUUUAAAUUUAAGAAAUUACAAAUAUAUUUGACAUAUGUUUUUUAAAUAGAAAAAGAAACCAGUAAUACAACUAAUUAUUUUUUAAACGGAUGAGUACUCAUUAAUAUUCAAAAGAGUGUGUGAUCCUUGUAUAGUUUUUUAAAAUAAAAAUGAAUUAUUAUUAUUAUUAUUAAUAGUAGUAGUAAAAUAAACAAUUAUAUUUAGCGACCAAAAGAAAUUCGGUGGCUAAAAAAUAAACGUAUUUGGUGGCUGAUUCAGUGGUAAAAAUAAACAAUUAUAUCUAGCGACCGAAACAAAAUCGGUGGCUAAAACAUAAAUAAAUUUGGUGGCUGAUUCGGUGACAAAAAUAAACAUUUAUAUUUAGCGACCAAAAGAAAAUCGGUGGCUAAAAAGUAAACAUAAUCGGUGGCUAAUUCGGUGGCAGAAAAAAGCAAUAAAAUGUAGCGACCGAAAUAAAAUCGGUGGCUAAAAAUAAACAAAAUCGGCCGCUAAUUCGGUUGCAGAUAUAUUUUUCCCAAUUUAUUCGAAACAACCACCACUUUAGCGACCAUUGGUUUUGUCACUCUCAUGUUCGGUCGCGGAUUCGGUCGCAAAACUAACUAACAUGAUAAAUAAUUCAGUCGGUCGCUAUUUCGGUCGCAGAUCUGACACUACGGGUAUUUGGUGACUAUUUCGGUUGCAAAUUGCGACCACUAAUUUUUUGUCGCUAAAUUCGGUGACUAAAUUGUUAUUUCCUUGUAGUGUCAUUUCUAAGAUUCCUCUAGUGGUAAGGUCCUGCAGGUUAAAUUUGUAGUUUAUCUGUUGAGAUAAGUAUUUAGAUUUUGUAUAUUCCAUCUAAUAUAUUAUUGAAGGAAACACACAAAUUUUGUGACUAGUAAUAAUAAUAAAAAGGAAUGUACGUUCAAUUAGUUACCAUUAAAGAAAUAUAACUAGUAAUUUAAAAUUAAAAAUGCUUUGACCUUUCCAAGUUUGUGGUUACUUUCUUAGAAAGGAAUGCAAGGGAAAUGAACUGCUCCGCUCACAAACCCUUCAAUCACUAUAUUAUUGAAGAACUCUCAUAGGUGUUUGUUUGUCAUAGCAAUAGCUCCAAGGACUCCAAAAUUUGAGUCCACAAUGAAUUCGGUUGUAUAAUUAACUCUAUGCUUUCACACUGGAUUUCUUGGACCAGUCCUUUAGGGCUGCUUUGUUGCUCUUCUUUGGAGAUUUCGUUUCUAAGAAAGAAGCACAAAUUCAAUGAUUGCCCGCCAUAUACAAGUUAAAUGGGAGAGAAAGAAUAUUUGAUAGAAGAAAGGAGAAAGGAGUUUUCUAAGAAGUGCUAUAAUUUUUUAUAUCUAGUCCCUGGAAACCAAAUUUAUGGGGUGUUGAAUUAAUGAUCGUGUACACAUAUUAGGCUUACUUGUUCCUAUCUGAUGGCAUCCAAAUGCUUCAACAUGGUUCCUCACUUUUACCACAACUCUAACUUUGAAUUGCACUGGCUUCUCUACAUGCACUCUAGUCUUUAUCAAAUUCUACAUAAAAUGAAGUACUUAAAUGUUUAUUCAAAUUUAAUACAUUAAUGUACUGAAAUGUUUAUAGAUUAAGAAAGAGGUUUAUUCAUUUAAAAAUUUAAUUAGAAUGUAAUCAAAUGUUUGUACUUGUACCGACCAGUCCUCGGACAUAGUUGACCGCUAGUAAUAGUGGGCCAUGUAAGCUGAGUCCCACAAACGGCUUUGGGAAUAUGCCUCAUAAGCAGCAUGAGCCAGGGUGCCAAUUAGUGGUUAGACGUCGAUCACCGGGAUGUCCCGACGUGUCUUUGGCAACAGAGUAAGGUAUCGGUGAUUCAAACAGUAGAAUUGGACCACGAAAGGUGGGUCCCAGACAACACACCAAUUAUCAAUAGGGGGAAGCCUAAGUCACAAGGUGCCCAUGCAUGCGGUGUGGAUUGCGCCAUUGGGUGCGGCACGAGUAAAGAGGCUUGGAAGCCACGAAUGCCCGUUAGGGUUAGGGUUUCCAAGGGAGGCUGCAUGCAUGGCAUGUGAUAGUUAGGGUACUCCCCAGAAUGGAUGGCCCCAGAGAUUUGGUGCACAAGUUGGUACCCAAGUGGCCAUUCCGUUAGAGGUUGCACUUCAGUAAGAGAGCCUUACGCGCUAGAUUGCACUAAGAUUGGGUAAUAGCGGCGCAAGGGCAUUCCCUAGAAACCCUAAAUGCGGGUAACGAAAAUAGAGGAAACCCUAGACUAUAUAAAGGGUAGUAAGAAAACCCACAAGGUACGCCAUUUUCUGUGACUAGAACUAUUACACUCACAUUCUAUUUCUUAGCCCCAGUAUUGACUUAAGCGUUAGAGUGCAAACAUCCUCUGGGGCAUCCCUUUGUCUUUGCAGGUACAAAGCGUUUCAAUCCAAGGAAGCACAAACCUAGGAGGAGAUAAGAGGGCGUGUGAUUGUCGUUAGAGUGAACCGGCGAACGAGUCAACUGGCAAGAACAUUUGAUGUCCACCGUGGGGCACGAUUAAAAUUCGGUCCCAUUCACAAGUAUAGGGCAAAAAUGCAUCAAUAUGAGAAACACAAGGCAAAGAUUCGUCGCACCGAACGGAGGGGAAAACAUCACCAUGCAGCAGAUCAUGGAGACGAUGUGCACCCUUCAGGAAACGGUGGCGACAUCCUGAAUGGAUCAGGAACGCAUCCAGGUUGACCUAGCUGCGUCGCAAGCAAGGAACGAAGAGCUGCGCAGGACCAACGAGGAACCGCGCAGGAAUUUGCAGCAGGCAAGGGAGCGUGUGGUGGAUGAGCGAGCCCCGCCUACACCACCCAGGGCUUUUCCAAUGUCAUUCUCGCAAGCAAUCAUGGACGUCAUGAUACCAGCCACUUUCGUAGGUCCUAAGGCCACCUUUAUAGGUGCAGAGGACCUAGAGGCUCAUCUUACGGCUUUCCACACCUAGAUGAUGCUAUAUGGGGGCUCCGAUGCAGUGCAUUGCAAACUGUUCAUGAGCACGCUGACAGGCACAGCGCAAGACUGGUUUGUUAGCCUCCCUGACGAACAUGUAACAUCGUUUGCGCAGUUUUCUACGCUGUUCAGGGAGCAAUACAUAGCCAAUCAGGCUCCCCCGCUAGUCUCUUACGAUCUUUUCGACGUAAGACAAUAUCAGGGAGAGUCCUUGAAGGACUUCCUCAACUAUUUUGGGGCACAGGUGGUAAGGUUGCACACCAAGGAUGAGGAUAUGAUGGUGCACGCUUUCAGGAAGGGAAUCAUGCCAGGACCCUUCAGUCAGUCACUUAUCAGGUGUCGCCCCAAAACCUUUUGCAAGAUCAAGCGUCGAACGGUAGCCCAUAUCGUCGAGGAAGGGGAACUCACAGAGAAGCGCGGAAGCGUUGCCCCCAUCUGCCCACGAGGGCCAAGUCGACCUCAGCCCAUGAGAGGACACGAGACGACGACAAAGAAGAAGACCCCAGUGAAGCAUCAACCCUACGAGGCCAGGAAGCCCCAAACCAGGGCGCGCACAAGGGAGGAUGCGUCCCCCAUGCACACCUUCCUAGUAGAAUUGAAGGAGCUAAUUGUUAUUCCCAACAUAGCGGAGAGACUGAAGAUCCCCGCGAAAGCUGACAAGAGGUUGGGGCCCAGCAAGAACGCUCGGUGUGAGUUCCACCAAGCGUAUGGUCACCCCAUACGCAACUAUUUAUCGCUAGGGCACUAGUUGGACGAACUGGUGAAGAACGGUUUCCUGAAGGACUAUUUUCAGGAGCCACAACGGGUUCAGACGUUGGCAGCACCAGGGGGUGAUCAGGGGCACGAGAUGCCCGUUCAUGGCGAGAUUCACACCAUUUCAGGAGGCUUCUCGGGAAGAGGAUUCACCGCUUCUCAGCGGAAGAAGUAUGCACAAGCGAUGAUGACGGUAGAGGUGCAAGAGGCAGACUAGGCCCUUCACAUCGACCUCAUUUUCACCAAGGCCGACCUCCGAGAUGUCGUCCCUAAUGAAAACGACCUAGUGGUGAUCUCAGUAGUAACGAUAGGGAGGAAGGUGCACCGUGUUCUGGUGGACCAGGGAAGCUCAGCAGAUGUGAUGUUCUGGUCGACUUUCAACAAGUUGCAGUUGUCUCCUGACCAGUUGAAGCCUUACACCGGCUACUUAUAUGGAUUCGUUGGAGACCAGGUAGAAAUGCGUGGACACAUAGAGCUGAGGACCACCUUCACGGAUGGUGUAGCUUCUCACACAGAGAACAUCAAGUACCUUGUUGUUAACGCUCCCUCAGCUUACAACAUACUAUUGGGCAGACCCGCCCUGAACAGGUUGAGAGCGGUAGCAUCGACAAGGCACAUGAAGAUGAAACUGCCUUUCUUGGGGGGAACGGUGAUCACCAUCAGAUCAGACCAGAAGGAGGCUAAGAGAUGCUAUGAGAAUAGCCUCAAAACAAAGAGAGGGGUGUUCACUGUCACCAUUCAGCCCCCAAGCAAGAAAGGGAUCGCCCGCGCAGAGAUCGCCCGGGAAAGGUGACGCAAACCAGCUGAAGACGUCCUGGAGAGGGAGAUCGGUGGCAGAAUGUUCAAGCUUGGCAAGUCUCUAGGCCAAGGGACACAGGACCAGAUUGCCGAAGUGAUAGCCCAACACUGGAUGCCUUCGCAUGGUCCGCCUCGGACAUGCCCGGCAUAGACCCUGACUUCCUAUACCAUCGUCUUACAAUGGACCCCCAGGUCUGACCUGUUCGUCAGAGGAGGAGAAAGUUCAACGAGGAGAGGCAGCAGGUCAUCAAAGAAGAAACACAAAAGUUGGUGAGCGUCGGCCACAUCAGGGAAAUUCAGUACCCAGCGUGGCUGGAAAACGUGGUGCUGAUGAAGAAGGCCAACGGGAAGUGGAGGAUGUGUGUGGACUUCACAGACCUCAACAAGGCCUGCCCGAAGGACUCCUACCCCUUGCCAAGCAUUGAUGGUUUGGUAGACAGCGCCUCGGGUUGCAAGCUGCUCAACUUCCUGCAUGCUUUUUCUGGGUACAACCAGAUCAAGAUGCAUCGCAGGGAUGAGUACAAGACAGCGUUCAUGACAGAGUUGUCUUGCUAUUGUUACACAGUGAUGCCCUUUGGGCUGAAAAACGCAUGUGCCACCUACCAGAGGCUGAUGGACAGUGUACUCGCGCCCAUGAUAGGGCGAAAUGUGCAAGCCUGCGUGGAUGAUAUGGUGGUGACCUCGCAGGUAAAAGAUCAACACGUCGCUGAUUUAGAAGAGCUAUUUACAACAAUAGCUAAGUAUAGACUGAAGCUAAACCCUAAGAAGUGUGUGUUCGGGGUGGAAGCUGGCAAGUUCUUGGGUUUCCUACUCACCGAGCGUGGGAUAGAAGCGAACCCUGAUAAGUGCGCUGCAAUCCUUGCAAUGAGGAGCCCGAUCUCAGUCAAGGAGGUGCAGCAGUUGACACGGUGGAUGGUUCCUCUAACCAACAAGGCAGCGAAGCUGGUGUCAUCUUGGAAGGGCCAAAUGGGUUAUUGAUUGAGCAAGCCAUGAGGUUCGCUUUCAAGACCAGCAACAACCAGAUAGAGUAUGAAGCUCUGAUCGCUGAAAUACUGUUAGCCAAAGAGAUGGGUGUGCAGAGUCUACUGGCGAAGAGUGACUCCCUACUAGUUAUAGGCCAAGUAACAGGGGAAUACCAGGCCAAGGACCGCAAAUGGCAGCUUAUCUAGAAUAUGUCCAAGUUUUGAAGAAGUCAUUUAUCGUAUUCGAGUUGGUACAUGUCCCUAGAGAGCAGAAUGCCCGAGCUGAGUUGCUAGGUAAGCUCGCCAGUUCAGGCAAGGGGGGCAGACAGAGGACCGUCAUCAAAGAACCCUGAAGACACCUCAAACCUUCACCGCAGAUAAUUUGGUGGGGAUCCAUCAGGUUAGCACGUCGGGAGGAGGGAGAAGGAGUCAUCGGUCGCUGUCUCCGGAGACAUUGAGAACGCCCAGGAUAAGCACAUACCCGGUUCUUGGGGAAGAGUUAUUGAAGGUCUGCCUGGUUGAAAGAAGAGAAACCUGGAUGACGACCUACAAGCGUUACCUGGCUAACGGGAUACUUCCAUUGGAACCCACAGAAGCUAGAAAAAUAAAGAAAAAUUCGACCAAGUACACCCUCAUUGACGAGGAGUUGUUCAAACACAGGUUCACCCACCCUAUCUUGGUAUGUGUAAGUGACGAGCAGUGCGCGUGAAUAAUGGCAGAACUCCAUGAAGGGAUAUGCGGGAGUCAUAUCGGUGGCCGAUCUCUAGCAUCGAAGGUCAUUUGUGCAGGAUACUAUUGGCCAACCAUAAGGGAAGACUGCACGAGGUACGCACAAUAGUGCAAGCAAUGUCAACAACACGUUGACUGGCACAAGGCGCCACCAGAAAAGCUCAGAUCGAUUUACAGCUCUUGGCUGUUCCAUACCUGGGGAAUCGAUAUAUUGGGACCUUUCCCUUUGGCGAUACGGCAAAUGAACUACCUCGUGGUCGUCAUAGAGUAUUUCACGAAGUGGAUAGAGGUCGAACCAGUGGCACAUAUUACGACCCACAAGAUCCAGCACUUCGUGUGGAAGAACAUAGUAUGUCGCUUCGGAGUACCGAAAUGGUUGGUGUCCGAUAAUGGCACCCAGUUCGCAUGUCAACAACUGGGAAAGUUGUGUGCAGAGAUUGGGACAAAGCAGGUGUUCGCAUCAGUCGAGCACCCCCAAACGAAUGGGCAGGUUGAGUCUGCCAACCGAGUUUUGCUGAGAGGUCUGAAGAGAAGGCUGAAGAAGGCCAAAGGGACCUGGGCAGAAGAAGUCCCUAGAAUUGUGUGAGCUUACCACACCACUCCCAAGUCCACCACCAGGGAAACACCCUUCAACUUGGUGUAUGGGUCGGACACGAUGAUUCCCGUAGAAAUCCAGGAGAACUCGCCACGCUUCCAGAACUUCGUGGAUGAAGAGAGAAAGGUGAACCUGGACCUACUGGAUGAAGUAAGGGAGGAAACAAGAAUCAAAGUUGAAGCCUUGAAGAGAAGGGUAGAGUACAAGUACAACUCCAAGCUGAGACCUCGGCAUUUCUAGGUCGCCGACCUGGUGAUGCAAAAGGCCCACCCAUACCAGCUAGAGAACAAGCUGUCCCCCAAGUGGACUGGUCCUUUCAGGGUGACAGAGGCCUUUGGGAACGGGGCAUACAGACUUGAGACAUUAGAGGGUGACGCGAUUCCUUGUACAUGGAACACGACCAACCUCAAAUUUUACUUCAGUUGAACUAUUAGCAUUGUACGCAGCUUUUAGGGGACACUUUUUUUCCCUCCCAAAGGUUUUUUAACGAGGUCACCCAAUAAAAUUUCGGUUGAAGUAUAUUCUCGAAUAUUUUGUACAAUGCAGUUAUGAACCAUCCACCUGGGUUAGAAGUCUCGAGAUCGGGAAAGGUAGGUUCGCAAGAACACCUCCCCCUCGAGUGAAAAUGCCAAGGUUGAACAGUAUGGUUCACCAGUUAAAUCCUCUAUCGCCCUUGGGCGAGGAUGAUGUUAGCAACGAACCGUUCGCUUGUGUUAGAAGCCUCAAGGUUGGGAAAGGUAGAUUCGUAGAGAACACCUCCCCCCUUGAGUGAAAACACCAAGGUUGAACAAUAGGGUUCACCAGUAAAACCCUCCCUAGACUUCAUACAUCAAGGACGAGGUCAGUUACGAGCCUUUCCCAUGGGUUAUAACUCUCAAGAUUGGGCAAGACGGUUCGCAGAGGAUGCCUCCCUCUUGAGUGAGAACGCUAGGGUUGAGAAGUAGGGUUCGCUAGUUAAAACCCUCAUCUGCCCUGGUGGGGUAAAGACGAGGUAAGUCACAAGUUUUUCCUUGGGCUAGAAGUCUUGAGACUGGGUAGGAUGGUUCGCAGAGAACGACUCCCUCUUGAGUGAGAGCGCCGAGGUCGAGACGAUAUGGUCCGACAGUUAAACCCUCUUCUACUCCUGUGUGGUUAGAUCGAGGUCAGUUACGAACUUCUCCUUGGAUUAGAAGACUCAAAGUUGGGAUAGGAUGAUACGCAGAGAACACAUCCCUCUUGAGUGAGAACGCCAAGACGAAGACAGCAUGGUUCACCAGCGGCAUCAGGAAGACAUCUCCUUACUCAGUAAAGUAAGAGUGAAGUCGGUUAGUGGACCUCUUUCUCUUGUCUUGUAAGGCAGGUUUGAAGAGCGGCAAUAAAGAAUUCCCUUAUCUUACCAUAACCAAGGUAAGGCUAGUUAAGGGUUUGUGUGCACAUCACCGCUACCUUAAGCCACUAAAGAAUCAAAGAAGGUAAGGUUGAGCAGGUAGUGGACAAGCGCGCUACCUAAAAUAUGAAUAUUCGUCAGAUGCGUUGUUAGCAAUGUUAGUGCUAGACACGACAGUUAACAACCAAUACAAAGAAAGCAGCUUAAGGCAGACAGAUUCGUAAACAAGGCAAAGUAUAUAUACAUAUUAUAUAUUGUUCAUCGUAACGCCAAAGUCCUACAAAUAAAGUGAGCUAAAUUCUAGGCGCGAGCUGCCCAUCGACAACCCGCUUCGACGCUGCAAAGGGUGUGAGGUCCAUCUCAAGGUGCACGCAGGCAACCUGAGCAAGGGCAUCCUUGAACCCUGCUCCAUAUGCGUCAGUAGCGUUCUCGAUGAGCUCCGCCUCAAUCUUCGCGAAGAGCUCGGUCUUUUGGGCAAGCUCACCCUCCACGCAGCCAAGCUGGACCUCUUGUUGAGUGACCCUCUCCUCCAGUUUGGCCAUCUUAGCCUUUGCCCCUUCUGCCUGCUCUUCAAGGUGGAUUACCUUAUUUCGCAGAGGUAGGAUCUUUGCCUCCAACUGAAGAGCCUCCUGACCCUUGUCAAAGAGCAGCUUCUUGGUCUCUUUCUCUGGCUUACGGAGGCUGCUCAGCUCUUGGUUCAUGGCUGUUUCGCGGUUAGUGAAGGGCUUGGAGGGUAAGCUCCCCGUUCAUCCUCGCCUCCGCCUGGCUCACGAAGGAAAGGGAAUUGACGAGGAAUUCCCCAAGGCAAUGGCCCAUGAUCUCCCUCAACAAGUCUCUGCCCAAAGCCUCCGUCGCCUCCUUCUCUUGGAAGCACUUGAGGGCUUGUUGGAGUACGGCGGGGAGCUCAGGGGCAGGGGGCACUUGAUCACCCCCAUAAGUGCUCUCCCCACCGCCUUCAAGCGCGAGGAGAAAAGGCGCGAGGAGGGGGGGGGUUGUCCCUGAAAGAUGGAGGGUGGUCAUCAGUAGUAGAGAGUGAGGUCGCUGCGACCCCCACCCUGGGCCUCUUGAAGACAAGGCCCUCCUCGGUGUCCUCAUUCUCGGAUUCGAUCGCAACUACCCCUUUAUUCUUAUCAGCGGGGGCUGGAUAAGGCGAGUCCUGGGCAAGUUAGAGGACCGACGAGGGCUGAGCCACCAGCACAAGUGAGUGCCACUUGGCGGCAAGCAAUCAACUCAGUCAACCUGUUCCUCUACUUUUCGUUGAGCACCAUAUCUGUACCAAGACAAUGAGCAUAAGAAGAUAAUCUUACACAAUACGCAAUCAACAACAACAUUGAGGAAGGAAUAAAACAAGAAUGCAGGAAAAGACAAGGUCAAGACAGGGAGUAAUACCAAUAUAGCCUUUGAGGGCUUUGGCGUUGUACUCAUACUUGAUCAGCUGAGCGGUGUUGAACACCACCCCCAAGCUUGAGAGAAACCGGCACAGCUCACGAUCAUGGGGGGUUAGCUCCUCAAGCCCACUGGGCUUCUUGAACUUCAGUUUCUCCACACAAUAGAGGGGGAACCCAUCCAGCAUGGUGGGGUCAUAGGCGCUGCAGCUUACACUAAAGAACUUCCCUUUGAAGCCCUUGUAAGAUUGCUGGAAGAGAGUUAGGAGAACUCUCCCCGCCACCCCAUUGAAACUUACCCAAAGUUGUUGAACCAAGUGGUGUUCAAGUUUUGAAGAAUCCAAAUCCUUUGAAGGAUGUUGAAAGCUCUGGUAUGCUUGAUGUUGCUGUGCUGGUUUAGUUUAGUUCUGGGGUAGUUUAUAUGUUGUAAUCCACCCUUUGAUUAAAUCUAAAGAAUUAGCAUUCUCAAUCCUUGUGAAAGUAAAAUGUUUUCAAACUAAGUUAAAACAACCGAUUGUUUUGUCGAAACAAUCGAUUGUUUGUACUUAGGUGUUUUGAGAAAAAGAUUGAAAACUGUUUUUAAAAUGGUUGAACUAUUAAGUACCAAAACAACCGAUUGAUUCGAGGAAACAACCGAUUGUUUGUUUUGGGACCAUAACAGAAAAACUGUUUUCUGUUUGACUGAGCUUUAAAUGAUUUAACUGCUUACGCUCCAGUCAUUAAAUGCUUUGACCAAUCUUUUAAUGCAAUUUAAGAGUUUGUUAAGAUUUGAUAACAAACUACAUCUUUGAAUAUAUUCAAAAAAACAGAUUUCCAAAUUAAGAAUCUUUGACAAGUUUUUGCUAAGAGUUUUUGAGUUUUUCAAAGAGUUGAGAUUGCUAAGAGUUUGUGAUUGAUCAAAGUAUAAGGAAUAGGAUUCUGCUUGUAUUGAUUUCAGAUUAUCUUCUGUAACAAGUGUAAUCCUUGUACUCUGUUGAACAAGUAUUCGUUUCUGUGUUUUGCUGAGAUUGGCUGUGUGUUCUUUAGGGGAUCAAGAUCAGCAAUCUUAGUGUUGGUGUGUUGACCAAGGAGAGUGUGUUUCUUGAGGUGUUCAAGGUCAUUCAUUCUCUUGGUUGUUGUGUAAGUGAUCAAGGUGUCAUUGCUUAGUGGAUUUCCUCAGGGUUCUGAGAAGACUGAAUGUAGCUCUGGGUUUGGAGUGAACCAGUAUAAACAACUGUGUACAAUCUCUCUAUCUCUAACUCUUUAAAUUCAGUUUAUUUGGUUGUUUGCUGGUAUAAACAACCGAUUGUUUCUGCGAAACAACCGAUUGUUUUUCUGGUACUACAACUUUUGCUUGCUGUUUUGGCGAACUGAAUUUCUGAAUCAAUUGUUUCCUGAGAUAAAUUCAUUAUUGUUUGAAAAGUUUGCGAAAACCCUCUUUAAACAAUUCACCCCCCCCCCCUCUAGUUUAAAGCCAUCUUUUCUAACAAUUGGCAUCAAGAGCUUGGUUCUUGAAAGUUAUUCAAGUUGAUCCUAAAAUAUUUUUUUAAUGGCUGAUAGACUACCUUUUGGGGAAGGUGCUUCAAUUAACAGACCACAUUUGUUUUGUGGUUUGAACUACCAGUUUUGGAAAGUAAGAAUGAAAAUAUUUAUGGAAUCUCUUGACAAAGGAAUAUGGGAUACAACUGAAAAUGGUCCUUUUAUCCCAAAGUUUGAAAAAGAUGAAUCUGUCAUUGAGAAACCAUGUCUCAAUGGACUGAUGCAGAAAGCAAAAAGGCCAAAUUCGAUUGCAUUGCCAAAAAUAUUAUAACCUCUGCUUUAAAUUCUGAUGAGUUUUUCAGGGUCUCGCAAUGCAAAUCAUCAAAAGAAAUGUGGGACACUUUGGAAGUCACUCAUGAAGGAACAAAUGAGGUGAAAAGAGCUAGAAAGCAUGCUCUUAUCCAAGAGUAUGAGAUGUUUAGAAUGCUUAAAGGAGAAACAAUUGCUGAGGUGCAGAAAAGAUUUACGCACAUCAUCAAUCACCUUAUGAGCCUAGACAAAACCUUUGAUAAAGAAGAGCUAAACAUCAAGAUCUUGAAAUGUCUUGAUAGAGCAUGGCAACCAAAGGUAACUGCUAUUUCCGAAUCUAAAGAUCUAGCAUCAUUAAGUGUUGCUUCUUUGUUUGNNNNNNNNNNNNNNNNNNNNNNNNNNNNNNNNNNNNNNNNNNNNNNNNNNNNNNNNNNNNNNNNNNNNNNNNNNNNNNNNNNNNNNNNNNNNNNNNNNNNAUGAGCUAGAGAUGAAUAGACUCAAUGUUCAAGAGAGUGAAGAUAAGCACACAAGGAGCAUAGCCUUGAAAGCAUCCAAGCACAAGGGAAAGCAAGAUUUCAGUGAUGAUAGGGAUGAGGAAAACCUUAGCUUGCUGUCAAGAAAAUUCAGCAAAUUCCUAAAGAGAAACCGCAACAAAGAGAACAACAAGGAUAGGUAUGGAAACAAGAAACCCAAUGAUUUCAAUUCAAAUAACUAUACUUGUUUUGGUUGUGGUGAGCAAGGUCAUAUAAAGCAAGAUUGUCCAAACAAGAGCAAAGAGAAAAAGACUAGCUACAAGGAGAAGAAAGGCAAGACAAAAAGAGCCUACAUAGCUUGGGAUGAAAAUGAGGUGUCAUCAUCAAGUUCUUCAUCAAGUGAAGAUGAAAAAGCAAACAUAUGUUUGGUAGCUGAAAAUGAUGAUGAAUCUUGCAGCUCAAGUGAGGUAAGUUCAUGUGCUUCCUUAAAUGAACAAAAUUACAGUGAAUUACUUGAAGCUUUUCAAGAAACACAUGAUGAAGCUAAUAGAUUGGUUCUUUCAAACAACCGAUUGAAAGAUCUUAACAGUUGGCUUGAAAAGAGAGUUAAAUCACUUGAAGAGGAUCUGGAAAAAGCAAAAAGUGAUUUUGAAAAAUUGGAAAAUCAUUUCAAAAGUGCCUCUUGCAAGUGUGAUACUCUCAUUUGCGAAAAUUGUGAAAAUCUUGAGAAAAAGGUUCAGUAUCUUGUUGAAACUGUGGACAAGCUUUCAAAUGGGAAAUCAAACUUUGAGAAUGUCUUGGCAUCUCAAAGUUGUGUUUUUGGAAAGGCUGGUUUAGGCCUUAAUCCACAUAACAAGCAAGAUAAGUUUUCAAAAAGUUUUUCAAGAAAAUCAGAAAAACAACCGAUUGUUAAGAUGAAACAACCGGUUGUUACAUGCCUUUACUGCAUGAAGAAAGGCCACUCUGUUAGGUUUUUUAAAAUAAGGAAAUAUUCUGUUCCAAGAGGUUUUAUGAAAUGGAUUCCUAAGGGAUGUGAAGUUUCUAACUGCAAAGAAAAGUCAAACGGACCCAAAUUUGUAAGGGGACCAAAUCUUGCUGCUUGAAAUCUUUUAUGCAGGAAGACUAAAGAAAAAGGAGGAACUGAGUCAUCUAAUCAAACUUUUGAAGAAAAAGAUAGUCAUUGAAGCUGAAUCAAUGCUGUGCAAAAGACCUCAACAGUGAAAAGAGGCCUCUUGAUCAUAAAGCACAUGGCUCAUUGGAGAAUUAACAUAAGGAUAAGACUUUCCUUUAUUUGUUUUCAAUUUUUGUUUCAAAGUUCUUUCUUAUGGUUAAACAAUCUUUUUAUAAUCAAUGUCAUCUUCUUUGAACUCCUUCUGCUCAUGGUUAAAAUUCAAAAACAAAUUUUUAACUGCUGCAGAAAAACAACCGAUUAUUUCUUCGAAACAACCGAUUGUUUUGGGUCUGACAGCACUAUAAAGAAAUUGUUUUAAUUGCUAUUUUGAAUUUCUAUCCGUUGCAGAUCAAUUCAAAAGAGAGAAUCUUGGUCAAAGAAACUGUGUUGAAAGCUGAUUAUGUUCAGAGAGAAGUUACAACAGUCAUAAAGGAAAAUAUUCCAAAAUCUUGGAAAUUCAAGAGCCUUAAUGACUAGUCAAAGAUCACAUGUGAAGACCAUGUGAUUCUCAGCUUUUUUCUGACAUUUUUUUUGCAGAGCAGAGUCAAGUCCUCUCUCUCUGAAAACCAGGUACCCAUUGAAUGAAAUUAAAUUCAAAUUGAUUCUUUUACUGCUAUAAAAUCUGGUGCAGAUUUCUUCCACAAGAACAACCAAUUGCAACAUCUCUUGCAAUAUCUCUUGCAACAUCUCUUGCAAAAAUCUGUGAAGUGAGUUCUCCUCUAUUUUCGUCUCUGCCAUCAUGGAGUCAACUCCUCCCACCUCAAAGAGAGUCAAAAGCAGGGUUGUAAGGUCUGGAGGAAGGCUAGAAGGCUAGUUUUAUGGAGACAAUGAUCUCAUUGAGAAGUAUAGGUAUGAAACAAGUAUCAAGAAGAUAAACAACCCCAAGGUUGUAUGCUUUGAUUGGCUGAAAAGUCAAAAGCUUGAUAAUGUGAGAAGGCUGCUCAAGGAUCAAUCUCUCAGAAAGUUCCUGGAGAUGAAGGGAAACAUAUAUCCAGAUUUGGUGAGGGUGUUCUACACAGACCUAAAGUUUGAGUGAAAUAAUCUAGUUUCUCAUGUGAAGGGUGUAGAAAUGGAGAUAACUCAUGAAGUAUGGACUGGUGUUGUUGGUCUCAAAUUCUCUGGUCUUAGAAUCAACAAGGGAAACCUUGGAGUGGUGGAGGAUUUUAACAAAAUCCAAUUCUACAAAAGUUGCUUGAAGAAUAAACAUCAAGUUAGUACAUGCUCGGUUGGAGGUUUGAAGCUUGAUGAGAGAUUGCUUGCUCUCAUUGUAACUUGGAUUUUAACUCCAAGGGGGAGUAAUCAUUUUGUGCUAACUGAAGAAGAUCUGGUAUAUAUCUUCUGCAUCACCAAGAAAAUCAAAAUCAAUUGGAUCCAUAUCAUCAAAGAACACAUGCAAAAAGCCAUGAGGUUAAGAGAUUAUCAUUAUCCAUAUGCUGUUUUGAUAUCUAAAUUUCUACUCUAUUUUGAAGUUAACCUUGAAGAUGAAACUACUGAGUUGGUCAAGUCAACUCAAGAGUUGAACAAUGGAUCACUCAGCAAGAUGGGUUUUACAAAAGUAGGUGGCAAAUGGAUAAGCAAGGAUGGUGAUCAUGGUGCCUCAUCUAGUGGUGCUGCUAAUCUUGAACAAGAUGAACCUGCUGAUAUGGAUAUUCAAAAUGAAGAUCAACCUGAAGAUUAUCAAGAUGCUGGACCUAGUGUUGUGCUAUAGAUCAGGAAGAUGGAAUGCCAACCAUGUCUUCUUUUGAAAGAUACAUGAUCAAUAGGCUUGAUACUUUUAGGGAGAAUCAAAGGAAUCGUCAUGAUCUGUGUGUUAGCAACUUCCAGAAAAUUGAUAACAGAUUCAACAACAUGGAUGCAAGAUUCAUGACUCUAGAUGAACAGAUUGAAGCUGUUCAGAAUCAAAUCUUUGAUCUUUAGUUUGCUGAUGAAGAAGAGUGAAGGAAAAACAACCGAUUGGUUAUAAGAACAAUCGAUUGUUUUCUUGCUGUUAUAUCUGGUUUUUAAAUUUAUUUCUUUUUGUUGUUGCUGCUUUAAUUCUGAUGUAAUCCAAACAAUAUCUUGUUUUAUCUCUUAUCUUUGUCUAUUUGUGAAGACAAAUAGGGGGAGAUAUAUGUUGUGUUUAAGUUUCUGUUUUUAUUUGUUAAAACAGUUUGGGAUAUGUAAUAUUUUUCUGAUAUUUAGUUCUGAAGGUUAUUAAUGUUGAAACAAGUGGUGUUCAUGUUUUGAAGAAUCCAAAUCCUUUGAAGGAUGUUGAAGCCUCUGCUAUGCUUGAUGUUGUUGUGAUGAUUUAAGCUUUGUUCUGGGGUAGUUUAUAUGUUGUAAUCCACCCUGUGAUUAAAUCUAAUGCAUUAGCAUUCUCAAUCUUUGUGAAAGUAAAAUGUUUUCAAACUAAGUUAAAACAACCGAUUGUUUUGUUGAAACAACCGAUUGUUUAUACUUAGGUGUUUUGAGCAAAAGAUUGAAAAUUGUUUUGAAUGGUUGAACUGUUAAGUACCAAAACAACCGAUUGAUUCGAGGAAACAACCGAUUGUUUGUUUUGGGACCAUAACAGAAAAACUGUUUUCUUGUUGACUGAGCUUUAAAUGUUUUAAUUGCUUACGCUCCAGUCAUUAAAUGCUUUGACAAAUCUUUUAAUGCAAUUUAAGAGUUUGUUAAGAUUUGAUAACAAACUACAUCUUUGAAUAAAUUCAUAAAAGCAGAUUUGAUAAUUAAGAAUCUUUGACAAAGUUUUUCAAAAGAGUUUUUCAAAGUGCUGAGAUUGCUAAGAGUUUGUGGUUAUUCAAAGUGUUGGAAUAGGAUUCUGCUUGUAUUGAUUUCAGAUUAUCUUCUGUAACAAGUGUAAUCCUUGUACUCUGUUGAACAAGUAUUCAUUUCUGUGUUUUGCUGAGAUUGGUUGUGUGUUCUUGAGGGGAUCAAGAUCAGCAAUCUUAGUGUUGGUGUGUUGACCAAGGAGAGUGUGUUUCUUGAGGUGUUCAAGGUUGCCGUGUAAGUGAUCAAGUGGUGAUUGCUUAGUGGAUAUCCUCAGGGUUUCUGAGAAGAAUGGAUGUAGCUCUGGUUUGGAGUGAACCAGUAUCAACAACUGUGUACAAUCUCUUUUUCUCUAACUCUUUAAAUUCAGUUUAUUUAUUGUUUGCUGGAAUAAACAACCGAUUGUUUCUACGAAACAACCGAUUGUUUUUCUGGUACUAUAGCUUUUGCUUGCUGUUUUGGCUAACUGAAUUGCUGAAUCAAUUGGUUCCUGAGAUAAAUUCAUUCUUGUUUUUGAAAAGUUUGCGAAAACCCUCUUUAAACAAUUCACCCUCCCCCCCCUCUAGUUUAAAGCCAUCUUUUCUAACAAUUAACUGUUUAUCUGUGCGCUAACAAAAUAUCAGAAGUUCAAUGUUUUGUUCAAAGUUCUAUUGCAGGAACUAUUUCAGAUUUCAUCAGGUACAACACAAUCAUCAGGGAUUUGUCUUCAUCAAAUAGGGGGAGAUUGUUAAACCAAGUGGUGUUCAAGUUUUGAAGAAUCCAAAUCCUUUGAAGGAUGUUGAAAGCUCUGGUAUGCUUGAUGUUGUUGUGCUGGUUUAGUUUAGUUCUGGGGUAGUUUAUAUGUUGUAAUCCACCCUUUGAUUAAAUCUAAAGCAUUAGCAUUCUCAAUCUUUGUGAAAGUAAAAUGUUUUCAAACUAAGUUAAAACAACCGAUUGUUUUGUCGAAACAAUCGAUUGUUUGUACUUAGGUGUUUUGAGAAAAAGAUUGAAAACUAUUUUUAAAAUGGUUGAACUGUUAAGUACCAAAACAACCGAUUGAUUCGAGGAAACAACCGAUUGUUUGUUUUGGGACCAUAACAGAAAAACUGUUUUCUGUUUGACUGAGCUUUAAAUGAUUUAACUGCUUACGCUCCAGUCAUUAAAUGCUUUGACCAAUCUUUUAAUGCAAUUUAAGAGUCUGUUAAGAUUUGAUAACAAACUACAUCUUUGAAUAUAUUCAAAAAAACAGAUUUCCAAAUUAAGAAUCUUUGACAAGUUUUUGCUAAGAGUUUUUUGAGUUUUUCAAAGAGCUGAGAUUGCUAAGAGUUUGUGAUUGAUCAAAGUAUAUGGAAUAGGAUUCUGCUUGUAUUGAUUUCAGAUUAUCUUCUGUAACAAGUGUAAUCCUUGUACUCUGUUGAACAAGUAUUCGUUUCUGUGUUUUGCUGAGAUUGGCUGUGUGUUCUUUAGGGGAUCAAGAUCAGCAAUCUUAGUGUUGGUGUGUUGACCAAGGAGAGUGUGUUUCUUGAGGUGUUCAAGGUCAUUCUCUUGGUUGUUGUGUAAGUGAUCAAGGUGUCAUUGCUUAGUGGAUUUCCUCAGGGUUCUGAGAAGACUGGAUGUAGCUCUGGGUUUGGAGUGAACCAGUAUCAACAACUGUGUACAAUCUCUCUAUCUCUAACUCUUUAAAUUCAGUUUAUUUUGUUGUUUGCUGGUAUAAACAACCGAUUGUUUCUGCGAAACAACCAAUUGUUUUUCUGGUACUACAACUUUUGCUUGCUGUUUUGGCGAACUGAAUUUCUGAAUCAAUUGUUUCCUGAGAUAAAUUCAUUCUUGUUUGAAAAGUUUGCGAAAACCCUCUUUAAACAAUUCACCCCCCUCUAGUUUAAAGCCAUCUUUUCUAACAAAAGCUUCUUCCCUGGACUCUUAUGCUCGAAGAAGUGAAGGAAGACAUCCACGGAGGGAAGGUGCCCAAGAUGGUUGAACAUGAUCGCGAAGGCCCAACUGUUGGGGUGCAGCUGGGCAGGGGCCACAUUGAUUUCAGUCAGGAGUGCCCGCUCGAAACCCGAGAGUGGAAAACGGAGUUUGUUCCGCUUGAAGAUGAUGGCAUAUAGGAAGAAGAAGGAUUCCCCAUCGUUGGUGCGAUUGGCGGCGCAUACAGGUUCACCGUCUGCGUAGGGUCGAACAGAGACGUAAGCGUCGCACUCCCUCCCAAACGCACGACCUUUAACUUCAGCCUCAUCCUUUCUAUGUUUCCUCACAUCCUCAAGGGAAGUGAGUUUGGAGGUCUCGGCGAGAAGGUCAGCAGAAGCCCAAGAGUAAAGGGCUCUGUAAUCGACGGAUGGAGGAGGUUGGAGGUGGUUUUGGUUCGGGCCGAAGCUAAAAAGGGAUAAGAGAAAGGAAGAAAAACGAAGGUUCAGAAGAAGCGGCGUGACUCGAUGAACCAGAAAAAUAGAGACUCAACUAAACAAAGAACGCAAACAGUGUAGAAGCAGAAAACCUAAAGUGCAGAAAUCUUAAAUAGAUCCAGAGCAGUUAUCGCAUGUUAUGGGCAGCGGAAUCGUGAAACGAAGACAAGUCAUGAAGUAAAAAUCAUACCUUUAAGGAGUAGAAGUUCAAAAGUCGAGAGUGAUGAGGAAGAAGAAAGAGCGCUUGAGAGAAAGCGAAUGAUAAAAGUUUGAGUAAGUGAAGUGAUGAAACAAUUGUGAAGCGCGGGGUUUUGUAAGGGUUUAAGGUAAACAAGGGAGCACAAACGGCAAUAACCCUAGUCGUUGAUCCAGCCACGUGUGCCCAGAUUAAAAUGAAGUACGGAGAGACGUCACUUCGGUACAUUGUUCACGUCCUUCGCCAAGGGCGACGACUUAGUCUCUUCGCUGAACAAGUUAAUAGCUCGAGACUAGGGGGCUUGUGUACCGACCAGUCCUCGGACAUAGUUGACCACUAGUAAUAGUUGACCACGUAAGCUGGGUCCCAAAAACGGCAUGGGAAUAUGUCUCAUAAGCGGCAUGAGCCAGGGUGCCGAUUAUUGGUCAAAUGUCGAUCACCAGGAUGUCUCGACGUGUCUUCGACAACAGAGUAAGGCAUCGGUGAUUCAAACAGCAGAAUUGGACCUCGAAAGGUGAGCCCCAAACAACAUACCAGUUAUUAGUAGGGGAAAGCCUAAGUCACAGGGUGCCCAUGCAUGCGGUGUGGAUUCCGCCAUUGGGCGCGACACAAGUAAAGAGGCUUGGAAGCCGCGAAUGCCCAUUAGGGUUAGGGUUUCCAAGGGAGGCUGCAUGCAUGACACGUGAUAGUUAGGGUACCCCCCAGAAUGGAUGGCCCUAGAGAUUUGAUGCACAAGUUGGUACCCAGGUGGCCAUUCCGUUAGAGGUUGCACUCUAGUAAGGUAGCCUUACGCGCUAGAUUGCACUAAGAUUGGGUAAUAGCGGCGCAAGGGCAUUCCCCAGAAACCCUAAAUGCGGGUAACGGAUAUAAAGGAACCCUAGACUAUAUAAAGGGUAUUAAGAAAACCCACAAGGUAUGCAGUUUUUUGUGACUAGAACUAUUACACUCACAUUCUGUUUCUUAGCCCCAGUAUUGACUUGAGCGUCAGAGUGCAAACGACCUCUAGGGUGUCCCUUUGUCUUUGCAGGUACAGAGUGUUUCGAUCCAAGGAAGCACAAACCUAGGUGGAGAUAAGAGGGCGUGUGAUCGUAGUUAGAGUGAAUCAGCAAAUGAGUCAACCGGCAAGAACACCUCUUACCAUCUAUUUUUUUAUCUGUACUUUCUUUAUUUUUUUCAUGUUUUCUCUAUAAUAUUUUACCUCCUAUCUCAACCCAAACUCCUCCUUUAGUUCUUUAUUGUUACCUUGUACAGUUGAUGCAUGCAUUUGAUCACUCAUUUUGAAUUAAAAAAGAAAUGAUUUUCACAAAAUAAUGGUUUCAAUAAUGAGUGAUAAAAAAUUUCACAAAUAGGUUUUUGAAGUUGGAAGUUUCUAUCAAGGUCAAAUAGUCAAGGUUUCCCUGACUUCACUCCCAAGGAAGAGUGGUGAAUCACUCCCAAGACUUAACCGAUUUUCCUUAAAAGAAACAUAAAAAAAAAAUCCCUAAAUGUGAGCGUGCAAAGUUUCCUAGAGACUAAAAAAAGGUCAAUUACAAAAUGGAGAGAAAAAUAACCUAAGUAUCAUGGAGACUUGAAAAAAAAGAGUAAGAAAAUAUGAAGAAAUUAAACUAGACUUGUCGUAUGUGAAAGAUCAAUUGAUGCUUUGAGCCCCUUGACACACUUUCUCUUACUAAUGCACGAUUUACUAUUAUAAAGUUCUUAAUGGGGUUCCUUUGAAAGCAUUUUCACAAACAAAGUGAUGGAUGACCACCUAAAGCCACCAUACACAAGAAUAAAAGAUAGAUGAACUAUUUAUAUCAAUAAUAGAAAUAACUUAUAUAGGAUUUUUAUUUUACUCUAGAAAUGCUAACUUGUCACACAAGUAAGGGCUUGUAGAGUAGAAGGGUACAUAUGGCUUCCUUAAUUGGUAAUUCAAACCACAGAACAAAAGUGGUUUGUUUAUUGAUGCACCCUCCGCAAAGGGUAAUUUUUCAGCCAUAAGAAAAAGAUUUUCAGAUCAAACUUGAGUAUUUUUCAAGUACCAAGCUCUUAUGAAAGAUUUUCGCAAACUUUGAAGGUAUAAUGAAGUUCAAAGUAGAAUCACAGAUAUAGAAAUCCAGAAAGCAAUCAAUUAAAAUUGUUUAAGUUGAUUAACAGAAAAUCAACCGAUUGGUUUUGCGAUUCAACCGGUUGUUUAUAUCAGCUGAAUUGAAAACAACUUAAAAGUAGAAUUUAAAUGAGUUAAAGGUAAGAGAAAAGCACACAAGCAAUUUAUACUGGUUCACUCUUAUCCCAAGAGCUACAUCCAGUCCCCAGAAACCACUAGGUAUCUACUAUGCAAUCAAAAUCCAGAUUGCAAACACACCACCAAAGAAGUGAUCUUAAACACCUCAAGUCACACACUUCCUUUGACACACAAACACCACAGAAAUCAGAGCACCCUCUAAUUCUGCACUUACACACCAGUAUUCAGAAAUACAAGAGAUACAAAAAGGAUUACACCUGAUGAAGAUCAAAUAGAAAGAUUAUAGCAAUCCUAUUCCACUUCUUUGAGAAAACCCAAAAGCUUGAAUGCAAAUCUUGAAAACUCAAAUCUGUUUUCACACUUUCACACAGUGUCUCAAAACUAUAUCAAUCUUUAAGAAAGUAUAACAACCUCUUUAAAUACUCCAAAAGUUGUUAAAAACAUUUAAAGCAUGAGCCUAUUCAGUUAGAAAACAUUUAAAGCUGAUUUGCAAACAUAACAGAAAUUUUGUUAUGGAUUUUCAACAAAGAAUCGGUUGAAUCCUCGAAACAACCGAUAGAAAUUGGUUUGACAACAAUGUCAACCAAGUCAAACAACUUCAAACCCUUUUCAAAAACCUCUAGUGAUAAGAAAUCGAUUGAAACGACAAAACAACAAGUUGUUUUUCCACUUCUUCAUAAAACAAACUUAGGUCCUUGAUGCAGCCGUUGGAGCUUCAACAAGAGUUCAUUCCUAUGAUGAGGAGGAACAAACCGCGAGCACAUGCAUUCUUUCGAAUCAUACCAAGAGACCACGACUGGCCUCUUGUUCAAACCAAUCUCCAUUACAAUUUCAUGCCACCACUGCAUGACAUAAUCUUAAAACUCUAGGAAAACUGGCUUAACUUUUGUCUUCUUCGACCUCAUACACAUUAAAGAUUUGUUCUAUCUUAACUUCCCAUCCUAAAUACAAAUUUGGGUCACUUUCCCCGCUAAAACUAGGUAAUUUUACAAAAGAAAAAGAAGUCUUUGGUGGUUGGUGUUGAUGAUGCCUUUCUUCAAAAUUGUGCAUUCUCCAAUCUUGUUCUUCUCUUUGACUUCCAUAGUCCAUGUAAUUUGUAGUAGCUCUUCUAGGAUCCCAUCUCUUUUCUCUAGCUUUUCUCUCUUGAGUCUCUUCUAAUCUUUGCAUCCUUUCCACUAGUUGCCUCAUUUCCUCUUCUUUUUCGUUCAAUCUUCUUUUGGCAUCGGCAAGCUCUCCCAAAAGGUAUGCCUUUUGAGGAGAUUGUGGCUUUGAAGAUUCUUCUAAAGACAAAUGAGCCAUAAUUUUGCAUAAAAGGAAACAAACAAUUAGUGAAAAUAACAAUUUAAUCCACUCACUCACUUGUAUCACUCGGAUAUUUAGUAAAGGAGACACAAAAUUUUAAUUCACUCAAGAAAGAUUUGCAGUCCAACAAGGUCUACACUUGGUAGCAACACUUCAAGUGAAAGAGGUUAAAUCUCCUAACACUUGCUUACCAAAGAACCCCUAACAAAGCAUAAGAAAGAUUUGAAGACAAGCAAGUAAAGAUAAAAGAAAGAAAGCUAAACCAAAAUGGAAGUAUGAUGAUGACAAAACUUAGACAAGACAAAAAAGAAAAAAACUUUUGAAGACUUAAAGAAACUUACUUAAACUUUUAACUAUGAAGUUUUGAUUUUCUUAGAAAUUGUAAAAGCAAGAAGAAUAAAAUUUCACAAAUAUGAAAACAAUUUGCCACAAAAAAAGAAUCCUCAUUUUUAGCAAUUUUGAACUUGAAAAGUGAAUUGCACUAACUUUGUUUUUGUCUUUCUUUUUCUUUUAUGGAUUCAGAAUUUCCAUAAUCUUCGCAUGCAUAUUUUUAAUUCACUUUCAAUUUUCACAAAUAGAUUGGGAUUUCAUUCAUAUGAUUACUUGAGUUCUUUGAUUGGAACUAAAUCAACUACCACUUAAACGAAUUAUAAUUGUUCCGUUCGGUUGACCGGGACGUCUUCGUGCGCGACCUCAACCGUCAGCUAGGGACUCCUUCCCACUGGUUGCCUGUGGAUUCCUGCAAAAAGAGGACAAAGAGGCGCCCUAGCGGCCGUGUGCACUCCGACGCUCAAGUCAGCUAGCAAGAAACACCAAAACUGUCCACCUACGUCUCCGAGCACCGCGUAUGGCACUCUGAAGGUGGUAAAAGAACUGUGUAUAUGUGUGUGUGUUGUCUCUUUCAGGCAAAAAUAUUUCCCAGUCACUUGUACGCAACCUUGAAGCACGAGCAAGCAACUAGAGAGUUCUCUGGUAAAUUUGCCAAAAGUUCCAACCCUCUUUCCAACAUUCUCUGCGCUAUUUAAACUACCCCAGCAUUUAAAGCGCCUUAAAGCGCUUUUAAUCACAAACGUAACGCACUCAUUAAAGCGCUUAAUUAGAAAACGUAGCGUAUUUAAGACGUUGAAACACUCGGGAGCCAUUAUAGUACCUGAAUGCUCGAAAGGGAAACUGUAUUGAAUGACUUUUAAUUACCUGGCACCUGACUAAAGGGUGUUUCUAUUCUGGUAUGGCUGUCGUACACGUGGAGGGCCUCACGACGCCAUGACCUCAUCUGGGGGCGUUUCUGCCCAUCUGGGGACGUCUCUACGUGUGAGUCCUCCUGCUUGGGAGUGCUACUGCGCUAGGGGUGACUUUUUGGGUGCCAACUCAUGCACCCAAGUAUCUGGUCACUUACUUUGAGAGCGUAUCUGCCUUCCUCUUGUACCCUGCACCCGGCUGCCCUGGGCGUGACCUUCCUUUUGAGUCGUAUCUGCCCCACAAGCGUCUUUGGGGCAGCAGGAGCACUUCACGAGUCAGGCUGCCCUACACUGAUGCUUUCACUAUGGCCUUGAAGCCACCUUUUCCUUCUCUUUAUCACUGCCCCGGACUAUCGGGACCUGAGGCCUUCUCACGGCGUCGCUCCCUCCAUGGUCUUUCCUACCCAUGGGUAUCGGGGAACCACACUGUGAUUGCCUUUUUUUUACACUGUUUGAUCUGGCGACGCCCUAGUUGGGCGACGCCUUCACCUGGGCGACGCCUUCACCUAGGCGACGCCUUGCCUUGGCGACGCUUCCUCUUGGCGAUGUUGGCACUUUGGCGUCUCUCCACCUAGGCGACGCCUUGCGCUGACUUUGACUCUUCAUCCGUUGACUUUGACCUGAUUUAGUCAACGCCCGGAUACGGGACGGUACACAAGCCCCUCAGUCUUAAGCCGAAGACUUGUCUUCAGCGUCAAGACUAAAGCCUCGCCCACGCCGUCCACGUGCCAUCCUGAUGACGUGUCAUUCUCUGCCGACUCAGCAAUUCUUCGAAUUAUUGACGUGAAAUUUUCUGAACCACAGGGGUAUUCUUAAUGACUGAUUGGACAUCCCCUGAAAUGAGGAUGAUAACACCUUUUGGGCUACCCUUGAUCGCGCGCCACGUGGCCCAUCGCGCGGCCAUCCUCCAGGGACCUUUGCGUUUCCAUUGGGCAAUUGAUCCUCUAACGCGUGGCACGAUCCCACAGCCCUAGGUUAGCGCCUCUCGAGUUGCGAAAUGUAACGUUUAAGUUACUCCAAACCCCGCGCUCACCCUACUGUUACAUUCAUUCACUCUGCAACUCCGCACUGUUCAUCGCCUUCAAAACCCCUUUUCUCUGCAAUCGCGAUUCUCUCCUUGCUGCGCUCGUCUACUGCCUCCAUUCCAAUAACAAAGGUACAAUCUCGAGUAUUCACGAUUCUUCCCUUUCGUCGCAUUAUAGGAUUCAUUAAACUGCCUGGGACUGUUGUUAUUCUCGUAUUACUGCAUUUCUCCGCUUCUUCUUCCUCCUCUGAUUUUUCUCGCGUGGGUGACGCUUCCUGGGGCUCUUUCCCCUUCUUGCCAUGGCUAAACAUGCUAAACCCUUUUUCCUCUCUUCUUUCUCCAGCUAUCUAUUUUCACCAUGACGCGCGCGAACGCGGAGCCUGAUUCUUCUCCCACGACCCCCAAGUCCAACUACAAAGCCUUCUACCCCUGGGCCCCCGACGAGCUCCUGAGUGAAUGCACCAGCCUGACUUCCUUCUAGGACCUGGAAGCUCACCGAGGGGAUCCCCAUUUGUACAACUUUAAUGCCUUCUGCCGCACACACGACGCCCACAUAUCCGUCCGUCCCGGCAGGCCUGGGGAACCUGUUUGUUUGGACGACAGGCCUAGAAAGGGGAAACCCUUCUUCUUCAUGUACCAGACCGUGUUCAAGCGCGUAGGAGUGCGUCUCCCAUUCUCUCCCUUGGAACGGGAGCUUCUCACUGAAAUCAACACUGCCCCCGCCCAGCUUCAUCCCAACAGCUGGGCAUUCGUGAGGGGCUUUCAAAUUCUUUGUGGAUACCUGGGCAUCCCCCCCUCUGUAGAUGUCUUCCUGCAUUUCUUUAAAGUGAAGAAACAGGGGAAAAGCUUCUGGGUAAGCUUUUCCGGGAUCGCAGGCAGGAUCCUCCUAUCCCUCUUCCAGAAUUCUUAUAAGAACUGGAAAGGGAAAUUCUUCAGGGUGUGCAGCGCCAAGCACGAUCCCACAGCUUUGGAUGGCUUCCCCCUUUACUGGACGGAGCGCCCUAAAUUGCUCAGGGCCAAGACCCACCGAUUCUAUCGCCGCCUCCUCCGAUCACUGCCGAGGCUAUCUCGAGUUCACCUCCGUCAUCUCCUCGCAGCCUUGCAGCACUUUAGACUCCUCUCUCUCCUCUACCCAUCGCAGCUGUUCCCCUAGCUGCGGCCUCGUCACCGGCUCCAACCCCUCUUGACAAAGGGAAACGGGUUUUGGAGGUUCUAUCAGAUGAUGAGGACUCAGAAGGCGUGGCUCCCUUCAGAAGAAGAAAAUCUGCGCGGGUUCCUCUUUCGGUAGAGGCAUCGCCCCAGGGAGGGAACCCCUUCAUGGAUAACCCCCCGAGCGCAACCUCACUCCCUCCCAUGACACUCCACGAGGAAAGGGGCGAAGGUGCCGAAUCUGCCCCGCCUCCGCCGCCGGCAGAAACCAUUGCUUCCCCUGCUUCCGUCGCUGUCGCCCCUGACUUCAUCGUCAUCCCUCCUCCGAUUAUACAUCUAAUGAGGGGCUUCAGCGGCGGGACUCUGCCAGAGGGCACCGACAGGAAGGAAGGCAUGCCCUUCUACUUGGGGGCCUUCCUGGCGGUGGCCCUUGAAUGGCGCGCCCAGGCCAGAAACGCGGUUAUGCAAGCUCAAAACUCUCCAAGCCUUGGAAACAAAGGCGACUACUCUGGAGGAGGAAAUGAGGACCCUGGGGCGGCAGAACGAAACUUACCAAACCUCUCUAAAGCAAGCGCAAGAGUCCAAAGCAGAAGCUGAGAGGCAACUGGCAGAGGCAUUGGAGCUCCAGGCUGGCUUUUUUACUCGUGAAGUCGCCCUCCAAGUCCAGGCUGGCCUUCAGGAAUCGCUCAAAGCUGAUGCAGAACUUCAAAAGGACCUGAAGGACCGUUGCCGUGAGCAAGCUGACCAGACGGAGCGGAUGGAGGGGGAAAUGGCCACCCAGGCCAAAGCUAUGGACCUUCUCCGGGCUGACUACGACAAACUACAGGUUGAGGUCAGUCGACUUCGCGUUGAGAAGGAGGCUCUAGAGAAGCAGGUGGCCUCUGGGGAUGCCGCCGUUGAGGAGCUGGAGAAGGAGAAAAAGUCCCUUAUCCAGGAGAUGGCGGGUACUUUCGAGGAGGGGUUCCAAGAGGCUCUAACCCAGGCGUCCUGUGAGAACCCUGGCAUCAAUAUUACAAACUGCGACCCCAUGCACCAUGUCGUCGACGGGAAGGUCGUGCCCAUGGACGUGGAUGACUGAACCGCUGCCUCUCAACCGCGACCUUCAGCUUCACAGUUAACUGCUUUAUACUUUACCUUCGUUUUUUAUUUUAUCUGUUAAAACUUGUAAUUCUUUGAACUAUCCGUACUCUUGUUACUGAUUUGGGGCAUUCGCAUGAUUGCCUUUAUGUCUUUGCCAUAUACGAUUCUGCUUGUGCGAUCUCAUUCUCAUCUUUUACCUUCGCACGCUUCGAUUAUUUUAUCUGUGUUUUGUCCAUUUCUUUCACUUCGUUGGGCGGCUUUGUAUGAUCGGGAAAGGUCGCAUGCCAACCCUCACGCCCAUGGAGAGGCUCACUUAGUGACGCCGUAUCGUCCACGGGAUGUCUCUGAUACCGAAAGGUCCUUUCCUUGAUCCUUAACGCCCGGCGCCCACGCCUAAGGAGAGGCCUGCUACAGCAGCGCCGUAUCGUCCCCGGGUGUCUAAAACGCCGAGUGCUCUGGGGGGGGGGGGUCUAUUCCCUCCAUGGUCUUUCCUUCCCAUAGGUAUCGGGGAACGCCCUGCCAGCGAUUCGCUGGCGUUUGGCGGUCUUAUCUCCCUCCACAGUCUUUCCUACCUGUGGGUAUCGAGGAGGCGACGCCAGUGACUAACUUUGCCUUCUUUGAUUUCGUCUCCCUCCACAGUCUUUCCUACCUGUGGGUAUUGGGGAGGCGACGCCAGUUGGUAUUUGGGUUGGCGACGCCCGUGACGUCUCACGCUGGCGUCGCCCUUCACGUCCUUCCGGGCGACGCCUCGGGCGUUACCUUUACUUCGACAUUGACUUUGAUUUUUGCCUUGGUCGACGCCUGACGACAGCGAAGAGCUCAAGGUUUUGUCUGUGCCAUCCACGUGGCGCUUCUUGUAUAGCUGAUGGGACGUUCCGUCAUUCGACUUGAUCCACGUGGCGCUGCUUGUAUGGUUGAUGGGGCAUUCAGUCAUUCCAUUGAAUUCUGACUCCUGCUGUACCCCUGACUCACUUUCGACGGCGCAUCGUACCACUGGAUAUUCUGCUGAUACGACGUUUUCUGAUUUAAACCAGUGGUGUCAGCGUCAUCCUUUCAUCUUCUGCCACGUGUAUCAAUCGUGCGGUGCAUCCAUUCGCGUCGUUUGGCGCUCUAACCGCUUUAUUUAACUCUUCAAACUCUGGAACUAUCUUCAUCAUUUUCUCACUCUUCAUAACCUACUUGCGUUCUUUCUUCUUGCACCCUUCCUUCUUGCACCCUUUCUUCUCUAACGAAGGGUUGUUCCAGCCUUCGCUCCCCUCGCUCAACUCUUGCAUUUCUGGCAGUCCUGAUCUUGUUAAAGAAUGUCGUCUCACGCUGCUUCCUCCAGGGUCCGUCCCAAGGACUUGUACCCUUAGGCCUCGAGUGAACUUCUUGACGAGUGUUCAUGCUUACUCUCUACCAGGGCCAUAAGGGAGCACAAAGGGGAUUCGUGUUCCUAUGACCACCGGGCCUUCGCGAGGAGGCAUGACGACGACAUCGCUGUGNNNNNNNNNNNNNNNNNNNNNNNNNNNNNNNNNNNNNNNNNNNNNNNNNNNNNNNNNNNNNNNNNNNNNNNNNNNNNNNNNNNNNNNNNNNNNNNNNNNNNNNNNNNNNNNNNNNNNNNNNNNNNNNNNNNNNNNNNNNNNNNNNNNNNNNNNNNNNNNNNNNNNNNNNNNNNNNNNNNNNNNNNNNNNNNNNNNNNNNNNNNNNNNNNNNNNNNNNNNNNNNNNNNNNNNNNNNNNNNNNNNNNNNNNNNNNNNNNNNNNNNNNNNNNNNNNNNNNNNNNNNNNNNNNNNNNNNNNNNNNNNNNNNNNNNNNNNNNNNNNNNNNNNNNNNNNNNNNNNNNNNNNNNNNNNNNNNNNNNNNNNNNNNNNNNNNNNNNNNNNNNNNNNNNNNNNNNNNNNNNNNNNNNNNNNNNNNUUCCGCUGUACUGGGUGAGAGAGGAGAAGGUCCUCAAAGCCAAACCCCUCAAGAAUCUGGCUCCAAGUGAUCAAAUAGCUUCGCCUUCCUCCAGUGAUGACUCUGAUGAGCGCUGAGAAAUGGCUUGUUCGUGUUUUUGCAUGAUUUGUAGCGUUUGCUCCGUUUGUACUGCUCCCAUUGUAUUGAACAUUGCUUGUAACAACAACUUUUCAAUGUCAUACUUGAUUUUUGUAACGCCACUUCACUUUGCAUAUGCUUCAUGUACUGCGCGCUUUCCUUUCGUCCUGUUCUUUCAGCGGUGCAUGCCUUCACUUGGGCGAUGCCUGCUCAGGGGCGACGCCCUUAUCUAGGUGGCGCCUUCUUUCUGGGCGACGCCAUGACCUAGGCGACGCCUUCUUUCUUGGCGACGCCAUGGCCUAGGCGGCGCAUCACAUUACUUCAAACAAGGAAAGAUAAAGGCUGAAAACCAAAGCACUUCUUUUUCUCAAACUGGUUUUUCCUUUUAUUAGGGUGACCUCAUUAAAAAACCCCCGAGAGGGAAAAAGAGCGUCCCCUUCAACUAAAUUGUGACAUACUGCUUACAUNNNNNNNNNNNNNNNNNNNNNNNNNNNNNNNNNNNNNNNNNNNNNNNNNNNNNNNNNNNNNNNNNNNNNNNNNNNNNNNNNNNNNNNNNNNNNNNNNNNNAUAAAAUUUUAAGUUGGCUGCAUUCCAACUGCGCGGGAUGGGACCUCCAUCUAAAGUCUCCAGGUUGUACGAACCGUUGCCCUUAGCCUCAGUAACUCUGAAGGGCCCGGUCCACUUGGGAGACAGCUUAUUCUCCAACUCGUAUGGGUGAGCUUUCCUCAUCACUAGGUCGCCAACUUGAAACUGUUGCGGCUUACCCUUAGAGCUAUAUUGUCGCUCUACUCUUCUCUUCAUCGCUUCAGCUUUUAUUCUAGCUUCUUCUAGCAAAUCCAGGUUUACCCGCCUCUCUUCAUUGGACUCCUCCACCACAAAGUUUUGAAAGCGUGGUGAGCUUUCAUGUAUUUCUACUGGAAUCAUCGCGUCCGACCCGUACACCAAACUGAAGGGCGUCUCCAUAGUAGAGGAUUGGGGCGUGGUGUGAUAUGCCCAUACAAUCCUUGGCACCUCUUCCGCCCACGCCCCUUUGGCUUUCUCUAACCUUCUUUUUAACCCCCUCAGCAGAACUCUGUUUGCCGACUCUACUUGUCCAUUGGUCUGGGGGUGUUCGACCGACGCGAACACUUGUUUGAUUCCUACUUCAGCACACAGAUUUCUCAACUGCUGACUGGCAAACUGAGUCCCGUUGUCAGAUAUCAGGCGCCUGGGUACGCCAAAGCGACACACAAUGUUUCUCCACACGAAAUGCUGUACCUUAUGCGCAGUGAUCUGUGCCACGGGCUCCGCCUCUAUCCACUUAGUGAAGUAUUCGAUGGCGAUGAUCAGAUACUUCAUCUGCCUGAUUGCCAGUGGGAAAGGGCCCAGGAUGUCAAUUCCCCAUGUAUGGAAAGGCCACGGGCUGUAUAUAGACCGCAACUCUUCUGGCGGCGCCUUGUGCCAGUCGGCGUGCUUUUGGCAUUGCCUACACCGCUGGGCGUGCCGUGCGCAGUCCUCUUUCACUGUUGGCCAGAAGAAGCCUGCGCGUAUUACCUUGGAGGCUAAGGAUCUUCCCCCUACGUGGCUUCCGCAGAUGCCUUCGUGUAGCUCCGCCAUUAUCCUGGUGCACUCAUCGCCACUAACGCAUGUUAGGAUAGGGUGAGUGAAACCGUGCCUGAACAGCACCCCAUCCACCAAAGUAUAUCUUGCGGCAUUUCUUUUGACUUUUUUUACCCUCUUCAGGGUCCACUGGAAGAGCCCCAUCUGCCAGGUAUCGCUUAUAGGGCGUCAUCCAGGUGUCUCCCUUGGACAAAACACAUACCUGCAUCUGCUCUUCCUCAGGCACACCCGCGAACAUGCUGAUGCGGGGCGCCCUCUGCGUAUCUUGGGUCAAAGAGGAAUGACUCCUCGACCUUCCCCUUGAUGUAUAAAUCUGGAGGACAUCCACCCUGUUGUCUUCCACGAAUCGACGCGGAGCUUUGAGAGUCUCCUGGAUCACUGUCCUCUAUCUACCCCCCUUGCCUGAGCUGGCCAGCUUUGCGAGCAGGUCAGCUCUGGCAUUUUGCUCCCUCGGGACAUGUAUCAGCUCAAGAGCGUUGAACGCCCCCUUCAACAACUGGACGUAUUUCAGAUACGCCGCCAUCUGUGGGUCAUUCGCCUGGAACUCACCCGACACCUGCCCCGUAAUCAACUGAGAGUCGCUCUUCACCAGGAGGUUCUGUGCGCCCAUCUCCUUGGCCAAGAGCAUUCCUGCUAUCAGGGCUUCAUAUUCUGCCUGAUUGUUACUUGCCUUGAAGGCAAAACGCAAGGCCUGCUCGAUCAGUAUGCCGUCGGGUCCCUCCAAGACUAUUCCCGCACCGCUCCCUUGUUGGUUUGAAGAGCCAUCAACCGAGAGCAGCCACUGCGAACUCGCUUCCACCUCUUGCUGACCUCCGGGCGAAAGUUCUGCUACAAAAUCUGCGUACACCUGCCCUUUGAUGGAUCCUCUAGGCUCGUACUGGAUGUCGAAUUCUGACAGUUCCACCGUCCAGCGUACCAUUCUUCCUGCCACAUCAGGUUUCUGCAGUACUUUCUGUAUAGGGAGGUUGGUCAUCACCACCACCGUAAAGCUGUGGAAGUAAAUGACGGAGCCUCCUAGCAGAGAACACUACCGCCAGCGCCGCCUUUUCCAGUGCUUGGUACCUCGUCUCAACCCCCUGUAAGGCCUUGCUUACGAAGUAGAUGGGCUUCUGACUCUGGUCCUGCUCUUGGACCAAUACGGAACUGAUGGCCCGCUCUGUUACAGUAAAAUAUAACCGGAGGGGCACACCCGCUACCGGCUUGCAGAGGACCGGUGGCGUCGCCAGGUACUCCUUCAGCUUAAUGAAAGCCGCUUCGCAUUCAUCAGUCCAUGCAAAGCGACUGUUCCUCUUGAGGCACUGGAAGUACGGGUGCCCCUUCUCUCCUCCGGCGGAAACAAACCUUGAGAGCGCCGUCAUCCGCCCUGUCAGCUGUUGCACCUCCUUCACCGACGUCGGGCUCCGCAUGGCGAUAAUAGCCGCACACUUGUCGGGGUUCGCCUCUAUCCCCCUCUCGGUGAGCAGAAAACCCAAGAACUUACCGGCCUCCACCCCGAAAACACACUUCUCGGGGUUCAACUUGAGGCGGUACUUGGAUAUUGUGUGGAACAACUCCUCCAGGUCUGCCAUGUGCUGCACCCUAUUUUGCGACGCCACCACCAUGUCGUCUACAUAGGCGUACACAUUCCUCCCCAGCAUUGGCACCAGGACCUUGUCCAUUAGCCUCUGGUACGUGGCGCCCGCAUUUUCCAGCCCGAAGGGCAUCACCUUAUAGCAGUAACUGCAUGUCUCGGUCAUGAAUGCAGUCUUGCUCUCGUCUCUUGGGUGCAUNNNNNNNNNNNNNNNNNNNNNNNNNNNNNNNNNNNNNNNNNNNNNNNNNNNNNNNNNNNNNNNNNNNNNNNNNNNNNNNNNNNNNNNNNNNNNNNNNNNNNNNNNNNNNNNNNNNNNNNNNNNNNNNNNNNNNNNNNNNNNNNNNNNNNNNNNNNNNNNNNNNNNNNNNNNNNNNNNNNNNNNNNNNNNNNNNNNNNNNNNNNNNNNNNNNNNNNNNNNNNNNNNNNNNNNNNNNNNNNNNNNNNNNNNNNNNNNNNNNNNNNNNNNNNNNNNNNNNNNNNNNNNNNNNNNNNNNNNNNNNNNNNNNNNNNNNNNNNNNNNNNNNNNNNNNNNNNNNNNNNNNNNNNNNNNNNNNNNNNNNNNNNNNNNNNNNNNNNNNNNNNNNNNNNNNNNNNNNNNNNNNNNNNNNNNNNNNNNNNNNNNNNNNNNNNNNNNNNNNNNNNNNNNNNNNNNNNNNNNNNNNNNNNNNNNNNNNNNNNNNNNNNNNNNNNNNNNNNNNNNNNNNNNNNNNNNNNNNNNNNNNNNNNNNNNNNNNNNNNNNNNNNNNNNNNNNNNNNNNNNNNNNNNNNNNNNNNNNNNNNNNNNNNNNNNNNNNNNNNNNNNNNNNNNNNNNNNNNNNNNNNNNNNNNNNNNNNNNNNNNNNNNNNNCAUCGUCGCGUCCACGCUCGGCGGACGUUCAUACACCAUGAAUACGCCUCUCUUCGUUUUCAGGUUGUUUUCAUAGCAUUUCCUCGCCUCCUCCUGGUCUGACCUGAUGACUAUCACCUGGCCACUGAGGUCCGGCAGCUUCAUCUUCAUGUGACGGGUGGAGGACACCGCGCUCAGACGGUUUAACGCCGGUCUGCCCAGCAAAAUAUUGUAGGCGGAAUUAGCGUUCACGACGAGGUACCGGAUGCUCUCGGUACGGGAGGCCUCUCCGUCUGUGAACGUAGUCCUCAACUCCAAGUAACCCCGGACUUCCACCUGGUUAUCCCCAAACCCAUACAGGCAUCCUGUAUAGGGGCUCAACAGAUCGGGGGACAACCGUAACUUAUUAAAGGUCGAGAGAAACAUGACAUCGGCCGAACUUCCUUGGUCCACAAGCACUCUGUGCACCUUCCUUCCGGCUGUGACGACUGAGAUGACAACGGGGUCGUUGUCGUGGGGUACCACAUCUCGGAGGUCUCUUCUUGUGAACACAAUAUCUGACUCCCAUGGUUCCCCCGAGAGCCUCUCUUCGAUCGAAUUCACCCCCCUCGCGUAUUUCUUCCGCUGGGAGGCGGUGGGUCCUCCGCCGGAAAAACCUCCAGCAAUGGUGUGGACCUCGCCAAGCACAGGCAUCUCGUGUGCUGGUUCAUCUGCCGGCGGCGGCAAGGUGGCGGUCGUUGUGGAAUCUGCGACAUAGUCUUUCAAAAACCCAGUCCUCACCAGCUCAUCUAGCUGGUAGCCCAACGACAGGCAAUUAUCAAUUUGGUGCCCGAAAGCCUCGUGGAAUUCGCACCAAGAGUCUUUACGGGGCCCUAACACCUUGUCGGUCUUCGCCGGUCGCCUCAGCCUCUCAGCUAUGUUGGGCACGGCGAUCAAAUCCUUCAACUCAACCACGAAGUUGUACCUCGCCGGUCUUGCUCUUUCUCUGGCGGGGCGUUCGCCUCCUGCUGGACCCCGGGGCUGGGGCUUUCUGGCCUCGUAGGGGCGUCUCGCCUCUGGCUUCUUUCUCCCCGUCGUGGUCUCAUUGACUCUGACGGGUUGAACUCGCGCCGGUCCCCUCGGGCGUGAGGGCACGGCGCUGGUGCGCUUCACACAUACCUCCCCCUCCGAAGCAAUAUGCUCUACCGCCCUACACCGUAGUUCAGCGAAAGUCCUAGGGCGAUUGCGGAUAAUGGAUUCUCCGAAGGGGCCGGGGCACACGCCUUUCACAAAUGCGUACACGAUCAUAGGCUCCUCUGUUGUACCAACCUUCACGACCUGGGCCCCGAAGCGAUUGAUAUACUCCUUCAGGGUCUCCCCCUGAUACUGCUUCACAUCGAACAGGUCGUAGGAGACCGGCGGGGCCUUGUUGGCUAAGUACUGUUCACGGAACAAUCGCGACAAUUGGCGGAAAGAUGUGAUAUGACCUUCUGGGAGGCUAAUGAACCAGUCCAUAGCCAUCCCGGUCAGGGUGCUCAUGAAGAGCUUGCACUUGGCAGCAUCAGAACCGCCUAUCAGGACCAUCUGCGUGUGAAAUGCAGCCAGGUGCGUCUCUGGGUCCUCCAUCCCGGUGAAGAUCACCUUGGGUCCCGCGAAAGUGUUCGGGGAUCGCUGCGUCUAGGAUCCCCNNNNNNNNNNNNNNNNNNNNNNNNNNNNNNNNNNNNNNNNNNNNNNNNNNNNNNNNNNNNNNNNNNNNNNNNNNNNNNNNNNNNNNNNNNNNNNNNNNNNNNNNNNNNNNNNNNNNNNNNNNNNNNNNNNNNNNNNNNNNNNNNNNNNNNNNNNNNNNNNNNNNNNNNNNNNNNNNNNNNNNNNNNNNNNNNNNNNNNNNNNNNCUCAUUAUUUCCAGGACCUGCUGCAUGGAUAGUUCUGCUGGGGCUGCGCGUGCUGUGCUUCGUCUAGUGGGGGCCAUUGUCACUCCAACCUCCUUCAACGUUACUGUAACUUGGUAGAUUUUCUCGAACUUGUGAUGGGACUGAUGUUUUAUAUCGGCCCCACGGUGGGCGCCAAAUGUUUCGUCCGGCUGACCGGGACGUCUUCGUGCGCGACCUCAACCGUCAGCUAGGGACUCCUUCCCACUGGUUGCCUGUGGAUUCCUGCAAAAAAGAGGACAAAGAGACGCCCUAGCGGCCGUGUGCACUCCGACGCUCAAGUCAGCCAGCAAGAAACACCAAAACUGUCCACCUACGUCUCCGAGNNNNNNNNNNNNNNNNNNNNNNNNNNNNNNNNNNNNNNNNNNNNNNNNNNNNNNNNNNNNNNNNNNNNNNNNNNNNNNNNNNNNNNNNNNNNNNNNNNNNAAAAUAUUUCCCAGUCACUUGUACGCAACCUUGAAGCACGAGCAAGCAACUAGAGAUUUCUGGUAAAUUUGCCAAAAGUUCCAACCCUCUUUCCAACAUUCUCUGCACUAUUUAAACUACCCCAGCAUUUAAAGCGCCUUAAAGCGCUUUUAAUCACAAACAUAACGCACUCAUUAAAGCGCUUAAUUAGAAAACGUAGCGCAUUUAAGACGUUGAAACGCUCGGGAGCCAUUAUAGUACCUGAAUGCUCGAAAGGGAAACUGUAUUGAAUGACUUUUAAUUACUUGGCACCUGACUAAAGGGUGUUUCUAUUCUGGUAUGGCUAUCGUACACGUGGAGGGCCUCACGACGCCAUGACCCCAUCUGGGGGCGUUUCUGCCCAUCUGGGGACGUCUCUACGUGUGAGUCCUCCUGCUUGGGAGUGCUACUACGCUAGGGGUGACUUUUUGGGUGCCAACUCAUGCACCCAAGUAUCUGGUCACUUACUUUUAGAGCGUAUCUGCCUUCCUCUUGUACCCUGCACCCAGCUGCCCUGGGCGUGACCUUCCUCUUGAGUCGUAUCUGCCCCACAAGCGUCUUUGGGGCAGCAGGAGCACUUCACGAGUCAGGCUGCCCUACACUGAUGCUUUCACUAUGGCCUUGAAGCCACCUUUUCCUUCUCUUUAUCACUGCCCCAGACUAUCGGGACCUGAGGCCUUCCCACGGCGUCGCUCCCUCCAUGGUCUUUCCUACCCAUGGGUAUCGGGGAACCACACUGUGAUUGCCUUUUUUUUACACUGUUUGAUCUGGCGACGCCCUAGUUGGGUGACGCCUUCACCUAGGCGACGCCUUGCCUUGGCGACGCUUCCUCUUGGCGAUGCUGGCACUUGGCGUCUCUCCACCUAGGCGACGCCUUGUGUUGACUUUGACUCUUCAGCCGUUGACUUUGACCUGAUUUAGUCAACGCCCGGAUACGGGACGGUACAAUAAUUUUUUUAGUUCUUCACAAUUAAAAGAAAAAUAAGCAUAAUGGAUUUAAAGACUCCUAGAACACUAAGAACAUAAGACUCGAGAAAAAAUGGUAAGGAAAAAAAAUUGACAAAAAUAAUUCAAAAGCAGAAUUUUAAAUUGCUUAAUGAAUAAAAAGGAGAAAUUGUAAAUGACUAGAAUUUAAAGAUUGAAUUGAAAGGUGUUUAAAGAUAAAAGCGGAAUUUAAAUUGUUGGAAGAUAAAGACAUAAUUGAAAUGUGUUGGAAUUUUAAAGCAAUCAACUCAGAAAAGAUAAGCACAAUUAAAAUCAUGCUCUGAUACCACAUGAUGUGAGUUAAUUUUAAGGUUGCACAUUUUAUGGGUUGCACUUUGUUUAUGAUUUUUUGUUUCAAGCAUAAUAUGGUUAGAAACCCAAAGAAGAUUCCCACUAGACAUGAACUUAACCAAGUGGUUAAAUAAGUGUGAAUGUGCACUUCUAGAGGGUAAAGAGAAAACACAAGAUAAGAUGAUGAUGAUGAGGUGUUGAAUUAAGCACAAAAAAGGAAGCAAUUAUAAUAGAUGAACUGAAUUGUAAAUGAAGAAAAGGAAGAAUAUAAAAAAAAUGGAAGAAGAGUGGCGCAAAGAAGGAAAGGAAGAGAUGAAGAAAGCUUAUGGAAAAAUGGGGUAAGGAGUCACGCCACUUGGAGGAUGGAAUGCUCCAAGAUGAGUGGUGUAGAGCUGCCACUUGAAGUGUAGAUCACUCAAGAUAAGACCCAAGGAUAAUGAGAGACUCUAUUUUCUUUCAAAAUUCAACGUGUGAAGUGUCUCUUGUGUCCUUAGUCAUCUGCUUGGCUAAUUGGGUUGUAUCAAGUACCCAAUUCAUUUCGCAAGACAUUAAAUCUAUCUCAGCACAAAAAAAAAAACAUAUGUGAUGGCGGUUAUAAUAUGACGGUUAUUAAAAACUGUCACAAUUUACUGUAUAAUACGACAAUUUCGUAAGCACCAUAAUGUUCCUUCAAAAUGUGACAUUUAGAAUCGUCAUAAUUGUCCUUAGAAAUAAACAUUUAUAUGUUUUGUUCCCUCCAUCACAUUUGUUUUAUUUCCCCCUAAAAUUUCAUUUCUCACACUUACUCAAAAUUUUAAUUUUUCAAAACCCUAUUCUCUUCCAUCCUCCAAAAUUUUCUAAAACCCUUUGAAACCCUAUUAUUCCGCACAACUCUGCUACUGUUGCGUGAUGUUGGUUCUAGACGUGCAGUGCACCCUUGCAAAUACUGCACAAAGCUCACCGCUGAACCUUCUUCCCAAGCCAAACCUCUAAAUUGCGUUCCCAAAUCAAAGCUUUCGACCAUUUGAGAGCACAUAGUUUUCUUUGAAUUUCUCUUUGAACCCUCGCUUCUCUGUUACAAUUUAUCUCUCUUUGAAUCCCCCUGUGCAUCACCUUCUUCUCUACCGCAUCCACCGACUACUACCAUAGGUGGGAUUCAACAUCUCGUCAUCCUUGUCGAAGUUAACAAGUUUGAUUCAAUUUCUCACUCCACCAACACACUGCAUGUUUCUUUCUUCGUAUUAUGCUUCUCACACUCCUAAACUCUUGUUUCGCUGUUUUAGGGUUCUUACGGACACGCACAACAUAGAAAAUUGUAUUAUCGAAUGUUGGACCGAUUUAGGGUUUUUCCGGGUCCUCUGUUCCUUGUGGGAGGUACACUAGAUCAUCAGGUUCCAUUUAAUUACGCAUUUUUUCAUUAAUAUACAUAACUUUCAAUUUCUUGAUUUCAAACCCUAGUAUGCAUUUUUUUGACAUUCAACUGCCAAACGAUAAAGCAUUGGUUGGGCAUUCAGUAGUUUCCUUCAUUUUCUAUGAGGAAAAGUGUAGAACUAGAUUUGGAACUUAUGGUUUCUAACUUAUUGUAAAAUACACCCCCACUUCCAUGCCCCCACUUCUAAAUAUGUUCACCCAUUUUUAAAAGGACAAAGAGUGAACAAUAUUUCUUACAUCCUUAACUAUGCGCAUUUUUUGGCAGCACAUGUUGUGUUACCUAUAUCAAAGACAAUAACAUAAUAAUUGAAUAAUAAAGUUGUUUAUUACAGAAGGGUGAAGUUCUAAUUUCUUUGGUAUUACUUUUAAUUUUUUUUGCGUUUUUUUCUCUUUUAAUAAGAGAAUAAAUCAUGAAGAGCGCAUUUUCUAUUUGUAAUUAUGGCUGUAUUUGUAACUAUUUUUCUUUCAUUUAUGGUGCAGCUUGUGGAAAAGUUUGGUAUUGAUCCUAACAAUGCUUUUGCGUGUUGGUAUUGGGUCGAGUGGUGAGUAAUGUUUCAUCUAUCUCCCCCUCUUAUUAGCCUGUUAAAGAAUAUUUGAAGUCUACAACAUAUUUGAUUAUGAUGCUCUGAAAUGCGACUUGAAAUUUGCAGUGCUGUUGGAGUUUUGCCAUUGUUUUCUCUAUAAUAGAGAAGUAUGUCUUUCACUGUUAGUGUAAUUCUAAUCUAUAGGCACCUCUUAUAGAAGAAAAUGUUCCUAGAAAUAGUAUAACUUCUUGUGGCUUUAUUGUUCUUCACCUUCUUUCCUUAAGGAAAUAAUCAACUUCACAGAUUACAAGAAUGAUGUAGAUAAGAAUGCUUUUGAUGAUCAUAACCUUUUAUAAUGAGAUAUAGUGUAGUUUGGUCUCCAUUAAUAUGUAUUUAGAUUUCAAUUAUGUUCUGCAUAAUAUUAGCAUUGGUAGUAAAAUACAACUUAGUUUUGAAUAUUCCUUUGGUAGGAAACUAAGAAACAUAUACUUGAAUGUUUUCUUAUGAUGGUCUUUUUCUCCCUUAAAGGUUCUUAAAUGGGACUUCAAGAAUUGAUCAACAUUUAUAUUCACAGCCCUUUGAAAACAAUAUACCUAUAAAUGCCCCUUUUCUAAUAUUUUAUACUUUUGAGCUUUACUGUACAUGUGGAUCUCUGUUCAACCAUUUAUUCUUUUAAUCAUCGUGAUACUCCAUACUGGUUAUCCCUCCAGUAUGUUAAUUUUAUAAUCUAUAAUGUUGUGGUUGAUAUUUCAAUUCAACUUUUUACUUGUUUGGAAUGCUAAUCCUUUUGUAGUGGAUGAUGAUGACGAUGGACUAUGGAAGCCCUCAAAGAUUCCUAAUCCAGCAUACAAAGGACUGUGGAAACGCAAGGUUCUUAAUGCCACACAUUUAAAGUUGAAGUCAUUACUCUUUUAGGCUUUUUAAUUGUUGAAAAUUGUUGAACUGCAAUAUAUAUUUUAUAUAUAUAUAUAUAUAUAUAUAUUCUGUAAAAUGAAUUGCAGUUGAUCAUGAUUUUUACACAGUAGAGAAGGAUUACAUUAACAAUAUACUAUUUUAUUUUGUCAUUUUAUGGUUUAAUUGUAAAUUUGUGGUUUAAUUGUAUAUUGAUCAAUAUGUUUAAUUGUAGAUAAAUAAUCUAAUUAGUACUGAUUGACUUUACUUUUAACCUUUUAAUUUAUCAACUAAUAGUAAAAAAAAAAUAAUGCCAGUAUAAACUGAUUUUAAGCUAGUGUUCAUGUUAUGCACAAAGUCACAUAUGCAGAAUAAACUGCAUAAACUUGUAUAAACUGAUUUUAAGCUAGUGUUCAUGUUAUGCACAAAGUCACAUCUUGCAUUAUAUCUUGAAUUUCAUAAUAUAAUAUUAUUUUCAUUUAUUUUUUAAAAAUUGUCAAUUAACUCUAAAUAUAUUUUAAUUUAUUCGAGGCACGGGAUGUCGGAAGUGGUGCUCCUUCACCAAACCAGAAUAUUAUAAGAUCAAGUGGAGGCAAUAAGACAAAUCGGGAGGAUUGAGAGUUUAAUUGUAAUAUAUUCAAAAAAGUGAAACAAUUUAUAUUGAUAGUUUAAUUUACUUGUUGUUUGAAUUAGUUUGAUAUUAUCAACUUUGUUUUCAGCGAAUGAAUGAAGUCAUCUUUUGAUUAUAUUUAUCAAUUUUAAUUAUAUUAUUAAGUAUAAUUAUAUUAUGAAAUUAGUUUAUGUUACAAUUUAAUUAUAUUAAGAAAUUUAACUAUGCAUUGAAAUUUAAUUAUAAUAUCAAAUUAAAUAAUAUUAUGAAAUCAAAUUAUAAAACAAAAUUGAAUAAAUUAUUAUAAAUAUUAAAAAUUAAAUUAAAUAUUUAAUACUUUAAUUAUGACAGUUAUAAAGGGUAUUAUAAAUGUCAUACUAUAUCAUAUUAAGUGGCGUUUAUAACUAUCAUAAUUUAUGCUAGAAUUGGUUUACCCAGUUUUAAAAUUACAACAUUUAUAAUUGACGUAAAUUACACACUUAAAACCAUCACUUUAUACAAUACAUUAUAUGACGUCUGCUCCAACGGUUCUCACUUGACUGCCACAUUAAACUUUGUGGCAGCAAGAAUUCUGGCGGUACGCGAGACCGUCACAGACGUAUAAUGUGACGGUUAUAAACGCUAGGUUUUAUGAAAAUAACCUCCACAACAUACACGUUUUUUUGUAGUGUCUCUAGAAAGAGGUUUUGUAAAAUUAUUAGCAAGUUGUUUUUUAGUUUCAAUAAACUUAAUUUCACAAUUACCAUUUAGAACAUGAUGACGAAUGAAAUGAAACCUAAUCUCAAUGUGCUUUAUUUUGGAAUUUUGAAUUUGAUUCUUUGCGAGAUUUGAUGGCAUUAGUAUUGUCACACAACAAUGGCAAUUUGCUUAGCUUUAAACCAUAAUCUUUAAGUUGUUGUUGGAUCUAGAAGAUUUAUGCACGACAGCUUCCAACAACAACCACACAAGCUUGUUUCUUGUUGUGCCAGGCGAUAAGACUAGAACCAAGUACGUGAUAUGUACCACUUAUGCUUUUCCUGUAUAAAUUACACCUUGUAAAAUCUGAAUCAAAAUAUCCAAUAAGAGUUAUAAGAGAGUUAGAAGGACACUAUAGACUAACAAUGUUUGUUCCUUUGAUAUAUUUAAGGAUUUUUUUAGCAGUAGUGAUGUAAGAUUCCUUAAGAUUUGUUUGGAAUCUUGCACACAUUCAUGCAUCAAACAUGAUUUUUAGUUUGCUUGUAGUGCGGGAGAGAAGGAAUCCAAUCAACCCUAUAAACUUGGUUUGAUCUACAUAUUUUCCAACCAGAUCAACAUCCAUGUAACAACUUGUUGACAUAGGUGUUGUAGCUUUUUUUGCAGUUUUCCAUUUCAAACAUCUUCGAAAUGUCCCUACAUUAUUUAGUUUGACUCAAAAAGAUGCAUUCUUCAUUUGUUUGACCUGCAGUCCAAGGAAGUAUGACAAUUCUCUCAUCAUGGACAUCUCAAACUCCCUCUACAUAGCUGAUACAAAUUCUUCACAAAGGUUAUCGUUAGUGGCUCUAAAGAUUAUGCCAUCAACAUACACUUGAACUAGGAUAAUAUCAUAUAUACACUUUGUAGUGAAAAAAGUCUUUUCAAUUUUUCCUCUCUCAUAUUCAUGAGAUAAGAGAAAAUUGCUAACCCUCUCAUACCACUGUCGAAGGUCUUGCUUCAGUCCAUACAAAGCUUUUUUAAGUUUGAAGACAUGAUCAGGAUGCUUAUGAUCUUCAAAGCCAGGAGGUUGAAAGGCAAAGACUUCUUCAUUGAUAAAACCAUUCAAAAAAAUGCUUUUUACAUCAAACUGAAAGAGUUUAAAGGCACCUCAUACAUGCAAAGGAAAUCAACAAUCUUACAACUUCUAAUCUUGCUAUAGGGGCAAGUGAGAUGCAGUCCAAUCUUGUGGUUGAUGAAUUGAUUGGAGUGGCACCGGAAUUGAAUUGAAGCAAGUGCAACAAAAUGGAGAUGAGGUGCAAGGAUUCAUGAGAUUGAAGGUGCAAUGAAGGGGAAAGAGGUUUGGCCAACCUUCCCUAGGUUCACUAGGCCUAAUAGACUCACUAACAAGAGUGGUUUGGGAGAGAAUGAGUACUCAAGUUCUGAACUCUUCAUUCAAUAUAUGAAAAUUUGAAUACAUGAGUGAAAAUUAGGGUAUUUAUAGAUGAAUGUAGUUUGCUCCUUAAGCUACCAUAACUCUAGUUAAGUAGACUUAACUAAGGUAAGUAUGGUGGCUUAAGGAAGUCGUAUAUGGUCCUUUGAGAUGCUCUAGGAGCUCUUACUUGUGUGAUAAGUUAGGACUUCUAGAGUGUCUUUGUUUCAUUUAUAAAGUAAACGUGAAAAGAAACCAAAAUACAAUUCCUAUACAGGUUUAUUCUAGUAUUUCUACAGACAGUUUAUCUAUCCUUUAUUCUUGUGUAUGGUGGCUUGAAUGAUCCUCCAUCAAGCUCCCUCCCUUCAAAAGGAUAUAUCCUCAGAUCAGGUUUAAAGUCCCACCUUUAUUAGUAAUGAGUGAAGUCAAGAUCCACCUGGUUCAUGGAUCCACCUGAAAACGAUAACAAACAUAAGUAGAAUGCAAAAGAUUAAAGGUUGAUAGAUAUGUAAACCAAAAACAAAGUAAUUUGUAUGGUACCUUUCUUAUGGUUCUUAUUACCUAAAGAAGGUAAAUGAAACACCACAAGAAAUGGAGAAAACAAUGUAGAAUAAGAAGAAAUAAAAUAGGAAGAAGAAUUACCUCGAUUAGGUGAUACAAAUAUACAAAUUAUAUUUUGUGUCGGGGUAAAAUAGUUAUAUGAUUUAUGUGGUGUUUUUAGUAUUUGUACCUCAUGAAGUUUUCGAAAUUAUUGAUCUUUUUUUUUUUUGUAUUACCAGAAAAUCUUCAGAAGGGUGUGUUGAGGAAUCUAUGCUUUUGUCUGGUUCAGCUCCAAACAGAUAUUUUUCAAAAGUCAAUUGUGUUUGUAGUUGGUUUCCACUAUGUGAAGGUAUUGAAAAACUAACAACAAACCUAUUUCCUCUAUAAGUGAAAGGAAUUUUAUUAAAACGACCUUGGAAAACAAAUGUACUGUAAAAAUAUUUAGAUUAUUCUAAUAAAAUUUCAUGAGCUUCUUUAGGCACCAUGAGACAUAAAACUUUUUUUAAUCAUAAUAACCCAAAGAAGGUUUGGCUUCCACUUGUAUGAAAGGAAAACCAUCAUUUGAAAGGAAAAAAAAGGUUUAUAAGAUGGAAAGGGGUAUUUAUGUUGUAUUUCAACAUUUGAAUAAACAAAGGUAUAAAUUGAUAAUUAUCCAUAAGAGAAAACCUUUGAAAAAUUUGACAAGUAUGAUGAAAAUUAUUUUCUCUAUGGAUAGUAUUAAGGUGAUUAACAUUUUUAAACAAAAUAUUUGAAUCAAGGAAAGAGUCAUUGGAAAUUAUAUGAACAAUGCUAUUGCUAGACUCCACUCCUUUCAGCUUAAUAUUAAUCAACUCUUCAGAAGAUAGCUCUAUUGCUUGCUUUUGAUUUCCUAGGUUUGGAGGAGGUUAUAUUAUUGGUGUAUUUAUAAUAUGAGGUACUUCCUUUUGAUUUUCUAUGGAUACUACAAAAAAUGUAAUAUAUGGUGGCAGUUAUUUUCGUAUAAACUGACGUUUAUAAAAGCCAAAAUAUAUGCGUGUGGCGGUUUCCCAAACCACCAUAGAAUUGGCCACCACAAAGUUUGAUGUGGCGGUCUUACGCUACCUGCCGCAACACCCACCACUUUAACACUUUGUUUAAAGUGACAGUUUUUAUAUGAAAGUAGUGUUAGUCAUACUUGUCACAAUUUAAUUCAUUGAAAAAGAUUCCAGCACCAUUAUAUAUAGGGUAUAAUUUGACGUUUUUAAUUAUCAAUACUAUAAUAAAAUUGUAAAAAUAAUAUGUUGAUUUCAACUAACGUAAUUUUAAUUCUAAAUAAAUGGAAUUUAUGCACCACUUUUUAUAAUCUGGUUUGCACAAUUAAACUAAACAUAAUAUAUUUCAUAAUAAAAAAAUAAAAUGCUAAUAAAAUGAAGGUUUAAUUACCUUAUUCGUCCCUACAUUUCAGGUCAAUAUUCAAUUUAGUACAGUGGUUUUUAAAAAAAUCAAUUUGGUUCCUAUAUUUUUUAAAAUGUAUCCAAAUUGGUCAUUUCCGUUAAAUCACAUUUCCGUUAAUUCUUCUUCUUCUUCUUCUUCUUCUUCUUCUUCUUCAUAAAAAACUUCGUACCCGAUAAUGCCAAGAUCAUCAAAGUCGAGUGCAUGUUGGUUGAUGUCGAGAACAUAUAGUUUGGUGCAUCUAGGUUGAUGCCAAGAAGAUCUAGGUUGAUGUUGAGGACAUCUAGGUUGAUGUUUUGUUUUGACAUCGUGGUUGAUAUAAAUUCGAGUGCAUAUUGGUUCAUGGCGAGAAUAUCUAGGGCGAUGCUGAGAACAUCAAGGUUGAUGUCGAGAACAUCUAGGUUGAUGUUUUGCUUUGACAUCAUGGUCGAUGUAUAGUCGAAUGCAUGUUCUUUCAUGCCAAGAACAUCCAGGACGAUACCAAGAACAUAUAGAGUGAUGUCAAGAACAUAUAGGGUGAUGUUAAGAAUAUCUAGGUUCAUGUUUUGCUUUGACAUCAUGGUCGAUGUAAAGUCGAGUGCAUGCUAUUUCAUGCCACGAACAUCCAAGUCGAUCAUAAGAAUAUCUAGGCUAAUGCCAAUAACAUCUAAGUUGAUGUUUUGCUUUGACAUUUUGGUCGAUGUAAAGCCAAAUGCAAGAUGUUUCAUGCUGAGAACAUCUUGGUUGAUGCCGAGAGAAUCUAGGUUGAUGUUUUUCUUUGAAAUUGGGAUCGGUGUAAAGCCGAGUGCAUGUUGGUUCUUGCUAAGAAGAUCCAGGCAGAUGCCAGGAACAUUUAGGUUAAUGUUUCGCUUUGAAAAUGUGGUCGAUGUAAAGUCGACUGCAUGUUGGUUCAUUCAGAGAAGAUCCAAGCCAAUUGUGAGAACAUCUAGGCUAAUGUCGAGAAUAUCUAGGUUGAUGUUUUGCUUUGACAUUAUGAUCGAUGUAAAGCGGAGUGCAUACCUUUUCAUGCCGAGAACAUCUAGAUUGAUGUCGAGAACAUCUAGGUUGAUGUUUGGUCUUUGCAUCUUGGUUGAUGCAAGUAUUCGAGCGUGUUGGUUCAUGUUGGCCGAGAGCUUCUUGGUUAAUGCUUGGCCCUUGCAUCUUGGUUGAUGCAUGCCUUUGGGCGUGUUGGCUCACACUGCACUCUUGGUUGAUGCUUUGCAUCUUGGUUUAUGCAAAUCUUCAAGCAUGUCGGUUCACACUGGCUGAGAGCAUCUAAAUUGACUUUUGACUUUUGCAUCUUGGUUGAUGCAAAUCUUCAAGCGUGUCGGUUCAUGUUGGUCAAUAGCAUGUCGUUUGACGUUUAGCCUUUGCAUCUUGAUUUAGCAAAAUCUUCAAGCGUGUUGGUUCAUGUUGGCCAAGAGCAUCUCAGUUUAUGCUUGAUCUUUACAUUUUGGUUUAUGCAAGUCUCAAGCAUGUCGAUUUACGUUGGUAGAGAGAAUCUUAGUUGAGGCUUGGCUCGAAUAUUGAUAUUUGGCUCUAAGAUUCUUGGAAAAAAAUUUCAUUGGGUGCCUCAUUAAAACCUUCUCGGCUAAAACCCCUUAAAAAAAAAAGGCCGAGUGAGAAAAUAGUACACUGUGGUGGUUACAUUACAAGUGGAAUAACUCAAUGAAAAUAAAAUUUCAAGUGAGUAGCAUUUCAGGUACUCGACAUUGUCUUGCCGGAUAAAUGUUCUAGCAUGUAAGCUUCAUUCUUGGCUUCGUUACAGAUCCAAAAAGGUCCCUCCCAGUUGGUCGAGGGUUUUCCAUCAAUUUUUUCCUUGCACCAUUGUGCAUCUGCUAGACGAUAUCACCUUGAUUAAAGGCUGUUGACUUUACCUUUGAAUUGUAACUUCUCAACAUCCUCUUUUGUAGUUUGUCUCUUUUCAUCCCCUAAUUUUCUCUCUCAAUAUCACCUUGAUGUCAGCCUACUUCUCAACCUUUUUCUUCUUCGGGACCAUCUUGGCUCGAGAAUUGUUUCCAAACUCACGCAAAACUUCCCACUGAGGUGGUGAGGUUGAUUUAUCGCGAAUUACGUCCCUAACUUGGCCAUCAACGUCUCAAAGUAGUCAAUUGACAAAGAGGGGAGUUGGGUAAACAAAUUGAGGGCUUCUCCAUUCAGGUACAUUAAGAGGACUCGAAACAUGACGAUGUCGUCCAUGGUGUAUAGGCUCAUCUGCGUCGUGUAACAUCGAUGUGCUCAUCGAGAUCAAUUGUUUCAUCAUAUUUGUUUGUGCUUAAUCCUUUCUAGCUUGCGGGCAAUUGGACUACCAUUAUCCCAUCAAUGAAGGGGUGUCGGCAAACUCCCCCAAGUGUUCCAGAAAUAUGGGUCGUAGUGUUUGGCCUGGAUUCGGCCUUCUGGCUACGAACGUUUAACGAUCGAAUUAUGAUGGAUGGGAAUGUCAAUGGGUUAGCUUUGGAAGUAUAUCCUGAUCAAAUUCAUUGUUGUGGGGGUGUAAGUGACCCCUCAACUAACUUCUUUCUCAUCUCCCCAUUCUCCUGCGAGAGAGCUCAUAUUUCUUCUAUGUUUUUUCACUUCAUUUUUGCAAUCUUGCUCCGAAGGACCAAAAGUAGAGCUACACGAUCAUUCUCCAUUGUCAUUCUUUGUUCGUUAGUGUUAUUUGUCGUAGUUACCAUAAAGUCUUCUCAGUCCUCCUCGAUCUCAUGAUAGACGUCAAUUGUUCUUGUAUGGAUUAGAAAGAUCUCGUCACUAUAGUGUGAAUAUUUCCUUAUGCAUGUCUUCUAUGUGAAAACAUAACAUUUCAUGCGAAUAUUUCCUUAUGCACAUCUUCUAUGUGAAAACAUAACAUUUCAGAUGUAACUAUUAUUUACUUUUAAAUUUGUUAAACCUUCUUUUGAGCCAUCAACACUACACUCUAAUAUCAUAUGUUAAAAUACUCUGAUAUCAUAUGUUAAAUUUGGUGUGAUAAUGUAAAAAAUAAUAUUCAAUGAAAAGUACUUUAAAUAUAAGUUAGUAUUACAAAUAAUAAUGUCAUUUUAAAAGAAUAUUCAAAGACAAUUUAUAUGUAUAUCCUCCUCUUUUAGGUUAUCCUUGUAAUCUCUUAACAAUAUUUUAAUAAUAUUUUUCUUAAUGUAGAUAAAAAUUAUAUAUAAAAUAGUUAGAAAGACUAAAAUUCUUAAUAUCAAUUAAUACUUGAAUUCUUUAUUUAAGAUAAAAUAAAGGGAUAAUUAUGAAUAAUUUUAUAUAUUUAUUAUAAAUUAAAAAUAACAUUACAAAUAUCUGUAUAAUCAAUUGGAUCAUAAAGAGAUCCUCUAAAUUUUUUUUAAAAAAAUUAAACAUAACUUAAAUUGAUUGAAGUUAAAUAAUAUAAAAAUAAUAAGUUUUUUUUUUCUUUAACAAUCACUACAAGAAAAAUUCAAUUUAUCUACAAAAGAGAUUCAAAGCCAAGUCUCCCUGGAAGAAGCUUUAACCAUAACACCAGUCAAGUUUUGUUGUCAUGUUAUGAUUAUUAUUAUACUUAUGAGUAUAAUUAUAAAUAUUAAUAUAACUAAUAAAAUAAAAAUUAAUAACAUUCUUCAUAUAUUUAAUAUCAUUAUUAUUAAUAUUGUUAAAUAUUCUUAAUAUUAUUAAAUAUUCUUAAUAUUAUUAAAUAUUCUUAAUAUUAUUAAAUAUUCUUAAUAUUAUUAAAUAUUCUUAAUAUUAUUAAAAUUCUUAGUAUUAUUAAAUAUUAUUAAUAUUAUAAAAUAUUAAAUAUUAUUAAUAUUAUAAAAUAUAAAAUAUUAUUAAUAUUAUAAAAUAUUAUUAAUAUUAUUAAAUACUAUUAAAUAUUAUUAAUAUUAUAAAAUAUUAUUAAUAUUAUAAAAUAUUAUUAAUAUUAUAAAAUAUUAUUAAUAUUAUAAAAUACUAGCGGGCACACAGGCACUUUCGCGCAUGUGUAUCCGCAUUUUUUAUUUUUAUAUAAUUAAAUAUAAAAUUUAAUCAAAUUAAAUAAUAUAUUAUUAUUUGUGUUAAUUUUUUAUUACUUAUAUUUAUAUUUAUUUUUAAUUAAAUAUGUUUAAAAUAAGAUAAAUAAAAGAGAUAAAAUAUGAAAAAAAUUAGCAAUACACAAUUUCAGAAUCUCAACAUUAGGGUUUUUGAAGCAUUGAAGAGACGGAAGACCUGGUGAAGUGGCGGUGAUGAAAUAUUGAGGAGACGAAAGAACAACAAUACAGUUUCAGAAUCUCAAAAUUAGGAUUUUUGAAAACAUUAACAUGUUUUUAUAUUAUUUCUCUCUCACAGUUCUCUUAUAUAUCACUCUUUGAGAAUCUCAAAAUUAAGAUUUUGGAGGAUUUUGGAGACAUAUGUUUUUAUAUUAUUUCUCUUUCACAGUUUUUUUAUAUAUCACUAUUUUGCUUAAAAAAGAGUAACCGUCCAUAAAUCCACAUUUCACCCCUCUCUCCCCACUCUUCCCUAAUAAAAAUCUCUCCACUUUCGUGUCAGUUAAGUGAGAACAAAUAAAAUAAAAUUUUAAAAUUAAAAAUAUGCUUAUUUAAUAAAGAAGAAUAUCAGUUUAAAAUAGAAAAGUAAUCAAUCUCUCCACUCUUCUGCCAGUUAGGUGAUAACAAAAAAUAAAAUUAACGUAUCAAUCUCUCCAUUAAGUGAGAACAAAUAAAAUAUUUUACUUCCAAAUGAUACUCACAAAAAAAUGGAUCUUUAACAAUAAAAGAUUUUCAUCUAUGACAUCAAAAUAUAUUAAUUUUUUCAAAAUAAUAUUAAUAAAUUAUUAUAAAAGAACCAACAGAAAGAAAAAAAGAUAUUUUGAAAAUAUUAUUAAUAUUAUUAAAUAUUAUUAUUAUUAUUAAAUAUUAUUAUUAUUAUUAAAUAUUAUUAUUAUUAUUAUUAUUAUUAAAUAUUAUUAUUAUUAUUAUUAAAUAUUAUUAAUAUUAUUAAUAUUUUUAAAUAUUAUUAAUAUUAUUAAUAUUUUUAAAUAUUAUUAAUAUUAUGAAUUAUGAUUUUAUAAUUCUUCAUAUUAUAUUAAUGUUUUUAAUAUUAGGUAAUAGAGAUCCGUGGGUGAUAAUUCGUAGGUAAUAGAGAUUCGUGCGUAAUAGUUGGUAGGUAAUAGAUAGUAGGUAAAAAUUGGUAGGCAAUAAGAUCCAUGGAUAAUAGUUGGUAGGUAAUGGUGAAAUUACCUACGGAAUCAGAAUCUGUGGGUAAUGUCCGUAGGUAAUGUUGUUCAUAGGUAAUAUCUGUAGGUAAUGUUGAAUUUACCUACGGAUUCAGAUCCGUGGGUAAAAAUCCGUAGAUAAUACUAAUUUUUUUUGUAGUAAAUUAAAAUUGUAUAAAAAAGUUUUAUCUUCACAAAUCUUGCAAAAAAAUCUUCCAAAAGUUGUUUUCUAAACUAAUAAAAUGAUAUAUUCAAUGAAAAGUACUUAUAAAUAUAAGUGACUACUACAAAUAAUAAUGUCAUUUUAAAAGAAUAGUCAAGACCCUUUGUGUUUAUAUCCUCCUCUUUUAAGUUAUCCUUUUAAUCUCUUAACAAUAUUUUUUCUUAAUGUAGAUAAAAGUCAUAUAUAAAAUAGCUAGAAAGGUGAAAAGUCUUAAUAUCAAUUAAUAGUUCGAGAUCUUUUAUUAAUUUGUUAAGCAAAUUACAAGUGUCAGAGUCUUAUGAAAUAACAUUAAUAAUACAUAAUGAAACAUUUAAUAUAGUUACCUUCAUAAAUUUAUCUGCCGACAUAAAUUGUAUCCGAGAGAUUGCCGAUAAGAUGAUAUUAUGAAAAAGAAGGUCAAUGAAGGAAUUAAACGGCUCCAAAAUGAGUGUUCAACACAAAUUAUCAAAUGAAAAAAAAAAUGUAAAAAGGUACUACAACCUUAUUUAUAUUAGUAAACGUUAUGUCUAGCCAACAAAUAUUAGGAGUCCGUUUUUUAGUAUCAUUUAUUUUUUUAAAAGUAAAGAUAUAAAUAGUAUCGGAAGCUCUAGAUAAACAGAUAUGUGUUUUAAUUUAUUAAACCUUAAUUGAAAGAAAUAAACUUAUUAAAAAAGGAGGCUCCAUAACCAAACUAAACUUAAUUUAUAAAAAUCAAGAACAUAUAAAUAUGUUAAAUAAAAACACAAAUAAAAGUUCCCAAUGUUCAAAAAAUAGUAAAAAUAGAAAAAUAAUUUUUGAAACCAAACUUUUGUUGGAAUAGAAAAUAGGCGUCUUCACAUACAAUUAUUUUUAUAAAUUGCCAAUAAUACUUUUAAAAGUAAUUAAUAUUGUAAAAUAAAUUGAAAUAAACUCUUAGAGAGUGCUCUUGUUUUAGUUUUCUGAGAAUUACAAUUAAUUGUCCACGGAUAAUAUAUAAAUAGAGAGAAAAUGAGCGUGUGUUAUUCUUCAUAUUUCUUUGGUUUCCCUUUUCUAUCAUAUAAUAACUUAGACCCACCUCAUUUAAUAUCUCUUUAUAUACAUUGAGACUUAUACUAAAAAAUAUAGUAAAUACUUUUGGCGUUUGUGAGAAGAAAUACAUGGCUAGACACUUUGUUGUUGUUGUUGUUGAUGGUGGUGAUGCAAAUGAAGGUUUGGUGCUCCACUCUCCACCUAUACUUUUGUUUCUCAUGAUUAUUGCCUCUCUUUCUAUGAUUUCAAUCAUCAUAUUUGCCUGUGGAGACGACAACAACAAUAGCAACCGCCGCGGUGGUGCCUGCGCUGGUGGCGGCGGUGGAUAUGGCGGCGGUGGAUGUGGCGGUGGAGGUGGAUGUGGAGGUGGAGGUGGAUGUGGAGGAUGUUAGAAGCUAUCUAUAUGCAAAGUGCAUGGCAGAGUGCACUUUACCGGUAUUCUUGGUGACGGUCUCUUGUUUUCGUUCUUUAUCAUUGUUUUAUACACAGUCUUAGGGAAUAAAUAUCAUUAUGAAGUGCAGCUUUAAGGUUCUGAUAUAUAUAUCCACUAAGAGACCUUAAACAUGUCUUUUCAUCAGACACUGUCUUUUCUCUCUCUGUUAAAAUCAUCUAUUAAUAUUAUGAAACUUUUUCAUGUUGUAUAAUGAAAAUGUAUAUAUUAAAAGUUACUAUUCCGAUCCAAAUAAGAGAAACUUUCAUCUCAGAGUUGUAAUAACCAAGUGUUUUCAAGACACCUUUAGAAAAAUAAAAUUGACAUGUUUUUCAGUAGAUUGAGCAUAUUGAACUGGAACAAGAUGUUCUUUAAAACAAAUUCAAAGGUAUUAAUAUUAAUCUGCAUGAAAUCUUGCACAUGCCAACAGAUAAACAAAAAUAGUACAAAAGAUAAAAUAAAUAAACCAUAUAUGAAGAAGAAGGAAAUACCAAAAUAAGUUUAAAACAAUUAUUUUCUAUUUCUAUUAUUUAUUUUACUUAGUGUAAGGAUUAGGAUUAAGUUAGCCAUUAAGUUGCUCUAAAUUUCCUCUUUCGUAUUUACUUAAUCUAAAUUUAUUUUUAUUUUUAAUUUAAUGACUCUAAGACGUAACUUUUUAAUCGUCAGAUUAAAGAAAAUAAAAAACUAUUUUACCCAUAAAAUGCUCACAAAUUAUUUUAUUAAAAUUAUUGUUUGGACUUCGUCAUUUAAUAUUAUAGGAAUAAACUAAAAAUAAAAUUAAGGGAAUUAAACAAUAUAAUUUAAGAACAAAAUUUAAGUGAUUAGAGGUUGUAAUAUAUAUAUAUAUAUAUAUAUAUAUAUAUAUAUAUAUAUAUAUAAAAGAUAACAUUAGAUUAAUUUGUGUGAUUUUUUUUUAUCAGUAAUGAAUAAAUAAAUUAAAAUGAUACUUUAGGGGUAUCCCAACUCUUAUACAUGACUCGACACACCAAUGUAACCCAUCAAGAUAUACAGAUAGUAGAAGGAAUUACUUUGCCUCUAGAUAAAUGAAAAUCAAGAUAAAGGUUGUUAAGCCAAUAUGAUCCAUCUGUAUAAGCCAAUUUGUGUUGAAUCUAAUAUGAUGUAAUGCAUAGAUAAGCUAUAUUUGAAAGAUAUAUUAUUAAAAAUUAAAAAUAAAAAUAAGUAUUAAUGUAAUUGAAAUUUAUUAAAACAUUAUUGUUUUUUCAAAAAUCAUUUCACAAUUAAAAAUAUUUAAUAUUCCCAACCAUUCUCAAUUUCAAUAAAAUAGUUUAAAUAGAUCAUUUAUUAUUAUUUCAAAAGAAUAAAAAACUCAAAAAAUAUUAAAUUAUUUAUUAAAAUCACCUUCAAUCAUGGGAAAUUAUGGCCAAAUGGGAUGGGGAAGGGACUAAGAAGAUUCAAUGUAAAUUGUGGCUAUAAUACAAAUUAAUCAAUCAAUUAAUAUUUAUAGUCCAGUAUGGACUAUUUUCACAUGGGUGUUACGUCCUAAAAAAUACAUUUCAAUGUGUUCAGAAACUAUAUAUUUUAAUUCUAAAGGUCAUUUUGAACAAAUAUCUUUAUAAGGUGGUUGAAACUAUAAAUGAGGAAAUAUUUAGGAAUUUACAAAUAAUAUAUUACUUUCAAUAUGUUCAAAAACUAUAUAUUUUAAUUCUAAAGGUCAUUUUGAACAAAUAUCUUUAUAAGUGGUUGAAACUAUAAAUGAGGAAAUAUAUAGGAAUUUACAAUAAUAUAUUACUUUCAAUAUGUUCAGAAACUAUAUAUUUUAAUUCUAAAGGUCAUUUUGAACAAAUAUCUUUAUAAGGUGGUUGAAACUAUAAAUGAGGAAAUAUUUAGGAAUUUACAAAUAAUAUAUUACUUUCAAAAUGUUCAAAAACUAUAUAUUUUAAUUCUAAAGGUCAUUUUCAACAAAUAUCUUUAUAAGUGGUUGAAACUAUAAAUGAGGAAAUAUAUAGGAAUUUACAAUAAUAUAUUACUUUUCUUUAUAAUAUAUAUAUAUAUAUAUAUAUAUAUAUAUUUGUUCUUGUAAAAAAAAGAUUGAGAGAACUUCUACAUGAUGAUUUACGCUCCAGUUGAUGAAUCUUUUUUAUUGUAUUAAACAAAUCAAACUGUUUCACUCUCUCUUCUUCUAUCUUCAUUGCUUCACUUCAGUUAAAUUUUCAUUUUCUAUUUUGCUCUUGGUCAGAAUAAUACCUGUAAAAGGUGCUCCAACACUCAAGUAAAUAUUCAGUGUAAUUAAUGCAUGAUAAUGACAUGUGAUGAGAAUAAAAAAUACAUGAAGAUGACCAAGGAUGCUAUACUUGAAGGGUCAUCUCAACAAGCAAAUAAAGAGGCCAUCAAUAGGAGGAAUGGUCAAGGACCACAAUAUUUGAAGUUCUUCCUAUUAGUCUUCUUAAAAAGAUGAGGCCCAAGCCCAACAAGAGGCCCAAGCCCAACAUGAAGGCCAAGCCCAACAUAAGGCCCAAGCUCAAGUCAUAACUCAAAGAACUACUAGGAGCAAGGGCACAAGCAUUAAAUAAAUGAGCAUCAUUUGAUGACUCUUCUUAUUUCUCUUGUAUAGUUGUAGGUGGUGUGGUUAUUAAAUAAAGGAGUGUGAAAAUGAAAAAUAAAGUCACAUUGUCCAUGUGACUUAGGAGAGUGGUGUAGGUGUAGUUUUUGGGAGGUGUCAUAGUAGAAAAAGGUCACACCUCCCAUGUGACUUGUUUUUGGUGGGAAUUUCAAAUGAGUUUAUUUGAAAUUUCCCACCUAUUUUUCAGCACCUCUAGGCUAUAAAUAAAGGUGCUUAGCUUGUACAAUUCAGAUUGGAAUUUUGAAGUAGAGAGACUAUACUCAAAUUUAGAGAGAAAUUGUGAGUCUUGAGUCUUCUUCUUCCUUUGCCUUAUCUUGUGAGCAAUGGUGAGCUUCAAGUGGCGGCACUCCAUCACUUAUCUUGGAUCAAGACUCCAAGUGGCGUGAAGUGUUCUUCCAAGUCUCAAUUUCAGCAAGUUCCAUUCUAUAAAGUGCUUCUUCUUCCUUUUCUUCAAUUUUCAUUCGGUAGUUCUUAAUUUCCUAGUAUUUCCUUUCAUUUGCACCGAUUAAGAUUUGUGUUUCCAGCUUUGUUUCCUUGAUUCUGUUCGGUUCAGUAGCUUAGCAUUUCAAUUCUAUCCAACUUUCAAUUCUUGUUCUUCAUUCCUUGUUGUUUGAUUCCAUUUGACAAUAUAUGGACUUCCAUAUGAGCUUUGGUUGGUGCAAAGUCUUGGUGAGUUCUUGAAUUAGAACAUUGAUCCAAUUCUAAGUAAAGUGCCAUUCAUGACCAACUCAAGUUGCUCCUAAGAAUGUCAAAGAAUCAUGUAUUCUUGUUGUUGCAUUCACAUCAUGUGGUAUCUAGAGUCUAGGCUUGUUGUUGCUUAAAUUUUGAGUUGUAUUGCACUUUACUUUCAAGAGCUCUUUAAUUCAAGUUGUUUACCAUUCUGUUUUAGGAUUUAUUUUGAGUUUCCUUGCUGUUUUUCUUUUGUUACACCAAGUGUUUGUGAAAAGGAUUAUGGCACUCAUUGCUUGUAUGAGUAUGGCUGCUCUUGUGGAAUGACAUUCUCCUUCCUAGAGCUGACCUUAAGCUUCCUUUCACUUGUUGCUAUAUCUUGUUUUAUGUCUUUUAAUUUUGUAAUCAUGUCAAGUUUUGUCUUAGUCAUGUUAUUCCAUAAUUGUCAUUACUUUUUGUAGUACUUUUAUUGCUUUGAUUGUUUCUUGCUUUGGUUUACUUUCUGUUUUUGAGUUUAUUGCUUGAUCCUUUGUGCAUUUUCAUUUUUAGAUUUGAGUUCAUGCCUGUAUUUUCAUUCUAUACAAGUUCCUUUACAUACUUUCCAUUAUGUCUUUGUUAGUUCAUCAUACUGUUUUUCAUUCCUAAAUAGGCUCCUCUGUUUUCUUACAAAUGUGUUACUGUUUUCAAUUUACUGCAAUUAAUUGGCUCAUGGGAAAUUUGUGAAAAUUUGGAUUUACAUUCUUCAAAGUGUUACAAAAGCAUAGAAAAAAGAAUUACUCAAAAAUUCCAAGUACACAAAAAAUGAUAAAUAAAAUACGAACAGUGUACAAUUCUGCAGAAAAAAUACGGUAAUCUGGCAGCGAUUUUGAAAAAUUUAUUUCUCUCAAUUGGCUUACUAUUUUUACCUCAUUCCAGUGCCAUUAUUGAGUUGAGACAUUCAAGUUUCUGUGGUUAAUUUUUCACAUUCCAGUUCGCUUUCAAUCAGUACAGUUAAAUCUGUAAACAUAGCACAGUUUGCAUAAAAAAAGAAUUUUUUUUUCCAGUAGCUGUUUUCUGUUUUCUUCAAUCUACUCUAGCACUUUUCUUUAGGACUCUUUUUGUGUGCCUUCUUUAUUCAUUGAGUUCCUUAUUUUCUUGAUUGGCUUUCAUUCAUAUUCUUUUCAAGUUGUCAUACAUUACUCUCUGUUUUUUNNNNNNNNNNNNNNNNNNNNNNNNNNNNNNNNNNNNNNNNNNNNNNNNNNNNNNNNNNNNNNNNNNNNNNNNNNNNNNNNNNNNNNNNNNNNNNNNNNNNNNNNNNNNNNNNNNNNNNNNNNNNNNNNNNNNNNNNNNNNNNNNNNNNNNNNNNNNNNNNNNNNNNNNNNNNNNNNNNNNNNNNNNNNNNNNNNNNNNNNNNNNNNNNNNNNNNNNNNNNNNNNNNNNNNNNNNNNNNNNNNNNNNNNNNNNNNNNNNNNNNNNNNNNNNNNNNNNNNNNNNNNNNNNNNNNNNNNNNNNNNNNNNNNNNNNNNNNNNNAAAAGGCAGCUCUCAUGGAAGAUUUAAAAAAUGUUAGACAAUCAAAUGCACAACAUGUGAUAUUGCCUUAUGUUCAAAGUGUUAAAGUACCUAGCUUUAGUGGUAAUAGUGAUCCUAAUGUCUAUUUAGAUUGGGAGGCUAAAUGUGAACAAAUUUUCAAAACCUAUGGGGUCUAUGAAGACCAAAAGGUGAAAAUAGCCUCUUUAGAAUUUUUAGAUUUUGCCAAGAAAUGGUGGCAUAGCAUUGUAAUGGACAUUGGAUAUCACAAGAGACCUCCCGUGGUUUCUUGGAAUGAUUUGAAAGAGUGUAUGCGCGCGAGGUUUGUUCCUCCUUAUAGGAAGGAACACUUGUUGAAGUUCCAAAGGCUUCAUCAAGGACAUAGGAUGGUAGAUGAAUAUUUUCAAGAAUUUGAAACAUCUUUGAUUAAAAUGAAUUUGCAUGUUAAUGACGAAUCAAAGAUAAAAUGGUUUGUAAGUGGUUUAAGAAGAGAAAUUAAAGAUUUGGUAAAACUACAUGAGUAUACUUCUUUAAAGAAAGUGUUUCACUUAUGAUGAGAGUCAAGUAAAGGAGGUUUUUAUUAAUGAAGGAAGAGGCAAUUCACCAUCACACUUGAAGUUCUUCCUUCUAGUCUUCUCAAAAUUAAAAGAAGACAUAAAAUAAAGAGAGGCCCAAGCCCAAGCCCAAACCCAAGUCCAUCCUAUGAAGGGCAAGGCCAAGUAUUAAAUAAUAAAGAAUAUUGUUGAAGGUGCUUAGAGGGAAACAUUAGAAACCUCUAUUGUUAAAGCAUCUUUUAGUCUUUAGUUAGGAGUCUUAGGGGGGGGGGGUGUGUUAGUAGAUAGGUGUAGGAGUAGAAAAGGAGGUGCCAAAGUGAAGGAAGAGGUCACACCUUCCUCAUGCAUUGUUUUAGGCGCCAAUUCUAGAAGCUUUUUAGGAGGGAGUUUUUGAAUUUGUGUAGCUUGCAUUUCAGCACCUUAGGCUAUAAAUAGAGGUGCUCCCUUUGUAAAAUUCAGAUUGGAAUUUAUCUAAAGAAACUAUACUCAAAAUUGGAGUGAGCAUUGGAGAGCUUUUGAGCCUUCUUCUCUAGUCUUAUCUUGAAGGAUCCAUGGUGUCCUCAAGUGGCGACAGCACACUCAUCUAGGAGCAACCACACUUCUAGUGGCGUGAUCAUUCAUCAUACAUCCAUCUUCAUGAGCAAUUCUCUUCUCCUUCCUUUCUUCUUUGUUAAUUCCUUGUCCUAGCUUGUUUCCUUGUUGUUUUUGGUUCGGCAUUUUCAGAUUUAAUUUGUGUAGCUUCGGUUCUUUUAUGUUCCUUGCUGUUCUUCAUCUUAUUCUCUUCUUUUUCCAGCUUUUGUUCGGUUCAAUUUAAUUUCCAGCUUUCAAAUUCAGUUUGCUUAGCUUUUGUGCCUUUUUGUUCGGUUCAAUUUGACAAUAAUUGGAUAUUCUAUAUGAGUUUGUGUUUUGGCACUAGUUUUGGUGAGUUCUUGUUCAUAGAACCUUGAUCCAUUUCUAUGAUAAAGUGCCUAGCUCUUAACCAACUCAAGAUGAUUCCUAAGAAUGUCAAGAAUCAUUCUAAUUGUGCUAGUGGAAUCAUAUCAACUUAGCCAUCAAGGUAGAAUCACACCUUUUGAAAACAACUUUCAAAAAUACUCAUGAUGAUAGUUUCUACAACUCUUCUCGGAAGGAUGCAAACAAAGUUUCUACUCAAAAUUCUCCUUCAAUUUUUUCCAAAGAAACCACUUCUUCCCAAAAAGUUUCUACCCAAAAUCCUUCUACCACUAAGUCACCCACCAAAACUUUAAAAACCAAAUGUUUUAAAUGUUUAAGUUUUGAGCAUAUAGCUACCAAUUGUCCAAAUAAACACCUAACAAAGUUAAAUGAGGUAAAACAAGACCAACUUACCAUAAACAACAAAAGCGAAAAUGAAAGAGAAAGAGAAGGACAAGAUAAAUUAGGCCUCAUCCCUUUACCUCCAAGGUGUUUUCCUUCCUUAUCUUUUUCAUUUCCUAAAAAUUCCAAGUACUUGACAUUUUUGUUUAAGAAGUUUAGGGAUGCUAUUCCAAACCCUCCUAAAGGUUCUCACCUUCUACGAGGUUUUUUUACUAAAUAUUUCAUCCCAAAAUCUUCUUUCCCAUCAUGUCUUGUCGAUAAAAUUCAACCAUAUCAUCUCCCUAAACUUAAUGAAAAUAAGUUUGCAUCGCCCCUACAUUCUCCAUCUAAUAUGUGCAAACUUACUUUAUUCUUUGCAGGCCUACUAAAUUCGUGGACGAAUUCUUUCGCGCCUGGGGAGCAUGAUGAGAAUAAAAAAUACAUGAAGAUGACCAAGGAUGCUAUACUUGAAGGGUCAUCUCAACAAGCAAAUAAAGAGGCCAUCAAUAGGAGGAAUGGUCAAGGACCACAAUAUUUGAAGUUCUUCCUAUUAGUCUUCUUAAAAAGAUGAGGCCCAAGCCCAACAAGAGGCCCAAGCCCAACAUGAAGGCCAAGCCCAACAUAAGGCCCAAGCUCAAGUCAUAACUCAAAGAACUACUAGGAGCAAGGGCACAAGCAUUAAAUAAAUGAGCAUCAUUUGAUGACUCUUCUUAUUUCUCUUGUAUAGUUGUAGGUGGUGUGGUUAUUAAAUAAAGGAGUGUGAAAAUGAAAAAUAAAGUCACAUUGUCCAUGUGACUUAGGAGAGUGGUGUAGGUGUAGUUUUUGGGAGGUGUCAUAGUAGAAAAAGGUCACACCUCCCAUGUGACUUGUUUUGGUGGGAAUUUCAAAUGAGNNNNNNNNNNNNNNNNNNNNNNNNNNNNNNNNNNNNNNNNNNNNNNNNNNNNNNNNNNNNNNNNNNNNNNNNNNNNNNNNNNNNNNNNNNNNNNNNNNNNAAAUAAAGGUGCUUAGCUUGUACAAUUCAGAUUGGAAUUUUGAAGUAGAGAGACUAUACUCAAAUUUAGAGAGAAAUUGUGAGUCUUGAGUCUUCUUCUUCCUUUGCCUUAUCUUGUGAGCAAUGGUGAGCUUCAAGUGGCGGCACUCCAUCACUUAUCUUGGAUCAAGACUCCAAGUGGCGUGAAGUGUUCUUCCAAGUCUCAAUUUCAGCAAGUUCCAUUCUAUAAGUGCUUCUUCUUCCUUUUCUUCAAUUUUCAUUCGGUAGUUCUUAAUUUCCUAGUAUUUCCUUUCAUUUGCACCGAUUAAGAUUUGUGUUUCCAGCUUUGUUUCCUUGAUUCUGUUCGGUUCAGUAGCUUAGCAUUUCAAUUCUAUCCAACUUUCAAUUCUUGUUCUUCAUUCCUUGUUGUUUGAUUCCAUUUGACAAUAUAUGGACUUCCAUAUGAGCUUUGGUUGGUGCAAAGUCUUGGUGAGUUCUUGAAUUAGAACAUUGAUCCAAUUCUAAGUAAAGUGCCAUUCAUGACCAACUCAAGUUGCUCCUAAGAAUGUCAAAGAAUCAUGUAUUCUUGUUGUUGCAUUCACAUCAACAUGUCUUUUCUUGAAACUUGUGACUAUUUAUAUGUUUAUCAUGACUCCAUUAUUAUUGAGUCGAACUAGUAUUUGUAUUAUGAUUAAGAAUGUAUUACCUAUGACAAAGAGAGUGCAUGACAUAUGGAAAGAGAAAUUAAUAAUUCAAACCAAAGUUUAAUUUUAAAUGUAUAACCUUUAUUUUGUCUUUUUUUAUUCUAGCCUUUAUUGGCUCUUUGUUUUACUUUCUAACUCUUUAGCUAGAUAGGAUCAUUUGAUAGAUCAAAGCAUGGAGGAGUCAUAUGGGCAUAAAGGACAUAACUUACUUGCUAAAUAAAAGUGGAGAUUGUUGGAUGAAACUAAUGGAAAAAAAAAUGUCCUAGUAUCUAAAUAUGACAUACUCAAAUCUGAGCAAAAUAGGAGUGCAUGAAAGUUUCAUUCAAUAUGGUGGAAAGAUUUAAACAAAGUAUGUGAAGAAGGUAACAAUUGUAGUUCGUUCUAUAAGACUACACAAUGUGAAGUUGGAUAAGAAAAUAAGUUUAGAAUAUGGGAGGAUAAUUGGUUAGGAAAUUAUAAUCUUAAAUCUAGAUUCCCUAACUAAUUCUAUAUAUGUGGGUCAUAAUAAAGUUGUAGUGGAAGUUGGCUUCUAGUCUGAUGAGGGUUGGAUUUGGCACCUGCAGUGGAGAAGAUCUUUAUUUGAAUGGGAGAAAGAACAAGUGCAACAAUUGAUGACUGAACUAGAUUAAGUCCAUAUACAUAGGGAUAAGUUUGACUCAUGGAGAUGGAUACAUAUGAAGAUGAUGAGAUUUUUUUCUGUGAAGAUAGCUUAUGAUGCCAUACACAACAAUAUCUCUACCGGGAACAAUAACUUCUUUAAGGCAUUUUGGGAGGUGAAGGAAUCCCCAUCGGCUCAAGUGCUUGCAUGGAGGGCAAUUCUUGACAAAUUACCCAUUAGACUAAACUUGGUUAAUGAGGGAUUAAUAUUACCAAUGCAUUGUUCCCGUUGUGCCAAAUAUGCCCAAAAUCUUUACAACACCUAUUUUACAAUGUAAGGUAGCACUUUUAGCUUGGAAUACAUGCCACACUUGGGUGGGAAUUCAAUCAUCUCAACAUAACAACCUCUUUGCUUAUUUUGAUGGACUUAUCAUGUCACUCGUUAUUUGACCACUAUCAAACCAACAUAAAUAUCUAGUAUCUUGUACGAGAUGUACAUGUUUCGACAUAAGAGGUGUGCGUUAGAGAUUUCACAUUGACUAAAGAUAAAACUAAUUCAAAAUAUACACUGCAAGGAUAGAAAGAAUCACACAACAAAUUUAUACUGGUUCACUCUUAUACCAAGAGCUACAUCUAGUCCCCAAAACCACUGGGUAUUCCACUAAGCAAUCAAUAACCUUGAUUACAAACUGUAAGAAUUAAUGGCUUAAACAAAAGGGGGGUGAAUUGUUUAUCAAAGAUUUUCGCAAAGAUUGAUUAGGAAUGAAGCUUUAACACAAUUCACAGAUAAAACAAUCAAGGAAAGCAAUCCACUAGUAACCACUUAGAUUACAAUAACACAACCACAAAGAGGUGACCUUGAAAACCACAAGACCCACUCACCCUCUUUACAACCACACACCUCAAGUCAAAACACCCUCUGACUUUGCAGGAUUUCACACACACAAGUUUAUGAAAGUACAAUUACAAGGUUCAUGAAAGGAAUAGAAAACACUUGAGAUUACAGAAACCAGGAAACUCCUAUGAUCAGACCUUGUACCAGUGCACAACUAAAAAGCAAUCUAGCAAAAUUUUUGAAAAACUUCUUUCAAAUCAAUCUCAAUCUCACUUUGUUUGAUGUAAAACUUGUAUAUUUUGUUUUGAAUGAAAGGCUAUGUUUACAGCACACAAAACUAGCCGUUCAAGGCAACUUUGAAUCACAUCCAAAACAAUUUUGAAUUACAUCCAAAACAGAUUAACAGGUUUUCAAAAAGCUAUUAUGAAAUGUUACAAUCAGCCUGUUGAAAAGUCGUUUUAACCGGUUGAAUUAGUUAGGAAGUUACAUAACCAAGUCAAAACAGUUUUAAAACCUUUAAACAAGCCAAGUGACAAACAACCAAUUAUUUCGACAAUUCAACCGAUUGUUUUUCUCUUUGGUUAGAAAAACAAUUUUCUUAUUUAAAACAAAUUGAUCAAGCUUUGUGCAAGGGACUAGGAAAGAUCUUACAAAGAUUCUAAACACCCUAGACUAAACCCAAAACAAAGAGUAGCACAACUUCAAGCUUCAUCAUGGAUUUGAAACAUCAAAGCUCCCAUGUUCAACCUCAUGUUCAACACAAACCACACACCAAAGAGGUGAUCUUGAACUCUUCAAAAACACAUACCUCCUUUGGCAAACCACACACUACAGUUAAUAGAACAGCCUUUGUAUCUACACAAAACAAGUUUACAAAAUUACAGUAUUCAAGAGAGAAAAAGGAUUGAUCACACCUGAUACAGAUUUAAUUUAAAAAUUACAUAGCAGUCCUGUUCCACUCUUAGACAAGUCAAUCAACGCUUGAAGUAAAUCUUGGAGAAAAUUGAUUUGAAAGAUUAUAAUUUGACAUCUUACUACCAGGAGCGUAAAACUAACUAUUUAAACUCCAACAGGCAAUUAAAAACAUUUCAUGAACAAGCCAAAUCUGUUUUGAAUAAAUUAAAACAGAUUUACCAAACUUAACAAAUGUUGUUAAGGAUUUUCAAAAAACAAUCGAUUGAAAUGUCAAAACCACCGAUUGAAUUGGUUUGACAACAAAGUCAACCAAUUUCAAGCUUUGUCAAAACCUGUUUCAAAAACACUAAGUGUAAAACAACCGAUUGAAACAAUAAAACAACUGGUUGUUUUCCACUUCUUUGUAACCACUUGAGAGCUUCACAUUCAUUCAAGAUAAGACCUCAAACCUAAGAGGACAUAAGCCUCACUAAGAGCUCACACAAUUUGUACAGAGUUUCUUUACUUCAUUCAAAUUCAACUUGUAAAAUACAAUGGGUAGGCCUCAUAUUUAUAGGUGAAGGAGCCUUGGAAAACAAGCAAGAGGGGUAGGAUGGGAAAAGUAAAAAAAAUGGGCAGCCUUAGGGUUUGACUAAGUCAAACCCGCACCCUAGGCUUGUCCUUCUAGAAACUAGGUCAAAUUACCUUCUUAAAGGGCUAGGAACAAGCUAAAAUGAUAACUAAACCCCUUAUUAUGCCAAAGGCACCUUAUUCUAGCCUAUCUUUGUUAUUUGGACCCCUAAAGUGAGCCCAAAUUAUUUACAAACAUAUUCUAUUUUUUAAGAAGACCAAUAGAAAGAACUUCUGAUAUUCGGGUUUAUAGCUUCUUCUUCUUUUGUUGAUUCUUUUUCGAGGCUUGGUGGGGUUUGGCUUUGUAUCUUGAGAUGACUGACCCUUUUGGGAAGUGCUUGUUGUGUCGUUAGUUAUUUGUCGGUUUGUAUCACUAACUAAGAGUGGAUUUACAAAUUCAAACUAUCCAUAACCCACACACACAAGCAGCAGCCAGGCCUUCAAGCAAUUCACACAGAUUUGGAGACAUCAAAGCCUUCUCACAUUCAUCAGUCCACGCGAAAUGGUUAUUCUUCUUGAGGUAUUGAAAAUAAGGAUACCCCUUAUCUCACCUGGCUAACGAAAAACGAGACAAGGCAGAUAUGCGCCUGGUCUGCUGUUGCACUUCUUUCACAUUGGCUGGACUCCUCAUAUUUAUAAUUGCUGCACAUUUAUCCGGGUUCGCCUUUAUUCCUCUCUCGGUCAACGAAAAGUCGAUAAACUUCCCUACUUCAACACCAAACACAAAUUUUUCAGGGUUUAACUUCAAAUUAUACCUUACUAUUGUCGUGAAUAACUCUUCCAAGUCGGUCACAUGUUGAUCUUCCUUCUCCGAGGUCACGACCAUGUCAUCCAGACAUGCCUAGACGUUACGCCCGAGCAUUGGUGAAAGAAUUCGGUCCAUGAGCCUUUGAUAGGUCACACCAACAUCAGUAACUGGCGACCUUAGCCAUAAAAGAUGUCUUACACUCAUCUUUCGAGUGCAUGCAAAUAUGAAUAUACCCUUGAAAUGCAUCAAAAAAACUUAAUAAUUGACAUCCUGAGGCACUAUCCACCAAAGAAUCUAUGCUCUGUAGACGGUAAGAAUCCUUGGGGUAGGCCUUAUUCACGUCAGUGAAGCCAACACACAUCCUCAAUUUCCCAUUUUUCUUUUUCACCAACACAACAUUCGCCAACCACUCAGGGUACUGGAUCUCCUGGAUGAGGCCAACUGCCACAAGCUUCCCAGUUUCUUUUCGGAUGACAAAUCGUUUCUCUUCAUUUAACUUUCUUCUUCCCUGGACCACGAGCUUGACCUUUUCAUCCAUGUUAAGCCGAUGGCACAAAAAGUCUGGAUCUAUUCCAGGCAUGUCGGCGGACGACCAUGCGAAAGCGUUCAUAUUCACCGAAAUAACAUCGGCUAUUCUAUCUAAUUCUUUGCCCAACGUGGUGCCGAGCUUGAAUUUCUUCCCUUUUAUCUCCCUCUCCUGAACCUCUUCCGCAGGUGUAGGUCGUCUUUCAUUGUUGAUCUCUGCCUCUGCUAUUCAUCUUGGCUCUCCGGGCUGGAUAAUAACUGCAUACGUUCUCCUACGAUUUUAAGUUGCUCUCUGAACACUUCCGUUCCAUCCUCUGGUCGACCUUUAUAGUAAUUACCCCUCCUUGCGACGAGGGAAAUUUCAUUUUCAUGUGGGCGAUUGAUGCUACUGCACCCAACCUAUUCAAAGAAGGUCGCCCUAAAAGCAGGUUGUAUGUAGAGGAUGUAUUGACAACGAUGUACUUGACAAUAAUCAUUUUGGUCGUGCUUUCAUUUGAGAAGGUUGUCCUCAAAUCAACAUAUCCUCGCACUUCCACUUGAUCUCUUGCAAAAAAUGACCAGACAACCAUCAUAAGGACUUAACUGGUUAGAGGAUAUUCACAAACUUGUAAACGUCCCCCAAAACAUCACGUCGGCCGAACUUCCUUGGUCGAUUAGUACUAUGGCACCUUUCAUCCUACCGUAACAACAAAUAUCACCACUAGAUCAUCCUCAUGGGGGAACACAUCCUCAUGGUCGGAACCUGUGAAAUAGAGGGAAGGCUCUGUGGGGCGAUCAGACCUCCUCGUAUCCAAGGACAUGACUGCUCGUGCAUAUCGUUUUUGCUUGGAGGCUGAGCUUCCCCCUCGUGCAUGCGUUUGAUCUUCGGUUGCAGCUUCUCUUCUUAGUUUUUCUUGGUUAGCCUCGAGAUACUCCUUUAAGAAACCCUCUUUGACCAAACUGGCCAGUUGGUGACUCAAGGUUAUGCAUCGUUCGACGCUAUGCCCAAAUGCCCUGUGAAACUCGCACCAAACAUCUCUUUGUGAUCCCAAAAAUCGAUCUAUCUUUUGGGGAAACAUCAUCUUAUCCGUUACCCCCCGCAUGCUUAAGAGCUCUUUGCACGAUACUCGGAAUCUGGGUCUGAUUGUCGUCUCUUCCCUGGCCCUUAUCUCGGGCUCCUCCUUCUUAGCAACGUAUGGGAUCUGUUCUCUUUCCGGUGGAGGCUUCAUUGCUCCUGUUGGAAUGGUUUCAACUAUUUUCCUUGUGCCUGGGUUGCUUCGAUCGUGAGCCACCAUUUUUCCUGAGCACGACCUCCUCAGCUUCAAUACGGGCGGUAGCUCGCUGGCGUAACUCGGAUAACGUCUCUGUCGGGUUCUUGAUUAGCUAGUCACUGAACGGGCUUGCUAACAUACCUUGUUCGAAAGUGGCAACCACCAUCUCCUCAUCCUGCAUUUGAAGUCUUACCGAGACUGCACAAAAUCUAUACAAGUACGCCUUGAGCGAAUCUCCUUCGCUUUGUCUAAAAUUGAACAGGUCACACAAUCAUGUGGGAUUGACCUUAUUCGCCGAUAACUGUUCUUUAAACAUUCUAGAGAACUGGGGGAAAGAGGUGAUAACCAUCCAGAAUCCCACUAAACCAUUGCAGGAUUGUCCCUGUGAAUGUACUCAUGAAUAUCUUACAAAAAAUUGAGUCAGACCCCCCAGAGAGGAUCAUUUGAGCUCUGAACGCCUUUAAGUGAUUCUCAGGAUCCUCUACACUAGUGAACAAGGCAAUAUUGGGUGUUAUGUAAUGGGGUGGCACAGGCUCGUCUAUAAUUUGCUGGGAGAACGACUUGGUGUCGUCCCUUGAUGACAAAUCUGGGGAACGCUUUCGAGCGGGAUGUUAACCCUGUUGGUGCAAGCUUCAGUGCAGGUCCUCGUUGGUCUUGCGGAAAUCCUCAUUGGCCUGUGCAUGCUCCUCCAUAGUCGCUCGAGAGGCCACGAUCUCGGCUAUAAGGCGUGCCUGAAGACGUUCUUUGUCAGCUCGGGCCUUCGCUCGUAGCUGCUCUUGGUUUGCCUUGGCCUCUUCUCGAAUUUUCUUAUGCUCUCGUCGAUAUUCUUUAUUUGCCUCCUUAAGAGCCCUCAUGGCCUCCAUGAUUUGUUGCCAGGCGGGGGUCUCACUUUCUUCAGAUCCCAGCGGUACUUGCCUCGUGUUUCUCAUUAUGCAGAAUGCUCAAUUGCGAAUAUGUGUAGGAUCAAGUUUUAUCGGGCCCCACAGUGGGUGCCAAAUGUUCUCGCCGGCUGACCUCGGUCGGUCUCCGAGUUGAGCUCUGCUUUGACUUGUCUCCACUUGGUGCUCCAAAGCGCUGCUCCACUGGGACAAAGGGGGCUAUACCUGUUGAUCACACUUCGAUAAUCAAGUCAGUGAGAGCAUUCAAACUAUAAAAUUUUUUCAGUCUAGAAUAUUUAGAAAAGCGUACCUUUACUCAGAGUCUCAAACACCUUUUAUAGCCAUUCCUUCAAUAAUUUUCAUCAACGAGAAUAUAAUCUCAACAACCAGAGUAUAAUAUUCAACCGCAAUCUGUUCUUCGUGUACCUGUUACUUUCAGGUACACACAUUUUUAACUGCUUUUACUUGCAUUUAAUAAUAUACUUCAACCAAUUCAGUUAUUCAUGUAUUUAAUAAUAUACCUCAACCAACUCAAUUAUUUCUUUUGUUAUUUUUAAUUAUCUUUUUCACGUAAACUUACUAGAAAACCUGAGUUGACCUUGUAACACACUUUUGCGUCCAUACCCGACCCAGACCGAACUAGACAUAACUCGCACAAUCGAACUGAUCAUACCUAAAUGCUUGGACCGAGAUCCCGAGCACUCAUGGCCAGUACAACUACUAUCACCCACACUAGUGGAUUUGGAUCAUCACGUGUAUAUGAGGAGUGUUGAUGAAGAUGGAUUUGACUUCUAUGACUCGAUUCGAUAGUGGUAUCCAAUUUUAAAAUCCCCUUAAAUGGUUGGAGAGAAGGUAGGCUGCCAAAAGAAUAGAGUCAUCAACAAUAACCCAUUUGCACACCCUGAAAAAAUAAUAUAAUAUAACAUAAUUGAAGAACAAUAACACUUUCUUCAAUAACUCACCUUAAGAUCCUUCUACAAUGCUGAAGAGGGCAAUCCAGAGACUAGAACUACACAAGGUUGAGUGAAAAACUUAGAAACAUACCAAAGAGUCAUAAUAAAACUACUAAACGAGGUUAUCAAUGGAGGAUUGCAAAUGGCCAAGAAUCCAACCAUAUAAGUAUUCGAUUGCACCCCAUGGAGGUGCCAUAGGCAGGGCUUCCCUUCACAUAUUGUCAAUGGUAGAGGGGUCGAAAAAGCCACACUAAAGCAUUAUGAAAAGUACUAAAUAUUCUAAACAUAUAUGCAUACCAUGAUAUUCAGAGUGUUUGGAUACCCCACGUCCAGCCCAUCCAUUGUUGUGACUGCGGUGUCGAUCUCUUAAGGAUGAAUGACCAUGUCCACCAUGUGCAGGCUCCACGAUCCAGGUUAUAAAAUGUUGGUGAAGUAUUCAUAGUCAUCUUGUUUUUUAACACUUUAGAAUUUUUUUCAGUUAUCAAAUUAUUGAAAGCAUAUAAUUGUGACAUGAAAAUUAUUAUUUUUUGACACUCACUUGCAUUGUUCCAAAUUACAACUUUUAAAUGAUAGAGGUUUUGCAUUGCUCCAAAUUACAACUUUAAAAUGAUAGAGAUUAUGAAAUGUAAAAGGAUAUUUUUGUUAUUUGAAGAGGUUAAUUCUAAUGGGGAAGGUAGUGUAACAAAGUAGAAAAGGGUAAACCAAUAAUUAGUUGGGAUAGAGGGUGAGAAUGGGGAAGAGGUGGUGGAUCUCAGGAAAGGCACGAGGUCCAAAAUAAACAAUUCCAAAUUUAAAUAUUUCUAUUAUCUGGUGGAAUAGUCUUAUUGGUCCUCAGAGAAGAGAGGAAGAAUAGGAAAGGAUUGGAAAAUUCUACUCUUCGUAGAAUUCUGUUUUCUGGAUUUCUCUAUUGUAUUGCUUUUUUCUGUGUUGAAACCUGUAAUCCUUUUUGCUCUGCCCUCUUGUAUAUAGGUUCUUUAAAUCGCAUAACGUGAUAAGGAGUUCUAUAGUAUCACAUUUAUCUUCAUUUCUAUUUGCUGUGACCUCAUUACAUCCUAUUCCUUCCUUCGAUCAAGCAGUUGGUGCCAUGUCAUACUUGAAUCACCCCCUUCAUGCCAAGAAUUGCAGUGAAGAUGUUUUCCAACAUAUAACUGUCAUCUAGAAUAAAAAACAAAUCUCACACUGUAUACACUGAUUAGCAUACAUUCUAUACUUAAGCCAAGUUCUUGGCUUUGUAAAGAUUACAAAAUUCUGAGUAAUGAAAACUAAAGCAAUUGCUAUGCAGAAAUUACAUUAUUGAGUUCACUAUUAAAUAAGAAUCAUAGACACUGUUAAGAGGUUGUCGACGUGCUUUCCUAAGACCAGAUACCUAUAAUUGUUUUCGUCGUCAUUGAAAUAUGAUAAAAAUUACAAAAUAUAAAAAAAAAAUAUAUUAGAAAAAAAAUAUAUAAUUGUAAAUCCUUAAAAUAAUAUUCACGGUCGGGAUAUUUAUCAUAGUUAUAUUUUAAUGAAAUACAAAAUGGUAAAAACUUAAACUAAUUUUAUUAACUUUAUUUCUGAAAAUAUAUGCGUGGCUCACUCGGGAUGACAUGUAUAUAAUUUUAUUAGAUUUUGAUAUGCAUUGGCAAUAUGCAUGGAGAUGAAACAAUAAAAGUGUCAAAGCUGGAGUUUUAUAAUUCCAAAAAUUUCCGAUACACGCAAUGCAUUCCUUUGAAAACUACUCUGGCAUCGUUUGCCAUGUCAGUGCCUCUACGUUAUCACUCUUAGAAAAAUAAUUUGUCCAGAUACAUACAAAACUUCUUAAGAGGUACACAGUGCUGGUAGAGCUUGAGUUGAAAACAAGCACAUUAAUUAAUUAGUUUACCAUUCAAAGUUAUCUUUACUAUAAAUACCACAACACAAUAUAUUUUUCAUACAUUUCACUAGCCAACCUCAAGCAUUUGUUCCCAUAAUUGUCACACUACAGUACCCAUCAUGGUUACCAAAAUUCAUUUGUGUCAUAUUUCACUUGCAAUGCUUUUCUGCAUGGCGUUCUGGGCUUUACAAGUCACAUCUCGCACUCUGCAAGAUGCCUCCAUCUAUGAGAGGCAUGAGGAAUGGAUGGCUCGUUAUUCCAGAGUCUACAAGGACCCUCAAGAAAAGGAAAAGCGUUUCAGGAUAUUCAAGCAAAAUAUGAAUUACAUUGAAGCCUUCAACAAUGCUGCCAAUAAACCUUACAAGCUAGCCAUUAAUCAAUUUGCAGACCUCACCAACGAGGAGUUCAUAGCACCAAGAAAUAGAUUCAAGGGGCACAUGCGUUCCUCAAUCAUAAAGACAACCACUUUUAAGUACGAAAAUGUGACAUCAGUACCAUCCACAGUGGAUUGGAGGCAAAAGGGUGCGGUGACACCGGUCAAGGACCAAGGCCAAUGUGGUAAGUCCUGGAUAAUUCAAUUCCCAAGUCANNNNNNNNNNNNNNNNNNNNNNNNNNNNNNNNNNNNNNNNNNNNNNNNNNNNNNNNNNNNNNNNNNNNNNNNNNNNNNNNNNNNNNNNNNNNNNNNNNNNNNNNNNNNNNNNNNNNNNAAUUGAUUUCUUUGUCUGAACAAGAACUUGUUGAUUGUGACACAAAGGGUGUGGACCAAGGUUGUGAAGGUGGUCUUAUGGAUGAUGCUUUCAAAUUCAUCAUCCAAAAUAACGGACUCAAUACUGAAGCCAAUUACCCUUUCAAGGGCGUUGAUGGAACCUGCAAUGCAAAGGCGGCAUCUAGUCAUGCAGCUACCAUUCGAGGCUACGAGGAUGUCCCAGCCAACAAUGAGAAGGCACUGCAAAAAGCUGUAACCAAUCAACCAGUUUCUGUAGCAAUUGAUGCUAGUGGCUCUGACUUUCAAUUUUACAAGAGUGGUGUCUUCACUGGUUCAUGUGGAACAGAGUUGGAUCACGGUGUCACUGCAGUGGGAUAUGGUGUCAGCGAUGAUGGAACUGAGUAUUGGUUGGUUAAGAACUCAUGGGGAACUGAGUGGGGUGAAGAAGGCUACAUUAGGAUGCAAAGGGGUGUAGAUUCUGAAGAAGGACUGUGUGGCAUAGCCAUGCAAGCAUCGUACCCCACUGCAUAAUUAUAAAAUUUAGACCCUGUUAAGCUAUUUUCAAUUCUACGUAUCUUUUUCACCAUUGAUUUCUGCUGUUGGUCCUGUAUGUUAUUAAUCAAUUUAUCCAAUGAAAAAGGGGUCAUGGUUAUGACUUAAAAGAUUGAUACAACACAAGCUAAAUUAUCGUAACCACGACGCAAGGAAGCUAAAUACAAAAGUAGUAAUGAAAACUUGUUAUCCAUAAAGCAAAAAGUGCAGACUGAAACUAAAAUAGAAAAUACGGAGGAGCUGCUUUAGUGAUUGAAUUCAUGGCAUAUAAACAAAAGAAUUAUACAAUUUCAUUUUGUCAUUCUGUUUCUUUUCCCUCUUUCUCGAGAAAGGGAAAAAACUUUACAAGAUGAGGAGAUGCCUAUUGUACAAAAUCCUAAUCUAUGUCAGUCUUCUAGAGUGAGAUAUAUUGUCAAUUCAAGAAAGAAGUUAUACGUUGGAAGACGUCUUCGGUGCAAGGAAUUGUGAGGCCACCCAUGGGAUGAUCAUAUCCAAAUUCAUCUUCAGCCUGACUCAACAAGCCUUGAAAUGAAGGUUGGUUCAAGUAUGAUAUGGGAAUCACAAACCGCUUUUGUUUCUCUCCAACAUACACUGCAAGAUAGCCCUUUGGGACUUCUGAAGAUUUUGAAGCUGCUUGGCUAGCUGUGAAUGAUGCUCGUCGAAUAGCAGGUAAUCGGAAACCCAUUUUUUGUGCUUGAUUGAAUGAAGUAGAAGAAUCUCAAAUCUUGAAGGAAGGAAUCCAAGUGUUGAAGCUUGAGGGUUGCAAUGGCAUGUGUU
This 320660-nucleotide long non-coding RNA is filed under the name Phaseolus vulgaris (common bean). RNAcentral's name for it is "long non-coding RNA (PVUL_LNC000271)". The record is from RNAcentral. Lineage: Eukaryota; Viridiplantae; Streptophyta; Magnoliopsida; Fabales; Fabaceae.